RNAcentral lists this long non-coding RNA (285070 nucleotides) under Triticum aestivum (bread wheat). RNAcentral describes it as "long non-coding RNA (TAES_LNC002187)". The record is from RNAcentral. Lineage: Eukaryota; Viridiplantae; Streptophyta; Magnoliopsida; Poales; Poaceae.
UGCCGGGGUCCAAAGGAUCGGAGGCCAUGAUGUCCCAGUGGUCAAACACGCACUGGGGGAAGGCCUGGCCGGACGUCGCGGCCCUCAGGGUGCUCGAGAACCCGAAGGACUCGAUGACGGGCAGGUAGGCCUUGAUGUUGUAGAGUGGGGUACCUUGCCUCUGCAUCUCCUCGAACACGUGCCCUCUCUUCUGAUUCAGCACACCAUAGAUACCACCAAGUGCGUUCUCCGGGGCCUGGAUCUCAACCAGGUACACGGGCUCCAGCAGCCUUGGCUUGGCAGUGAGCUGAGAAGCGUAAAUGACCCUCCUCGCCGUUGGGAUGACCUGACCACCACCCCUGUGAAUAGCAUCAGUGUGGAGAACAACAUCACAGACCUCAUAGCAGAUGCCGCGCAUGUUCUCCUCACAUAGUGCUCCUUCUUUUGAUGCCCACUGGAACCCAGCCACAACAGAGUCCUUGAUUUCAUUCAGGUACUGCACUCCCUUACACAUGUCCACAACCAUGUUGGGGCCAGUCGUCUCAGGUCCAAAGCACCAAAUCUUCUUGGCGAGAUCCUUGUCCCAACCAAACUCCUCAGACAGGAUCUUGGAGCGCACCUUAGGAUCAUCACGCGGGCCAAUGCGGCCAUCAUCAAUAGCCUCAGCCAAUCCCUCCUCCAAUGGGCGAGCUUCCAUGUAAAGACGGUUAUGCUUGUUGGGGGACUUGCUCAUAACGGUACGGCAGGACUUCUCCAGAACAGUCUCACGGAAGGAGACGACAGGGGGGGAAACAAUGAUUUCAGCACCACCCAUGAAGUCAUCCUGCAGAUCCUUCAAGCAGAUUUCAAGAUGAAGCUCUCCGGCUCCAGCGAUGAUAUGCUCACCAGACUCUUCAAUGGUACAGAGAACCAUAGGAUCAGACUUGGCCAGACGCUUCAAACCCUCAACAAGCUUAGGAAGAUCAGAAGCCACCUUGCACUGAACAGCAACACGUACAACAGGGGACACAGAGAACUUCAUUGCCCUGAUUGGGCAGGCAUCAACUUCCUUCUCGUUUGUCAGGGUUGCAUUCUUGGUGAUGAACUGAUCCAAACCAACCAAAGCAACGGUGUUACCACAGGGAACAUCCUCAACAGACUCUUGCUUCUUUCCCAUCCAGAUAACAGUCCGCUGGACACUCUUCACAUAUAGAUCCUUCUUCUGGCCAGGAACAAAGUUGGGACCCAUGAUACGGACCUUCAUGCCAGUUGCGACCCUCCCGGCGAAAACACGUCCAAAGGCAAAGAAUCUACCCUUGUCAGAUGCUGGAAUCAUCUUGGAGACAUACAGCAUAAGAGGACCUUCAGGGUCACAGUUUCUGAUGGCAUUUGCAUAUAUGUCAUCAAGGGGGCCCUCGUACAAGUUCUCCACACGAUACCUCUGUGCCUUUGAAGGAGAGGGGAGGUGAAAUAUCAUCAUCUCAAGCAGAGCACGACUGGCAGGCAGCCAAGUUUGCAUCACACGCUUCAUGAGAGCCUUGCCCAUCAAGUCCUUCUCAUCAUUCUUCAUGGUCACACCAAGCUUCUUCAACAUAGGCCACAACUUAUCCUUCUGGUCAUUCAUGCAGGUUGCUAUGAUUUGCUUGAUUGGCUCAUAGCAGAACUGAACGAAACCUCUCUUGCAGGUAGCUGUCCCAGUGUUCUUGGAGGUCCAUUUCUUUGUGGCUGGGUCAAAGAAGUUCUCACCCCACAGCCUCUCCAUCAUCUUCACCUCAUCAACACCAAACUUGGAGGCAUACAUCUUAGCAAAGUUUGUAAGGGUGAAAGCCCACCCAUGCAAACCAGCAGAGAAUGCAACAGUACCCUUCUCUGGGUACACUUGGACAUCACCAAGGAGCACAUCUUCAUAUGUUGCCAUGAUGACAUUGGCAUUUUCGAUGACACGGGAGAAAGUCUGAUAUGCUUCCUCACCUUCAAACUGAAGCUCAAGGAAGCAUCUGUCCAUCUUGUUCACAGUAAGAACAGGCCUAAUCCUCUCACCAAGAGCUUGGCGCAGCACAGUUUCAGUCUGCACACAGACACCCUCAAUGCAGUCAACAACCACCAAAGCACCAUCAGUGAUACGAAGAGCAGCUGUGACUUCCGAAGAAAAGUCAACGUGGCCAGGUGAAUCAAUAAGGUUGAUCAGGUAUUCAUCUCCAUCCCUGUCGCCCUUGUACAUCUCAAGUGAUUCAGGAGUCAUCUGAUAGAAAAGAGAGAUACCCGUGGAUUUGAUUGUAAUACCACGCUCUGCCUCAUCUGCACGGGUAUCAGUCAUGCGAACAUCCCCAGCAACUUCCUGGGCGAUAAUCCCAGCAGCUGCCACAAGGGAAUCCGUAAGCGUAGACUUGCCUGCAAAUAUGUAAAUAAUAUGUGAGAACAAUGCACAAGCAUCUGGUUUGACAGUUGAACACAACCUAUAUGAAUAGAAAAUUGAACAUGUUAACUCAUACAGUAUAAGGCAGAAGUAGGACAGAGCAGUACAGUACUUUCAAACAAUCAAGAAACAAAAGAAGGUACAAAUAAGCUCAACAAGGUUUUUAGUAACAUGGUUAAGCAAAAUCUAGUGGGACAUUGCAAACAAAAUAUGAAGACAUCAAUAUUGAAGUAACUAAGUACAAUCAUGUAAAUUUAAGAUCCUAUGCAGUGUAAUACAUUCAGGGACAAUGUGAGAAUACACCAAACUGGGAGAUACUAGGCCUGGGAUAUUAUGUCAAUAGUACCAUUUAAGCUUGGUGAAGCAGAAAUCAAUCAUAUAAUAAGCAGUGGUGAAGCAGAAAUCAAUCAUAUAAUAAGCAGUAGUAGUAAACUCCAGGACACAAUAAGAUGGAUUGGUUUUAGGGAUGAAACUAAUUAUGGCCCACUUCUUAAAUUGACCCAUUUAAAUAGUCUCAGUAUUUCGAAUUAAAUAGAGUAAAAUUAAGAGCAGGCUACAAAAACAUUGGUUAACAAAGAUUCUACUGUAUGAACUCAAUAAUUAGAGACAACUGUCUGUUUAGGCACAUACCGUGGUCGACAUGAGCAAUAACAGACAUGUUACGAAUAUUAUUUUUCUUGUCCAUAAUUCCGCGGAGCUCCUCCGCUGUAAACUUCACCAUCUUGACUGGUUUUGGAUAUCACACUGGGAAUAUAGUUCCUGUUCAGAAUGGACCAAAAAUCAAGUAAUUAAAACCACAAUUGAAUAAUCAGAAGGCUCUUACUACAGUUGGGCACGCAUUAGUUUCAAGUGCAGUCAACCAAGCAUAUUAAAACUAACAUAUGGGAACCGAAGACCAAGUUCUGAAAACUUAAUUGUCCAAAGUGCACUAAAAAGGAAGCCAGAAAGCAACGAUGGCAACCAAUUUUGAGAGCACUCGACAUGACAGUGUGCGAAAGAAAGCACAAAACAGUAAGAAAGAUAAGAAAGAAAAGCAGUCUAUUAUGUAGAGUGUGCACAAGUAUGAAGCACAAUCAGGCAACGGAUAUCACUAGCUAAACCUGUAUAACUUAUGAGGAUCACAGAAAACUUCGCAGGAAUCAACCAUAUGUGAAUGGAAAAGAAGAGUAGGUCUGAAACAGAAUCGUGGUUUUAUGCAAAGUUGAUUUGUAACAGAAGGGUAGUUUUAUGCACACGUGCUGACUGUACUAGCAUGUACACUACCAGUGUAAACACUAGAAACAAUGGAAGCACAGAAGGUCAUAAUGUUGAGCUCUGAAAUAGGUGCGACCAACCAUGCAUGGGGAGCACUGAGAAGAAUACCAGAAGAUAGCCACAUAUGAUCAAUUUAACCAAAUGAAAGAGAUCAGGGAUAAAUUCACCCAUAAUACCUCAACUAUAAGUACAUAAAAACUGGCACACCCCGAUACAAGAGUCUCCCGUUCUUUCUUUUUUUUUGAAAUAAAUACAAGAGUCUCCCGUUCUAUAUACACAUAGUUAUAUUAAAUUAAGCAUGCCAAGCAAAGAUGUGCAUCACCAUUUCCUCCGCCCUGAACAUGAAGACAGAGAACAAAACCAACCAGGCUACGACAGGCAGGCAAGCAAGCGAGCAAAACCCUACAGCUUGAGCAUUCUAAGAACCCCGUGGACGAACAGCAGCGCAGAAAAAAAUCGCCGAAAAAGCUAGCAGAGCACCAGAUGAAACAGAUCGCCGUCUACCACGGCGGAGCGGGCAGAUCCACGGUAAACACGGCGGGAGGAACACCCUUAGCUACCACAGAAGCACAUCGGAGGCGACGAGCUUAUGUAUCUAGUGACGUCAGCGCAAAGUCGUCGCCAGGAACAAGCGAGCGGGACGAACCAAGCAGCAGAUCUAACGCAUCUAAGAGCAGCGAGACCGCAUAGGAAUAAUCCCGGCGACCACGAGCCCAGCAAAGGGGACCGGAGCGCAUCGAGCUAGCGAGGAGACUGAGCCGGUGAAAUCGGUCGGCUAGGUAGCAGCUAGCUGCCUAGCACGGGCGCGCCCGCCGACGGAGCAGCCGGAGGGCGGCGGAAGGGGAGAGGAGAGGGGAGGUCCGGCUCACCUUGCGGGUUCGCCGAGAGAUGAGAGGUGGGGAAGCGGCGGCGCUCCCGAUCCGUGAGAAUGGAAAGGGUUCAAGGAAGUGAGCACGCUAGGUCGCAUUUGCUGGCCGUUAUAUACGCUAUUUUUGUUGGUUCCGUGCGGGCCAAGAUGCGCGGGGAGUGGAACUUUCCAAGGCCGGCCACGCGAAAUGCGGCCCGCAAGUGAAGCCGGCCUGUCCGGCGUCCACUGUGGUGGAGUCCGGCCCAAAGGGGAUGAUGGCCAGGCGUGGUGAGAAUUUCGGAAGUUGUCGGAGCGAAAGCUCCGAAGCGCCAUCAAAUGGCGAGGAAGCUUUCGGAAAACCUCUAACCACCUAGGAGCCCAAUCUUCAAAAGUAACAAGUGUUGGGUUUGAUGAAAAAAUGUAUGUUGGGUCUUGCUCUCUCUAUCACCAAAGAAUCAACAGGUUUGGGCGCACAUUUUUCAGAAACCAUGCUCAGUUUAGACUUCAUUGAAAGAUGGGUUUAAAUAAAGCAACCACGAAGAUUUUGGAUGGAGUGGUAAUAUUUGAACCUUGAUGUGUGACACGAACACAUGGCAACUCCGAAUGUUUUUUAUGACAAAUGUAGUGACGCGGGGAUGGCAACUUCAUAAGUCAAGCAUGGCCACUUGCUUUUUGGAUGGUAAGUUUCGGUUUUUUCUGGGUUUCUUUUUUUCUUUCUAGAUGACAAUUUCAGCAGUUGUAAAAAACGUGAGGGCAAGAGUGCUUCGUGCCACAUGUGUGGCACUUAUUAUUUAGGUGACAUGUUGUUGGAAUCACGCUCAAACUAAGCUUCGUCCAAAGAUGGUCCAAAGAUGAGUGCGGCCAAUCAAAAUUAGUGUUAGCUCUACCACAUUAUAUCUUCCUUUUUAGUGGAGAAUUUGAUGGAGGAGCUGCAGCCCUAUUUCCCCGUAUUAUUUCUGUUAGCAAUUGAAGGUUUUGUCUUGUCUUUUGAAAAGUAUUGGAAUUUCAUAAAAGAAAAGAAAAAACAUCUAUGCAGCGGCCAAAACACCCUGACCAAGGCCAAUCAUCUCUUAUCGAUAUUUACGAACAUUGUGUCCAAAUUAGGAAACUAGACUAGGAUCACUUCAUGUAUACCUGUUUGGUUUGCAGCGUAAGGUUUUAACGCUUAUUCUUAGUAGUGCCACAACAUCUUAGGAAUGUGUUUGAUUUAUUGCCACACUUUUCUAGCUACAAGGUUCACAUGUCAUAGGCUCACUUUUUGCUUAAUCUUGCAACACUUAUAGUCACCAUUUUAUUAACCACAUUUUUUGUGACAGCCACACUUUGUCUAAGCUUAAUACUUCCUCCAUCACGGUUUAGAAGGCACAGUUAAAUUUGCGUACGUUUUCACAAUAAACAAGGUUUAGAGCGCAUUGCAUUUAUUUCUAGUAGCUAAUUACUACUCCGAUAUACUAUUUCUAUAUGCAUGCGUAGUGUGAAUGCUAUUUUUUAGCCCAUCCCACAACCAAUAGAUAACCACCUAGGUCCCAGAGAAUUUUCAAGCGCGUCUUCUAAACCAUGACGGAGGGAGUAGUGGUUAAGUUAGUCAUGAAAACAAGUCAUGAAACGGCAUCCUAUGUUUCAGCAAAAAAAACUAAAAGGUUGAAGCUUGCUUGCAAGUGUCAUAAUUACAUAGAGCCUAUGUGUAUAACUAUUAAGCACAUGUGCAUCCAGUAACAGUCAUAAGAAAUAUAGCAAACAAAUCUAUUAUAUGCCUAAAUUUACUGAACAACUUCACAACUCAAUUUUGCUACAAACCUGGAAUAAGAGAAGUUACUGAGCAUGAGAAUUAUGCGAAUAUUCUAUUAUGCCUACAAAGGUUCAAUCUGUAAUAUUCCAAAAACAUAAGUUCGGAUACUCUCAGCGUUAACAGAUGCUUCUACUACAGUAUUUCUCUUAGGUCCAAUUUUUUUCCGCUCAAACAGAUGUAUCUUAGCACACAGUAGGGAGCAAUUUCUCAUCAUCAGUGUGUCCACAAAAUUGUAGGGCAUGAAAUGGAGAAUUGUGUACUGUAUACAAACUGCAGCAUAAACAAGUGCAGUAAGUUUUUGAGCAUAGAUUACAACUGCCAAAAGAUGGAACACAUUUUGAUGGUCAUCAAAUCAGGAAGGUAAAAUGAGAUCGAAAAACUGCAAGCAGAGCUCUCAAGAUCAUGAAAAAUAUAGAGCAAGACUGGAGCAAUAAAGAACCAGGCAGAGCUCUCAAGAUCAACACAAAAGCAAACACAAGACGCCAACAAGAACUACCAAUGGAUAACAGAUACUUGUAUAAUCUAAGCUUUAACAUCGACAGACAUCAAAACGAAGUGCCAGUAUCACGACAGAUAUAUAAUCUAAGUUUUAACAUCGACAGACAUCAAAACAAAGUGCCAGUAUCACGACCGAUAGGAAUCCCAAUAGCAGUACAGCGACGACUCAAUAGACAGAUAAUAGUGCAGCUCUCUUAGCAGCAAAAGCAAACUAGACCAUGUAACAGAAGCAAAAGUUCAGAGCUUGUCCUCGAAAUCAGAUAGAGGGGUCAUCUGUUCCUUCAGGCCCUUGCGCUUGCGGAUCUCCGUGACAAGUGUGGCAGACUGGGAGCCGGCCUCCAAAGGAUCAGAAGACAUGAUGUCCCAAUGGUCGAACACACACUGGGGGAAAGCCUGGCCGGAUGUCGCCGCCCUGAGGGUACUUGAGAACCCGAACGACUCGAUGACCGGGAGGUAAGCCUUGAUGUUGUACAGCGGGGUACCAGGCCUCUGCAUCUCCUCAAACACAUGCCCUCUCUUCUGAUUCAGAACACCAUAGAUACCACCGAGUGCAUUCUCCGGGGCCUGGAUCUCAACCAGGUACACAGGCUCCAGCAGCCUUGGCUUAGCAGUGAGCUGAGAAGCGUAAAUGACCCUCCUGGCUGUUGGGAUGACCUGACCACCACCCCUGUGAAUAGCAUCAGUGUGCAGAACAACAUCACAGACCUCAAAGCAAAUGCCACGCAUGUUCUCCUCAGCCAGAGCACCUUCUUUCGAUGCCCACUGGAACCCUGCCACAACAGAGUCCUUGAUUUCAUUCAGAUACUGCACUCCCUUACACAUGUCCACAACCAUGUUGGGGCCAGUCGUCUCAGGUCCAAAGCACCAAAUCUUCUUGGCGAGAUCCUUGUCCCAACCAAACUCCUCAGACAGGAUCUUGGAGCGCACCUUAGGAUCAUCACGCGGGCCAAUGCGGCCAUCAUCAAUAGCCUCAGCCAAUCCCUCCUCCAAUGGGCGAGCUUCCAUGUACAGACGGUUAUGCUUGUUGGGGGACUUGCUCAUAACGGUACGGCAGGACUUCUCCAGAACAGUCUCACGGAAGGAGACGACAGGGGGGGAAACAAUGAUUUCAGCACCACCCAUGAAGUCAUCCUGCAGAUCCUUCAAGCAGAUUUCAAGAUGAAGCUCUCCGGCUCCAGCGAUGAUAUGCUCACCAGACUCUUCAAUGGUACAGAGAACCAUAGGAUCAGACUUGGCCAGACGCUUCAAACCCUCAACAAGCUUAGGAAGAUCAGAAGCCACCUUGCACUGAACAGCAACACGCACAACAGGGGACACAGAGAACUUCAUUGCCCUGAUUGGGCAGGCAUCAACUUCCUUCUCAUUUGUCAGGGUUGCAUUCUUGGUGAUGAACUGAUCCAAACCAACCAAAGCAACAGUGUUACCACAGGGAACAUCCUCAACAGACUCUUGCUUCUUUCCCAUCCAGAUAACAGUACGCUGGACACUCUUCACAUACAGAUCCUUCUUCUGGCCAGGAACAAAGUUAGGUCCCAUGAUACGGACCUUCAUGCCAGUGGCAACCCUCCCAGCGAAAACACGUCCAAAGGCAAAGAAUCUACCCUUGUCAGAUGCUGGGAUCAUCUUGGAGACAUACAGCAUAAGAGGACCAUCAGGGUCACAGUUUCUGAUAGCAUUAGCAUAUAUAUCAUCAAGGGGGCCCUCGUAUAAGUUCUCCACACGAUACCUCUGUGCCUUUGAAGGAGAAGGGAGAUGAAAUAUCAUCAUCUCAAGCAGAGCACGACUGGCAGGCAGCCAAGUUUGCAUCACACGCUUCAUGAGAGCCUUGCCCAUCAAGUCCUUCUCAUCGUUCUUCAUGGUCACACCAAGCUUCUUCAACAUAGGCCACAACUUAUCCUUCUGGUCAUUCAUGCAGGUUGCUAUGAUUUGCUUGAUUGGCUCAUAGCAGAACUGAACGAAACCUCUCUUGCAGGUAGCUGUCCCAGUGUUCUUGGAGGUCCAUUUCUUUGUGGCUGGGUCAAAGAAGUUCUCACCCCACAGCCUCUCCAUCAUCUUUGCCUCAUCAACUCCAAACUUGGAGGCAUACAUCUUGGCGAAGUUUGUAAGGGUGAAAGCCCACCCAUGCAAACCAGCAGAGAAUGCAACAGUCCCCUUCUCCGGGUACACUUGGACAUCACCAAGCAGCACAUCUUCAUAUGUUGCCAUGAUGACAUUGGCAUUUUCAAUGACACGGGAGAAAGUCUGGUAUGCUUCCUCACCUUCCACUUGAAGCUCAAGGAAGCAUCUGUCCAUCUUGUUCACGGUGAGGACAGGCCUAAUCCUCUCACCAAGAGCUUGGCGCAGCACAGUUUCGGUCUGCACACAGACACCCUCAAUACAGUCAACCACCACCAAAGCACCAUCAGUGAUACGAAGAGCAGCUGUCACUUCCGAAGAGAAGUCAACGUGGCCAGGUGAAUCAAUAAGGUUGAUAAGGUACUCAUCACCAUCCCUGUCGCCCUUGUACAUCUCAAGUGAUUCAGGAGUCAUCUGAUAGAAAAGGGAGAUACCCGUGGAUUUGAUUGUAAUACCACGUUCUGCCUCAUCUGCACGGGUAUCAGUCAUGCGAACAUCACCAGCAACUUCCUGGGCGAUAAUCCCAGCAGCUGCCACAAGGGAAUCCGUAAGCGUAGACUUGCCUGCAAACAUGUAAAUCUAUGUGAGGACGGUAAAAAAGCAUCCAGAUUGACAGUCAAAAGCAAUAUACAUUAAUAUACACACUUGGAACUUAUUAACCACUGAGAGAUGUAAGUGUGGCAAAAAGUACACUGAAACAAACAAUGAUUAAAAGACGAUUAAAAGAGGACAAACUGAGAAUUUAGUAACAUGGUUAACAAAUUUUUUGUGUUACUACAUACAACCAUGUAAAUUAUAAUACAUUCAGCAACUAACAGGAGCACACACCAAACUGGGGAGAUUUUGAGCCAUGGGAUUAUAUGCCAAUAGUUGCAUUUAAGCUUGUUAAAGUAUAGAUCAAUCAUAAAAGCAAUAAGAAUAAGCUCCAGGAGACAGCAAGAGCUGGAACUACUUAAUUUAAAACAGUGAAACAGCUCAUUAAUACAGAGAUCUGGUUUUUAGAAAUAAUAUGGAACAACUAAGAGCAGGCUACAGAAACAUCAAUCUACAAGAUACUGUAUGAACAUGGUAAGUAGAGCAACUGACACUGUUCGGUCACAUACCGUGGUCAACAUGAGCAAUAACAGACAUGUUGCGAAUAUUAUUCUUUUUAUCCAUAAUUCCACGGAGCUCCUCCGCUGUGAACUUCACCAUCUUGACUGCUUUUGAAUGUCACACUGGGACUAUAGUUCCUGUUCAAAGAAUAGCAAGCUAUCAGAAUAAAGCAAUAAUACAGUUUGAAUAACUAUUAAAUGAAAAAAAAAAUCUGACAGUGAUAAAAUAAUGACUGUUCAAGUAAUUAGAACCACAAUUGUCCACUCAAAAGUGCACUUAAAUUGGUGUACAAUAAUAAAUUUUAUACACUGCUACCAAACUACUUUAACCAACACUUCCACCAACAUCCCGAAUAAAGUGAAAUAUAUAAGAUGGUCAAUUGAGCUUAUUAAAUUUAAUAUACUAGGACAAAAAGAAAUGCACUGAGAAGGCAGCAACAAAGCAAGCCCAACCGAUAUUAAGAGCACUGACAGUCACAGCAUGAGAAAAAAUAACACAUACAAUAACAAAGAAAUGCAAUCCAUUAUGGAGAGCAUACAUGCAAAAGCAAUGAAGCAAAAAUAGGAAAUGGAUCACUAACUAAACCCCCAAGUACUUCCAGGUCUGUAGAGCUUAUAAAGGGGUAGAACAUAGAGAAAAACUUCUGCAGAAGAUUAUGUCAAGACUUGGGAAAAUGUAAUUUGUAAUGGAAUCACAGUUUUAUGCACAAGUACUGACUGUAAUAUCAUGGCACUACCAACAUAAACACUAGAAACAAUGGCACAGAACGUCAUUGAGUUGGAACUCUCAAGUGGUGCAACCAUCAAUACCAAGGGAAACACAGAAAAUACUUGCACGGACUCAUCCAAACGAAAUAAUUAUCAGAUCAGAGCGAAAUACAUGCAGAGUGCCUGAACUAAAUUUACAUAAAACACUGAAAACACAAAGACGACAAAAAUAUCUGUAGCUCCCUUUCAAAUUAAACUGAACAUGCAAAGCAACGAUACCAUUUUCUCCGACCUGAGUAUGAGCAGGGAACAACACCAACAGGUUAGGGUAGGCACUAGGCAGGCAAGCGAGCGAGCAAAUACCCUACAGCUCGAGCAUUCUAGCAAAACCUCGUGAACGAAAAGCAUGGCAAAAUGGCCAAAACCAACACCGGGACAACAGAUCCACGCUCAACACGACGGAAUAGCACCCUAGGGACCGCGCAUCUACAGACGUCAGAACAAAAUCGACCCCGGAACUUGCGAGCAGGGCGAACAAAGCAGUAGAUCUACGGCGCUUGGGAACAGGAACCGCACAGAAGAACGACGACAGAUCCGGCGACGUGAACUGCGCGCAAAAGCUAGCGAGGAGACUAGAACCGGUGGAACCGAUCGAUCGGCUAGGCAGCAGCUGGUGCGGACUACGGAGAAGCGACGGGCCGACGAGGCGACCGGAGCGCGGGGAGGAAGGGAGGUCAGGCUCACCUUGGGGUUUCGCUUCGGUCUCCCGAGCCGAGAGGUGAGAGAUGAGGAAGCGGCGGCGCUCCCGGAGGAAGAGAAUGGAACAAGGGGUGAAGGAAGAACCCUAGGGCGGCAUCGCUUGCCCGGUAUAUAUAGUGGUGCUGUGCCGGCCCAGGAACGCGAGGGCCGAAAGGCGAGGAAUGGGCGACUGCGGCCCGCGGGAGUGAGGGGGCCGUGUGUGGUGGAGUCGGGCCGACGGCCUGGCCCGAGUGAUGGCCCAGACCUGCCGAGUGAGAUGUGAGACGAAUGGGCGACUCUUCUUCUUGUCUAAAAAAAAAAGAAGAUGAACGACCGACUCGAUGAUCCCUACGGAGAGGGGGGAAGUGAACAAGGUUAUACGGGGUAAAUAAUUCAAAAAUAAGUGAAUUUCUUUUUUUUUUCAGAAAAACUUCCGAUCUAUUAAUCUUUAAUCACGACAUAAUUGAAUUUGUUUAACAAACAUUGUUGACUGUUUGACUAUCGUGUAAACAUUUUUGCGAUGAAAUACAUUCAUGAUAUUCUAGGGACGAAAAACAAAACUGACUUUCAAAAAAGUCUAAGUUUUUAGAGGACUGAUUUUGUUUCUUUUUUUGACAGACACGGAUGCCAUUUCAUCAUGAAAAUGUACAAGUAGGUAAGAAACUAAGCAUGUCCAUUGCCGAAAAAGUAUACUCUUUUAAAACUUCCUAUUUUGGAUUUUUACAGUUCAUCCCAAAUGUACAUCCUCUCGGGAUAAGAGUGACACUUUAGGUACGUGGUUGAACUUUUGUUCUCACGCAUGAACCAUUGUCCCAUAUUCUUUUGCAAAAAAAAGUUAAAAAAUCAGCAUCAAUGCACCAUGCUUGUUCAUCAUAUCAGUAACAAAAAUAGGUGAAGUAGCAUAAGUAGGAUCAUAUUUCAUUCUAACAUUCAGAGAUUUUUCUUUAAGAUUAGCUAAUAACUUCUAAAGAUUAGAUCUAUCAUUGCAAGCAAUUCAUAUCUAGAUGGAGAAUCUUCGUCAUCAUUUUCAUCAAUAUUAUCAGUUUCAAUAAUUUCAUUCUCUCUAGCCCUAGCAAGUUGUUCAUCAAAAAAUUCACCUAGUGGCACAAUAUUAUCAAGUAUAGAAGUAGUCAAGUAUCAUGCAUAACAGAAGUGUCAUCAUCGAUAACAUGCGACAUAUCAGAAUCAAUAGCAUGUGUAGGUGUCGCAAGUUUACUCAUAAUAGAAGGUGAAUCAAGUGCAGAGCUAGAUGACAGUUCCUUACCUCCCCUCGUAGUUGAGGGAUAGUUCUUCAUAGUGACCAGCUGAUAUAAAUCCCAAGUGACUCAAAGAAUAGAGCUAUGCUCCCCGGCAACGGCGCCAGAAAAUAGUCUUGAUAACCCACAAGUAUAGGGGAUCACAACAGUUUUUAGAGGGUAGAUUAUUCAACCCAAAUUUAUUAAUUUGACACAAGGGGAGCCAAAGAAUAUUCUCAAGUAUUAGCAGCUGAGUUGUCAAUUCAACCAUACCUGGAUAACUUAAUAUCUGCAGCAAAGUAUUUAUUAGCAAAGUAAUAUGAUAGUAGUGGUAAUGGUGGUAAAAGUAACGGUAGCAGUUUUGGUUUUAUAGUGAUUGUAACAGUAGCAACGGAAAAGUAAAUAAGCGAAGAAUAAUAUAUGAAAAGCUCGUAGGCAUUGGAUCGGCGAUGGAGAAUUAUGUCGGAUGCGAUCGAUCAUGUAACAGUCAUAACAUAGGGUGACACAGAACUAACUCCAGUUCAUCAAUAUAAUGUAGGCAUGUAUUCCGAAUAUAGUCAUACGUGCUUAUGGGAAAGAACUUGCAUGCCAUCUUUUGUCCUACCCUCCCGUAGCAGCGAGGUCCUAUUGGAAACUAAGGGAUAUUAAGGCCUCCUUUUAAGAGUAACAAACCAAAACAUUAACACAUAGUGAAUACAUGAACUCCUCGAACUACGGUCAUCACCGGGAGUGGUCCCGAUUAUUGUCACUUCGGGGUUGCCGGAUUAUAACACAUAGUAGGUGACUAUAGACUUGCAAGAUAGGAUUAAAAACUCACAUAUAUUCAUGAAAACAUAAUAGGUGACAAGCAUUAAGCAUAGCAAAGUCAUAGCAACAUCAAUCUCAGAACAUAGUGGAUACUAGGGAUCAAACCCUAACAAAACUAACUCGAUUACAUGAUAAAUCUCAUCCAACUCAUCACCGUCCAGCAAGCCUACGAUGAAAUUACUCAUGGAUGGCGGUGAGCAUCAUGAAAUUGGUGAUGAAAGAAGGUUGAUGAUGACGAUGGCGAUGGAUUCUCCUCUUCGGAGCCCCGAACGGACUCCAGAUCAGCCCUCCCGAGAGAGUUUAGGGCUUGACGGCGGCUCCGUAUCGUAAAACGCGAUAAAUCCUUCUCUCUGAUUUUUUUCUCCCUAAACACGAAUAUAUGGAGUUGGAGUUGAGGUCGGUGGAGCGUCAGGGGGCCCACGAGGCAGGGGGCGCACCUAGGGGGUAGGCGCGCCCCCACCCUCGUGGACAGGUUAUGGGCCCCCUGGCCUUGAUUCUUUCGCCAGUAUUUUUUUAUAUAUUCCAGAAAUAAUCUCCGUUGAUUUUCAGUUCAUUCCAAGAACUUUUAUUUAUACACAAAAAUAACACCAUGGCAAUUCUGCUGAAAACAACGUCAAUCCGGGUUAGUUCCAUUCAAAUCAUGCAAGUUAGAGUCCAAAACAAGGGCAAAAGUGUUUGAAAAAGUAGAUACGGCGGAGACGUAUCAGAUAUCUGGCCUGGGCUAGACGGGCCACAGUCCGCCCAGUUAAUACCUGCAGUGAUGUUUUCGUUGUUGUUUAGAGGAGAAAAUUUAAUAGCUGGGCUAAACAUCGCUGAAGAAGAACUCUGUAGUGCUCACACCUCAAAAACACAAAUACUGCUCGAGCUACUUGGUCCCAGUUGUCGACCGCUUCUUGUGCAAUUCUCUCAUUUAUUAACUACAUAGGUUGAUAAUGGUGUGGGACCGUGAUGUCAGGAAACCAGGAGGAAGCAAAAAAAUUGUAGUUUUAUAUACUAAUAAGGAGGCACUUGCGUACGUGCGGCUAUGGCCCUGGUGGGUCCCCAUUGUCAUCCUCUCCAAGUAAAGUCAUCUCCUCAUCCUCAUGUCCAUUGACCAUGUUGACAACGCGAGACGGCGGCGCCACGGCGAGUGCAACAACUCAAAGGACGAUGGAGAGGGCCUCGCGGGCCCUACGGAUGGUCUGAUACAGCGCCCGCUGCUCAUUCGGGAAGCCAGGAUCAUAGGGCCACAUGUCCGCGACAGCAUUGUUGUUCGCUUGUUCACCGGUGCUCGUUGAGCAGACGGAGGUUGCACCACAGGUCCUCCUGCGCUGAUAGCUCUUCCGUCAUUAGGGCGUCGAAGUGUGGCCGCACCUGCUCUAUGGUGAACACGGCAUGAACCGGCUUGGACAGUGGCGCCGGCUCCUGGUCGGAAGCUACAUCCAUCGUCUGAUUGUCGUCGCUCAGCUCAGCGAGUUAGCUGGCGAGCCAGCAUGUCCGGCUGCUGGACCGACCCGCUGCCAAGCACGAGUCUGACUGCCCUGGCCCACCCAGACCGCCUCCCUCGCCUGCGCGCGCUUUCCGCCCAAAACGAUCAGCGCCGCCCGCCCCGCUUCCCGGUGCAGGCAAUUGCUCCGCCUUCCAACGACACAAGUGUCGUCCAUCCGUCCUUCUGCCGCCCACAUUAAUGAUAUGCGGUUGCCGAGGCGGCUACUCUGGCGCCACACGCCCGUCCCUCCGCCGCCCACCAUUGCUAUAUAAACUGUUGCGCCGGCCAUAGCCGUAGUCAUCUGCAUCCGUUCCCUUUCUCCUGUCCACACCACUAUUGCCCACCAUGGCUUCCUCGCACUCCAGCGCUCUUCGAGAUGGGCGGACGACGUACCACAAGGAGAUGGCAGCCAUUAUUGCCGACUGGCUGGCCGGCAGGCAGCCGAAGGAUGACGACGUCCCAAUGGAGAAGAUGGUAGUCGACGAUCCGGCGCCAACCCCCUCCUCCGCGCCAUCCUUGCCGGUGCAUUGCACCAUGACCAUCGGCGAGGCCCGUGCCCAAUAUAUGGACACGGUGAGGCAGAAGCGUGAGGAGCAGUUCCGGGAGGCACAGUCCGACGCCGCCUACAACCACCAUCUCCUUCAGGAGCACCUGCAGGCGGAGGAGCAGAUCACCGUGGAGCAGGCGGAGCAGGAGGCGCUACUCGACUCGUACCGCUCCGCCCGCGAGGGCCGCCUCGAGCGCUGGCGGUACCGCAUGCGGGUGGCGGAGGCUGCGACAGCCUACAAAGAGGGCGAUGAAGCGGGCGAGGCGCUGUUUGGCGAGACCGAGGACGAGGCAGAGGACAAUGCUGGCUCCGAUAAGUCCCCGCUCCGCUGGCGUCGAUGAGGCCCUGCUCCACCGAGGCCCCGCGGCGCCAACAACGAGGCAGAGGACAUCGGCGGCUCCGCCGAGGCCCCGCAACACCAACAACGAGCUAGAGGACACUGCCGGCUCCGCCGAGGCCCCACCCUGCCGGCAACGAGGGGGAGGAUUUCCCCGCUCCGCUGAGGCGCCGCCCGCCGACAAUGAGACAGAGGACAUCGCCGGCUCCUCCGAGGCCCCGUCCCGCUGCCAACGAGGCCGCGCCAUACAAAAAACAAGGAAGAGUAGAACACGGUAGGUCGCCGUCGCUCGGGUCCAAGUAAGGCCACCCCUGCUACCCGCAACUAUCCUUCGGUUGCUGGCACUGAGUUGUACAUCAUGGAGCAAUUCUAUGAUUACAGGAUGAUUGAAGACCGCUCCGUGGUUGAGCAAGUUCAUGAGAUACAGUCAUUUGCUAGAGAACUUGAGCACUUAAGUUGUAUGCUACCGGACACAGGUGGGUAGCUUCCGUUAAUUAAUUAUACAUCCAGCGCACCCUUUUUAGUUGAAGAAUGUAUGAAAUAUAAUGAAAUCCGGCAUGUUUAUAUGAAAUCUGACCGUGUAUGAAUGAAUUUAUUUCGAUUAGUUCAAAUUCUUGUAUCACUGGCAUUGGAUGAACAUGCAAAACAAUGCGUACUAGCAUUAUUCCUAGGGUGAUCACCUCAUUUGCAGCAGUUUCACAUGUACUCCCUCCGGUCCAUUCUAGUCUGCAUACAAGUUUUGUCUGCAGUCAAAGUAUCUCUACUUUGACCAAUCUUAUAGAAAAAAGUAUGCACUUCACGAUGUGCGAAGUAAAAAGGAACAGAAGGAGCACAAAGAGUUUGAGCAGCUUUUUAGCGUUUCUGUACAUUGCAAUCAAACACACAAGCCUGGCAAUUCAUAGAGAACAUUCAAAACAAUCGAUGGUUAUGAAGGAAAUAUGCCCUAGAGGUAAUAAUAAAGUUAUUAUAUAUUUCCUUAUAUCAUGAUAAAUGUUUAUUAUUCAUGCUAGAAUUGUAUUAAUCGGAAACAUAAUACAUGUGUGAAUACAUAGACAAACAGAGUGUCACUAGUAUGCCUCUACUUGACUAGCUCGUUGAUCAAAGAUGGUUAUGUUUCCUAACCAUAGACAUGAGUUGUCAUUUGAUUAAUGGGAUCACAUCAUUAGGAGAAUGAUGUGAUUGACUUGACCCAUUCCGUUAGCAUAGCACUUGAUCGUUUAGUUCGUUGCUAUUGCUUUCUUCAUGACUUAUACAUGUUCCUAUGACUAUGAGAUUAUGCAACUCCCGUUUACCGGAGGAACACUUUGUGUGCUACCAAACGUCACAACGUAACUGGGUGAUUAUAAAGGUGCUCUACAGGUGUCUCCGAAGGUACUUGUUGGGUUGGUGUAUUUCGAGAUUAGAAUUUGUCACUCCGAUUGUCAGAGAGGUAUCUCUGGGCCCUCUCGGUAAUGCACAUCACUUAAGCCUUGCAAGCAUUGCAACUAAUGAGUUAGUUGCGGGAUGAUGUAUUACGGAACGAGUAAAGAGACUUGCUGGUAAUGAGAUUGAACUAGGUAUUGAGAUACCGACGAUCGAAUCUCGGGCAAGUAACAUACUGAUGACAAAGGGAACAACGUAUGUUGUUAUGUGGUCUGACCGAUAAAGAUCUUCGUAGAAUAUGUGGGAGCCAAUAUGAGCAUCCAGGUUCUUCUAUUGGUUAUUGACCGGAGACGUAUCUCGGUCAUGUCUACAUUGUUCUCGAACCCGUAGGGUCCGCAUGCUUAAGGUUUCGAUGACAGUUAUAUUAUGAGUUUAUGAGUUUUGAUGUACCGAAGGAGUUCGGAGUCCCGGAUGAGACCGGGGACAUGACGAGGAGUCUCGAAAUGGUCGGGACAUAAAGAUCGAUAUAUUGGACGACUAUAUUCGGACAUCGGAAAGGUUCCGAGUGAUUCGGGUAUUUUUCGGAGUACCGGAGAGUUACGGGAAUUCGCCGGGGAGUAUAUGGGCCUUAUUGGGCCAUAUGGGAAUAGAGGAGAGAGGCCAAAAGGAAGGAGGCGCCCCCCCCCUCUGGUCCGAAUUGGACAAGGGGUGCAGCCCACUUUUCCUUGUUCCUCUCCCCUUCUUUCCUUCUCUCCUACUCCAACAAGGGAAGGAUGAGUCCUACUCCCGGUGGGAGUAGGACUCCCCCCUUGGCGCGCCCUCCUCCUAGGCCGGCCACCUCUCCCCUUGCUCCUUUAUAUACAUGGGCAGGGGGGCACCUCUAGACACACAAGUUGAACAAGUUGAUCAGUUGAUCUCUCCCAGCCAUGUGCGGUGCCCCCCUCCACCAUAUUUCACCUCGGUCAUAUCGUAGCGGUGCUUAGGUGAAGCCCUGCGUCGGUAGCAACAUCAUCACCGUCACCACGCCGUCGUGCUGACGGAACUCUCCCGUGAAGCUCUGCUGGAUCGGAGUUCGCGGGAUGUCAUCGAGCUGAACGUGUGCUGAACUCGGAGGUGCCGUGCGUUCGGUACUUGGAUCGGUGGGAUCGUGAAGACGUACAACUACAUCAACCGCGUUGUGCUAACGCUUCCGCUUUCGGUCUAUGAGGGUACGUGGACAACAUUCUCCCCUCUCGUUGCUAUGCAUCACCAUGAUCUUGCGUGUGCGUAGGAUUUUUUUUGAAAUUACUACGUUCCCCAAUAGUGGUAACAGAGCCAGGUUUUAUGCGUUGAUGUUAUGCACGAGUAGAACACAAGUGAGUUGUGGGCGAUAUAAGUCAUACUACUUACCAGCAUGUCAUACUUUGGUUCGGCGGUAUUGUUGGAUGAAACGGCCCGGACCGACAUUACGCGUAUGCUUACGCGAGACUGGUUCUACCGACGUGCUUUGCACACAGGUGGCUGGCGGGUGUCAGUUUCUCCAACUUUAGUUGAACCGAGUGUGGCUACGCUCGGUCCUUGCGAAGGUUAAAACAGCACCAACUUGACAAACUAUCGUUGUGGUUUUGAUGCGUAGGUAAGAACGGUUCUUACUCAGCCUGUAGCAGCCACGUAAAACUUGCAACAACAAAGUAGAGGACAUCUAACUUGUUUUUGCAGGGCAUGUUGUGAUGUGAUAUGGUCAAGACAUGAUGCUAAAUUUUAUUGUAUGAGAUGAUUAUGUUUUGUAACCGAGUUAUCGGCAACUGGCAGGAGCCAUAUGGUUGUCGCUUUAUUGUAUGCAAUGCAAUCGCGCUGUAAUGCUUUACUUUAUCACUAAGCGAUAGCGAUAGUCGUGGAAGCAUAAGAUUGGCGAGAAGACAAUGAUGCUACGAUGGAGAUCAAGGUGUCGCGCCGGUGACGAUGGUGAUCAUGACGGUACUUCGGAGAUGGAGAUCACAAGUACAAGAUGAUGAUGGCCAUAUCAUAUCACUUAUAUUGAUUGCAUGUGAUGUUUAUCUUUUUUGCAUCUUAUCUUGCUUUGAUUGACGGUAGCAUUAUAAGAUGAUCCCUCACUAAAUUAUCAAAGUAUAAGUGUUCUCCCUAAGUAUGCACCGUUGCGAAAGUUCUUCAUGCUGAGACACCACGUGAUGAUCGGGUGUGAUAGGCUCUACGUUCAAAUACAAUGGGUGCAAAACAGUUGCACACGCGGAAUACUCAGGUUAAACUUGACGAGCCUAGCAUAUAACAGAUAUGGCCUCGGAACACGGAGACCGAAAGGUCGAGCGUGAAUCAUAUAGUAGAUAUGAUCAACAUAGUGAUGUUCACCAUUGAAACUACUCCAUCUCACAUGAUGAUCGGACAUGGUUUAGUUGAUCUGGAUCACGUGAUCACUUAGAGGAUUAGAGGGAUGUCUAUCUAAGUGGGAGUUCUUAAGUAAUAUGAUUAAAUUGAACUUAAAUUUAUCAUGAACUUAGUCCUGAUAGUAUUUUUCAAAUCAUGUUGUAGAUCAAUAGCUCGCGUUGUUGCUUCCCUGUGUUUAAUUUUUAUAUGUUCCUAGAGAAAACUAAGUUGAAAAAUGUUAGUAGCAAUGCUGCGGAUUGGAUCCGUGAUCUGAGGAUUAUCCUCAUUGCUGCAUAGAAGAAUUAUGUCCUUGAUGCACCGCUAGGUGAUAGACCUAUUGCAGGAGCAGAUGCAGACGUUCUGAACGUUUGGCUAGAUCAAUAUGAUGACUACUUGAUAGUUUAGUGCACCAUGCUUAUCGGCUUAGAAUCGGGACUUCAAAGGCGUUUUUAACGUCAUGGAACAUAUGAGAUGUUCCAGGAGUUGAAGUUAAUAUUUCAAGCAAAUACCCGAGUUGGGAGAUAUGAAGUAUCCAACAAGUUCUAUAGCUAAAAGAUGGAGGAGAAUGGCUCAAGCAGUGAGCAUGUGCUCAGAUUGUCUGGGCACUACAAUCGCUUGAAUCAAAUGGGAGUUAAUAUUCCAGAUAAAAUAGUGAUUGACAAAAUUCUCUAGUCACCAUCACCAAGUUAGUAGAACUUCGUGAUGAACUAUGAUAUGCAAGGGAUAACGGAAACGAUUCCCAAGCUCUUCGUAAUGCUGAAAUCGACGAAGGUAGAAAUCAAGAAAAAUAUCAAGUGUUGAUGGUAGACAAGACCACUAGUUUCAAGAAAAGGGCAAAGGGAAGAAGGGGAACGUCAAGAAGAACGACAAGCAAGUUGCUGCUCAAGUGAAGAAGCCCAAGUCUGGUCCUAAGCCUGAGACUAAGUGCUUCUACUGCAAAGGGACUGGUCACUGGAAGCGGAACUGCCCCAAGUAUUUGGCGGAUAAGAAGGAUGGCAAAGUGAACAAAGGUAUAUUUGAUAUACAGAUUACUGAUGUGUAUUUUACUAGUGUUCGUAGAAAUCCCUCGGUAUUUGAUACUGGUUCAGUUGCUAAGAGUAGUAACUUGAAAUGGGAGUUGCAGAAUGAACAUAGAAUAGUUAAGGGUGAAGUGACGAUGUGUGUUGGAAGUGGUUCCAAGAUUGAUAUAAUCAUCAUCGCACACUCCCUAUACUUUUGGGAUUAGUGUUGAACCUAAAUAAGUGUUAUUUGGUGUUUGCGUUGAGCAUGAAUAUGAUUUGAUCAUGUUUAUUGCAAUACGGUUAUUCAUUUAAGUAAGGGAAUAAAUUGUUGUUCUGUUUACAUGAAUAAAACCUUAUAUGGUUACACACCCAAUGAAAAUGGUUCAUUGGAUCUGGAUCGUAGUGAUACACAUAUUCAUAAUAUUGAAACCAAAAGAUGCAAAGUUAAUAAUGACGGUGCAACUUAUUUGUGGCACUACCGUUUAGGUCAUAUUGGUGUAAAGCGCAUGAAGAAAAUCCAUGCUGAUGGGCUUUUGGAAUCACUUGAUUAUGAAUCAGUUGAUGCUUGCGAACCAUGCCUCAUGGGCAAGAUGACUAAGACUCCAUUCUCCGGAACAAUGGAGCGAGCAACAGAUUUGUUGGAAAUCAUACAUACUAAUGUAUGUGGUCCGAUGAAUAUUGAGGCUCGCGGCAGGUAUCAUUAUUUUCUGAUCUUCACAAAUGAUUUGAGCAGAUAUGAGUAUAUCUACUUGAUGAAACACAAGUCUGAAACAUUUGAAAAAGUUCGAAGAAUUUCAGAGUGAAGUGGAGAAUCAUUGUAACAAAAAUAAAAGUUUCUACGAUAUGAUCGCAGAAGUAAAAUAUUCGAGUUACGAGUUUGGCCUUCAGUUAAAAACAAUGUGAAAUAGUUUCACUACUCACGCCACCUGGAACACCACAAUGUAAUGGUGUAUCCAAACGUCGUAAUCGUACUUUAUUAGAUAUGGUGCGAUCUAUGAUGUCUCUUACCAAUUUACCACUAUCGUUUUGGGGUUAUGCAUUAGAGACAACUGCAUUCACGUUAAAUAGGGCACCAUCUAAAUCCGUUGAGACGACGCAGUAUGAACUAUGGUUUGGCAAGAAACCAAAGUUGUCGUUUCUUAAAAUUUGAGGUUGCAAUGCUUAUGUGAGAAAGUUUCAACCUGAUAAGCUCAAACCCAAAUCAGAGAAGUGCGUCUUCAUAGGAUACCCAAAAGAAAAUGUUGGGCACACCUUCUAUCACAGAUCCGAAGGCAAGAUAUUUGUUGUUUUGAAUGGAUCCUUUCUAUAAAAGGAGUUUCUCUCGAAAGAAGUGAGUGGGAGGAAAGUAGAACUUGAUGAGGUAACUGUACCUGCUCCCUUAUUGGAAAGUAGUUCAUCACAUAAAUAUGUUCCUGUGACUACUACACCAAUUAGUGAGGAAGCUAAUGACGAUGAUCAUGUAACUUCAGAUCAAGUUGCUACCGAACCUCGUAGGUAAACCAGAGUGAGAUCCGCACCAGAGUGGUAUGGUAAUCCUGUUCUGGAGGUCAUGUUACUUGACCAUGAUGAGCCUACGAACUAUGAGGAAGCGAUGAUGAGCCCAGAUUCCGUGAAAUGGCUUGAGGCCAUGAAAUCUGAGAUGAGAUCCAUGUAUGAGAACAAAGUAUGGACUUUGGUUGACUUACCCAAUGAUCGGCGAGCCAUUGAGAUUAAAUGGAUCUUCAAGAGGAAGACGAACGCUGAUAGUAGUGUUACUAUCUACAAAGCUAGAAUUGUCGCAAAAAGGUUUUCGACAAGUUCAAGGUGUUGACUACGAUGAGAGUUUCUCACUCAUAUCUAUGCUUAAGUAUGUUCGAAUCAUGUUAGCAAUUGCCGCAUUUUAUGAAAUCUGGCAAAUGGAUAAACAAAACUGCAUUCCUUAAUGGAUUUAUUAAAGUUGUAUAUGAUGCAACCAGAAGGUUUUGUCAAUCCUAAAGGUACUAACAAAAUAUGCAAGCUCCAGCGAUCCAUCUAUGGACUGGUGCAAGCAUCUCAGAGUUGGAAUAUACGCUUUGAUAAGUUGAUCAAAGCAUAUAGUGUUAUACAGACUUGUGGUGAAGCCUAUAUUUAUAAGAAAGUGAGUGGGAGCACUACAACAUUUCUGAUAAGUAUAUGUGAAUGACAUAUUGUUGAUCGGAGAUAAUGUAGAAUUAUUCUACAAAGCAUAAAGGAAUGUUUGAAAGGAUUUUUUCAAAGAAAGACCUCGGUGAAGCUGCGUACAUAUUGAGCAUCAAGAUCUAUAGAGAUAGAUCAAUACGCUUGAUAAGUUUUUUCAACGAGUACAUACCUUGACAAGAUUUUGAAGUAGUUCAAAAUGGAAUAGUCAAAGAAGGAGUUCUUGCCUGUGUUACAAGGUGUGAAGUUGAGUAAGACCCAAAAACCCGACCACGGCAGAAGAUAGAGAGAGAAUGAAAGUCAUUCCCUAUGCCUCAGCCAUAGGUUCUAUAAAGUAUGCCAUGCUGUGUGCCAGACCUAUUGUAUACUCUGCCCUGAGUUUGGCAAGGGAGUACAAUAGUGAUCUAGGAGUAGAUCACUGGACAUUGGUCAAAAUUAUCCUUAGUGGAACAAGGAUAUGUUUCUCGAUUAUGGAGGUGACAAAAGGUUCGUCGUAAAGGGUUACGUUGAUGCAAGUUUUGACACUGAUCCAGAUGACUCUAAGUCUCAAUCUGGAUACAUAUUGAAAGUGGGAGCAAUUAGCUAGAGUAGCUCCGUGCAGAGCAUUGUUGACAUAGAAAUUUGCAAAAUACGUACGGAUCUGAAUAUGGCAGACCCAUUGACUAAACUUCUCUCACAAGCAAAACAUGAUCACACCUUAGUACUCUUUGGGUGUUAAUCACAUAGCGAUGUGAACUAGAUUAUUGACUCUAGUAAACCCUUUAGGUGUUAGUCACAUGUCGAUGUGAACUAUGGGUGUUAAUCACAUGGUGAUGUGAACUAUUGGUAUUAAAUCACAUGGUGAUGUGAACUAGAUUAUUGACUCUAGUGCAAGUGGGAGACUGAAGGAAAUAUGCCCUAGAGGCAAUAAUAAAGUUAUUAUAUAUUUCCUUAUAUCAUGAUAAAUGUUUAUUAUUCAUGCUAGAAUUGUAUUAACCGGAAACAUAAUACAUGUGUGAAUACAUAGACAAACAGAGUGUCACUAGUAUGCCUCUACUUGACUAGCUCGUUGAUCAAAGAUGGUUAUGUUUCCUAACCAUAAACAUGAGUUGUCAUUUGAUUAACGGGAUCACAUCAUUAGGAGAAUGAUGUGAUUGACUUGACCCAUUCCGUUAGCAUGGCACUUGAUCGUUUAGUUUGUUGCUAUUGCUUUCUUCAUGACUUAUACAUGUUCCUAUGACUAUGAGAUUAUGCAACUCCCGUUUACCGGAGGAACACUUUGUGUGCUACCAAACAUCACAACGUAACUGGGUGAUUAUAAAGGUGCUCUACAGGUGUCUCCGAAGGUACUUUUUGGGUUGGCGUAUUUCGAGAUUAGAAUUUGUCACUCCGAUUGUCAGAGAGGUAUCUCUGGGCCCUCUCGGUAAUGCACAUCACUUAAGCCUUGCAAGCAUUGCAACUAAUGAGUUAGUUGCGGGAUGAUGUAUUACGGAACGAGUAAAGAGACUUGCUGGUAACGAGAUUGAACUAGGUAUUGAGAUACCGAUGAUCGAAUCUCGGGCAAGUAACAUACCGAUGACAAAGGGAACAACGUAUGUUGUUAUGCGGUCUGACCGAUAAAGAUCUUCGUAUAAUAUGUGGGAGCCAAUAUGAGCAUCCAAGUUCCGCUAUUGGUUAUUGACCAGAGACGUAUCUCGGUCAUGUCUACAUUGUUCUCGAACCCAUAGGGUCCGCACGCUUAAGGUUUCGAUGACAGUUAUAUUAUGAGUUUAUGAGUUUUGAUGUACCGAAGGAGUUCGGAGUCUCGGAUGAGAUCGGGGACAUGACGAGGAGUCUCAAAAUGGUCGAGACGUAAAGAUCGAUAUAUUGGACAACUAUAUUCGGACAUCGGAAAGGUUCCAAGUGAUUCGGGUAUUUUUCGGAGUACCGGAGAGUUACGGGAAUUCGCCGGGGAGUAUAUGGGCCUUAUUGGGCCAUACGGGAAUAGAGGAGAGAGGCCAAAAGGAAGGAGGCACGCGCCCCCCUCUGGUCCGAAUUGGACAAGGGGUGCAACCCACUUUUCCUUGUUCCUCUCCCCCUCUUUCCUUCUCUCCUACUCCAACAAGGGAAGGAGGAGUCCUACUCCCGGUGGGAGUAGGACUCCCCCCUUGGCGCGCCCUCCUCCUAGGCCGGCCACCUCUCCCCUUGCUCCUUUAUAUACAUGGGCAGGGGGGCACCUCUAGACACACAAGUUGAACACGUUGAUCUCUCCCAGCCGUGUGCGGUGCCCCCCUCCACCAUAUUCCACCUCGGUCAUAUCGUAGCGGUGCUUAGGAGAAGCCCUGCGUCGGUAGCAACGUCAUCACCGUCACCACGCCGUCGUGCUGACGGAACUCUCCCGUGAAGCUCUGCUGGAUCGGAGUUCGCGGGACGUCAUCGAGCUGAACGUGUGCUGAACUCGGAGGUGCUGUGUGUUCGGUACUUGGAUCGGUCGGAUCGUGAAGACGUACGACUACAUCAACCGCGUUGUGCUAACGCUUCCGCUUUCGAUCUACGAGGGUACGUGGACAACACUCUCCCCUCUCGUUGCUAUGCAUCACCAUGAUCUUGCAUGUGCGUAGGAAUUUUUUUGAAAUUACUACGUUCCCCAAUAGGUUAUGCAUCUCAGUGAUUCACAUGCCAGAGCCAAUAUUUACUUCACAACUACAGAAUAAAUAAAAAAUGGAUUGACGCUGCUGACAGCAAAGGGUGUCCCAUUUGAAAAUAUCAAACGCAUGUCUUCUUGCUAAAAUCAAUGUGCAAAAUUUGACAAGGUUGUCCCAUUCCAAAAUAUCAAAUGCGUACGAUUGUGGAACGGGCAGGGUUUGCCAUUAGUUUGGACAUUGACAUGGCACCUCGUGCUAAAUAAACCAGCUGUUCUUCUUGUGUAGUUUCACCAAAAUUAACCAAAUUUGCUCGGCACCUCCUUUCUUGUGGUGGAAAUGAAUGAUUCGGUGUAUUCAUGAACAUUUUGUGUAGUUCCCAUUGAAAUCAAGCUGAGCACCCCUAUUUGCACAAAUACAAGAAAAGUGAUUAGUAUAAAGCAACUGUACUAUGAAUUGACAGUUUAAACAGGCACCUACAUGGUCCAUGUAGAGCACACUUUUAGAAAAAUGGAACUCAUCAGAAAGAAUCCUAGAACAACAUUGUACUCGCGCAUCGCAGCAAGAAAAUGGAGAUUUGUCGGUCCUUCUGAGAUGAAGUUAGUUUGGUCUUGUGGGGGGUAAUGUAACCAUCCUUCAACUGCUCCUUCUGAUGAGAAGAUAGGCAGUGCUUCUUCAUCCUGGCAUAAUCGGAACUAGUCACUUCACGUACUCCAUAUUCUUCUUCAGAGGAGGAUGAUCCUGUUGUGCAAAGACAAGAGAACAACUAAAUGCUAGCAUCCCUGUUUGCUCAAAAAAAGGAAAGGAAAUAUUUAGGGGCUGUUUGGUUUGAGACUAAGUUUGCCAAAGCUUGCCACACCUAAGGUUAGGCAAGUUUGACCAAUUUAGGUGUGUGUUUGGUUCAAGCCACAUUUUAGGCAAGCCACACUAUGGCCCCACGUCACAUACACACAAAAAGUGUGGCAAGAUUCCCUUAGGCUUGCCAAAUUGUGGCUCUCAUUUUAAAGAACUAACCUUAGGCAAGUUUGGUAACAUUUGUAUGGCAAAGUGUGGCACUCUUAGGCCUAGAACCAAACAACACCUUAAAAUAGCACAGAUGAAGCACUUCUCAAGGACAAUACCACUUUUUGAUGACAAUAUCUAAACAGUAGCACAACACCAAUAGAGAUGACAAAGCUUAAUCAUAUGGAUGAAAUCAGUGGGCGAGUACCAACCUUUGUCAGGAGGCUUAUUGUGUAGAGCAUACAGAUGAAGCAUUUCUCCGGAAUCAUCUAUUGCUAUCUACUGUGGUGGCCAUGCUUACUAUAUACUCCUCGAUUAGUUUAAUGUUUCCAACAUCUUCUUGUGCAGUUCCACUAAAAUAUAUGGUAUCUUCAAAGAAGAUCCCUGUUUGCACAAGUAGAGAUAAUUGCGUAUUACAUUAAUAGUGGCAUCAAAUCAGUGGCAAAACAAUUGCUUGUUCCAGCCAUAGCAAUAAAUUAAGAUGCAAAACUAUAUCAUUACUUGUGUCAUCACAGUUCCAAUGCUUCAUUACAACACCGAGAGUUGAUUUUUGUUUUUCUUCCGCUUGUUCUUCCCCUUCAUCACUUGGUUCAAUAACAGACAAGCUUCGCCUUCAAUGUAAGAUUUGGCAUGUCAAUUAGGUUGCACAAGUAUAGCAAUGAAAGUGACAAAAUAUAGGCCAACAGUUGUGAAAUAUCCUUAUCUUAUCUCAAUGGGAUAUUACGGUGCACAUACAGAUUGGAAGUCUUGUCUCCAUUUGUGUAGUUCACUAAAAUCAAGCAACAUUACCGUACAAGUAGCACAACAUAUGAAAGCACACUGCAGAAUCAUGUGAAAUAAGGCUAGUAUUGACCUCUCAUGACAUGGAAUUCAAACAACUCACACGAAGAAGAUCUGAACCAAAUUUGCCAACACAGAUAGGAAGUAAGAUCUCCUCUUGUGCAGUUCCACUAAGAUCAAGCAAUCAAGCAACGUUGUCGGUGUGACAUUUUGGUUGAAUUGCACAAAACACUCUUAAAACAAAAGUGUUUUGUGCAGUGCAACAAAAGGUCACAAUGGCAACGAGGUGAAGUAGAUAACCAUGUUUACACAGAGGUGCAAAGGAAACAACUAGUGGUCAAUAACGAUGGAUGACACAAAAGCCAACAAAAAGAAGCAUCUACCUUAUCUAAACGGGAAAGAAAGCAAGACAGUAGCAUUUCUCAAACGAUGGCAUUGAUUAAUAUUAAUAGAGAGAUUAUAUUAAUAAUAAAAUUCGUUAAACAUGUAAUUUGCUUUUAACUAUGACAUUGCAUCAAUUUUCCAGCGGCAUUAUUAGAGGGUGUUUGUUUACAGGGACAUUUUGGUGGAGGGACUAAAAAAACUCCGUGUCAGUCCCAUCUAAACCAAACAAGGGGGACUUUUAGGGACUAAAAGUGGGCAUUUGGGACUAAAGAAAGAAGACCCUGCCACGGAUCGCACCUUGUCUCUAUUAGUUCAUUACUAGGGGUAACAUGGUCUUUUAGCAUGUCAUUUAAUAACCUCUAUUCCAUGUUUAGUCCCUGGAACCAAGCAUGCAGGGACUAGGGAGUUUUUAACCAAACAGGGCGUUAGAUUAACAACAACUAAAGAGUUGCGCGGAACAGUGGACGCACUAGCACCAUGUGCAUCUACCGAUGUACUGGGGUGAUGCACAGUCUGUUGCAACAAAGAACAAACAACCAAGGAGCAUAUUUGUGUUGGUCCCAGUUUUGUUAUCUUUAGACACCUUUCCCUAUGUGAGUGCAGCAAAUUUAGUCCUGCUCAAACUCUAUGGCCUUGUCCCCAAAAACAAAAGAUCAGUUCGUUAUAGAUGUGCAUACUGUGUUUGUCAUUGUUUUCCCUUUUCGACCAACGUAGGUGCUGGAUAGCCAGUCUGUACUAGUACUUUCCCCCUUCCUUUCCUCUUUGAACCACGUCCUAGAUUUAUGCUAUACAACUUCCCCCCAUUCCUUUCCUCUUUGAACCACAUCUUACAUUCAUGCGAUACAACUUUCCCCCUUCCUUUCCUUUUUGAACCACGUCCUAGAUUCAUGCUAUACAACUUUUCCCACUACUUUCCCCCAUUCCUUUCCUCUUUGAACCACAUCCUAGAUUCAUGGUAUACAACUUUCCCCACUACUUUCUUGUUUGAUCCAACACCUAGAUUCAAGUGCAGAAGCGGAAAAGGCCCACAUGCAGCUAGAGUAAUGCAUGUGGAAUAAGUAAAUUAUACCUUAAGGUUCUUGGGGUGUGGUUCGGUGGGCGAUCGGAGGCCGUUCGGCCCACAAUAUGUACGACGGUGAAGAAGAAGGGGUCGGAGGCCCUCCCGCUCCGCCGCUGGGUGAAAGUGAACAGCUGCGCUGGUAGUGGAUUCCCUCCCUCGUCGACGGCGACAGCGUUAAGCCUCCUUCCCUUCUCGACGGACGGAUCCUGCCGGCUCUUUGACCAACAGUGAGGGGGGAGAGAGAGAGAGGCCAACGAAGUCUUGUUUAGAUCUGGAGAGGGUGAGAGAGUGUGAAGAGAGCAACUACAAGCAGACCAGCAGUGAGGGGAGAGAGAGAGGCCAACGAAGUCUUGUUUAGAUCUGGAGAGGGUGAGAGAGUGUGAAGAGAGCAACUACAAGCAGACCAUCAGUGAGGGGAGAGAGAGAGAGGCCAACGAAGUCUUGUUUAGAUCUGGAGAGGGUGAGAGAGUGUGAAGAGAGCAACUACAAACGCUGACGCUCCAGCGUGUAUAUAUAUACUGGAGAGAGUGUGAAGAGUGCAAACCCUAGAAAACAAGAGCCGAGGCUGCAGCUGAUCGUAUAGCUCCGUAUCCAUCCAUUUUGAGCAGUCAAAGAAUCCUCCUGGCAGGAAUUAUGCUCAAGUGUAGUUAUUGAACCCGAGACCUCAAGUUUGAUGAGCGAACAGGCUAACCAGCUCCAGUUAUGUUCAGCGAGAGGAAAAUAACCUUUUAUACAUUCCUGCAUUCAUGUGACAAGCAUGCCGUGUUUUUUUGUGGGAGUCAUUGGGAUUUAAAUCAUAAUCAUGUGGCUUUGGUGGUAAGACUAUCCAUAGUGGUGCGGAAAUAAUGCAGCCUUAGUCACCUUACCUCUCUCCACGUAGUAUGUUGGGUCCCACCAGUCAGAGGGUGAAACAAACAAAUUAAAAAAAAUUAAAAGCGCGAGCGUUGUAUCUUACCUCACACAUCUCGCUACUGCUCGGGAACACUGUCCAAUUGAUCCCUCUGUUCGCUCACGUACUAUUUUAAGUGAAUCCUUAUUAUAACAUGCACACAAGUUUGGGCACUUGUAUUUGACCUAAGUCAGUGUGCCACCAUAUCUCAUAUGACUCCCCCCGUCUAGGUGUAAUAAGUCACGUUAGAAGGUGCAGCGGGACCAAGGUGCAAGCAGAUUGGAGGAGAAGGAGAAACUUGACUGGUCAUUCCUCCAAUCAAAGCCCUGAUUUCUGUCUCUAAAUGCAACAAUUAACCCAAACAACUAAGAGAUGUUGUUUUAGCUACCAAUGCAGGGCCACGUAUUAACUCGCAUGCAAGCCGACUUUGAUUUCUUGACUGAUCAAUGCGUAGUUGCGCUUCAUGCAUUGGGUUUCCGGGGGAGAUAACAAGGCAGAGUAAGGAGCGUUUGGUUACAUUGCUUAGGCUGGUCAUAGUGGUGAGUAACUUGGACUAGUAACAUGCAUAUGUUACUAGUCUAUGUUACUACUACGUGAAGUUUGCCGUCGGAAGCGAGCCGAUCUGGCUCUCCUGAGCUAGCAAGGUUUUUCUAGCCCACCCAAGCUAGCUGGCCCACAAAAGCUAACAUAUUUUAACAGUUCGAAAUGCCUAACCUUGCCCAGCUAUGCUAUAAGCUGUUCUUGCUAAGGAGCCAAAUGCUCCCUAGGUAACAACGCUCGCUAGCAACGAGGCCAGGAGGGGAUUGAGAUGCGAAGUUAAUGGAUGAUGCCUAAACAUUUUGGGAAUAUCUGAUUUCCGUAAGAUGACUUAACACCUAGACGGAGGGAGUACUACUCCUCAGUCCAGGUUUGAUGGAAUAUUCGUCACCUCUUCGCUUCUUGUACAUACUCCAUUUGUAUCUCACUUCCUAUGGGUUCGCACUCGCACGAUUUCCCCAUUCUAUGAACCUGUGUGUGCGUGUGCGUGCGUGUGUGUGUGUGUGUGUGUUUAACAGCGCGUGUGUGUUAGAGAGAGCGACAGAUCGACCUACUCCUACAAAGAGAUAGUGCGUAGUGUACGAUUUUAGCAGCGAGAGUCGGUGCAUCCUCUUGUUUCCGGGCGUCCGGUAGGGACAGGCGGACAGCUGCCACGCCCACUCCUGACCAGCCUGGCCCACCCAAAGCCCCUUCAUCGCCUGUGUGCGCUUCCUGCCCAGAACGGUCAGCGCCGCUCCACAGAAUCGGUGCCGCAUUCAUGCCCUGGCAGAGCGGACGCGACCUCUCACUGGCACCUGUGUUGAAGGGAGAAGCGGAUUCAAGGGUGGUGGUUGCUUCGUCCGUCCAACUUACUGCUGGGUCUAUGUGAUUUGACGGCUCAUUGGUCAUUAUUACUGAGGUGGUAGGACUGCUGGAUGUCCCACGCUUUCGGCGAAAGGAGGUACUACUAGAUUACAAUUUUCUCCAUUCUUACGGCGGAGGAGUGCAAGAGCAGUGAAAACACGUAGGCUCAGUGAUUACAUGGCCCACCUCACACUAUCACCAUAUUUUCUAAACACCAUGCGACACCUAACUCUUUACAUAGUACUCCCUCCGUUCCUAAAUAUAAAGUCUUUGUAGAGAUUUCACUAGGUGGACUACAUACGGAACAAAAUGAAUGAAUCUACACUUAAAAUGCAUCUAUAUACAUUUGCAUGUGGUUCAUGGUGAAAUCUCUACAAAGACUUAUAUUUAAGAAUGGAGGAAGUACUAGUAUAGUACGUACUGUAAUUUAUCAGGGAGAUAGUACAAUGCUAUGAAGCUUCCAGCUUCUGUUACAUGUAUCUUGCGUCCAAGGUUGCCUGUUGCAACAUUUCAUCAAAUAAAAAGGAGACUAACAUGCAUGCUAUUGCAUCUCAAUGAUUGACAGAUCAUAGCAAAUAUGUACUCCCUCCAUUCCAAAAUAAGUGUGUCAACUUUACUAGCAAAAGAGCCCGUGCGUUGCAAUGGGAGAGAAAACAUAACACACGCUCUUAACUCAACAACCAUCACUCAAGACCACAAUAGGUCCAUCUCCUUUAUUUUUGCGUGGCAUCAUAUUUGUGUUGCCACUUAUCCUCCUUCUCACCCUCACCGACGAUGGCCUCGGUGUUCACACAAAACAACAAAAAACGUGUGUUGAAUAUGGUUAAUCUUAAGGCGUCUCUCUCCCUCUCUCCUCUCUCUCUCUCUCUCUCUCUCACUUUCUCUCACUCUCGCGAUGAGAAAUCUAUUAUUUCCCCCUGCGACAUUUUUCAGAGGUAUGGAUGUGUAGUUAUCGAUAUUUUCUUUUUCCUAUAUGGUUAUAGUGGGGUGUUUAUUUGCAAUCUGGAUCGCCGCCGGUAUGAAAAAAAUGGAUCUUGCGCUAUAAAUUAUAAGUUUGCUUCCAUAACAAUUUUUUCAAAAUAUUUAACAGGUAAAAUUAAAAUCAUAUUUAGAUUCCACCACAUUUUUCUAAUAAAAUUUCAUAUAUAAUAUAUUAAAAUCGAAGUUACGGUUUAAAAGAUAUAGAUAAUUUAGAAAAUCAUUUGGUUUGACUCAAAUAUAUGCCAAAUAAUAUUUAAAAAUACUUAACAGGUAAAUAUAAUCUCAUAUUCAUAUUCUACAUAUUUUUCUAAACAAAUUUCAUAUAUAACAUGUUCAAAUUGGAGUUACGGUUUAAAAGAUAUGGAUGAUUUUAAAAAGCAUUUGUUUGACUUAAAUAUGAUUCGCGGAUGAAUUACCUAAAACAUCAAGGGGGUUUUAAAAAAAUGUAAAAUAACGGUUCGGGUGUGACUUAAAUCCGGAUGGCGGGUUGAUUUGAAGAAAAGACAAGAACUUUUGUGUAAAAUACGAAAAUAACGAAUCGUUUUAACUUAAAACAGGAUAGCGGGUUGAAUUCUCUGAAAUAGAGGGUCUUUUCUGAAAAAUGCCAUGACGGACGAAAGAAAACCAAUUUGCUUUAUUAUUAGGUAAAGAUGCAGGGGGUGUUUGUUUCCAGGGAAUUUUUAGUGUAGGGACUAGAAAAAGUCCCUCUUAGAGACUUUUUAACCAAACAGGAGGGACUACUACGGACUAAAACUUGCUUUUUGGGACUUAAUGAAGAAGACUCUCAAGGAGAGUCUUUUUUGGGACUUUUCCAACAAUGCCCCUCCCUGCACCCAUUGCCCCGCCGCCCCAUGGCGUUGUUUGGUUGUUAUUUUUCUGUAUACUAGGGGUAACAUGGUCAUUCAAUAACCUCUAGGGAGGAACUAGGGACUUUUUAGUCCCUGAAAACAAACAGGGAGUGACUUUUUAAGGAGUAGGGACUUUUUAGUUGGGACUAGAAAAAGUCCUAGGACUUAUGAACCAAACAUGGCCUCAAUAUGGACUACAUACGGAGCAAAAUGAGUGAAUCUACACUCUAAAAUACGUCUAUAUACAUCAGUGUUUGGAGUAUGUACUAGUAGUUCAUAUUGAAAUCUACUAAAGGACAUAUAUAUUCCAAACAAUAUGAUAAUCUCUCUAACCAAGGUGGUAGGGACAAGGAGUAAACGGAGGGAGUAGUAACAUUUUCUCCUCGUCCUGCGAGCCACCGCACGCGUGGGCAAGGGAGCAGGCAUAAGGCGUACAAUACUACUACUAGUAAGCAAGCUUCACCUCAUCCUAUGAGCCACCGCACCCGUGGGCGGGGGAGACGGCGUACUAAGAAAGCUUCUCCUCAUUCUGCGAGUUGACGGGACACAUCAAAAGUACUCCAAUGUGUAUAGAACCUUGCCUCUAAGGUAGGCCCUGCAUGGUUUGCCUCUUUUUUAACAUAACACGUCAAGUCGCAAUUUGUUUGUUCACAUGUGGUAGACGAUCCUCCCUCCAUCUAGUGGACAACCAAUACACGUGUUAAAUUACCACGUGGGCUGCCUUUUCAUACAGAAAUGAGCUCCACCGUGUACCCGUGUGGGUGUGGUUGGGAAAGAGACGGGAGUACGUGCGCCGUGCGUGCACCUCUUCUCUUCAUGCACGCCCCCACCUACAUGGGUGUGUGAGAGAGAUACAAACCUAGACAAAUGGCUUGUGCGUUCGUGAGUGUUUUUUUUGGGGGGGGGGGAGGUUGAUUCCGUGAAUGUAUUUGUGGGAAUGUGUCGAUGACAUCUCAAACAAAUUUUUGCAUGCAAUGUGUGUGAAAUGGAGGCCUAUCCAUAUCAUAUAUAUAGAGGGCAGGGUGAUCCAUGAGAAGAGAGGGAGGGGUUAUAGAUAUCNNNNNNNNNNNNNNNNNNNNNNNNNNNNNNNNNNNNNNNNNNNNNNNNNNNNNNNNNNNNNNNNNNNNNNNNNNNNNNNNNNNNNNNNNNNNNNNNNNNNNNNNNNNNNNNNNNNNNNNNNNNNNNNNNNNNNNNNNNNNNNNNNNNNNNNNNNNNNNNNNNNNNNNNNNNNNNNNNNNNNNNNNNNNNNNNNNNNNNNNNNNNNNNNNNNNNNNNNNNNNNNNNNNNNNNNNNNNNNNNNNNNNNNNNNNNNNNNNNNNNNNNNNNNNNNNNNNNNNNNNNNNNNNNNNNNNNNNNNNNNGUGUGUGCAAGACAAAGAUAUAGGGUGACUGACCUACCGGAACGUCAAAGGGCACAGGUUAAGUUUGUGUGUGGCAGGGAGACAUGACUAGAGCGCUCGAUGUAUCGGUGUGUGUGUGUGUGGGAGGGGGGUGGGGGGGAGGGGUAGGCAGAGGCCUAACUAUAGAGGUAGAACGACUCGUGUAUGUGUUGACACUAGUAGAAAAAGGGUCAAAUGUGAAGCACAUUAGUGUCGGUUUGAAUUUGAGCCGGCACUAAUGUGUCCAUUAGUGCCGGUUCCAACGGCUAGGCGGGCGGACAUCAUUGGUACCGGUUCGUGGCGAACCUUUAGCACCGGUUCGUGCCACGAACCAGUACUAAAGUGAGUGGUGGCAGGAUGUUGUCAGUCCGGGGCCCCUCCAGCACCUUUAGUACCGGGUCGUAUCACGAACCGGUACUAAAGGUCGUCCUACAUACACCCUUCGUCCACCCUGGCUCACUUUGUUCUUCCCCUUUCCCCUCUCCUCUUUGUUCUUUCCCUCUUCCUCUCAAGCUCAUCACACAUUUUGCCCAAAAUUUGUCAAGAUUUGAAGGCCCCCAUCCAUUCAAAUGAUCACAAAGGUUAGCAACUUUGUCCUUUCAUCUCUCAUUGCUAGAUUAGCUCGUGCAAUGCUUUAUAUAGUGAUUGAUUUUUGAGUUUAGUAAUUUGGGAGGAAUUAUAUAUAUGUGCUAGUAUUUGAUUUAUAUGCAAUUUGAGGUCAAAAAUAACAGUUAGUUUUCAUAUGUAGGUGUGGUUUACUUAGUGCCUUCUAAAUCUUCGUCGUAACCACCGACGAUCGCCCGCAACGUCCCGUCGCUGGCACCACCUUGUGGUGAGCCUCUUGUUCAUGAAUGUUUUAUAUAAAAAAUUGAUGUUUGUGUGAUUUGGAUAUAUAGUUACUCGUAUAAUUAUCUUACCCAUACAUUGUUUGUUAUACAUAGUGCCAUGGUUUUGAUUUCCGUCCCCGUCGGCCCUCGCCCGGGUUAUGAUUCGGAUGUGGUAUAUUCUCUUUUAAAACUAUUUGUUGCAUUUCGUGUUUAUGACAAAUUAUGCCCAUCAAGUUGACAUAGAUAUUUGUAUGUAGAAGGUAGUUGAACUGGAAAUUCCAACCGACCCUAUUGUCGAGAGGUUAAAUUUAGUUGAAAGAGAAAACGAGGAUUUGAAGGAAAAAUUAAAAAGAAUUGAGGGGGAGAAGAUGGAACUAGAGUUGCAUGUUGCCGAUGUCAUCGAUGAUCACAAGAUUAAGAUGGAGAAAAUGCGCUUGAAGAUUAGAAAGAUUAGAAAAUAUGUGGUAUCAUUAUGCUGUUGGAUCAAUUGUUACCUUAGUUGCGAUCUUGAUCGCAUUUGUUGUUGCAUUUAAAUUCUUUAGCUAGAGAGUUAUUUGUUUGUUGCAUUCAAGUGUUGUAUGAACUUUAUGUAUUGUAUUAAUUUGGUGUUUUCGGUGCUGUGUAUUGAAGUUGAGCCGGCAAUGGAUGUACGAUGACCGAUGCUCUCCCGAGUUCAUUAAUGGCGUGCAUACUUUUCUGCUUGCGACUGAGGCAAACAAGCGGGCGGAUGGUUUUAUGCCUUGUCCAUGUGCUGGCUGUAAGAAUGGUCACAAUUACUCUACGUCAAGAACCAUUCACGUGCACCUGUUUGAGUCCGGUUUCAUGCCCCACUAUAAUGUUUGGACCAAGCACAGAGAAAGAGGGGUUAUGAUGGAAGACAAUGAAGAAGAAGAGGACGACGACAGCUAUCCUGGCCAUGGGUUCCCUGAAUACGAUGAUACAACAAUGAGGGAAGAAUCUGAGCCGGCAAUGUGGGAAGAAGCUGAAGAAGAGGCAUCGGAUGAGCCCGUUGAUGAUCUAGGUCGGGCCAUUGCCGAUGCAAAGAGAAACUGCGCAAGUGAUUUCGAGAAUAAGAAGUUGCAGCGCAUGUUAAAGGAUCACAAAAAAAAAUUUGUACCCGAAUUGCAUAGGUGACAAGAAAAAGCUGGGCACCACACUGGAAUUGCUGCAAUGGAAGGCAGAGAAUGGUGUAUCUGACAAGGGAUUUGGAAAGUUGCUGGUAAUGAUAAAGAAUAUGCUUCCAAAGGACAAUGAAUUGCCCGAGAGUACGUACGAAGCAAAGAAGGCUGUCUGCCCUCUAGGGUUAGAGGUGCAGAAGAUACAUGCAUGCCCUAAUGGUUGCAUCCUCUACCGCGGUGAGUACGAGGAUUUGAACGCUUGCCCGGUAUGCGGUGCAUUGCGCUAUAAGAUCAGCCGCGAUGACCCUGGUGAUGUCGAGGGCGAGUGCCCCAAGAAGAAGAUUCCUGCCAAGGUGAUGUGGUAUGCUCCUAUAAUACCACGGUUGAAACGUUUGUUCCAAAACAAGGAACAUGCCAAGGCGAUGCGAUGUCACAGAGAAGACAGUAAGAAAGACGGAAAGUUGAGAGUACCCACUGACGGGUCGCAGUGGAGAAAAAUCGAGAGAAAGUACGGGAAGGAGUUUGCAGAUGACGCAAGGAACAUACGGUUUGGUCUAAGCGCAGAUGGCAUUAAUCCUUUUGGGGAGCAGAUCAGCAACCAUAGCACCUGGCCUAUGACUCUAUGUUUGUAUAACCUUCCUCCUUGGUUGUGCAUGAAGCGGAAGUUCAUUAUGAUGCCAGUGCUCAUCCAAGGCCCUAAGCAACCCGACAACGAUAUUGAUGUGUACCUAAGGCCAUUAGUUGAAGAACUCUUACAGCUGUGGAAUGGAACAGGUGUACAUGCGUGAGAUGAGCACAUGGGGGAAGAAUUUGACCUAAAGGCAUUGCUGUUCGUGACCAUCAAUGAUUGGCCUGCUCUCAGUAACCUUUCAGGACAGACAAACAAGGGAUACCAUGCAUGCACGCAUUGUUUGGACGAUACCGACAAUAUAUAUUUGGAUAAUUGUAAGAAGAAUGUGUACCUGGGACAUCAUCGAUUUCUUCCGAGCAGGCAUGCCGUAAGAAAGAAAGGCAAGCAUUUCAAAGGUGAGGCGGAUCACCGAACGAAGCCUCGCCACCGUACUGGUGCUGAUGUACAUGAUAUGGUCAAGGAUUUGAAGGUAGUCUUUGGAAAGGGUCAUGGCGGACAACCUGUUCCGAAUGACGCUGACGGACGCGCACCCAUGUGGAAGAAGAAAUCUAUAUUUUGGGACCUGCCCUAUUGGAAAGACCUAGAGGUCCCCUCCGCAAUCGAUGUGAUGCAUGUGACGAAGAAUCUUUGCGUAACCCUGCUUGGCUUCUUGGGCAUGUAUAUGAAGACAAAAGAUACACCUGAGGCACGGGAGGACCAGCAACGUAUGCACGGAAAAGAUGGCAUACAUCAGGGUCAUGCCAGCUACGCUCUUACCAAAGAAGAGAAGGAAAACUUUUUUGAAUGCCUACUCAGUAUUAAGGUACCGUCUGGCUUCUCGUCGAAUAUAAAGGGAAUAAUAAACAUGGCAGAGAAAAAGUUCCAGAACCUAAAGUCUCAUGACUGCCACGUGAUUAUGACGCAACUGCUUCCGGUUGCAUUGAGGGGGCUUCUACCGGAAAACGUUCGAUUAGCCAUUGUGAAGCUAUGUGCAUUCCUCAAUGCAAUCUCUCAGAAGGUAAUCGAUCCAGAAAUCAUACCAAGGUUAGAGAAUGAUUUGGUGCAAUGUCUUGUCAGUUUCGAGUUGGUGUUCCCACCAUCCUUCUUCAAAAUCAUGACGCACAUCCUAGUUCACCUAUGCGAAGAGAUUAACGUUUUGGGUCCUGUAUUUCUACACAAUAUGUUCCCCUUUGAGAGGUUCAUGGGAGUCUUAAAGAAAUAUGUUCAUAACCGUGCUAUGCCAGAAGGAAGCAUCUCCAAGGGCCAUGAAAAUGAGGAGGUCAUUGAGUUUUGUAUUGACUUUAUUCCUGACCUUAAGCCGAUUGGUGUUCUUGAAUCGCGACAUAAGGGCAGACUGGAUGGAAAAGGCACGCUAGGAGGGGAUCAAAUAAUAUGUAUGGACGGACAUUCUCUAACUGAAGCACACUACACAGUUCUACAGAAUUCCGCCUUGGUGGCUCCGUAUAUGGACGAACACAAGAAUUUUCUAUGCUCCAAACACCCGGAGCGGUCUGAUGACUGGAUUACAUGUGAACAAACCAGGAGUUUCGCCGGCUGGUUGCAGACACGUACCAUGCAUGACGCCUCUAUUGAAGAUGACCUGUACUCGCUGUCCCAGUUACCAUCUUCGAAUAUAAUGACUUUCAAAGGGUACGAGAUAAAUGGUAGUACAUUUUACACGAUCACCCAAGAUAAGAAGAGCACCAACCAAAAUAGUGGUGUCCGCUUUGAUGCAACAACCAAGAUGGGAAAGGAAACAUAUUAUGGUUACAUAGAGGAGAUAUGGGAACUUGACUAUGGAUGUGGUUUGAAGGUCCCUUUGUUUCGGUGCAAAUGGGUCAAUAUGACACGAGGCGGGGUAACGGAAGACUGACAGUAUGGAAUGACAACAGUGGAUCUCAACAAUCUUGCGUAUGCAGAUGAACCAUUCGUCCUAGCUAAUGCUGUGGCACAGGUUUUCUAUGUGAAGGAUAUGUCUACCAAGUCGAGAAAAAGAAAAGAUAAGGAAGCGAAUGCAUCAUACGAUGAGCGCCACAUAGUUCUUUCUCGGAAGAGAAACAUCAUGGGAGUGGAUGACAAGACAGACAUGUCAGAAGAUUAUGAAAAGUUUGAUGAAAUUGCUCCAUUCACAGUGAAUAUUGACCCGAGCAUCCAGUUAAAUGAUGAAGAUUUUCCAUGGCUACGACGCAAAGGGACACACGCGAAGAAAAAGUUUCACACCCAAAGAUCUGGGAUGUGAUCGGCUUCACUAUCAUCACUUUCUUCUGUGUUUUACACCCAGGAGGGAAUCUCUGUAAUAGUUAGGGUAGUUAUGUGUUUUGGCAUUUGAAACGCGAAGAAAUUUUAUGUGCAAACAAAUUCUUUCAUGCAUUUACUUAUUUUUUCAGCUAAAUGGACCUAAAAUUGAAAAGCAUUUCAAAUGAACUCAAAAAAGGUUGAAAGUUGGCAUGGUAUCAUAAUUUCACCCACAUAGCAUGUGCAAAAAAGUAGAGAGGGUUACUGCAAAAACUGGAUGCACUUCGUGUACAAAAUGGACAAUCUCUUUCAAAGUAUCAGGGUUUCGGACAAAAACUCAUCCGUUACAAAGGCAUUUCAUUUUUUAAAUAACCUAAGCAUCACCAAAUUGAAUAUAAUGAUAAAACACACUAAUAUUAAACAUAAGAAAAAAAUAAUAACUGAAAAAUCUAUUUUCAAAGUUAAGUUAUUCACAAACUAGUGAUUCACACAAAUUUCAAAUAAUUUAAAAUUUAAACUAUUCAAAUUUGUAAACUACCGGCACUAACAGAAAGUUUGUAAUUUUUUGUACCUAAAGCAAAAAUAUUCACAAAGAAACUCUAAAUACAGCAAAAAACAACUCAAAAAUAAAUAAAACAAAAAUAAAUAAAGCAAAAAGCCCGCCUACUGUGCCACAACGGCCUGCAUACGACUAGAAACCCAACUUGUUGUUGGGCCAGGAUGCAGGCCCGCAAAGGCCCAGUAGGCCCACAGGGAAGCACAGAACAUUUAGGCCCAGUAGGCCUGCUUUGGAGAGGAGCUCGAGAGAGCUACCGCGCUGGGGCUUAUAAACCAGUGCGGACGCCCCUCGGCUAGCGAGGUGGGACUAAACAUGACGCACCGCACCUACGCCAGCGCACCCCCUUUAGUACCGAGUGGUGGCUCAAACCGGUACUAAGGGGGGGGGUCUUUAGUACCAGUUGGAGCCACCACCCGGUACUAAAGGGGUGCCAUUCCCGCCGCUUGGCCUGGCCAAAACAGACCUUUAGUACCGGUUGGUGGCUUCAACCGGUACUAAAGGUUGUUCUAUAUAAGAAAACACUUCAAAAAAUUUGUCAGUUUCUCAUCUCUCCCUCUGCUUCUUUCUCCUCUGCCCCAUUGCCGCCGCCCCUCGCUGCCGCCCCUCGUCACCGCCCCCGUCGCCGUCCGUCGCCGUCCCCAUCGUCGGCCCCAUCCGAGUCCCCAUCCCCGUCCCCGUCGUCCCCGUCGCCGCGCCGCGCCCUGUCGCCGCGCCGUGCUCCGUCGCCGCGCCCCGCCCCGUCCUCCCGUCGUCCCCACCCGGCCCGUCCCUAUCCCCGUUGUCGGUGUCAAAACUGGUGGAUCUCGGGUAGGGGGUCCCGAACUGUGCGUCUAGGCCGGAUGGUAACAGGAGGCAAGGAACACGAAGUUUUACCCAGGUUCGAGCCCUCUCGAUGGAGGUAAAACCCUACGUCCUGCUUGAUUAAUAUUGAUGAUAUGGGUAGUACAAGAGUAGAUCUACCACGAGAUCGGAGAGGCUAAACCCUAGAAGCUAGCCUAUGGUAUGAUUGUUGUUGCGUAUGUUGUCCUACGGACUAAAACCCUCCAAUUUAUAUAGACACCGGAGAGGGUUAGGGUUACACAAAGUCGGUUAUAAUGGUAGGAGAUCUACAUAUCUGUAUCGCCAAGCUUGCCUUCCACGUCAAGGAAAGUCCCUUCCGGACACAGGAUGAAGUCUUCAAUCUCGUAUCUUCAUAGUCCAGGAGUCCGGCUGAAGGUAUAGUCCGGCUAUCCGAACACCCCCUAAUCCAGGACUCCCUCAGUAGCCCCUGAACCAGGCUUCAAUGACGACGAGUCCGGCGCGCAGAUUGUCUUCGGCAUUGCAAGGCGGGUUCCUCCUCCAAGUACUUCAUAGAAGAUUUUGAACACAAAGAUAGUGUCCGGCUCUGCAAAAUAAGUUUCCACAUAUUGCCAUAGAGAGAAUAACAUUUACACAAAUCUAAUCUACUGACGUAUUCCGUAGUGUGACACACCAGGACCAAGCCUUUAUCCGAGUCAUUUUAUUAUCCCACCUCAGCGUGUAAUGCAAGGCGGUUUCCUUGGCACGUCUUGUUAAAGCAGAGAUCGUGUCCCCUUAUUCCGGGAUUCUCAUCAAUACGGGCGUGGGUAACCCAACCGCACCAUUGAUUACAGCGCUUGGAGAUAAGCGAGUUUUACCAGGCUGGUGGGGACACGUAGUUGCGUCCACCCAUAUAAGGGGAUAAGGAUCCACCUUUUCACCUACACCUUCUUCCUCCCUUGCUUAUCCAUUUUGCACACUCGAGCUCCAGCGCCCAAGUCCGCACUCCCCACCUCAACCUUCUCCAGCCAUGUCUGGAGCGGGAGGCAAGUGGAUGGUCUCCUCUGUCACGGAGGGACACAUCAAAAAACUGAGGAAGGCCGGAUACUUGUCUAACGACAUCGCGUACCGGCUUCCCGAAAAGGGACAGCUCAUCCCCACCCCUAGGUCCCAUGAGAGGGUGGUGUUCCUCCCCCAUUUCCUCCGUGGACUGGGCUUCCCUCUCCACCCAUUUGUCCGGGGGCUCAUGUUCUACUAUGGCCUGGAUUUCCACGAUCUGGCCCCAAACUUUGUCCUCAACAUCUCGGCAUUUAUCGUCGUGUGCGAGGCUUUCCUCCGCAUCCGCCCCCAUUUCGGCCUAUGGCUCAAGACUUUCAAUGUCAAGCCGAAGGUGGUGCACGGCAACCAGGCGGAGUGCGGAGGCGCCAUGGUGGGCAAGAUGCCCAAUGUCUUAUGGCUCGAGGGCUCCUUUGUGGAGACCCUGAAGGGGUGGCAAUCGGGGUGGUGUUACAUCACCGAGCCGCGCGACCCUGAAUGGGUCGCAUCCCCCGAGUUUCGAUCCGGACCCCCUACGCGGCUCACCUCCUGGAAGGAGACGGGUCUGUCGUGGGGUAAAAAAGGAGAGCUGACCGGACUCCAAACAUGCGUCCAAACCCUGGUGGACAAGAAGCUCAAACUUGUCAACGUAGUCCAGGUUAUGCUCAUUCGCCUGAUCCUCCCGUGUCAACAACGGGCUUUCAACCUGUGGGAGUUCGACCCGGCGCGGCACCGAACUCCGAGCAGGCUCUUCGACACGACGUACGAAGAUGCCUGGAAGGUGCUUUUCAAGGGCGCCGAGGCCCCCGCAUCCGCUACCGAGGAUCGCGGAUUCAGUACGCAGCGUCACGCUCAUGCGGUAAGCUGUUUUUUCCCUUUUACAGGGUAUUAGUUUUUCAUAGUUUGACUCCAUGCGGGAUCUAAGCCCCCUUACCUUUGACAGGACUGGCAGGAGACGUCCGGAUAGAUUAACUGUCCGGCUCCUUUGCCUGAAGGCCCAGCGGACGCUCGUUUGGCGAAGCUGCUGGUUCCGGCACCCUAUGUGGUGCCGGAGAAGAAGGCCACGAAGAAGGCCACGGGGACUCGAAAGAGUGCCCGGCGCCAGGAGAUGUCGGAUCCAUCAUUCGACGGUUCCGAGGCGCAUUCCUCCCGUGAAGACGAGGAGGAAGAAGAAGAGACCUCUCCCCCUCCAGCGGGAGGAGAGAAGAAAAGGAAGGCCGCCCCAACUGGGGAGGCCGAAGGGUCCAAGAAGGGGAAAACCCUUCCUCCGGACUAUUCCACCGACGCCGACGACGGCGGAGAGGAGUGGCCGCCCAGGGCCAAGCCCCUGGCAAAAUCGUAAGUAUCCGGAUACUAGAGUAAUUCAUAGUAUUCGUUUAUUGCACAGCUUUCCCUUAUGUCGAAUAUGUUUAUGCAGCCCACCCAAAGACCGGCUCGACGCGUCGUCGAGCGGCUCACUGGACUCGUUGGAUGUGAACUCGCUUCCGACGGCUUCCUCCCCCCGCCCUACAGACGACACCGAAGUGUUGUCCCAACAGGUUCCAAGCCGGAGGAGGUGGUCCUGGAGGCGCCGCAAGGCGACCUCCCGGACUCCAGGAGUAAAGGGGAUGAAACCCCCCAGGGCUCCAAGUCCGGCUCUAGGCCGGACACCGCUCCGGAACCUUCAAAGGUUCCAGAGUCCAACGGGGGACCUCCUUCCAAGAGGAGCAAGCCCACCGUGCCGGUGACCCCCAUCCAACCGGAGGCGCCGAUAAUAUGUUGGAGGCACUCCAAGGCGCCUCCAUCGACGAGGAGCACCGCACCAUUAUGAGUGCGGUGGUCCAGAAGGUUUAGUCCGCCAAGAGCGGACUGACUGAAGCUUGUACUAGCCUUUUAACAGGCUUUGAGGUAAGUAAAGAAUGUGUAAAUAAUAUUACCGCAUAGACAGUAGCCCCUGAUGCUCUAUUUGGCGUUCAGGAAGAAAAGCCGAAUAGAGGAUCAAAUAAAGUUAGCAGGAGUCUAACAAAAAGGAGUCAAUAUGUGUAUGCAGGCUUCUCUGCUUGCGUCCGCCGCACUUACUGUAGAAGUGGACACGCUAAAGCAGAACCUCGAGCGGUCCGAGCAAGAGCUCGGGCGUGCCAAGAAGCAGCUCGAGGACAAUGAAGGUAAGAAAUACCUUGUUUAAACAUAUAUAAAAAGGUGCAAUUGCAAAAAAUGACAGGAUUAUCAUGGCUAUUGUAGGGGCCACGUCUGAGGUGGCGACCCUUAAGCAAGCGCUGGUUGAGGCCGAGAAGAGGGCGGCCACGGAGCGCACCGAGCGGGAGAGGUACGAGGCCCAGGUUGGCAAGGUGCAGCAAGAGCUCCGGGUUCUCAUGAAAAAACAUGAGAGUUUGGAGCUUGACUCAAAGACGCGAGCGUCCGAGCUCGCGGUGGCUAUUGAAAAUGCCAAGUUUGCCAAGGACGAAUCCCAGAAGACCCUCCAGGAGUUGGAUGAGGUGAAGAAGAUAGCGGCGGGUAAGGCAUUCUUUAUGCAAAGCAAACACAUAAACGUGAGUUACUUGUUACUUACCCGAAUCUGGAGCUCUCCAGGAGCGUUCGCAGAUCUUCCCCGAAGUGUGUCCGAUGCCGCCGCAUUCUAUCGAGCCGAGGAGGGCAGCUCAACAGAGAAGGUGUUCUGGUCUCAGUAUGCUAAGGCCGGACACCUCGUGCCCCUGAGCGACCAGCUGAAGCAACCGGUCGAGCUCCACAAGGCGGCCGAACAGGCCAUGAAGGGCCUCAUAGUUCGGCUGUGGCCUGGAGAGGCUCUGCCUGGGAGCUAUUUCGGGCUGGUGCGGCGGCUGGUGGAGGCCUGUCCAAGGCUCGAAGUCAUCAAACGCUCCGUCUGCAUUGAAGGUGCCCGUAGGGCCCUUGCCCGUGCUAAAGUGCACUAGGGCAAGCUGGAUGCUGAGAAGCUUGUGAAGGACGGGCCACCGCCGGGGAAAGAGCAUCGCAAGCCCGAGAAUUAUUAUAAGGAUGUUCUGAAGGGUGCCUGCCUUGUGGCGGAUGAAUGUUCUAGGGAUGUAAUUUUUGAGUGAAACUUGCUUGUUUUGUCCUGUGCGCUGAAAACUUGUUCAUACGCACUAAGCAAUGCUGUUGGAAUUUAAAAUAUUACCUUCUGUGCGUCUGUUUAUCAAUUCUGAGAGAUGGCGAGUCAUCGGCUUCUGCCCCCGUGCCGCUAGUGUUGGGGUGUUCGGGGAUAAACCUGAGCGCUCUUUUUCCCAUGUUUGGGUCCUUCGAGGGAGGUGCUCAGCCCAACGAACAAGGCAGUCGGACUAUAAUGCGUGAACACUCUCACUUAGCCAUAGGAUUCUAUAAUUUUAAAUUUCGGCGAAGCCCCUGGUAUUCGGAAGACCGAGUUCGGGGCGCUAUCCACGCCUUGGCCGGACAGAGCCGACUCCUCGCUCUAAGCGGCAUAAGUCUUUAGGGACUCGAAAAACUUCUUGAACAGCGACCAGCUCUCACUUCAUCAUGACAGUCAGUUUUAGCUUUCUCCACUGAGGUGCUCGACCCAGCUCAACUGGGGCACAAUCGCAGUGGUUCUCCUAGUGCUACCUUAGCUGAUAUAGCGGAACGUAAGGCACCAAAACAUAGGAGCCGGGCAAACCCAACUAUUGACCCAAGACAGGAUUCGGUGCCAUGUAUAUAAUGCUAUAAGUUCGGGGUGCCACACUUGUUAAAGUGUUCGGACUUCUCACACCAUAUUGAGGGGUAUUAAAGCCCCUGGCGUAUUUUGGCCGUACCAAAGUGUACGGGUGCAACAUGUCAUUAAGGAACAUAUAUUUGUAAAAAAAAGUAAUGCAAAAAUAGACAAAAGCUAUGCAUUGUUUAUUAAAAAAGAGCUGCGAUCAAAGUAGAACGAUACAAAUAAUGCGAUAAGCAAAAGGUUGGACUAUUUUAACAUGUCCGUUCCAGGGGAAGACUGCGGAAUGGUAUGCGAAACAGGUAUACUGCUCAUGAUAGAGACCACCCGGGAGUUCCGUAAUGUGGCAUGGCUUGUUUGCUUCCCUGGUUCUUGCAUCAUUUGUGCGGCAAUUGAACUGCCGAACAGGCCUUCUGAAGAGUGGAGUCCUGAAAUUAAGAGAAAAUUAAAAAAUUGGCAGCCCCUGGUGCGGUUUAAGCUAUGUUUCGGGCGUGCCGUGAUGGUGCCCCUCCCCCUGUACCCAUGGUAUCUCUAGAGCGUAGUUAUGUACGCGAAGUACUGGCAUCGCCUUUUUGCGAGGGUUGGGGUUGGGGACGCAUUGCUACGCCUGCUCGGAUCGUGCCAGGCGGUCUUGUUGUAGGUUACUCUGGGCGCGCUUGACGGUCUCUAGUCGUUUAGUGGCCGGACUGGAGAACUGCCUGGAGAGGCUGCUUUGUACUUCCGCUACAAGGGCCGCCGUGUGCUCCUCCGUUCGGAGGCAGCGUUUGGUGUUUCCAUUGACCGUACCUUGAGGGCCUGGCAUCUUGAGCUUAAGGUAUGCGUAGUGCGGUACCGCAUUGAACUUGGCGAAUGCGGUUCGCCCGAGCAGUGCGUGAUAACCAUUGCGGAACGGGACUAUGUCGAAGAUUAACUCCUCGCUUCGGAAAUUAUCCGGAGAUCCGAAGACCACUUCAAGUGUGACUGAGCCUGUAUAGUUGGCCUCUACACCUAGUAUUACGCCUUUAAAGGUCGUUUUGGUGGGCUUAAUCCUCGAGGGAUCUAUGCCCAUUUUCCGCACUGUAUCCUGGUAAAGCAGGUUCAGGCUGCUGCCGCCGUCCAUAAGGACUCUAGUGAGAUGAAAUCCGUCAAUAAUUGGGUCUAAAACCAAUGCGGCGAAUCCGCCAUGGCGGAUGCUAGUGGGAUGGUCCCUUCGAUCAAAGGUGAUCGGGCAGGAGGACCAUGGGUUGAACUUUGGGGCGACUGGCUCUACCGCGUAUAUGUCCCUUAACGUGCGCUUCCGCUCCCUUUUGGGGACGUGGGUUGCGUAUAUCAUGUUCACCAUCCGCACUUGUGGGGGAAAACCCUUCUGUCCACUGUUGUUCAGCAGUCGGGGCUCCUCGUCGUCAUUGCUAUGCAGCCCCUUGUCUUCAUUUUCGGCAUUUAACUUGCCUGCCUGCUUGAACACCCCACAAUCCCUGUUGGUGUGAUUGGCCGGCUUUUCGGGGGUGCCAUGUAUCUGGCACAAGCAGUCGAGUAUUCGGUCCAAACUGGACGGCCCCCUAGGAUUCCUUUUGAAUGGCUUUUUCCGCUGACCAGAUUUAGAGCCUCUGAAUCCGGCAUUAACCGCCGUAUCCUUGCCGUUAAUGCAGUGCUUCUGCUUGUUGCGACGCGACCUGCCACUACUGUCCCUGGUAUCCGAAUUACCAGGGUUCUUGGUCAUAUUGUUGCUACGAGCAAGCCAGCUGUCUUCUCCCGCGCAAAAGCGGGUCAUGAGUGUCGUGAGUGCUGCCAUAGACUUCGGCUUUUCCUGUCCAAGGUGCCGGGCAAGCCACUCAUCACGGAUAUUGUGUUUGAAGGCUGCUAGGGCCUCAGCAUCCAGACAGUUGACUAUUUGAUUUUUCUUUGUUAGGAACCAUGUCCAGAAUUGCCUGGCCGAUUCCUCUCGCUGCUGAAUUACGUGACUUAGGUCAUCGGCGUCUGGGGGUCGCACAUAAGUGCCCUGGAAAUUGUUGAGGAAUGCGGCUUCCAGGUCCUCCCAACAACUGAUUGAUCCUGUUGGCAAGCUGUUAAGCCAAUGCCAAGCUAGUCCUUUAAGCUUGAGUGGGAGGUAUUUGAUGGCAGGAAAUCAUCACCGCAGGCCAUGUGGAUAUGAAGGAGAUAAUCCUCGAUCCAUACCGCAUGAUCUGUUGUGCCAUCAUAUGAUUCGAUGUUUACGGGUUUGAAACCCUCGGGGAUUUGAUGAUCCAUUAUUUCGUCUGUGAAGCAUAGUGGGUGUGCGGCGCCUCUGUACUGGGCUAUAUCACGAUGUAGCUCCAAUGAGCUUUGUAGACUAUGUUCGGCCUUGCCGAAUUUGUGGCCGGCGUGACGGUUACCGUCUUGAGUCGUGGGGCACCCAUGCGAUCCGUAGAUCGAUCUUGUUUGCCUUGCCUUGUCUUCCAACAUAUCUCGCAGGUCCGGCGCAUUUUCCCGUGCCUUGGUACGGGGUGCGGCUUGAGUGGAGGGCCGAGAGGCCUCUCUGUCGCGGCCACGGGGUGGCCGAUCGGCCGUAUCGAGUGCCGGUGAUGUAGGUUUAAGUGCUUCCUCCUCUAAUCGGGGUAGUAACCUGCGCUUUGGGUAGCUCUUGGAGGGGCGUUCGAGUUUAUGCUCUUCGGCCGCAAGGACUUCAGUCCAUCUGUCGACUAGCAAAUCUUGAUCAGCUCUAAGCUGUUGCUAUUUUUUCUUGAGGCUUCUUGCCGUGGCCAUAAGCCUGCGUUGAAAACGCUCUUGCUCGACGGGAUCCUCUGGCACGACGAAUUCGUCGUCGUCGAGGCUUGCCUUGUCUUCUGAGGGAGGCAUUUAGUUAUCGUCCUCGACCUCUCUGUCUGCCGCUCUCUCAUGAGGGCUGGUUUCUCCAUCCUCCUAUGCUAAAUCUUGCUGGAGGGGGUUUUCUUCGGCACUUUCCGGAGUAUUAUUAUCUCCCGUGCUGGAAUCACCGUAUUUGUUUUGGCGGGAUUUUGAGCGGCGCCGCUGACGCCGACACUUGGGCUGUUUCUUGGAGGAGUCAUCCUCCACUGUUCCAUCGCCAUCUCCUUCUUUUGGGGUGUCCACCAUGUAUAUGUCAUAUGAAGAGGUGGCUUUCCAGGGCCUAAUAGGCGCUGGUUCUUCAUCGUCUCCUUCAUCGGCAUCCACACCGUCGAUGUCUUCGGAGUCGAAGUCGAGAAUGUCGGAUAAGUCGUCGACAGUGGCUACAAAGUGGGUGGUGGGUGGGCUUUGAAUUUCUUCAUCAUCCGUACCCCAACCUUGCUGACCGUAGUCCGGCCAGGGCUCUCCUGAUAAAGAGAGAGACUUCAGUGUCUUCAGAAUAUCGCCGAAAGGUGAGUGCUGAAAGAUGUCCGCGGUAGUAAACUCCAUGAUCGGCGCCCAAUCGGAUUCGAUUGGCAGGGGCGCGGAGGGUUCAGAGUCCGGAGAGGAGUCCGGCUCCUUGGAGUCACGAGUCCCGCAGAGUGCGGGGCUGGUGUUCGGCUCGAUCGCCGUUGGGAUCGCAGUCCCCGAGGCGGCGUCCAACCACCUAUCCUCGAUCGGCGUAGUUGGCUCUGAAUUAAGGGUCGAAGCCGAUGCGGGUGCGGCCUCCAGGGCACUGUUCGGCGGCAGGGCUAGAUCAUGCUCGUCGGGACAGUGCGGCGCGCUCGGCAGUGGCUCGAAUCCGUCGAAGAUCAAGUCCCCGCGGAUGUCAGCCGUGUAGUUUAAACUUCCAAAUCUGACCUGACGGCCAGGGGCGUAGCUUUCGAUCUGCUCCAGAUGGACAAGUGAAUUGGCCCGUAGUGCGAAGCCGCCGAAGACGAAGAUCUAUCCAGGGAGGAAGGUCUCACCCUGGACUGCAUCGUUAUUGGUGAUCGUAGGAGCCAUCGAGCCUGACGGAGAUGACACAGAGGAACUCUCAGUGAAAGCACCAAUGUCGGUGUCAAAACCGGCGGAUCUCGGGUAGGGGGUCCCGAACUGUGUGUCUAGGCCGGAUGGUAACAGGAGGCAAGGAACACGAAGUUUUACCCAGGUUCGGGCCCUCUUGAUGGAGGUAAAACCCUACGUCCUGCUUGAUUAAUAUUGAUGAUAUGGGUAGUACAAGAGUAGAUCUACCACGAGAUCAGAGAGGCUAAACCCUAGAAGCUAGCCUAUGGUAUGAUUGUUGUUGCGUAUGUUGUCCUACGGACUAAAACCCUCCGGUUUAUAUAGACACCGGAGAGGGUUAGGGUUACACAAAGUCGGUUACAAUGGUAGGAGAUCUACAUAUCCGUAUCGCCAAGCUUGCCUUCCACGCCAAGGAAAGUCCCUUCCGGACACGAGACGAAGUCUUCAAUCUCGUAUCUUCAUAGUCCAGGAGUCCGGCUGAAGGUAUAGUCCGGCUAUCCGAACACCCCCUAAUCCAGGACUCCCUCACCCGUCAUCGCCGCCCCGUCCCCAUCCCCGUCGUCAUCGCCCGUCUCCGUCCCCGUCGCCACCGCCCGUCUCCGUCCCCGUUGCUGCCCCUCGUCGUCGUGCCUCGCCGGUGAGCUCCUGCCCCGGCCGCACACACACACACGCAUUAUGUUAUAGAAAUAUUACAAAUGUUAGUUAUAUAGAAAUGUUUUUUAGUUAUAGAAAUAUUAGAAAUGUUAGUUAUAUAGAAAUAUUAGAAAUGUUAGUUAUAUAGAAAUGUUUUUAGUUAUAGAAAUAUUAGAAAUGUUAGUUUUAGUUAUAGAAAUACUAGAAAUGUUAGUUUUAGUUAUAAAAUUUAGAAUUUGCAUAUAUGAAAUCACACUCCAUCAUUUAAAAAAUGUUAUUUUACUUUUGCGGCAUAUAGUAUUUGUUGUGGAUGAUGCCCGACCAGCAUCCUCGCCGUCGACCAGUUUGCGACGACGUCCUGCUUCAGAGGACCCAUGUCCGGGACUGGGCUCCGCCGGGCUGGCACUAGGAGGUGCUACCAUCAGGGGUGCGAUGUUUGGUGAGGAACCCGGCCCCGGGUCCCAUCGUCGACCCUGAUCUCCUUUGGUGGCGUUCGCGUGGGCCACUUUCGGUGCAGAGGGAGCCGGCCCCGCCGGAGGUGGUAUGUCGCCGUGUCAGGGAGGAGGACGAGCACGUCCAUCGCUACAUGGCUGCUAUGGACGUCAGGUUCUCCAAUACCUGGCAGGUUCUUUGGGGAGAUCACCCGAGCUAUGAUCCAGUGAUGGUUCCUUCACUUUGGUUGUCCACCGCCUAGAUUACUCUCUAGUAUUCGAUCUUUAUUAGCUAGCUAGCUAGCUAGUGAUGUAUUCGAUAUAUAAUAUUCGAGAUUAUAUAUAUUAUUCGAGACGAUGUAUUCGAGAUUAUAUCUAUUAUUCGAGACGACGUAUUCGAGAUUAUAUUCGAUGAUGCUUAUUAUGUACUAUGAUUGAUCCAGUUUUUCCUUUUUAAUUGAUUGCAUCCAUGCAUUGUAAUUUGAAUAUAUUUCUUUUGGAUUAGUUAAAUAAAACCUAUGGCGGACAAUACCGGCACAGAGGGAGAAGAGGCCCUGUUCAAUAUCAUACGCAAUCCUCACGGGCCAGAUGAUGAUCAGAAUGAAGAAGAUUAUGGCAGCUCCGAAUAUCUAAACAACACUGGGGAGGGUGAUAUGAUAUUCGAUUGCGACGACCGAAUUGAUGAAGUCAUGAACUAUGAACAUGACAAAGAAAAUGUUGAUCUUGAAACAACAAAGACCGGCGAGGUAUAUUUAUAUAAGCAGGCAUCUGGUGAUCAUCACAUGUUUUAAAUGACUUGAAGAUAUAUAUUAACGAAUCGAUCUUUCUUCUUUCAGCCAUCCGGAUCGGGCAAAUCUUCAGGCAGCAAGACAGUACGAGGCCCGAACAAAAAGUUGAAGGAGGGCGUAAAGUACAAUAUCGAGGCCAUCAAACCUAAUGGCGAACCAUUAGCGCCUAAGAAGGUUGCAGACAAGUUCAUUCGUUAGUGCGGAGUUCUUGUGAAGGACCAACUCUCGAUCUCCCUUCAAGAAUGGAGAGAGCCAGCAAAGCCACGUCCAGAUCUUACUUUUGUCGACGACAGACAAAAACUUCUGCUUUGGGAAACGCUCAUGGAACAUUUCACCCUACCAAAUCAUUUCACAGAUGCAUAUGUGGAGAAAGUCAAGGACACUGCUCUUAGGAAGAUGGCGGUUGCAUUCAACAACCACCAGAAUCGUGUAUGGGACCAGUACAUCAAGGGAGGAAAGAAGACUCCAGUAUUCAAGGGAACACUAGAGAAGCAAAGUGCUCAUUGGGACAAUUUCAUGAAUUUCAAGGAAUCAGAAUUAUCUAAGGAACGGUCGAGAAUAAACAAGGCCAAUGCCGCAAAAAAGGAUAAGUUCCAUAAGGUGGGGCCAGGUGGCCAUGCGGUGGGAAUGCCUAAGUGGGAUAAGUAUGAGAAAGAGAUGGAGGAUGCAGGUGUCACUCCAGAAACAUUGAGCUGGCCCCCCAGGUGUAGGACUUGGUUCUAUGCGCAUGUGGGGGAGUUGGACCCGAAGACAGGCAAAGUUUCGAAGAAGGCAUGUCUGGACGGAGCCGAAGAUAAGCUACUUGUUGCAAUAGAAGAGGCUCGAUCGGGGGUGUUCAAGCCCAACAGAGAGAACGACGAGCUUACGCGUGCCCUAGGAAAUCCUGAACACCCGGGAAGAACACGAGGCAAGGGCGCUAUUCCAUGGUACGAGGGGUUUUCAUACUGGAAUGCCGACUACAGAACCCAUGCGAGAAAGAAGAUUGCGGAGGAGAAGAAGAGGAAGAUGGAGGAGGAGCAGAGGAAGCUGGACUAUGAACGCCUUCAAGGCCUAGAAUCAGCGCACGUGGACUUGGCAGUCAAAUUCCAGCGGCAGCAGGAGCAGAUCGACUCACUUAGCCAGCAAAGGGGGUCUCAGUAGCUGCAGCAGCUAGCGGAUGAUCCAGCAUUGGAUAGCACCGUCCCAUCCAUGCCGAGAAGCAGCGUGGGUUCCGCCCCGGGCGACGCAUUGCUGGAUAGCUACCCACUGGAUGACAUCAUGGAGAACACUAACUGCGAGCUACACUUCAAAAUGAAGAACAUAUCCAUGAAGGUGGCGGACGCCGUUGCUUUUACAAAUCCCCCCGAGGCAACCUUCCAUUGCAACCCGAUUCCAGCGGGCUAUGCUCGUGUCUUGGUUGAUGAGGUGGUGGACCAAUAUUCGGGGCUAGAGCUUGACAUUCCUGGAGGUGACGAGGAGCACACACUGGGAGAGGCCAACCAUCGUAUCAUCCUAUGGAGAAAGGAUUGCAUCAUCUUUCGAAGGCCACCGACACCGCGUCAUCCGACUCCUCGUCGAAGUCCGCCACCGAGUCAGUAGACUCCCGCUCCUCCAAGUCCACCAACGCGUCAGGCCACUCCUCCUCCAAGUCUGGCACAACUUCAGGCCACUCCUCCUCCUCCAAGUCCGGCAAAGCGUCAGGCCACUCCUCCUCCAAGUCCGGCACAGCUUCAGGCCACUCCUCCUCCUCCAACUCAGCCACGUCAGCCGUCUUCGCCGCCUCAGCAAUCACGGAAGAGAGCCGCCUCAGCUAUGGUGCGUAGCGGUACAAGUCAAGGUAGUACUGGAGGUACAGGCGGAGGCAAGCGAUUUCAAUAUGGUCCAAGUAGCCUCGUGCCUCUUCCGCAGAGGCCUUACGACAAGUUCGAGGAGGAAAACACAUCCAUAUCGAAGGCCGAGGUGGAAGCCCAUUUUGCACCAAAACUGCCACCGCCGCCAAGGGAGAAAGUGCCUGAGGAAAAGAUUGACCACUUAAUUCGUAUGGCUAGAGCACCAGCUCCCAAGCCUGUUGACACAGACUAUGAGCGCCAACUCAGGAAGUUAAAUCGAGCAUGUCUACAGAAAGAGGCGAGCUCAAGCUCGAGCAAAUCAGCUGGCAAAAGGAGCGGUAAAACCGUUCCCCAGCUGGGAGAACAGGCGGCGCAAUCAAUCCCCCCGCUUGUUGUGCCAACAACACAUGAGAGUACGCAUGCCCAAUAUUAUUGUGGUCAAACCGUUAACGUUCCCGGACUGGGCGAUGUGGUAAUAACCGAGGAGCAUAUUGAGCAGGCUAUAAGGCUCAUGAUCACUGUUGGACAACUCCUCGAUAUCGAGCCCAUGUCUCUGAUUAGAGAGGAGGAUAUAAAAUGGAAAUAUGUCCGGGGCCAACCUUUGGUCGAGCCAGACGAGGUCAAGAAGCUCCCAACGAGAAUGUAUGAAUUGCAUCAAUGGUACAUGGACAUUACCAAGAUUUCCAAUCGAGAGUCCCUCAUGGUGAAUGUCAAGAAGGAUCAUUACUACCAUGAGAAAGCUGUGUCCGUUGAGUAUUCAGAACUAUUUCAGUUAUACAAUCAAGACGCACUCGACAAAUCUAUCGUCAGUUGCUAUUGUCUGUAAGUAAUUUCUUUUUGUAAUUUAAGUCUCAAGCUAGCUGUAGUGAUCAUUUUGAUCAAUCAUUACCUGUAAUUAUCCUCACUAUAUUCUUUUCUGUGGUAUUAUGCAGGAUGAAGAUUUAUGAAAUGAAAAAAGGUGGACGCUAUGGCAUUGGGUUCAUUGACCCAAAUACCAUUAAUGAAUACACAUGGAAAUUAGAUCCAUAUUAUGAAAAAAGUGUAGAGGAAAGCAUGCUAGAGUUCUUCAAGCACCUCAAUACCAAUGAAGAUAUACUACUAGCUUCCUUACAACUUCGAGUGAGUCACACUGUCUUGUACUACAAAUUCUGUUUUUGCCUACUAGCUAGCUACAUGUUUUUGCUUACAUAUGCCCGCUUAAUUAAGACAUGCAAACGUGUGUGCAUGCAGAUUUCACUAGAUCUUGUUAAUCAUUAAAGUUGAUGAAGGAACAGUUGAAAUACUGGACUCACUACUUAAAAAAGCAAGUGACUACACCAUCUUGUUUGAGAUAGCCAACAGGUAAUUUCAAUCAUUAUUAACUAUAUCUCAGCCUAUUUAGUUCAUCAUUUACUGAUAUGAACUAUUUAAUAACCCCUUUAUUCAUUUUCUUUGUCGGCGGGCAGGGCUUGGGCAAAGUUCAUCAGCGUCACUCCAGGCCAAUGGAAAAAAAGCUAAAAUGGUAUCGACCCAAGAUAAGUAAUUAAGUAGUACUAGCUAGCUACCUGCCAUCUCUUUAAUUAUCAUGCUUGAUUAAUUAUUAUCUGAUCAAAUUCCAUUCUCGUAAAGGCCCUGAAGCAGGCGCCGGGCAAUAAUCUGUGUGCAUACUACGUUUGCGAGAACAUUCGCAUGAUGGCGUCCGAAAGGAGCAGAUCUCAAAGACAGGAGUGGGUACGUUUGUCAGAACACUAUUCACAAUUUUUACAACAUUAUCGAUAUCUAGUCACACAACUAAUACACAUGCAUAUUGAUCUCCUUCUUAACAGUUCAAAGAGGUGUGGGAGUAGCUCCUAGCAGAGGACCGCAUAGAAGCAAUUCAAGAGGAUAGCGGGAUUUUUGCUCGACCAGGUCAUAGAUCCCAAAGGAGAAUACUAUUAUCCGCUACCGCCCCCAUGAACCACUUCCAAUUGUCAUCGUGCUCCGAAGGCACCAAUUAGGCUAAUGCCACUGGCUCUGAAGGGACCAAUUAGGAGAAAUUGUAUAUAGCUAGCUAAUUGUAUAUAUACAUGUGUGUAUAUAUGUGUGAAUUAAUUAAUGGUGGUNNNNNNNNNNNNNNNNNNNNNNNNNNNNNNNNNNNNNNNNNNNNNNNNNNNNNNNNNNNNNNNNNNNNNNNNNNNNNNNNNNNNNNNNNNNNNNNNNNNNNNNNNNNNNNNNNNNNNNNNNNNNNNNNNNNNNNNNNNNNNNNNNNNNNNNNNNNNNNNNNNNNNNNNNNNNNNNNNNNNNNNNNNNNNNNNNNNNNNNNNNNNNNNNNNNNNNNNNNNNNNNNNNNNNNNNNNNNNNNNNNNNNNNNNNNNNNNNNNNNNNNNNNNNNNNNNNNNNNNNNNNNNNNNNNNNNNNNNNNNNNNNNNNNNNNNNNNNNNNNNNNNNNNNNNNNNNNNNNNNNNNNNNNNNNNNNNNNNNNNNNNNNNNNNNNNNNNNNNNNNNNNUUCUAUUUAUAUAUAUGCAUAACGUGUACAAUAUGUAGUAUCGUAAAAUACCAGCAAACGAAAAAGAAUUAAAUGGAAAACACAAAAUUAAAUGAAAAAGAAAUCAUAAACCCAAAACCCCCAACCUUUUAAUACCAGUUGGUGUCACCAACCGGUACUAAAGGGCUCCCUGCCCCCGGAGCUGGCUCGUGCCACGUGGUUGCCCUUUAGCACCGGUUCGUGCUGAACCGGUACUAAGGGGGGGGGGGCUUUAGUGCCCACACUUUAGUGCCGGUUACCGAACCGGCACUAAAGGGCCUUACGAACCGGUGCUAUUGCCCGGUUCUGCACUAGUGUGAGAAGGAGAGACCCAGCUAUGUCUUGAGGGAGAUCGAUCGACAUCCAUACAUAACUAAAGGACGGGAAAUAGGAUGGGACAGAAAGAGAGAGGGGAGAGAGAGGGGUAGAGUGCUGGAUGGGUGAUGGAGUUGCUUCUCAAAGAUGGUGGGAGAGGCCUACUAGACAAACUGAGGGUGGAACUGCAACAUUAUUAAUAAGAGUGGGGAUGUGUUUCUGUGUGUUCCUGUGCGUGAUAGAUCUGUCGAGACGCAUCCAUGGAUGAUGAAGGGGAACCAUGUGUUUGGUAAGCAAACCUAACUAGAUCGGUAGAACAAUUGUUGUUUGUCGGAGGAAGGAAGAGACAUAACUAAUGAGGUGGAUCGAUCUACGCGUGGGGAAUAACGAGUUAUAAGGACCUAGCUAGCUAUAUGAAUAGCGGGAGAUAGGUCGGUGUACGUCCAUUUGUUAGAGGCAAAUAAGGCCCGGCGAGACGGAUAGACAGAGAGAAUGGAGCUAUGAGGUGGUGCGAGAGGCCCAGCUACUAGCUGGAUAGGGGGAGGAGUGUGUGGUUGUGAGAUUGAUGAAAAGAGGGGCGGGAGUUUACACAUGUGUGGGACCAUAUGAGAGACACGAGGCAAGGAAACAUAGAUGAGGAGAUUGAAGGUGAGUGUGUAUGUUGUAGGCAGACAUCGCUGGAGAGGUUUAUUGAUCGGUGUAUGUCACAAAGGAGUUGUGGAGACUGUGGGAGAACGACCUAAAGAAAAAAUGAAUGUGCGCGAUGGAUAGAAUGCUGAGGGAGGGGGAGGGCGAGGAGGGCGUGUGCAUGCACGAGAGAAAGUUAGUGGUAGCUACAAAGGUUAGAGGAUUGUGUGGGUGUAAGAGACUAACAAAGAUCAUAAUUUGAUAUGAAAGUGGAUUCAUAUAUUUGAAUAGGAGAUCAUACUGUUUUAAACAUAUGCAUGCAUGAAUAUAGCGGUGAUACACGUGUUGUGGUUUUGCACAUGUUAUACCAUAAUGUGAUAAUGCAUGGCGUUUGCAACUCACAGCUAAAUGUCAAACAAUCUAAACCAUACUAUACAUCGAACAAUCUCACAUUUUAUUUGAAUUUGUGAUAAUGUGUGGUGUUUGCAGCUUACAACUAAAUAUCGAACAAUCUAAACAAUACUAUAUAUCGAACAUUCUCACAUUUUAUUUGAAUUUGUGGUAAUGUGUGGUGUUUGCCACUCACAUCUAAAUACUUGUAGGCGUAGGAGGCGGGGCACCAUACAUAAUGUGAUAAACACAUUAUACAUAUGAGACAUGGUUUAGAUUAUGAAGAUCUAGCUAGAGCUUGAAAUGUACUAUGACUUGAAAUCAACAUAAAGUGGAUUCAAAAAAUUGAGUUCGAGUUCAUAUAGUACACAUAGUUCAUAUGUAACUCGAGAGUAAUCAUGUGGUGUGCUAUGAAGAUAAUACACAAACGAUGGUUUAACUUGACAAUAAUGAUGAUUGUAGAUCUUAUUAAAACAGAGAAAUGAAUUCAAAUGCUUUGACUUCACAACAACCAUUAUUGUAGAUCUUAUUCAAAUAGAGAAACAAACUCAAAUUUAGUUCAUAUUGAAGCGGUAGUAUAUACGUUUGGAAUGCACUAAAACGUUCAUUUGAGUAGUAGGUUGCAUGCAUUAUACACAUAGAAAAAUAUUUUAAUUGAACAUAACAUGAAUUCAAAGUUUUGAAUGACAUUUGUAGUGCGAAUUGAUUUGGUACAGUACACGUUAGGCUUGUCCGGAAAUUUCAACCCGCGCCUUGUUAGCCUGAAAUAUUUAAGAUAUGUCUUUGUCUCGUUGUGCUCCAACAACACCCUCCAUCUCAACCCGCGCCUUGCUAUUCCAAAAUUACAACGCGCGCGAAAACUCCCACCUCCUGUGAAAUCCCGACACGUGAAAUGCCCGUGAUACCCCUGAACCGAAAGAACUGCCUCAAAUCGGUGGGGGUACUUUCGUAACUUACCCCACAUUUCGGACAAGCGCGUCCCUAAGCCAUGGUUCCCCACUCCCAUCCCAUCCGAUCACCCAUUCGUACACUGUCGGGGAUAUACCCCGCGGCAUAAACCGGCCGGAAGUAUAACCCGGCCGGAGUUGGCGGUUUACUUGAGAUCCGACUGACACUUGGCGAUUCACUGGCGACCCGCCUUGACCUGGCGGUUUACAAGCAACCCACCUGGUCAUUAUGACUCACUGGUGAUCCGGCGUACGGGACAGACAGAUGACAAGGCCCAAGGCCCAGAAGGCCGGUUCACGUUUAAUGCUGGGCCGGUUUAAGGGGAAAGGCAUGACGAAUAUUUACCUUACAAGGAGUUAGACCAGGACCUGUAUCCGGUUUAUAUUAGAGAUAGACUAGUCCUAAUCCUAAUAGGACUCCACAUGUAACCCGCCCCUUCAACAUAUAUAAGGAGGGGCAGGGCUCCCAAAAGAGGACAAGCUACAAGCAAGAAGAAACAAUCUUAAGGCUAGACACAAAGAGGAGAGCCGGUUUACGGCGACUCCCUCGUGAUGAUAAUGAGACCUAGCCUCAAACAACAUGUAGGGUUGUUACCGGAUGAUGUUUCCUGGGGCCCGAAGCUGUCUAAAUCCUUGUCUUGCGUGUUGAUCCGCCCUGCAUCUCUCGUCCCACUCAACCCCUCUCAAGCUACCACAUAGAUGCGUUGACCUCGCGACUAAGUCCUGACACUAAGGACAUCUGCCGUGACAAAUCCACGACAGUUGGCGCCCACCAUGGGGCACGCGCAUGGUGGUGUUGAGUUCUUGAAGGGAGCUCUUCAAAGGAUCGAGAAAGUCGCGGUCGGUCAGAUCAGGAAGAACCGGCUCGAAAGUAUAUUAACUAUGGCAAUGGUCUCGUUGGACAAUGGAAAGUAUGGUUAGCAAUUGACCAUGGAACCAGCUAGGAAAAGUCUACAUCAGAGUUAUAUUCUUUAAACCGGAUUUACAACCGAUAAGAUUGAAGGAUAUGAGGGUUUGGCGUGUUCUCUGUGCGUCACCGAGGCAACGUGAUCCGUCGAAUCCGAGUUGGAAAUCAGAUUUUGGCCGCUACAGCUGGGUAUCGCCAAGGUCGACAUGAGUUACGCUACCUCAUCAUCCGCCGCCUUGCCGCGGUGGUCUGUCUCCAAGCAGUACUGCCGCCUUGCCUUUGCAGCUGCGCCCUGUCUGAGUCACAUCCAUCAUCGACAUCUCCACUUGAUCUCGGAUUGAGUCAUCACCGCUACCGAUUCAAUGUUAAGAAGGAAAUUGGUAUUGCGUUUGAGCCGGAUUCUAAAGCUGACUCGCCGCCCGACCUCUUCAAGUCGCGACCUUGGGUCGCCGUACCACCGGCCGCCUACAGCGCCAAUACGGCCCCAAGACGCGAGCUACCUCGGGCUGCCGCGGACGCCGCUCACCUCCACCGUGAACCGGCCUCUGCUGCUGCUAAACCGACCCUCUACUGCUACUGACUCGGCUUCUACUGCUGCUGACCCGGCUUCCACGCUGCUUCCCUGGACCGGCGUCGCCUCUGAUCCGCCAUCGUUGACCCCUCCAUGGCUCAUUCCCGCGGCCUUCUCCGCUCCACCCGCCACCGGAGCAUCGCCGGGGCCCUCCAAACCGUCUCCACAACUGACUAACAUCACGGCCGCCUCAAGCUCCGUGAGCGUUAGGCUGUCCCUGUUUCAUCAAAGUUGCCGCUCGCCGCUUUGCUGCAGCCCGAGUCGCCGCCGUGGUGCCGCAUCGCCCCGGGUCAUGGCCUCGCUUCAUCCGCUCGCCCCCAAACCGCCUUGUCAGGUUAAGACCAAUGCCGCAGUCUGCUUCAACCACAGCCGCAGGCCUCGCCUUGUCUUCGGUCGUGAACCGCCCCGUUCUAAACCGCUAAUACAGCCACAAGUUGCCGUGCCUCGUCAAUUCGUCGGCCCACCGCGGCCCUGUGCUAAAUCACCGGCCUGCCGUCUCCUUCAGUGACAUUAUAGUGGGAGAGCUGCUGCUGCUGAGCCACCGGCCCCGUCGCCAAGUCACCGUCCACCUUUGACGGCUGUGCUGUGCGCCAUGGUCUUACUUCGCCUCUAUACGAGUCGCUGCGCGGGGUCACCAUGCCCGCUCAUCCUUAUAAACCGGAGCCACUGAGGUCGCGGGUGCUGUUGCUGUGGUGCUGUGGUCGCGGGCGCUGCUGCUGGUUCGAGCCCUCCUUCUAGUGCCAUCCCAGACUUGAGGCGUUUGAAGCCCUAUACUGGUACAUCAGGCUGCAUACUCGAAAUCACCUGAUGAAGUUGAUUCAAUCUGAACAUACGGGUGCGUAGUGGACAUACGGCAUGCCCCGAACGACGCUACUGGUGCAUAGUAGACAUGCGGGUGAAGUAUAUGCCCGUGACAGGAUUCAUAGCACUCAACACCCGAAUGAAGUUCUGACGAUUUGGACCUUUAAAGUCAGAUGUUUAAUGACAAAGCACCUCGGAGAGCCCAAGAGCAGUCCAAGAUAAAAAUGUUAGUGCCGCUGCACAAGUCCCAAAAAAGCUGAUGCAAGGUCAUCAUGAUAUCUUAUCACGUGAGGAAAAGAAGCAAGGUGUAAUACUGCUGCUUCAAAAUUUUGUUUUCUCAAAUGGCUCGAACCACCCACGUGAAGGGCUAAGCACCAACAUCUACGUGAGAAUCAAAAACAAGAGCCGCCCCGGUUUAAGGUCUCCUCAAGAGAGUGAUUAAAGCGCCAUUGGAAUCACCAUGGAUUAUUCAUGGACGCUAUGUACGGAUCAUCCGUCAUCCAGACCAGUCAGGAUAAUCAUUCACUACAAAUAUGGUUUAUACCAUGGGUAUGGAGCACGGGCUGACAAUAUUCCGCCCGGUGAUAGUCCGUAACAUAUUACCCGAUGAAUGGACGCACACAAGCCGCCGCCCGGUCUACAUCAAUUAGCUGGGACAGCGCCUAAGAUUGACUCGCGCAUCCGCACCAGCUUACAAUGCCACGGAUGACUCGCCCGUCCGCUCUCGCGGCCGGUUCACGCGUCCGCGCCGGCUUACAACGAGGAGGACAACUUGCUUGUCCGCACCGACGUACAGUGCCGUGGCCGACUCAUCUAUGUUGCCUCUGAUGCUUACGAUCGUAUUCUUUGUCCAUCUCUCACGGCCUGGUCUACAUCAACACACCGGGCCGCACCUGUCUGCAUGAGUUAUUCAUUGAGUAUGAGCAAGUCACUGCUUGGGAAGCCGGUUUUCUUCCAACAAAUUGGAGGCAAAUUAUCAUGUAUUAUUACCCGCCGUUUGCACUGGAUGGCUCAAUGGGCAGGCACGCAAGUCGCCGCCACUACAGUUUUGGUUAAACUUCAAAUCGCCAGUUGGAAGGAACCAUUGGCCGAGUUGCUGACACGGCUCGUAUGGGAUCAUUUAUAACCUGCCGCAGUCACCUCAACUUUCUGUGGAUUCACAUCGCAUUAUCAACAUCAAUGAUAUACACCUUCUGCUAUGGUCAAACACGGAGAAUCUCAAGCCAACUCCUCGAGUCACCUUUGAGACUCGAGGGCUACGAUGACAUGACUCAACAAAUUUUGCCAGUUUUAGCAAAUUUAAGAACCCCAGGACGAUGGAGGGAAAGAUAACCUGGUCCCGGAGGCUACUGUUGUAUUGAUAACAAUUUAAAGGCCGUCUGAAAAUUUCCGGCUUAGAAAGUAUAUGACAGUUACGAAAUCCCGGCUCAAUGAAGAAGUUCUGGGUCAUCAAAGAGGAUACCAGUUUAAAAUCCGGCUCAAGGGAAGUCAGUCUCACCGAAGCUCUCAAAUAUCCGGUUUACAAUCCAGUUCAAGGGAAAUCUGUUCUCCCACAAAGCUCUGAAGCGCUCAAAUCCAGUUUAACAAUGUCCGGUUCAAAAAGGAAUUAACUUCUCGCAAGUUCGAGUUUAAAGGCCAUCAGAAAAUUUCCGGCUAAAAAUAAAGAUUCUGGUUUAAAAUCCGGUUCAAGGGAAAGAUAUCUCCCACAAAGCUUUGAAGCUCUCAAUAUCUGGUUCAAGAUCCCGGUUCAAGAGGAAUUUAUCUCUUGCAAAAUGUUAAAGAGGACCUGUAGCCAUGAUGCGCGGUUCAAACAUGGGUAUCCCGCCUUACUGGCCUGACAUAUUAUUGAUCACAUGGGGGCUUCCACUUCAUAAAGCGGGGUCUCUGUUCUUUUACAUCAUACAUGGUUACACGGAGUUGUUCUGUCUUAAAGCGGCCUCCGGUUUACCCCUUGAAAAUUUUAUAAACAUCACUUGGGGGCUUGGUCGUGUCCGAACCAAUGCAACACCUUUUGAUAGGCGAAAGCCACCAGAUCACUUGGGGACAUGGUCAAGUCUGAACCAGUCACGCCUCUUGAUCGGCCUAAGGCCAUAGAAUCACUUGGGGGCUUGGUUGAACCCGAACCAUUGCCACGCCUCUUGAUCGGCAUAAUGCCACGGUUUCAUUUGGGGACCUGGCUGACUUGAACCAUAGCUACACCAUUGGGGAGCUUGGUCGUGUUCGACCAUGGUAACACCAUCUGAUCGGCUCAAUAAGCCUCUUUUUGCAAAUGGUUUUAUCAUUGCCUUUGCUUCAAUAUUUUCCUUGAUAACUAUUUCUUUUAUUUUUGUUACGUUUUUAAACCGAUAAUUCUUAAACUGGUUCGACCAUCAAAUUACAAAUUGGCGGAACACGGUCAAAUCUUAAUCCGGAGGCUAUCUGCCCAGUUUGAUUUUCUGUUACCAUCCUAUUAUGGAGUAAACCGGUGUUUAUCAACCCGACUAGGCUUUCAACUACAAGUUGUUAGUACACGAUCAAGUUAUAAUUCGGAGACUAUCCUACCGGUCUGGUUUGACUACAAGUCACCAGUAUUAUAUAUGGUUAAUCUGGGGUUUAUCACAAACCCGAUACGGUUUUAUCAUAAACCGAUACAAUAUGAAAGGAGUUAUCAUUACUCAAAGAUUGGGGUUAUCACUCUUACUACAAAAAGUUGGUAAACCAACGAUGUGAUUCAAUGUCACAGGUAUGAUAUAUUUCAUAUUUUUAAGUGCAGCCUUGGUUAUAAACCCAGGUUAUACGUUGGGCAUUAUGACCCGUCCGGUGGUAAACCGCCAGGACACUUUAAACUUGUUGUAUGCAGAAACAGGUUGAAUAAAGUAUGAUGAUAAAUUCCGGUGUUUGUUAAACCGGCCUGGCUUUUGACUAUAAGUCGCCAGAAUGAUGAUAAAUUAUCCGGUGUUUAUUAAACCGGCCUGGCUUUAAGACAAUAAGUCGCCAGUAUAUGAUGAGAAAUUAUCCGGUGUUUGUUAAACCGGCCUGGCUUUGGACUAUAAGUCGCCAGUAUAUAUUUGGAUUGCACCAUUGGAAUCAUGCGCUUAUAAAAUGAUUGGGUUAUAUUAUUCAAAUAGCCAAACUUGGCUGAAUUUCAUUAUGAUAUUGGAUAAAUAAGAUUUUCAUACCAGAUUAUAUUAUCUUGAAUAGCCAACAUGGCUGGAUUUUUAUUAUGGUUAUUAAUAUUAUGAUUGAGGUUUUCAAAGUCGCUUUAGCGCAAUGGAUAUUAUUUUGUCGAUGAAUAUGAUUUAUUUUGCAAUGGAAGGAAUAGUCUCGAGUCGCUGCAGGCUUAUCACCCGGCACUUGGGGGCUACAUUAUUCAACUUAAGAUUAUAUCAAAUAUGCAAGUCUCAUGUCGCUGCAAGCAUGCACCAUAACACUUGGGGGCUAAUGCAAAGUCAUUUUUUGCUCAUCUUAUUGAAGACCCGACUCAUCAUAUCAUAAUGAGCCGGCCCUUGGGGGCUGCACAUCACUGCUCAAGUUUACAUGAUCAUAUUUAUAAAGUCCAUGCUCAUUAUUGCAUAAUGACCUGGCCCUUGGGGGCUACACUGGUUGAAGUUUUUAUGAGUAUAAGGCAAUUACAAGUCCCAGGUUGCUGCAAGCAUGACAACCCGGCACUUGGGGGCUACAUAUAUGGAGUCUUCAGUUUUUACUCGUGACUGGGAUGAACAACAUGGAUUUCUUCAAAAGUGGCAAUAUUUAUAUUGAAGUAAGUCUUAAACCAUCACUUUGUUCUGCUCAAGACUUGGGGGCUACAGGUAAUAUGCAUAUAAGGAGAAAUAUUUUCAAAUUCUCUGUUUUGAGCAAACCAGAUUGACCCGGUGUCACCAAUUAUUAUGACCCUGUGUCUGCAACCCGGCAUCAUCAGUAAUCAUGAACCGGCGUUAGCAACAGUCAUGACCCGGAAUUAUCAGUUAUUAUAACCCGGUAAUUUUGGUAAUAUUAAACCGGGAAGUUUUACAUCUUCAAACCGGCCGGAUAUCAGAUGAGUAUUUCAAGACCAAAAUUUCUUAAGCCAGCAUUUUGGAAGCCGACUCAAGUGGAUUAUUCUUCACAAUAUUUUUCUAUGAGAAACCAACGUCAGCAAUUUAAAGUAUGAAGUUGGUUAUUGAUCCGGAUUUUCUAGAAGGAGGGAAUGACAAGGACUUAAGGAUGAUCAGGUGCCGGUCUACAAGAAUUCUUAAACUGGAACACAACCCGCCAAAUUUGUUCUUGUGUUUAUGUUGCAGAUCAGUUUAACAUGGACAAAUCCAAAUUAAACUGGGGGCUAAUGUCGGGGAUAUACCUCGCGGCGUAAACCGGCCGGAAGUAUAACCCGGCCGGAGUUGGCGGUUUACUUGAGAUCCGGCUGACACUUGGCGAUUCACUGGCGACCCGCCCUGACCUGGCGGUUUACAAGCAACCCACCUGGUCAUUAUGACUCACUGGUGAUCCGGCGUACGGGACAGACGGAUGACAAGGCCCAAGGCCCAGAAGGCCGGUUCACGUUUAAUGUUGGGCUGGUUUAAGGGGAAAGGCAUGAUGAAUAUUUACCUUACAAGGAGUUAAGACCAGGACCUGUAUCCGGUUUAUAUUAGAGAUAGACUAGUCCUAAUCCUAAUAGGACUCCACAUGUAACCCGCCCCUUCAACAUAUAUAAGGAGGGGCAGGGCUCCCAAAAGAGGACAAGCUACAACAAAGAAGAAACAAUCUUAAGGCUAGACACAAAGAGGAAAGCCGGUUUAUGGCGACUCCCUCGUGAUGAUAAUGAGACCUAGCCUCAAACAGCAUGUAGGGUUCUUACCGGAUGAUGUUUCCCGAGGCCCAAGCUGUCUAAAUCCUUAUCUUGUGUGUUGAUCCGCCCUACGUCUCUCGUCCCACUCAACCCCUCUCAAGCUACCACAUAGAUGCGUUGGCCUCGCGACUAAGUCCUGACACUAAGGACAUCUGCCGUGAUACCCCUGAACCGAAAGAAUCGCCUCAAACCGGUGGGGGUACUUUCAUAACUUACCCCACAUUUCGGACAAGCGCGUCCCUAAGCCAUGGUUCCCCACUCCCAUCCCAUCCGACCACCCAUUCGUACACCAAGGACGGGAAAACCCACGAAGCCCCACGCCCUCCUCCGUCCGCCACCCAGCCGGAGCCUCUUUCCCGAUGACGUAGUCCACAUGAACACCUCGACGUCCCUCAUCCAUCAUACCGGAUGAUGAUCCAUUGUCGAUCUGGUCAUCCCGCCGGUUCAGUCACCCUGUCCUCCACCUCCAAGGAGCUGCCCCGACGUUCCCCUCGUCUUUCGCGCCACCUCCAGUCCCACACCGCCAUCUUCACCUGCACCACCGGAAGAGCAUCAUCAUCACUAUUUCCUCGGAUGAAGCUGCGGCCUAAUCGGCGCCACCAAAGAGGCUGUACACUAAUCACCGCAUUUUCUUCUUGAUUCGAUCUCACGGUGCUGCCGGCGCUCGGUCUCGAGCCGACACGGCGCGACUCCAUCCACGGCGGUGUCACCGGCCACUUCCUCCAUGGCGUUGCUCCCUCGGCGGCGACGUCCACAUCAGUAGGAGCUGCUGCUGCUUUAGCUCUCCCUCGCGCUGCUGCUCUGCUAUUACUCUCGGUCCCCUGCCUUGUCUGCUCUUGCUCUUGCUCGUGCUGCUGCUCUCGCUCUUGCUCUUGCUUGCGAUGCUGCUCUGAUUUAGCUACACUUCAGUCGACUGAAUCGACUUUUGGGUCAUUCGAUUUUCAGGGGGUGGGGGUGCUCGCCGGACUUAAGGAAGAACCAGCCGUAGCGGGGAGGGGGCUCACCGGAGAGGUACCUCACUAUCUAUCUUAGGGUUCAGGGUGGGGGCGGUGGUCGCCGGCGAUGGUGGGGCGGUGACAUCGGGAUCGCCGAAGAAAAAGCUCGGCAUGAGGGGGGGGGUAGAGGGAUGGCCGGGGUGGCGGUGGGGAGUGUUUUCGGGACGGGCGGGGUGGCGCACUAUCGGCGGCGGGUGGCGGGGGGCGGCUGUUUGGCCGGUGGUCGCUGGCGGCUCAGGGGGUGGAGGUUGAAGAUGAAUUGCAGGCCCUUGAUUUCAUAUCCAAUGGCUGCAAAAUCGACUGACCAGAGACGAAAAAGUCAGUCGACUGACGUGUAGCCUCACCUCUAGUGCGUUCAGUUUCGACAGUAAAAUUUAGUUUCGACAGCAAAAUUUAGUUUCGACAGUUAAGUUCAGUUUCGAUAGUUAAAUUCAGUUUUGACAGUUAAGUUCAGAGAUGAGCGGCUGAUGUAUUUUACAUCUAGCACUUUGUGGUUAUGUAUUUUAUGUCAUCUAUUGGAGAUGCUAUUAGAAUUCCACUCAGGUUAAUGUUGUCUCUCUUGUCCUGCUUUAGCCUCGGUGUUGUACAACUCACCAGAGCUGCUCCAACGACGAAACCCUCCAUCACAGCGGAGCAGUACCUCGGGCUCCAUCUACAAACGCCUAAGAUCUUCUUCCCCUCCCCCGACAGCCAAGUCAGCCGGAGCAUCCUCACCAGCCAACCCAAUCACGCUGAGAUCGACAUGGCUUCGCCAAAGAGGUUGUACACUUGUUGCAUCUCUUUUUUACCCUACAUGUUAUAUAUAUAUAUAUAUAUAUAUAUAUAUAUAUAUAUAUAUAUAUAUAUAUAUAUAUAUAUAUAUAUAUAUUGUCCACUAAGCACACGGAGUAACGAGAAAUACGAUUAUUUUAGCCUACUAUAUGACAAGCAGUGAGGUACCAGGCAACUUAGCUAUCUGUGAUGGACUCUCUUGAAUGCCAUCAUUAUUUAUCUCUGCGCAUUUGAGCUGUGCAUUUGUCGAUGGCCAUGGGAGCUGAGCUAGUAGGGCAGUGGCCUGGGUACAAAGUAAUAGAAGUAGCACAAAAACAUUUUUUAGUGUAGACUUUUCCUUGCUCAAGCCUGCCUACUAGAAUCGCCAGUGCUUGAAAGGAAAAGUGAAUGAAAAACAUAGGAAUUGGAAAGUUUCCUAUGGUACUACUUUUCAUGAAUUUGGUGCAAAGGAAUGGAGCAAAGGAAAACUGUAGGAUUUGUUCCUUUAGUGUCUCCUUGAAAGAAAAACCGUAGGAAUUUUAAUUUCCACUUGUCCUCCUUUUCAAUUUCCUAUUCAUGAAGCACAAGACUAAGAGAUAGUAGCAUAAUAGCAUUAUAUUCGUACAAUUUCUUGUGGUUUGACUUAAUCUCACCAUGCUUCUUUGCAUCCUAUGUUCUUCCAAUUCUUGUGAACGAAACACCCAGAUUGGCAAAAAUCCGGUGUUUUUAAAUUCUCUGUUUUGCACGUGCAUUCCUAUCCUAUUCCUGUCUAUUUCCUAUCCCUGCAUUGUUAGAAUCCUCAAAUUUAAACAAGCCCUUACACAAUUACUUCUGUUACAGAUAUAUAUCAUGACAUCAUUUUUAUUACGUGUUAGAUUUGUCAACAAAUUUAGUACAUUCAAUUACUCUUCCUGUGCAUCAGCCAUUCGACACGGUCAUGAAAAAAAUCUGGAGUGGAAACAAGGUCUUCAUAGCAGACAAUGCUAUCUGACGAAGUGCAUGUCUUGCUGGUUACAGAUAGCUCCUUGGAGGAGGAUUCAGAGACAGAUGAUCAGUCCUAUCCCCCCCGAGGUGCAUGCUCUAACUUGGCAGGGUUAUGUUGCUCAUAUCGUGCGUAUGGUAUCUUGCAUUGCUAUGUCAUUUGCUUAGUUUAGACAUGCUUUGUGUGAAUGCCACCUGUUUAGUGUCUAAUUACCAUAUAUGUGAAUUAUGCAAUGCCAUCUUGUUGCAAGACAUUAUAUAUGUGAAUUAUGCAAUGCUAUCUUGUUGCAAGGCAUUAUAUAUGUGAAUUAUGCAACGCCAUGCUGUUUAGCCAAGCGUUAUAUAUGUGAAUUAUAUCAUGCCGCCCUUUUUUGUAUUUCUCAUUGCUUUUGUCGACAAUGUUUGUAUAUUCAACUGCUCUUCCUAUGCAUCAGCCAUUUGAAUUGGUGAUGGAGAAAUCUAGAGUGAAAACAAGGUCUUCAGAGCAGACAAUGCUACCUGCUGAAGCAUAUAUCUUGCUGGUUAUGGAUAGCUCUUCAGAUGAGGAUUCAGAGGCAGAUGACCAGUCCUAUUAUCCCCCUGAGGUGUAUGCUCAAACUUGGCAGGGUUAUAUUACUCAAAUCAUGCAUAUUGCAAUGCUUAGUUUUUACAUCAUAUACACGAUAUUGAAUGCCAUCUCCUUAGUAGACACAUCAUAUAUGCGAUUUCCCUCUGCUCACUUCCUUAGUAUAUAAAUCAUAUAUUUGAAUUAUAUCAUGCCAUGAUGUUUACAUAGACAACAUGUAUCUGAAUUAUGGCAUGCCAACCCAUUUUCUAAAGACAUAAUAUAGUUAUAUCAUCUCAUCCUGUUUACAUAGUCAUCAUAUUUUGAAUUAUGUCAUUCUAUCCGUGAAUUAUAUCAUGCCAUCAUGUUUCCAUCGACGGCAUGUUUGUGAUUUAUGGCAUGCCAACCACUUUAAUAGACACAUCAUAUAGUUAUAUCAUGUCAUCCUAUUUACAUAGUCAUCAUAUUUUGAAGUAUGUCAUUCUAUCUGCUACCUCUCGAGCACUGCGUUGGUUUUUCCUUGAAGAGGAAAGGGUGAUGCAGCAAAGUAGCGUAAGUAUUUCCCUUAGUUUUUGAGAACCAAGGUAUCAAUCCAGUAGGAGAUCAUGCUCAAGUCCCACGCACCUACGCAAACAAAUAAGAACCUCGCAACCAACACGAUAAAGGGGUUGUCAAGCCCUUCACGGCCACUUAUGAGAGUGAGAUCUGAUAGAUAUGAUAAGAUAAUAUUUUUGGUAUUUUUAUGAUAAAGAUGCAAAGUAAAAUAAAAGGCAAAGGAAAUAACUAAGUAUUGGAAGAUUAAUAUGAUGGAAGAUAGACCCGGGGGCCAUAGGUUUCACUAGUGGCUUCUCUCAAGAGCAUAAGUAUUACGGUGGGUAAACGAAUUACUGUCGAGCAAUUGAUAUAAUUGAGCAUAGUUAUAAGAAUAUAUAGGUAUGAUCAUGUAUAUAGGCAUCACGUUCGAGUAAAGUAGACCGAAACGAUUCUGCAUCUACUACUAUUACUCCACACGUCGACCGCUAUCCAGCAUGCAUCUAGAGUAUUAAGUUCAUAAGAAUAGAUUAAUGCUUUAAGGAAGACGACAUUAUGUACAGGGAUAAACUCAUGCAAUAUGAUAUAACCCCCAUAUUUUUAUCCUCGAUGGAACAAUACAAUACGUGUCGGUUCCCUUUCUGUCACUGGGAUCGAGCACCGCAAGAUUGAACCCAAAGCUAAACACUUCUCCCAUUGCAAGAAAGAUCAAUCUAUUAGGCCAAACCAAAUUCAUAAUUCGAAGAGACCUGCAAAUAUAAACCAAUCAUACAUAAAAGAAUUCAGAGGAGAAUCAAAUAUUGUUCCUAGAUAAUCUGGAUCAUAAACCCACAAUUCAUCGGAUCUCGACAAACACACCGCAAAAGAAGAUUACAUCGAAUAGAUCUCCAAGAAAAUCAAGGAGAACUUUGUAUUGAGAUCCAAAGAGAGAGAAGAAGCCAUCUAGCUAAUAACUAUGGACCCGUAGGUCUGAAGUAAACUACUCACACAUCACCGGAGAGGCCAUGGAGUUGAUGUAGAGGCCCUCCGUGAUCAAUGCCCCCUCCGGCGGAGCUCCGAAAAAGGCCUCGAGAUGGGAUCUCUCGAGUACAGAAGGUUGCGGUGGUGGAAUUAGGUUUUCGUGGUGCUCCUGGAUGUUUGGGGGUACGUGGAUAUAUAUAGGAGGAAUAAGUACGUCGGUGGAGCAACACAGGGCCCACGAGGGUGGAGGGCGCGCCAAGGGGGGUAGGCGCGCCCCCCUGCCUCGUGCCUUCCUCCCUUGUUUCUUGACGGCCACUCCAAGCCUCCUGGAUCACGUUUGUUGAGAAAAUCACGUUCCUGAAGGUUUCAUUCCGUUUGGACUCCGUUUGAUAUUCCUUUUCUUCGAAACCCUAAAAUAGGCAAAAAAACAACAAUUUGGGUUGGGCCUCCGGUUAGUAGGUUAGUCCCAAAAAUGAUAUGAAAGUGUAAAAGAAAGCCCAUUAACAUCCAAAAUAGAUAAUAUAAUAGCAUGGAGCAAUCAAAAAUUAUAGAUACGUUGGAGAUGUAUCACAAUCCUGUUUAGUUAGCCAUCAUACAUGUGAAAUUGUGCCAUGCUAUCCUGUUUAAUUAGCCAUCAUAUAUGUGAAAUUAUGUCCUGCUAUUCUGUUUGGUUAGACCACAUAAAUGUGAAUUAUUUCAUGCCCUAUUUUCUUCCCUACUAUCCAUUGCACCUGUCUAUCUUACAAUUUCUGUACAUUCAAUUACUUUUCUUGUUUACCAGCCAUUUCAAUUUGAGGGGGUGAUGGCAGUAUCCGUGGGAGUUAAAACACAGUCUUCAGAAAAGAUCGUGCUACAUGUCGAUGGAGAUAGAACCACGGUUGUACUUGCCCAAGAACCAGCCCCACCACACAUAACCCAGACUCACGCAGAUUGUACCCCUACCCAGUUGGACAGAGAACUAGCUACACCCUUUCUAACCCCAACCCCGGCAGAUAGUAACCCAGUUCCCGUUGACACAUCACCGUCUCCACCACAGAGCACCCAAACACGAGCAGUUAGUAAGGCAACUGCAGUGCCCAAAGCACGAGGACCACCACUUCGAACCCCAAGUCAACGCUUAAAGCAGAAGAAGAAUUGUUCUCAGGUCAGGUUUCAUAGCUAUGGUUCACACUACUUUGCUCUUGCAUCACUGCAUUUACUCAUACCAACUAAUUUCAAAUUUGAAGGAUGCAAUUGAAACUCCAAUGGUGCAAUAGGUAUGUUUUAAACCUGUUUCUUUAACGUGUUUGCUGUUGUAACUUGCACUAUGUUGAUUUCAGUUUCAAUUGAAUAAACAGUUAUGUUCUCAUGCCAUGCACAUUACAAGUGUUGUUAUUGCUGUGUAGUUUCCCACACUUAUAUUCUGUCUAUGCUGCUUUGUCUUACAUAGAUAUGAUUCAAACUGUAUCAAUCUUGAUUUGGCAACAUAAAAUAGAAUGAUAUAGACCAUACAGUGACCAUACCACAUAGAUAUAUGUUUGUUUCAUGAUGUUAUCCCGUCCACCUUACUACUGAACUGGUUUACCAAAAUGAGUUUCAUAUACUACAUUGUAAACCUGUGAUGUGUUUGUUUGUUUAUCUUUUAGAACACGGAUAAAAUAUUGGAGAAGAGUACCCCGUUAUACAGAUAGUGAGACAUCCCUGUUGGUCUCCAAGAAAGUUGAUAAAAACUGUUGGGUUUCGUAGUAAUUUCAAAAAAAUUCCUACGCACACGCAAGAUCAUGUGAUGCAUAUCAACGAGAGGGGAGAGUGAUGUCUAUGUACCCACGCAGACCGACUGCGGAAGCGUUGACACAAUGUAGAGGAAGUAGUCGUACGUCUUCAUGAUCCAACCGGUCAAGCACCGAAACUAUGGCACCUCCGAGUUCGAGCACACGUUCAGCUCGAUGACGAUCCCCGGACUCCGAUCCAGCAAAGUGUCGGGGAAGAGUUCCGUCAGCACGACGGCGUGGUGAUGAUCUUGAUGUACUACACUAGCAGGGCUUCGCCUAAACUCCGCUACAGUAUUAUUGAGGACUAUGGUGGCUGGGGGCACCGCACACGGCUAAGGAGUAGAUCACGUGGAUCAACUUGUGUGUUCUAGGGUGCCUCUGCCUCAGUAUAUAAAGGACUAGAGGGGGGGGAGGCUGGCCGGCCAAGGUGUGGCGCGCCAGGAGAGUCCUACUCCCUCUGGGAGUAGGAUUCCCCCCCAAUCCUAGUUGGAAUAGGAUUCGCGGAGGGGGAAAAGAGAGAGAGGGGGCCGGCCACCUCUCCUAGUCCUAAUAGAACUAGGGGAAGGGGAGGCGUGCAGCCCAUGUAGGGCUGCCUCUUCUCCUUUCCACUAAGGCCCAUCAUGGCCCAUUUAGCUCCCGGGGGGUUCCGGUAACCUUCCCGGUACUCCGGUAAAAUCCCGAUUUCACCCGGAACACUUCCGAUAUCCAAACAUAGGCUUCCAAUAUAUCAAUCUUUACGUCUCGACCAUUUCGAGACUCCUCGUCAUGUCCGUGAUCACAUCCGGGACUCCGAACAACCUUUGGUACAUCAAAAUGCCUAAACUCAUAAUAUAACUGUCAUCGUAACCUUAAGCGUGCGGACCCUACGGGUUCAAGAACAAUGUAGACAUGACCGAGACACGUCUCCGGUCAAUAACCAAUAGCGGGACCUGGAUGCCCAUAUUGGCUCCUACAUAUUCUACGAAGAUCUUUAUCGGUCAGACCGCAUAACAACAUACGUCGUUCCCUUUGUCAUUGGUAUGUUACUUGCCCGAGAUUCGAUCAUCGGUAUCCAAUACCUAGUUCAAUCUCGUUACCGGCAAGUCUCUUUACUCGUUCUGUAAUACAUCAUCCCGCAACUAACAUAUUAGUUACAAUGCUUGCAAGGCUUAUGUGAUGUGCAUUACCGAGAGGGCCCAGAGAUACCUCUCCGACAAUCGGAGUGACAAAUCCUAAUCUCGAAAUACGCCAACCCAACAUCUACCUUUGGAGACACCUGUAAUGCUCCUUUAUAAUCACCCAGUUACGUUGGGACGUUUGGUAGCACCCAAAGUGUUCCUCCGGCAAACGGGAGUUGCAUAAUCUCAUAGUCGUAGGAACAUGUAUAAGUCAUGAAGAAAGCAAUAGCAACAUACUAAACGAUCGGGUGCUAAGCUAAUGGAAUGGGUCAUGUCAAUCAGAUCAUUCUCUUAAUGAUGUGAUCCCGUUAAUCAAAUAACAACUCAUUGUUCAUGGUUAGGAAACAUAACCAUCUUUGAUUAACGAGCUAGUCAAGUAGAGGCAUACUAGUGACACUUUGUUUGUCUAUGUAUUCACACAUGUAUUAUGUUUCCGGUUAAUACAAUUCUAGCAUGAAUAAUAAACCUUUUAUCAUGAUUAUAAGGAAAUAAAUAAUAACUUUAUUAUUGCCUCUAGGGCAUAUUUCCUUCAGUCUCCCACUUGCACUAGAGUCAAUAAUCUAGAUUACACCGUAAUGAUUCUAACACCCAUGGAGCCUUGGUGCUGAUCAUGUUUUGCUCGUGGAAGAGGCUUAGUCAACGGGUCUGCAACAUUCAGAUCCGUAUGUAUCUUGCAAAUCUCUAUGUCUCCCACCUGGACUAGAUCCCGGAUGGAAUUGAAGCGUCUCUUGAUGUGCUUGGUUCUCUUGUGAAAUCUGGAUUCCUUUGCCAAGGCAAUUGCACCAGUAUUGUCACAAAAGAUUUUCAUUGGACCCGAUGCACUAGGUAUGACACCUAGAUCAGAUAUGAACUCCUUCAUCCAGACUCCUUCGUUUGCUGCUUCCAAAGCAGCUAUGUACUCCGCUUCACAUGUAGAUCCCGCUAUGACGCUUUGUUUAGAACUGCACCAACUGAUAGCUCCACCGUUUAAUGUAAACAUGUAUCCGGUUUGCGAUUUAGAAUCGUCCGGAUCAGUGUCAAAGCUUGCAUCAACGUAUCCUUUUACGAUGAGCUCUUUGUCACCUCCAUAUAUGAGAAACAUAUCCUUAGUCCUUUUCAGGUAUUUCAGGAUGUUCUUGACCGCUGUCCAGUGAUACACUCCUGGAUUACUUUGGUACCUCCCUGCUAGACUUAUAGCAAGGCACACAUCGGGUCUGGUACACAGCAUUGCAUACAUGAUAGAUCCUAUGGCUGAUGCAUAGGGAACAUCUUUCAUAUUCUCUCUAUCUUCUGCGGUGGUCGGGCAUUGAGUCUUACUCAACUUCACACCUUGUAACACAGGCAAGAAUCCUUUCUUUGCUUGAUCCAUUUUGAACUUCUUCAAAAUCUUGUCAAGGUAUGUGCUUUGUGAAAAGUCCAAUUAAGCGUCUUGAUCUAUCUCUAUAGAUCUUUAUGCCUAAUAUGUAAGCAGCUUCACCGAGGUCUUUCAUUGAAAAACUCUUAUUCAAGUAUCCCUUUAUGCUAUCCAGAAAUUCUAUAUCAUUUCCAAUUAGUAAUACGUCAUCCACAUAUAAUAUCAGAAAUGCUACAGAGCUCCCACUCACUUUCUUGUAAAUACAGGCUUCUCCGAAAGUCUGUAUAAAACCAAAUGCUUUGAUCACACUAUCAAAGCAUUUAUUCCAACUCCGAGAGGCUUGCACCAGUCCAUAAAUGGAUCGCUGGAGCUUGCAGACUUUGUUAGCUCCCUUUGGAUCGACAAAACCUUCUGGUUGCAUCAUAUACAACUCUUCUUCCAGAAAUCCAUUCAGGAAUGCAGUUUUGACAUCCAUCUGCCAAAUUUCAUAAUCAUAAAAUGCGGCAAUUGCUAACAUGAUUCGGACAGACUUAAGCAUCACUACGGGUGAGAAGGUCUCAUCGUAGUCAAUCCCUUGAACUUGCCGAAAACCUUUCGCGACAAGUCGAGCUUUGUAGACAGUAAUAUUUCCGUCAGCGUCAGUCUUCUUCUUGAAGAUCCAUUUAUUCUCAAUUGCUUGCCGAUCAUCGGGCAAGUCAACCAAAGUCCAUACUUUGUUCUCAUACAUGGAUCCCAUCUCAGAUUUCAUGGCUUCAAGCCACUUUGCGGAAUCUGGGCUCACCAUCGCUUCUUCAUAGUUCGUAGGUUCAUCAUGAUCUAGUAGCAUGACUUCCAGAACAGGAUUACCGUACCACUCUGGUGCGGAUCUUACUCUGGUUGAUCUACGAGGUUCAGUAGUAUCUUGUUCUGAAGUUUCAUGAUCAUCAUCAUUAGCUUCCUCACUAACUGGUGUAGGUGUCAUAGAAACAGUUUUCUAUGAUGUACUACUUUCCAAUAAGGGAGUAGGUACAGUUACCUCGUCAAGUUCUACUUUCCUCCCACUCACUUCUUUCGAGAGAAACUCCUUCUCCAGAAAGUUUCCGAAUUUAGCAACAAAAGUCUUGCCUUCGGAUUUGUGAUAGAAGGUGUAUCCAAUAGUUUCCUUUGGAUAUCCUAUGAAGACACAUUUCUCCGAUUUGGGUUCGAGCUUAUCAGGUUGAAGCUUUUUCACAUAAGCAUCGCAGCCCCAAACUUUCAAAAAUGACAACUUUGGUUUCUUGCCAAACCACAGUUCAUAAGGCGUCGUCUCAACGGAUUUUGAUGGUGCCCUAUUUAACGUGAAUGCGGCCGUCUCUAGAGCGUAUCCCCAAAACGAUAGCGGUAAAUCAGUAAGAGACAUCAUAGAUCGCACCAUAUCUAGUAAAGUACGAUUACGACGUUCGGACACACCAUUACGCUAUGGUGUUCCGGGUGGCGUGAGUUGCGAAACUAUUCCACAAUUUUUCAAAUGUACACAAAACUCGUAACUCUAAUAUUCUCUUCCACGAUCAGAUCGUAGAAACUUUAUUUUCUUGUUACGAUGAUUUUCAACUUCACUCUGAAAUUCCUUGAACUUUUCAAAUGUUUCAGACUUAUGUUUCAUUAAGUAGAUAUACCCAUAUCUGCUUAAAUCAUCUGUGAAGGUGAGAAAAUAACGAUAUCCGCCACGAGCCUCAAUAUUCAUCGGACCACAUACAUCUGUAUGUAUGAUUUCCAACAAAUCUGUUGCUCUCUCCAUAGUACCGGAGAACGGCGUUUUGGUCAUCUUGCCCAUGAGGCACGGUUCGCAAGUACCAAGUGAUUCAUAAUCAAGUGGUUCCAAAAGUCCAUCAGAAUGGAGUUUCUUCAUGCGCUUUAUACCGAUAUGACCUAAACGGCAGUGCCACAAAUAAGUUGCACUUUCAUUAUCAACUCUGCAUCUUUUGGCUUCAACAUUAUGAAUAUGUGUGUUACUACUAUCGAGAUUCAACAAGAAUAGACCACUCUUCAAGGGUGCAUGACCAUAAAAGAUAUUACUCAUAUAAAUAGAACAACCAUUAUUCUCUGAUUUAAAUGAAUAAUCGUCUCGCAUCAAACAAGAUCCAGAUAUAAUGUUCAUGCUUAACGCUGGCACCAAAUAACAAUUAUUUAGGUCUAAUACUAAUCCCGAAGGUAGAUGUAGAGGUAGCGUGCCGACUGCGAUCACAUCGACUUUGGAACCGUUUCCCACGCGCAUCGUCACCUCGUCCUUAACCAAUCUUCGCUUAAUCCGUAGUCCCUGUUUCGAGUUGCAAAUAUUAGCAACAGAACCAGUAUCAAAUACCCAGGUGCUACUGCAAGCAUUAGUAAGGUACACAUCAAUAACAUGUAUAUCACAUAUACCUUUGUUCACCUUGCCAUCCUUCUUAUCCGCCAAAUACUUGGGGCAGUUCCGCUUCCAGUGACCAGUCUGCUUGCAAUAGAAGCACUCAGUUUCAGGCUUAGGUCCAGGUUUGGGUUUCUUCUCUUGAGUAGCAACUUGUUUGCUGUUCUUUUUGAAGUUCCCCUUCUUCUUCCCUUUGCCCUUUUUCUUGAAACUAGUGGUCUUGUUGACCAUCAACACUUGACGCUCCUUGAUUUCUACCUCCGCAGCUUUCAGCAUCGCGAAGAGCUCGGGAAUAGUCUUGUUCAUCCCUUGCAUAUUAUAGUUCAUCACGAAGCUCUUAUAGCUUGGUGGCAGUGAUUGAAGAAUUCUGUCAAUGACGCAAUCAUCUGGAAGAUUAACUCCCAAUUGAAUCAAGUGAUUAUUAUACCCAGACAUUUUGAGUAUAUGCUCACUGACAGAACUGUUCUCUUCCAUCUUGCAGCUAUAGAACUUAUUGGAGACUUCAUAUCUCUCAAUCCGGGCAUUUGCUUGAAAUAUUAACUUCAACUCCUGGAACAUCUCAUAUGCUCCAUGACGUUCAAAACGUCGUUGAAGUCCCGAUUCUAAGCCGUAAAGCAUGGCACACUGAACUAUCGAGUAGUCAUCAGCUUUGCUCUGCCAGACGUUCAUAACACCCGGCGUUGCUCCUGCAGCAGGCCUGGCACCCAGCGGUGCUUCCAGGACGUAAUUCUUCUGUGCAGCAAUGAGGAUAAUCCUCAAGUUAUGGACCCAGUCCGUGUAAUUGCUACCAUCAUCUUUCAACUUUGCUUUCUCAAGGAACGCAUUAAAAUUCAACGGAACAACAGCAUGAGCCAUCUAUCUACAAUCAAACAUAAACAAGCAAGAUACUAAUCAAGUACUAAGUUUCAUGAUAAAUUUAAGUUCAGUUAAUCAAAUUAAUUAAAGAACUCCCACUUAGAUAGACAUCCCUCUAAUCUUCUAAGUGAUUACGUGAUCCAAAUCAACUAAACCAUAACCGAUCAUCACGUGAGAUGGAGUAGUUUUCAAUGGUGAACAUUGUUAUGUUGAUCAUAUCUACUAUAUGAUUCAUGCUCGACCUUUCGGUCUCCGUGUUCCGAGGCCAUAUCUGUAUAUGCUUGGCUCGUCAAGUAUAACCUGAGUAUUCCGCGUGUGCAACUGUUUUGCACCCGUUGUAUUUGAACGUAGAACCUAUCACACCCAAUCAUCACGUGGUGUCUCAGCACGAAGAACUUUCACAAUGGUGCAUACUCAGGGAGAACACUUCUUGAUAAUUUAGUGAGAGAUCAUCUUAUAAUGCUACCGUCAAUCAAAGCAAGAUAAGAUGCAUAAAAAGGAUAAACAUCACAUGCAAUCAAUAUAAGUGAUAUGAUAUGGCCAUCCUCAUCUCGUGCUUGUGAUCUCCAUCUCCGAAGCACCGUCAUGAUCACCAUCGUCACCGGCGUGACACCUUGUUCUCCAUCGUAGCAUCGCUGUCGUCUUGCCAAGUUUAUGCUUCUAUGACUAUCACUACCGCUUAGUAAUAAGGUAAAGUAUUACAUCGUGAUUGCAUUGCAUACAAUAAAGCGACAACCAUAUGGCUCCUGCCAGUUGCCGAUAACUCGGUUACAAAACAUGAUCAUCUCAUACAAUAAAAUUCAGCAUCAUGUCUUGACCAUAUCACAUCACAACAUGCCCUGCAAAAACAAGUUAGACGUCCUCUACUUUGUUGUUGCAAGUUUUACGUGGCUGCUACGGGCUUAAGCAAGAACCAAUCUCACCUACGCAUCAAAAUCACAACGAUAGUUUGUCAAAUAGACUCCGUUUUAACCUUCGCAAGGACCGGGCGUAGCCACACUUGGUUCAACUAAAGUUGGAGAGACAAUCGCCCGCUAGCCACCUAUGUGCAAAGCACGUCGGGGGAACCGGUCUCGCGUAAGCGUACGCGUAAUGUUGGUCCGGGUCGUCUCGUCCAACAAUGCCGCCGAACCAAAGUAUGACAUGCUGGUAGGCAGUAUGACUUAUAUCGCCCACAACUCACUUGUGUUCUACUCGUGCAUAUAACAUCAACAUAAAUAACCUAGGCUCGGAUGCCACUGUUGGGUUUCGUAGUAAUUUCAAAAAAAUUCCUAUGCACACGCAAGAUCAUGUGAUGCAUAACAAAGAGAGGGGAGAGUGAUGUCUACGUACCCACGCAGACCGACUGCGGAAGCGUUGACACAACAUAGAGGAAGUAGUCGUACGUCUUCACGAUCCAACCGAUCAAGCACCGAAACUAUGGCACCUCCGAGUUCGAGCACACGUUCAGCUCGAUGACGAUCCCCGGACUCUGAUCCAGCAAAGCGUCGGGGAAGAGUUCCGUCAGCACGACGGCGUGGUGACGAUCUUGAUGUACUACAGCAGCAGGGCUUCGCCUAAACUCCGCUACAGUAUUAUUGAGGACUAUGGUGGCUGGGGGCACCGCACACGGCUAAGGAAUAGAUCACGUGGAUCAACUUGUGUGUUCUAGGGUGCCUCUGCCUCAGUAUAUAAAGGACUAGAGGGGGAGGCUGGCCGGCCAAGGUGUGGCGCGCCAGGAGAGUCCUACUCCCUCUGGGAGUAGGAUCCCCCCCAAUCCUAGUUGGAAUAGGAUUCGCGGAGGGGGAAAAGAGAGAGAGGGGGCCGGCCACCUCUCCUAGUCCUAAUAGGACUAGGGGAAGGGGGAGGCGCGCAGCCCAUGUAGGGAUGCCUCUUCUCUUUUCCACUAAGGCCCAUCAUGGCCCAUUUAGCUCCCGGGGGGUUCCGGUAACCUUCCCGGUACUCCGGUAAAAUCCCGAUUUCACCCGGAACACUUUCGAUAUCCAAACAUAGGCUUCCAAUAUAUCAAUCUUUACGUCUCAACCAUUUCAAGACUCCUCGUCAUGUCCGUGAUCACAUCCGGGACUCUGAACAACCUUCGGUACAUCAAAAUGCCUAAACUCAUAAUAUAACUGUCAUCGUAACCUUACGCGUGCGGACCCUACGGGUUCGAGAACAAUGUAGACAUGACCGAGACACGUCUCCGGUCAAUAACCAAUAGCGGGACCUGGAUGCCCAUAUUGGCUCCUACAUAUUCUAUGAAGAUCUUUAUCGGUCAGACCGCAUAACAACAUACGUCGUUCCCUUUGUCAUCGGUAUGUUACUUGCCCGAGAUUCGAUCGUCGGUAUCCAAUACCUAGUUCAAUCUCGUUACCGGCAAGUCUCUUUACUCAUUCUGUAAUACAUCAUCCCGCAACUAACAUAUUAGUUACAAUGCUUUCAAGGCUUAUGUGAUGUGCAUUACCGAGAGGGCCCAGAGAUACCUCUCCGACAAUCGGAGUGACAAAUCCUAAUCUCGAAAUACGCCAACCCAACAUCUACCUUUGGAGACACCUGUAAUGCUCCUUUAUAAUCACCCAGUUACGUUGUGACGUUUGGUAGCACCCAAAGUGUUCCUCCGGCAAACGGGAGUUGCAUAAUCUCAUAGUCAUAGGAACAUGUAUAAGUCAUGAAGAAAGCAAUAGCAACAUACUAAACGAUCGGGUGCUAAGCUAAUGGAAUGGGUCAUGUCAAUCAAAUCAUUCUCUUAAUGAUGUUAUCCCGUUAAUCAAAUAACAACUCAUUGUUCAUGGUUAGGAAACAUAACCAUCUUUGAUUAACGAGCUAGUCAAGUAGAGGCAUACUAGUGACACUUUGUUUGUCUAUGUAUUCACACAUGUAUUAUUUUUCCGAUUAAUACAAUUCUAGCAUGAAUAAUAAACCUUUUAUCAUGAUUAUAAGGAAAUAAAUAAUAACUUUAUUAUUGCCUCUAGGGCAUAUUUCCUUCAAAAACUAUAUUGAAGACAGUGAGACAACCCCAAAGUCCUGUCUUGAUGUAGUGUUCGAGUUACUAGCUACUACUACUGGCACCAGCUCUUCGAACUCGCUGCCUGAAUCUGUUCGGCUUCUUGAGUCUCAACUUCAAGUAGAAAGACAUCGAUCAGAUGUUAUGCGAUAGGAAGACAAAGGACCGAGGAAGUCCCUGCAGAAUUCAGAUGCAUACUUUCUGGUGCAACAACAAGUGCUGGAGGAUUUAAGCGCCAAACAAGAGAAAGUUAAUAAGCUUGCUAAGCAUCCUGCCAGCAUUAUGGGUACCUAGGAUAUUGUUUCUUGAGAUCUUCUGAAGUGGUUUCAGUUCUGGACUUGUUUUGCUGCAGCGUUUAUAUGCUGCUUUGUUCCCUAUAUUUGCACUGGUGGCGAACUUUGAUGCCCAGCGGAUGUACUAUGUGUAAUAGCCGUGAUAGCCUAGCGUAAGUUGCUUGCUAAUUUAUUUCCUUAUUGUCUUGUUUAUUUAUUUUCUUGUAGUCAGUGCAGUUCUUUUUCCGCGGCUUGCUAGUGGCCGCAAUAACCUAUUUUUUAAACUAGGCCACAAUAACCAUGGGCUACAUAUUUACUGUAGUUAACAUGGGCCUCCUACGGGCCAUAGAAACAAUGGACCUUCUACGGGGCGUAGAAACAAUGGGCCUUAUACGGGCCGUAGACACAAUGGGCCUUCUACGGGCCGUAUCAUCAAUGGGCCUUCUCCGGGCCGUAUGAUCGGUUGGCCAAACAUGGGCCAACAACAAACCACAUUAUGGUCGUAAAUGAGCUAGAGUUGAAAUCGUCCGUUCAUGGGCCGACCAUAACGGGCCGUCGUUAAUAGGCCGUAUUUGAUGACGCUAUGAAAAUGGCCCAACGUAUUAACGAGCCACAAAUGGGACGACUGUAACCACAGGCUGAAUUUGGGCCACAAGCAGAAAAUGAUAGUAACGAGCCAUAAGUAAACGAAUACUGGAAAUGAUCCCAAGAAUAAAUGGGCCCUGAGAAGGCCGAAAGAUAACAUGGGCUAGAAACGGCCCAACGGAAUAAUGGGCUGUUAAUGGGUAUAAAGUGAUACACUGUUCAUUACGGGCCAGUUUCACCACAUGCUGUUAAUGGGCCGAGGGUUACUAUGGGCCUCAUAUGGGCCGAAAGACGUCAUGGGCCAUACAUGGGCCGGAAGUUAAAACAGGCUGGAAUUAUAUUGGAUGGCCCAGAUGACGCUACUGGGCCUAAUUCGGAUAGGCCGUAAAUGGGCCCUGGGUUAGCGGGCUGUAAAUGGGCUAUAUGUGAAGCAGUCAACAGGCUUGCCAUGGAUCGGCCCGCCACCUUUUGACCAAGUCAAACGGGCUGGCCUUUUCACAGGAAUGGGCCUCUGUUGGGCCGUGCCAUGUGUUGACGUAUCAUAGGCGCUUUGGGUCCAAUGAGUAGAUGACAUCUGUCCCAACGGUGAGCCGAUACGUAUUUCCUCCAGCCAAUGAUGAUUUUACAUGUGGAAAAUCCCCAUUGGUCGGGGCUGUUAACGGGUUAUCGGAUCCAAAACCGGACCGGAUAGCUUAACGGCAUUACGUUACGAUGGAUGCCACGUGUCGGCCACCCUUGAUGAAAGCACAUCUGUGACACGCGAUUUAUCGUCAUGGAAGUGGACACUUCCGUGAUGAUAAUUUUGGUAAUGUCAUGGAACACUUCUACGACAGCAUAGGUAUGUGAUACGUCUCCAACGUAUCUAUAAUUUUUGAUUGCUCCAUGCUAUAUUAUCUAUUGUUUUGGAUGUUUAUGGGCUUUAUUAUACACUUAUAUAUCAUUUUUUGGGACUAACCUAUUAACCUAGAGCCCAGUGCCAGUUUCUGUUUUUACCUUGUUUUAGGGUUUCGAAGAAAAGGAAAACCAAACAGAGUCCAAUUGACCUGAAACUUCACGGAACCCAUUUUUGGAAGGAAAGAAGCCCAGAAGACUUGAAGUGCACGUAAGGGAAGCUUUGAGGAGGCCACGAGGUAGGGGGCGCGCCCACCCCCCUGGGUGCACCCUCCACCCUCGUGGCCCCCCUGACGUACUUCUUCCGCCUAUAUAUCUCCAUAUACCCUAAAACUUCCGGGGAGCACAAUAGAUCGGGAGUUCCGCCGCCAGAAGCCUCCGUAGCCACCGAAAGCCAAUCUAGACCCGUUCCGGCACCCUGCCGGAGGGGGAAUCCCUCUCCGGUGGCCAUAUUCAUCAUCCCAGUGCUCUCCAUGACGAGGAGGGAGUAGUUCUCCCUCGGGGCUGAGGGUAUGUACUAGUAGCUAUGUGUUUGAUCUCUCUCUCUCUCAUGUUCUUGAGGUGAUACGAUCUUGAUGCAUCACGAGCUUUGCUAUUAUAUUUGGAUCCCAUGAUGUUUCUUCCCCUUCUACUCUCUUGUAAUGGAUUGAGUUUCCCCUUUGAAGUUAUCUUAUCGGAUUGAGUCUUUAAAGAUUUGAGAACACUUGAUGUAUGUCUUGCCGUGGAUAUCUGUGGUGACAAUGGGAUAUCACGUGAUUCACUUGAUGUAUGUUUUGGUGAUCAACUUGCGGGUUCCGCCCAUGAACCUAUGCAUAGGGGUUGGCACACGUUUUCGUCAUGAUUCUCCGGUAGAAACUUUGGGGCACUCUUUGAGGUUCUAUGUUGGUUGAAUAGAUGAAUCUGAGAUUGUGUGAUCAAUAUCAUAUAAUCAUACCCACGGAUACUUGAGGUGACAUUGGAGUAUCUAGGUGACAUUAGGGUUUUGGUUGAUUUGUGUCUUAAGGUGUUAUUCUAGUACGAACUCUAGGGCUGUUUGUGACACUUAUAGGAAUAACCCAACGGAUUGAUUGGAAAGAAUAACUUUGAGGUGGUUUCGUACCCUACCAUAAUCUCUUUGUUCGUUCUCCGCUAUUAGUGACUUUGGAGUGACUCUUUGUUACAUGUUAAGGGAUAGUUAUGUGAUCCAAUUAUGUUAGUUGAAAGAUCGUGGAUGUCGCCUAGAGGGAGGGGGGGUGAAUAGACGUUUUAAAAUAAUUACGGUUUAGGCUUGAACAAAUGCGGAAUAAACCUAGCAGUUAAUUUGUGAAGGACAAAACCUAAAACAACUAGGCUCACCUAUGUGCACCAACAACUUAUGCUAAGCAAGAUAAGCAACUAUGUGAUAGCAAGAUAUAUGACAAGAAACAAUAUGGCUAUCACAAAGUAAAGUGCAUAAGUAAAGGGCUCGGGUAAGAGAUAACCGAGGCACGCGGAGACGAUGAUGUAUCCCGAAGUUCACACCCUUGCGAGUGCUAAUCUCCGUUUGGAGCGGUGUGGAGGCAAAAUGCUCCCCAAGAAGCCACUAGGGCCACCGUAAUCUCCUCACGCCCUCGCACAAUGCAAGAUGCCGUGAUUACACUAAGGGACCCUUGAGGGGGGUCACCAAACCCGUACAAAUGGCAACCCUUGGGGGCGGUCACCGAACCCGUACACUUUGGCAACCCUUGGGGGCGGUCACCGGUACCCGUCAAAUUGCUCGGGGCGAUCUCCACAACCCAAUUGGAGACCCCUAUGCUUGCUCGGAGCUUUACACCACAAUGAUUGAGCUCCGAACACCACCAACUGUCUAGGGCGCCCAAGCACCCAAGAGGAACAAGCUCAAGGGUACCAAGCACCCAAGAGUAAUAAGCUUCUCAACUUGUAACUUCCACGUAUCACCGUGGAGAACUCAAACUGAUGCACCAAAUGCAAUGGCAAGGGCACACAGAGUGCCCAAGUCCUUCUCUCUCAAAUCCCACCGAAGCAACUAAUGAUAGGGAGGAAAAUGAGAGGAAGAACAAGAAGGAGAACACCAAGAACUCCAAGAUCUAGAUCCAAGGGGUUCCCCUCACAUAGAGGAGAAAGUGAUUGGUGGAAAUGUGGAUCUAGAUCUCCUCUCUCUUUUUGCUCAGAAACUAGCAAGAAUCCAUGGAGGGAUUGAGAGUUAGCAAGCUCAAAGAAGGUCAACAAUGGGGGAAGAACACGAGCUCAAGAGAUAAGGUUGAAUGGGGAAGAAGACCCCCUUUUAUAGGAGCACCCGAAUCCAACCGUUAAGUGCUCAGUCCGCGCACAAGCGGUACUACCGCUCAGGGGAGCGGUACUACCUUCUGGGAGGUAGAACACGGAGAGCGGAGCGAAACAGAGUGCGUGGCGGAGCUGUAUGAGCGGCACUACCGCUGGAGCCAGCGGUACCACCGUUGGCCGCAACGGUACUGCCGCUUGGGAAACCGGUACUACCGCUUGUGGCGAUAAGCGGUACUGCCGCUCCGGCCCGGCGAUACUACCGCUGGGACCGCGCACAUCGCCUACCACGAGCACAGGGAGAAGGAACAGAGAGGAGGGCCAUUGAGCGGCACUAGGGGUGGUGGUAGCCGCGGUACUACUGCACAUGAGCGGUACUACCGCUCCUACUGCUGCUGAACCCGACACGAGAAAACCACGUCUCGAGUCGAGGCGGUACCAGCACGGAACCGGAGCCGUACUACCGCUUAUGGCCAUGGGCGGUACUACCGCUGUGGGACAGCGGUACUACCUCUUGUGGCGAUAAGCGGUACUGCCGCUCCGGCCCAGCGGUACUACUGCUGGCGCCAUCCUUAAGCCACUUCCAUGAAAGCAAGUAAAUUCCACGGAAAACCAGAACUGCCAUAACUUCUGCAUAUUAGAUCCGAAUUGAGCAAACUCAAGCUUGUUAGAUACAAGACGACGAGUAGCAUAAGAAUCGUGUAUGGGACCAGUACGUCAAGGGAGGAAAGAAUGACUCCAGUAUUCAAGGGAACACUAGAGAAGCAAAGUGCUCAUUGGGACGAUUUCAUGAAUUUCAAGGAAUCGAAAUUAUCUAAGGAACGGUCGAGAAUAAACAAGGCCAAUGCCGCAAAAAAGGAUAAGUUCCAUAAGCUGGGGCCAGGUGGCCAUGCGGUGGGAAUGCCUAAGGGCUUCUUUGGAUCACAGGAUUUGCAAAACAAAGGAAUAGGAAAAAUGGAGGAUUUGAUUGCCAUGACAUAGCCAAUCCUGUGGAUUUUUUCCAGCGGUCGGACCUCAUGUGUAAAUUCCUUUGGAAUCAGCACCUUGAAGACCCAAUCCUGUGGAAUUUUAAUGGCCCAAUCCUUUGAUCCAAAUGCGUUUCAUAGGAAACAAUCCUGAGGAUUGAUAUCCCAUGAAAAUCCUGUGAAAAUCCUCCAAUCCAAAGAAGGCCUAAGUGGGAUAAGUCUGAGAAAGAGAUGGAGGAUGCAGGUGUCACUCCAGAAACAUUGAGCUGGCUCCCCAGGUGCAGGACUUGGUUCUAUGCGCAUGGGGGGGAGUUGGACCCGAAGACAGGCAAAGUUUCGAAGAAGGCAUGUCUGGACGGAGCCAAAGAUAAGCUACUUGUUGCAAUAGAAGAGGCUCGAUCGGGGGUGUUCGAUCCCAAUAGAGAGAAUGACGAGCUUAUGUGUGCCCUGGGAAAUCUUGAACACCCGGGAAGAACACAAGGCAAGGGCGCUAUUCCAUGGUAUGAGGGGUUUUCGGAAUGGAACGCCGACUACAGAACCCGUGCGAGAAAGAAGAUUGCGGAGGAGAAGAAGAGGAAGAUGGUGGAGGAGCAGAGGAAGCUGGACUAUGAAUGCCUUCAAGGCCUAGAAUCAGCACACGUGGACUUUGCAGUCAAAUUCCAGCGGCAGUAGGAGCAGAUCGACUCACUUAGCCAGCAAAGGGGGUCUCAGCAGCUGCAGCAGCUAGCGGAUGAUCCAGCAUUGGAUAGCACCGUCCCAUCCAUGCCGAGAAGCAGCGUGGGUUCCGCCCUGGGCGAUGCAUUGCUAGAUAGCUACCCAGUGAAUGACAUCAUGGAGAACACUAACUGCGAGCUACACUUCAAAAUGAAGAACAUAUCCAUGAAGGUGGCGGACGCCGUUGCUUUUACAAAUCCCCCCGAGGCAACCUUCCAUUGCAACCCGAUUCCAGCGGGCUAUGCUCGUGUCUUGGUUGAUGAGGUGGUGGACCAAUAUUCGGGGCUAGAGCUUGACAUUCCUGGAGGUGACGAGGAGCACACACUGGGAGAGGCCAACCAUCGUAUCAUCCUAUGGAGAAAGGAUUGCAUCAUCUUUCGAAGGCCACCGACACCGCGUCAUCCGACUCCUCGUCGAAGUCCGCCACCGAGCCAGUAGACUCCCGCUCCUCCAAGUCCACCAACGCGUCAGGCCACUCCUCCUCCAAGUCCGGCACAACUUUAGGCCACUCCUCCUCCUCCAAGUCCGGCAAAGCAUCAGGCCACUCCUCCUCCAAGUUCGGCACAGCUUCAGGCCACUCCUCCUCCUCCAACUCAGCCAUGUCAGCCGUCUUCGCCACCUCAGCAAUCACGGAAGAGAGCCGCCUUAGCUAUGGUGUGUAGCGGUACAAGUCGAGGUAGUACUGGAGGUACAGGCGGAGGCAAGCGAUUUCAAUAUUGUCCAAGCAGCCUCGCGCCUCUUCCGCAGAGGCCUUACGACAAGUCUGAGGAGGAAAACACAUCCAUAUCGAAGGCCGAGGUGGAAGCCCAUUUUGCACCGAAACCGCCACCAUCGCCAAGGGAGAAAGUGCCUGAGGAAAAGAUUGACCACUUAAUUCAUAUGGCUAGAGCACCAGCUCCCAAGCCUGUUGACACAGACUAUGAGCGCCACCUCAGGAAGUUAAAUCGAGCACGUCUAUAGAAAGAGGCGAGCUCGAGCUCGAGCAAAUCAGCUGGGAAAAGGAGCGGUAAAGCCGUUCCCUAGCUGGGAGAACAGGCGGCGCAAUGAAUCCCCCCGCUUGUUGUGCCAACAACACAUGAGAGUACGCGUGCCCAAUAUUAUUGUGGUCAAACCGUUAAUGUUCCCGGGCUGGGCGAUGUGGUAAUAACCGAGGAGCAUAUUGAGCAGGCUAAAAGGCUCAUGAUCACUGUUGGACAACUCCUCGAUAUCGAGCCCAUGUCUCUUAUUAGAGAGGCGGAAAUAAAACGGAAAUAUGUCCGGGGCCAACCUUUGGUCGAGCCAGACGAGGUCAAGAAGCUCCCAACGAGAAUGUAUGAAUUGCAUCAAUGGUACAUGGACAUUACCAAGAUUUCCAAUCGAGAGUCCCUCAUGGUGAAUGUCAAGAAGGAUCAUUACUACCAUGAGAAAGAUGUGUCCAUUGAGUAUUCAGAACUAUUUGAGUUAUACAAUCAAGACGCACUCGACAAAUCUAUCGUCAGUUGCUGUUGUCUGUAAGUGAUUUCUUUCUGUAAUUUAAGUCUCAAGCUAGAUGUAGUGAUCAUUUUGAUCAAUCAUUACCUGUAAUUAUCCUCACUAUAUUCUUUUCUGUGGUAUUAUGCAGGAUGAAGAUUUAUGAAAUGGAAAAAGGUGGAUGCUAUGGCAUUGGGUUCAUUGACCCAAAUACCAUUAAUGAAUACACAUGGAAAUUAGAUCCAUAUUAUGAAAAAAGUGUAGAGGAAAGCAUGCUAGAGUUCUUCAAGCGCCUUAAUACCAAUGAAGAUAUACUACUAGCUUCCUUACAACUUCGAGUGAGUCACACUGUCUUGUACUACAAAUUCUGUUUUUGCCUACUAGCUAGCUACAUGUUUUUGCUUACAUAUGCCAGCUUAAUUAAUACGUGCAAACGUGUGUGCAUGCAGAUUUCACUGGAUCUUGUUAAUCAUUAAAGUUGAUGAAGGAACAGUUGAAAUACUGGACUCACUACUUAAAAAAGCAAGUGACUACACCAUCUUGUUUGGGAUAGUCAAUAGGUAAUUUCAAUCAUUAUUAACUAUAUCUCGGCCUAUUUAGUUCGUAAUUUCCUGAUAUGAACUAUUUAAUAACCCCUUUAUUCAUUUUCUUUGUCGGCGGGCUGGGCUUGGGCAAAGUUCAUCAGCGUCACUCCAGGCCAAUGGAAAAAAAGCUAAAAUGGUAUCGACCCAAGAUAAGUAAUUAAGUAGUACUAGCUAGCUACCUGCCAUCUCUUUAAUUAUCAUGCUUGAUUAAUUAUUAUCUGAUCAAAUUCCAUUCUCGUAAAGGCCCUGAAGCAGGCGCCGGGCAAUAAUCUGUGUGCAUACUAUGUUUGCGAGAACAUUUGCAUGAUGGCGUCCGAAAGGAGUAGAUCUCAAAGACAGGAGUGGGUACGUUUGUCAGAGCACUAUUCACAAUUUUUACACCAAUAUCGAUAUCUAGUCACACAACUAAUACACAUGCAUAUUGAUCUCCUUCUUAACAGUUCAAAGAGGUGCGGGAGUAGCUCCUAGCAGAGGACCGCAUAGAAGCAAUUCAAGAGGAUAGCGGGAUUUUUGCUCGACCAGGUCAUAAAUCCCAAAGGAGAAUACUAUUACCCGCUACCGCUCCCAUGAACCACUUCUAAUUGUCAUCAUGCUCCGAAGGCACCAAUUAGGCUAAUGCCACUGGCUCUGAAGGCACCAAUUAGGAGAAAUUGUAUAUAGCUAGCUAAUCAUAUAUAUAUAUACAUGUGUGUAUAUAUGUGUGAAUUAAUUAAUGGUGGUUGUGAGACAUUCGAUGAUAUAUAUAUAUAUAUAUGAUCGGUUCUACUAGAAAUUCUAUUUAUAUAUAUGCAUAACGUGUACAAUAUGUAGUAUCGUAAAAUACCAGCAAACGAAAAAGAAUUAAAUGGAAAACACAAAAUUAAAUGAAAAAGAAAUCAUAAACCCAAAACCCCGAACCUUUUAAUACCGGUUGGUGUCAGCAACCGGUACUAAAGGGCUCCCUGCCCCCGGAGCUGGCUCGUGCCACGUGGUUGCCCUUUAGCACCGGUUCGUGCUGAACCGGUACUAAAGGGGGGGGGCUUUAGUGCCCAAACUUUAGUGCCGGUUACCGAACCGGCACUAAAGGGCCUUACGAACCGGUGCUAUUGCCCGGUUCUGCACUAGUGUGAGAAGGAGAGACCCAGCUAUGUCUUGAGGAAGAUCGGUCGACAUCCAUACAUAACUGAAGGACGGGGAAUAGGAUGGGACAGAAAGAGAGAGGAGAGAGAGAGGGAGGGAGAGGGGUAGAGUGCUGGAUGGGUGAUGGAGUUGCUUCUCGAAGAUGGUGGGAGAGGCCUACUAGACAAACUGAGGGUGGAACUGCAACAUUAUCAAUAAGAGUAGGGAUGUGUUUCUGUGUGUUCCUGUGCGUGAUAGAUCUGUCGAGACGCAUCCAUGGAUGAUGAAGGGGAACCAUGUGUUCGGUAAGCAAACCUAACUAGAUCGGUAGAUCAAUUGUUGUAUGUUGGAGGAAGGGAGAGACAUAACUAAUGAGGUAGAUCAAGCUACGCGUGGGGUAUAACGAGUUAUAAGGACCUAGCUAGCUAGCUAGAUAGGGGGAGGAGUGUGUGGUUGUGAGAUCGAUGAAAAGAGGGGCGGGAGUUUACACAUGUGUGGGACCGUAUGAGAGACACGAGGCAAGGAAACAUAGAUGAGGAGAUUGAAGGUGAGUGUGUAUGUUGUAGGCAGACAUCGCUGGAGAGGUUUAUCGAUCGGUGUAUGUCGGAAAGGAGUUGUGGAGACUGUGGGAGAACGACCUAAAGAAAAAAUGAAUGUGCACGAUGGAUAGAAUGCUGAGGGAGGGGGAGGGCGAGGAGGGCGUGUGCAUGCACGAGAGAAAGUUAGUGGUAGCUACAAAGGUUAGAGGAUUGUGUGGGUGUAAGAGACUAACAAAGAUCAUAAUUUGAUAUGAAAGUGGAUUCAUAUAUUUGAAUAGGAGAUCAUAGUGUUUUAAACAUAUGCAUGCAUGAAUAUAGCGGUGAUACGCGUGUUGUGGUUUUGCACAUGUUAUACCAUAAUGUGAUAAUGCAUGGCGUUUGCAACUCACAGCUAAAUGUCAAACAAUUAAACCAUACUAUACAUCGAACAAUCUCACAUUUUAUUUGAAUUUGUGAUAAUGUGUGGCGUUUGCAGCUUACAACUAAAUAUCGAACAAUCUAAACAAUACUAUAUAUCGAACAUUCUCACAUUUUAUUUGAAUUUGUGGUAAUGUGUGGUGUUUGCCACUCACAUCUAAAUACUUGUAGGCGUAGGAGGCGGGGCACCAUACAUAAUGUGAUAAACACAUUAUACAUAUGAGACAUGGUUUAGAUUAUGAAGAUCUAGCUAGAGCUUGAAAUGUACUAUGAUUUGAAAUCAACAUAAAGUGGAUUGAAAAAAUUGAGUUCGAGUUCAUAUAGUACACAUAGUUCAUAUGUAACUCGAGACUAAUCAUGUGGUGUGCUGUGAAGAUAAUACACAAACGAUGGUUUAACUUGACAAUAAUGGUGAUUGUAGAUCUUAUUAAAACAGAGAAACGAAUUCAAAUGCUUUGACUUCACAACAAUCAUUAUUGCAGAUCUUAUUCAAAUAGAGAAACGAACUCAAAUUUAGUUCAUAUUGAAGCGGUAGUAUAUAUGUUUGGAAUGCACUAAAACGUUGCUAUUCCAAAAUUACAACGCGCGCGAAAACUCCCACCUCCUGUGAAAUCCCGACACACGAAAUGCCCGUGAUACCCCUGAACCGAAAGAACCGCCUCAAAUCAGUGGGUGUACUUUCAUAACUUACCCCACAUUUCAGACAAGCGCGUCCCUAAGCCAUGGUUCCCCACUCCCAUCCCAUCCGACCACCCAUUCAUACACCGAGGACGGGAAAACCCGCGAAGCCCCACUCUCUCCUCCGUCCGCCACCCAGCCGGAGCCUCUUUCCCGAUGACGUAGUCCACAUGAACACCUUGACGUCCCUCAUCCAUCAUACUUGAUGAGGAUCCAUUGUCGAUCUGGUCGUCCCACCGGUUCAGUCACCCCGUCCUCCACCUCCAAGGAGCUGCCCCGACGUUCCCCUCGUCUUCCGCACCACCUCCAGUCCCACACCGCCGUCUUCACCUGCACCACCGGAAGAGCAUCAUCAUCACUGUUUCCUCGGAUGAAGCUGCGGCCUAAUCGGCGCCACCAAAGAGGCUGUACACUAAUCGCCGCAUUUUGUUCUUGAUUCGAUCUCACGGUGCUGCCGGCGCUCGGUCUCGAGCCGACACGGCGCGACUCCAUCCACGGCGGUGUCGCCGGCCACUUCCUCCACGGCGUCGCUCCCUCGGCAGUGACGUCCACAUCGGUAGGAGCUGCUGCUACUUUAGCUCUCCCACGCGCUGCUGCUCUGCUAUUGCUCUCGGUCCCCUGCCUUGUCUGCUCUUGCUCUUGCUCGCGCUGCUGCUCUCGCUCUUGCUCUUGCUUGCGAUGCUGCUCUGAUUUAGCUACACUUCAGUCGACUGAAUUGACUUUUGGGUCAGUUGAUUUUUAGGGGGUGGGGGUGCUCGCCGGAGUUAAGGAAGAACCAGCCGCAGCAGGGAGGGGGCUCGCCGGAGAGGUACCUCACUAUCUANNNNNNNNNNNNNNNNNNNNNNNNNNNNNNNNNNNNNNNNNNNNNNNNNNNNNNNNNNNNNNNNNNNNNNNNNNNNNNNNNNNNNNNNNNNNNNNNNNNNNNNNNNNNNNNNNNNNNNNNNNNNNNNNNNNNNNNNNNNNNNNNNNNNNNNNNNNNNNNNNNNNNNNNNNNNNNNNNNNNNNNNNNNNNNNNNNNNNNNNNNNNNNNNNNNNNNNNNNNNNNNNNNNNNNNNNNNNNNNNNNNNNNNNNNNNNNNNNNNNNNNNNNNNNNNNNNNNNNNNNNNNNNNNNNNNNNNNNNNNNNNNNNNNNNNNNNNNNNNNNNNNNNNNNNNNNNNNNNNNNNNNNNNNNNNNNNNNNNNNNNNNNNNNNNNNNNNNNNNNNNNNNNNNNNNNNNNNNNNNNNNNNNNNNNNNNNNNNNNNNNNNNNNNNNNNNNNNNNNNNNNNNUGGUGGGGCGAUGACGUGGGGAUCGCUGGAGAAAAAGCUCGGCAUGGGGGGGGGGUAGAGGGAUGGCCGGGGCGGCGGCGGAUCGGCGGUGGGGAGUGUUUUCGGGACGGGCAGGGUGGCGCACUACCGGCGGCGGGUGGCGGGGGGCGGCUAUUUGGCCGGUGGUGGCUGGCGGCUCAGGGGGUGGAGGUUGAAGAUGAACUGCAGGCCCUUGAUUUCGUAUCCAAUGGCUGCAAAAUCGACUGACCAGAGACGAAAAAGUCAGUCGACUGACGUGUAGCCUCACCUCUAGUGCGUUCAGUUUCGACAGUAAAAUUCAGUUUCGACAGCAAAAUUUAGUUUCGACAGUUAAGUUCAGUUUCGACAGUUAAAUUCAGUUUUGACAGUUAAGUUCAGAGAUGAGCGGCUGAUGUAUUUUACAUCUAGCACUUUGUGGUUAUGUAUUUUACGUCAUCUAUUGGAGAUGCUAUUAGAAUUCCACUCAGGGUAAUGUUGUCUCUCUUGUCCUGCUUUAGCCUCGGUGUUGUACAACUCACCAGAGCUGCUCCAACAACAAAACUGUCAGGACCCCGACUCAAUGCCACAUCGAUCUAGCAUGUAACACCUCAUAUCACUUUGCGGCCUCACGCACGGUAUUCCCACGGGUGUCGCCUUACCUUUACCCGGGACCGUUUGCGCCUGUUGGCACACGUAUAUGACAGUGUCGCUAGCAUCCAUAUGAUAAGGAGCCCGGGCUGACAUGGCUAGUCGUAAACCCAAAGUGGCACAAACUUACAGGGACAGGCAUCCGUGACCCAGCAUCGAACGUGUCGGUCAUCAGCGAGUGAAUCCAGGCUGUAGCACUGGGCUAGCAGGACUCCGGUGAACCGGGCUGUAGCGGGCUAACAGGACUCCGGUAUUCAUCGCGUGACAUUUCCCCGAAGGGACAGACACAGGAACGAAGAAGGACACAUGCCGGCCAGCCUAAGUGUUCCGGAGCAGUAGCAAGCUACCAUGGCUCGGUGGAAGCACUAGGAGACAUUUCCCGGUAAGAGAGGCUACUAAAGAUAAACAACUAGAUAGUCAGAUCCCACACAUACCAAGCAUUUCAAUAACAUACACACAAUAUGCUCGAUAUGUGCAAACACAACAUGGCAUCACAACAUGACUCUAUGACUCAAGUAUUUAUUCAAUAGGCUCCGAGGAGCGAGAUAUUACAAACAUGAGUCUCAUGACCCAACAUUCAGAGCAUACAAAGCAAAGCACAAGCGGAAGCUAUCAUGUCUGAGUACAGACAUCUAUAAAUGAAAAAGGCUUAGAAGCCUGACUAUCUAUCAGAUCCUGCCGAGGGCACAAGAUCGUAGCUGAGGUAACAAGCUAAACGUCGAAGUCCACGCGGAACUACUAGCGAGACCGAAGUCUCUCUGCAAAAACAUAAAUUAAGCAAUGUGAGUACAAAUGUACCCAGCAAGACUUACAUCAGAACUAACUACAUAUGCAUCAUUAUCAACAAAGGGGAUGGUGGGGUUUAACUGCAGCAAGCCAGCUUUGACUCGGUGGCUAUCCUGAACUACGACUGCAAUGUAACUCUUUUGAGGUGGCGCACACGAGUCCACAUAUUCCCCAUAUCAAUACACCACUAUGGAUCCGCUCCCGUCUCCCUACGAGAGCGCCAUCCAUAGCACUCACGCUUAUCUUGCGUAUUUUAGAGUAUCCACUUUCACUUGUCUAUGAACUGAUAUAAGCAACCCAGAAGUCCUUUACCGCGGACAUGGCUAUUCGAAUAGAUGAUAUUAACCCUGCAGGGGUGUACUUCUUCAUACAUGUUUCCACCACUUAGCGUCUGCACACGACAUGUGCUCGGCAGACUUCAAGCGAAAGCCGACGUGGGUGUAGACCACGACCUACCUAAACACUCAAGUCUCUAGUCCAGGUUUAUCGCCUAUUCGGGUUCCAUCCAUGAGGAGAUCCGGCCGGAGUUUCGCUCACAGCCCCAAAUGAUGUGAACAGGGUUCCGUGACACCAAACGGGCGCCCGGUAUACCCGGCCACGUGCCUACCGCAUCACAGCCCACCCCUACGGUCAGCGCUGUCCACGACCUCCAGCAUACUACAAACACCAGAAACUACUUGCAACUCCUGGACAGAGGACAAGGGUGAAUAAGAAGUCGAGCGGGGUCAUAUUUCAGGGCCCAAUGUAUGGUAGUAGCUGAAUCAUGGAUCACAAACACAGAACUCAGUUCCUGAGGACGGCUUCAAUGAGACAACCCACCAUGUACUCCUACAUGGCCUCUCACCGCUACCUUUACCAAAACGUGUUCACACACUUAGCUCACACACAGUAGGACAUGUUCACACGCCUCUGAUUCAUCCCCGAUGAAUCAGACCUGACUCAACUCUAAGCAGUAGCAGGCAUGAAAAACAAGCAUGAAUGAGUAGGCACAAUAGGGCUCAAACAACUCCUACUCAUGCUAGUGGGUUUCAUCUAUUUACUGUGGCAAUGAUAGGUCAUGCAGAGGAUAAAGGGGUUCAGCCACCGCAGCAAGUAACAGAUGAAUCGGUGUUGUCCUAAUGCAUUAAAAGAGAGCAGGGGCGAGAGAGUAGGAUUGUAUCGGAAUGAACAAGGGGUUUUUGCUUGCCUGGCACUUCUGAAGAUAACAUUGAGUCUUCAUCAGUGUCAACAAUCACAACGUCGAAACAUCGUCUACCGGGAGGGAACAGAUACCGGCAACAAGAAGAAAUACAAUCAAUGCAAUGCACAAUAUGAUGCAUGCUCAUGACAUGGCAAUAUGAAUGUGUUUUGAGCUAAUGCACCUAACUAUGAUUUAAAUGAGGUUGGUUUGAAUACAUGAUUCAAAUUCCAACUCCAUAUAUGAUUAUUUAAAUGCCCUUUAAUUGAUUUGUGCUAAACAGCAGCUAUAAGUUGUUCUAACAUGCAUAAAAUGGUACAGAUGGAUUCCUUGAAUUUUUCUGAUAAUUUUUCAUAUAUAAAUUAUUUAACUUGGAGUUACGGUUGAAUUUCUAUGAUUUAUUGAAGUUUUAGCUAUUUUCUGAAAUUUCCUGAAUUAAAAUAAAUCCAGAAAAUGAUUUAAUUGCGUCAGCCUGACGCCGGGGUGACGUCAGCAGGUCAAAGGCGUCGACCAGGUCAAACCUGACCAGUGGGGCCCACUGGUCAGUGACCCAGUCAACUAACCAAGUUAGUUAGCCCUAACUAACUGGAUUGGGCCCACUGGUCAGCGACUAGCCUAAAUAUGAUUAGCCCUAACUAACUUAGUUAGCCGGGCGGGGCCCGCAUGUUAGUGGCUCAGUGGCUUAGCCAAAAUUAGUUAUUAACUUAACCAAAGUUACCAGGGGCCGGGCCCACCUGUCAGUGACCCUGGGAAAGUCAAACAGGGUCAAAUCCUGGGUCGGUGGGGUCAAACCCACCGGCGACAUGACGCCGGCGAGGCCCGAGACGGCGGCGAUGCGCGGAAUCGCAGCACAGGCCACGGAUCAAGGCGCGGAUGGCACCGUUGGAACCCCGAGCCUCGUCCGCGUCCUCUGGUGCUAGUGGGGUCGCCGGAGACGGCUCAGAUCAACGGCGGCGUCCACUUCCGCGGCGGCCGGAGCUCGGCUAAGUGCGGGCGCGGUGCUGCAGCUCAUAGCUGGGUGAACGGAGGUGCUAGGCAGCACCUAAAGGCGGCAGGAGCAUGUCGGAGCUGCUAUGCGAGGCAGAGGUGCUCGGGGCACGGAGCUCGCCGGCCAUGGCGGACGGCGGCGCUCGGGAAUGUGGGCGGGGGUGCUACGGCACGGGAACGAGCAAAACGAAGGAGGGGAAACAGAGUGGAGCUCACGUGGAUCCCGUAGAGGUGGACGGCGAGCUCGGGGAAGGCCGAACGGCGACGAAUUUGAUGACGGCGAUCCUCGGUGGCCGAGGAGGGGAACGGCGAAGCUGGCAGCAUCCAGGGCUUCCGGCGCCUUCCGUCUUGGUGAGGAGGAAGAGGGGGACGGGGCGGAGCUUCUUGGCGCUUAGGCGAGGCGUGGGGUGGCUGGUGGCUACGGUGGUUCUCGUCGUCGGCGGCGGCUCCGUUCGGGUGAGGAGAACAGAGGAGGGGGAGAGUGUUCCGGGGAGAGAGAGGAGAGGGGCACGGGGAGAGUAGGAGAGGGUCGAGGGGAGUGCGUGGCAUCGUCCGGGGCGUCGAGGAGGAAGCAGGAGGUGGCCAGGGGAAGCAGGAGGUGGCCGAGCAGGGUGGAGGUGGCGCACGCGGCGGCGUCGCGGUGUCCGUCCUCCUGGCAGAGAGGAAGACGACAGGGGAGGGGGGGGGGCGGCGGUGGGCUGGGCCGUUGGGGGAGCUGGGCCAGGUAGGUGGGCGCCAGGUAGGUGGCCCAGGUGGCCUUCUCUCCCUUUCUUUUAUUUCCUCUUUUUUUAUUUCUAUUCUCUGUAGUUUGCUUUUUAUUUAGUUUUAGACACUAAAUCAUUUUUUAUAAAUCCCGAGAAUAAUUGUGGACAUUAACUGAAUUAUUACAGAGGCCCUCAACUAUUUUUAGAAUUGUUGGAGCAUUUAAAAAUAUUAACAGUAUUUAAAUGCCCCAAUUCAAAUACAAUAUGGUUUAAUCAAAAAUCCAAAAAUAUCUUGGAAAAAUAUCCAUCAUCUCUGGAUAUGGUUUUCACCCUUUUCCAGUAAUCAUGAACAUUUUUGCAAACCAAUUUGGGUUCUUUGAAAAUAUUUUGAAGUUGAACCUAUUUGCAAUGCUUUGGUGCUAGGGCUUGGUCAUCCCCAUUUCAAAUUUUCAUAAAAUUUAAACAUGUUGCAUGGAUGCUAAAGCAAAAACAAACAAGGGCUGAUCUGAGGCUGUGACAGCUCACCCCCACUAAACAAAAAUCUCGUCCCGAGAUUCAAGCGUAGGGUAAGGUGAAGGGGGAACGCAAACUAGUACAAUCUUCACGAUCCAGGUUGCACUUCAUAGGAACGUUGUUUCGAUCACCAUCUUUGUCUCGACGCCUUCCUCUGAGAACUCCAACUAACAUGACAAUGAGAGGAAAGGAAAGACCCUAAAAGAAUCGUUCUCCUCGAAGGUCGAACAACUCAGGAUUAACUCUCGGAAUGAGACAUAGCAACAUCUCUCGAGCUGAGAGAUGAAGCACACAUCCAUAGGAAUGGAGUGAAGCAGAUGACAAAGGUUCACUAGGUAGACAACAAUUCCAGACUUAAGAAUGUGGUGACCGGUUGUCAACGUAGCGAGGAGUUGAAUUGCCAUGAUACCAUAACGAUGCACCUUAGGGAAGGUGACUCGUAGAAAUAUCCCCUUAAGUGGCAAAAAGAAUUACCUUUGAUUCAAAGAUCAUUGAAACUCUUUAAACCAGCCUAAGGCAAUUCUCGAGCGAUCGUUUGGAGGGGGUCGGUAGAAUGGCAUACUCGGACUUGGAUGAUGUGGAUUACCUUGUUGAAGACAACGUAAUGGAUGAAUUUGCUUACCACCGGAAAUGGAAGAGACCCAUGGUAGAAUGGCACAUUGGCGGUGCAAGCUGGGAACAAAAUGCAAAUGCUGGGAAUGAUUCUGGUAACUGGGGGAAGAACCCAACAAUAGAGAGUGAAUUCACUGGUUGAAAAGGUCAUAGCAUUGCCGAGGAAACUGAGAGGAAUCCCAGUUAGUGCCGAUGAUAACUCGUAGCGCUUGUGCGUGCUCUCAAGAACUUGAGCAUUUCCAUAAUCAUCAAGGUUCUACCAAUAUCCGUGUCAAGGAUCCUGGCAACACAACUUGCUACCAUGAUGAAUGGUGAUGGAGGAUGCAGAUGCAAAGGGAGAUAACACCUUCUCAGAUUUCACCUUAGCGAGGCCAAGGGGACGAAAUCUGGAUGAUCGACCGAGAGACAUUUAGCACUCCGCUUCUAAUGUUCUCCUUGAUGUGCUAGUGUAACCCAUUCAUAGAUAUGGUUUGAUAUCUAGAACAUCAAGUAAAAGGUCGGACUUCGGGAACACUAAAAUCAUAAGGCAUAGCUAGGGGGUAAAUCCUACGAAGUCCUUAUGGGGAGGUGGCCAACUUCCUCAAACAAGAUACUAUAAUAACAGGUCUACCGGAUGGGUGUGUUGGCCACGACAUCCACCUUACCGGUUAUCGAGAGACCAAUAUUAUAGUUCUUGGGAAAUGUUCCAACCAUCACAUCUGCCUGAGAUUCAGAUCUGGUUGGUGUCAGGAUAUUCCAGACUCAUCGAGUCUAGGAAGAAAAACGAAAGUUUGCAACACAAACCGACGAGAUGACGUUGCGAGAUUCUCGGGAAAUGAACUACGAUAGUAAGCUCCAAAACAUGAGCUGGUUCUGCUACAAACAUGUGAACACGCUGUCCCAGACAAACAUGACCACGUGGUAGUCUUAUAAUAAAACACUACCGAGUUCAGGUGGGGAACCAUCAACGAGGAUAUCAAAAUCCUUGCAUAAGGCAUGCUCUUAAGAAGGAACUUCUUCUACUUGAACAAAUCAAUCAGUGGCUUUGUGUGCUCGGAACACAUAUGGAAUGAAGGUUGCAAGUCUCUAGACCACAGAAUACUUCACACGUAUGCAUGACUGACUUGGGAUGAUUCCAGAGGAAGCAAAACUAACUUUCUCAAAUCCACGGCGGCAACUUUCACCAAAUGCACGUGUAUAAGAGGAAGUCACUCCUUUCAUCAAACACAUACUUCAUGAGUUAGCAUGAAGAAAUGCUUUCAGAAGUUUCCAACACUAACUUGUUGUCCAACAAGAUCAUGGAGGAGAUAAGGAUGUUGUCAAUGGGCUCAACAACAAUUCAUCUAGGUUUCCUUUUAAAAGGAAUUCCAUAGUUAAGUGAACACGGUGAUAGCAUUGGUCAGGCCAAAGAUGUAAUGGUGUAUGCUCGAGGGAUCAACCACGAAUAAGACAACAUUACGAGCAUCAUUGGUACUGAUUUGAUUUGACGAUAGCCCACACUCAAAUCAAAGGAUUGGUAAGACAAUAGGUCCAGCAACUGAUCACAGGGACCAAUCGAUGAAGAUAUCAUCUUUCUUCAACACAUACAAGACAUCCCUUAUAAUGAACUAUAUCGGACAAGCUUCUAUCUUCCAACUCUCCAAGUUGAUGCAUAGCUUAACCAACUAGCUCAGGGGUAUCCAACACGGAUUCUUGGAGAAAGGGUGGUUUACAGGAUAAACCAACUUGAUCACGAGCUCAACAUAACAGUCAGGUGACAACCUGGUGAUACUUUCGAGAAGAUAUCCGGAAAAUCACGAACCAUCGAUAUGUUACUAAGAUCGAGGACAAUCCUGCUUUUCAGAGCAAGACGAUAUGAUCAAUAGGGCAAGGAUUUGAAAUAAUCCUAACUCAUCGAUCGAGGAGUGAACCAGGAGAAUGGACUAGGUAGCACGAUCAAUCUUAGAAUGACGAUUCAAUAAUCAACACGCUAAGAAUGAGGUUAUCGUCCAUUUAACUACCAAGCAACGGAGUUGCUAGGAGUAUCGAUUUCACACAUCACGAUUCACUUGUCGGCAUUCUGGUUACAAUAACACAGGAACCGAGGAAUGAACAAUGAUGGCAAGAAGUAUCACUGUACCAAGAGUUCAUAGGAUGGGGUGCAAUUCCUAUAACAAUCCCGAUAUAAAAGAUGGUAAUACUCCAAGGUAGAGCAGAACAAAAGCUGGAUUAGCAAUUUGAUCUGCGGAGCACAACUUCUUUGACCCAAUCCUGGAUAUGGAAGAGGUACUGGAGUUUGUUUCUCCAAGUUAUUCAGGACAAAAUGGCUUGACGGACCACAAGAGUAAUAGGCAUCGAUGAACGAAUGCACGCAGACUCUUGACUAUCAAUUGAUAAACAAGGGUCAGAAGACAACUAAAAAGGGACAACUCAAAGGAACAUACGAUUUUCUGAGUUGUGGAUGCAUGGAUUAGCAUGUCGAACGAGUUCGACAUAUUUCUUCCGGAUAACCCACGCAGAAAGGUAGAACAGGCAGAGUCACAAUAUAAAAUGGAGAACUCAUCAAGAGCACUCUGGUUGUGAUCGUUCAGUUCAACGAGGAACUUCUGCCAUAAGUAGUUCAUGGUAUUUGGAAGAAGAUGAUACCACGGACUUCAAGGACUAUCGCAAGUUACUAAUAUCCUAAAGGAACUUAGCAAACACUAUCAACAUGAGGUAAGUAGAGUGAAUCUCGGGUUCAAAACCCAGGGAUAGAAUACCUACUACUAAGUAGCAUCAUGGAAUGCUUUCGAGAAUAAAGGCCAGAAUCUUCACACUGAGAACACUAAACAUUGCUAGAUUACUAGGUGACUCCCUAAAACACCUAGGGUCAUAAUAAUAGCUCCAACAUAAAUGUCAAGGCAAUAGAAUACCUCAACUCAACAAUUUGUGUGAUUAACCUGGCCUGAAAGACAUUGAAACCAGAGGAAAAGGAUUUUGCAAAUGCAUCAGACUAUUUAGAAACCUGGGAUGACUCGGACAGCAUAACGGCUGUAAAUGCUCAGGAAAGAUUUGUGACAUUCACAAAAAUGGUGGCAUAACCACUCAGAGGCACAAUAUCAAGGUUUCGAGAUCAACAGUUAACAUACAGAAGUCGUAGGAACUGAACUCAAGCUUAAAUCCAACAAUCUAUAAGUCUACGGAUUAGUAACACGUGAUCCUGAUAGAAAGAAGAGAUAGCCUAGUUCUUAAUCCCCGUAGGAAAGAUAAGAUGACUCAGAUCAGAAGUGCAUGAGGUAUAAGGAGUAAAAAGAGCCUUACGUUCCAUCUCACAAUCAAUUCCCUUAUAUAACUAAAGAAUUUCUAGACUCAACUUCGACCAGUUUGGCUUGGUAAUCCUACAGGCAGUCAAGCUCUGAUACCAACGCUGUCAGGACCCCGACUCAAUGCCACAUCGAUCUAGCAUGUAACAUCUCAUAUCACUUUGCGGCCUCACGCACGGUAUUCCCACGGGUGUCACCUUACCUUUACCCGGGACCGUUUGCGCCUGUUGGCACACGUAUAUGACAGUGUCGCUAGCAUCCAUAUGAUAAGGAGCCCGGGCUGACAUGGCUAGUCGUAAACCCAAAGUGGCACAAACUUACAGGGACAGGCAUCCGUGACCCAGCAUCGAACGUGUCGGUCAUCAGCGAGUGAAUCCAGGCUAUAGCACUGGGCUAGCAGGACUCCGAUGAACCGGGCUGUAGCGGGCUAACAGGACUCCGGUAUUCAUCGCGUGACAUUUCCCCGAAGGGACAGACACAGGAACGAAGAAGGACACAUGCCGGCCAGCCUAAGUGUUCCGGAGCAGUAGCAAGCUACCAUGGCUCGGUGGAAGCACUAGGAGACAUUUCCCGGUAAGAGAGGCUACUAAAGAUAAACAACUAGAUAGUCAGAUCCCACACAUACCAAGCAUUUCAAUAACAUACACACAAUAUGCUCGAUAUGUGCAAACACAACAUGGCAUCACAACAUGACUCUACGACUCAAGUAUUUAUUCAAUAGGCUCCGAGGAGCGAGAUAUUACAAACAUGAGUCUCAUGACCCAACAUUCAGAGCAUACAAAGCAAAGCACAAGCGGAAGCUAUCAUGUCUGAGUACAGACAUCUAUAAAUGAAAAAGGCUUAGAAGCCUAACUAUCUAUCAGAUCCUGCCGAGGGCACAAGAUCGUAGCUGAGGUAACAAGCUAAACGUCGAAGUCCACGCGGAACUACUAGCGAGACCGAAGUCUCUCUGCAAAAACAUAAAUUAAGCAACGUGAGUACAAAUGUACCCAGCAAGACUUACAUCAGAACUAACUACAUAUGCAUCAUUAUCAACAAAGGGGAUGGUGGGGUUUAACUACAGCAAGCCAGCUUUGACUCGGUGGCUAUCCUGAACUACGACUGCAAUGUAACUCUUUUGAGGUGGCGCACACGAGUCCACAUAUUCCCCAUAUCAAUACACCACUAUGGAUCCGCUCCCGUCUCCCUACGAGAGCGCCAUCCAUAGCACUCACGCUUAUCUUGCGUAUUUUAGAGUAUCCACUUUCACUUGUCUAUGAACUGAUAUAAGCAACCCAGAAGUCCUUUACCGCGGACACGGCUAUUCGAAUAGAUGAUAUUAACCCUGCAGGGGUGUACUUCUUCAUACAUGUUUCCACCACUUAGCGUCUGCACACGACAUGUGCUCGGCAGACUUCAAGCGAAAGCCGACGUGGGUGUAGACCACGACCUACCUAAACACCUAAGUCUCUAGUCCAGGUUUAUCGCCUAUUCGGGUUCCAUCCAUGAGGAGAUCCGGCCGGAGUUUCGCUCACAGCCCCAAACGAUGUGAACAGGGUUCCGUGACACCAAACGGGUGCCCGGUAUACCCGGCCACGUGCCUACCGCAUCACAGCCCACCCCUACGGUCAGCGCUGUCCACGGCCUCCAGCAUACUACAAACACCAGAAACUACUUGCAACUCCUGGACAGAGGACAAGGGUGAAUAAGAAGUCGAGCGGGGUCAUAUUUCAGGGCCCAAUGUAUGGUAGUAGCUGAAUCAUGGAUCACAAACACAGAACUCAGUUCCUGAGGACGGCUACAAUGAGACAACCCACCAUGUACUCCUACAUGGCCUCUCACCGCUACCUUUACCAAAUCGUGUUCACACACUUAGCUCACACACAGUAGGACAUGUUCACACACCUCUGAUUCAUCCCCGAUGAAUCAGACCUGACUCGACUCUAAGCAAUAGCAGGCAUGACAAACAAGCAUGAAUGAGUAGGCACAACAGGGCUCAAACAACUCCUACUCAUGCUAGUGGGUUUCAUCUAUUUACUGUGGCAAUGACAGGUCAUGCAGAGGAUAAAGGGGUUCAACUACCGCAGCAUGUAACAGAUGAUUCGGUGUUGUCCUAAUGCAGUAAAAAGAGAGCAGGAGCGAGAGAGUGGGAUUUUAUCGGAAUGAACAAGGGGGUUUUGCUUGCCUGGCACUUCUGAAGAUAACAUUGAGUCUUCGUCAGUGUCAACGAUCGCAUCAUCGGUGUCACGUCUAUCGAGAGGGGACAAUUACCGGCAAAUACAGAAAAGACACGAUCAAUGCAAUGCACAAUAUGAUGCAUGCUAUGACAUGGCAAUAUGAAUGUGUUUUGGGCUAAUGCACCUAAAACCAGAUUAAAUGAAGUUGGUUUGAAUCCAAAAUUCAAAUUCAAACUCCAUAUGGGGUUAUUUAAAUGUCAUUCACUUCAUUUGUCCUAAACAGUAGUGAUAAGUUGUUCUAACAUGCAUGAAAAUGGUACAGAUGGAUUCCUUGAAUUUUUCUGAUAAUUUUUCAUAUAUAAUUUAUUUAAUUUGGAGUUACGGUUAAUUUUCUAUGAUUUUUAGAAGUUUUAGGCAUUUUCUGGAAUUUCCUGAAUAUUUAGAAUUAAAAUAAUUCCAGAAAAUGAAUUAUGGCGUCAGCAUGACCUCAUGCUGACCUCAGCAGGUCAACGGGCGGUCCAGGUCAAACCUGACGUGUGGGGUCCACACGUCAGUGACACAGGGGCUAAUCCCGCGUUGACCCGGGCUUUGACCCACUACGGGGCCCACUGUCAGUGGCUGUGGGGGGGUGUUUAGAGCGUCAUUAGUGCUAAUUAGGCGUGCCACGUCGGCAGUCGCCGGAGUGUCGCCGGCGACGACCACGGCCGACAGCGGAGGUGCGCCGUGCGCUCGCUACGGAGCACCAUUUGACGUGCGGUUUGCUCCUACGGGUUCCUGGGAGGAAGGCGCAUCUAAAGAGGUAAGUGACAGCAGCUGGGGUGGCCGGAGCUGCCGGCGGCGAGCUCCUUUGCGGCUGCCGGAGUUCGGGCAAUCUCGGGGUCGGGGUUAGGAAGCACGGCAGGAGGAGCUGGGGCGUGCUACGGACUCCUGAGAUCACGAUGAGCACGUCAGUGGGCUCGGAUACGAGCUGGGGUGGAAGAAUGGACUGACUCAGAUCAGAAUGUCAUAAGGUAUAAGGAGUAAAAAAAGAGCCUUACGUUCCAACCCACAAACAAUUCCCCUACAUAUAACUAAAGAAUUUCUAGACUCAACAUCGACCAGUUUGGCUUGGAGAACCUACAGGCAGUCCGGCUCUGAUGCCAACGCUGUCAGGACCCCGACUCGAUGUCACAUCGAUCUAGCUGGUAACACCUCAUAUCACUUUGCGGCCUCACGCACGGUAUCCCCACGGGUGUCGUCUUACCUUUUCCCGGGACCGUUUGCGCCUUUUGGCUCACGUAUAUGAUAGUGUCGCUAGCAUCCAUAUGAUAAAGAGCCCGGGCUGACAUGACUAGUCGUAAACCCAAAGUGGCACAGACUUACAGGGACAGGCAUCCAUGACCCAGCUUCGAACGUGUCGGUCAUCAACAAGUGGGUCCGGGCUGUAGCACUGGGCUAGCAGGACUCCGGUAAACCGGGCUGUAGCGGGCUAACAGGACUCCGGUACUCAAAGCGUGACAUUUCCCCGAAGGGACAGACACAGGAACGAAGAAGGACACAUGCCGGCCAGCCUAAGUGUUCCAGAGCAGUAGCAAGCUACCAUGGCUCAGCGGUAACACUAGGAGACAUUUCCCGGUAAGAGAGGCUACUAAAGAUAAACAACUAGAUAGUCAGAUCCCACACAUACCAAGCAUUUCAAUCACACACACAAUAUGCUCGAUAUGUGCAAAUACAACGAAGCAUCACAACAUGACUCUACGACACAAGUACUUUAUUCAUUAGGCUCCGAGGAGCGAGAUAUUACAAACAUGGGUCUCAUGACCCAACAAUCAGAGCAUACAAAUCAAAGCACAAGCGGAAGCUAUCAUGUCUGGGUACAGACAUUUAUAACUGAAAAAGGCUGAGAAGCCUGACUAUCUACCAGAUCCUGCCGGGGCACAAGAUCGUAGCUGAGGUAACAAGCUAAACGUCGAAGACCACGCGGAAAUACUAGUGAGACUUAAGUCUCUCUGCAAAAACAUAAAAUAGGCAAACGUGAGUACAAAUGUACCCAGCAAGACUUACAUCAGAACUAUCUACAUAUGCAUCAUUAUCAACAAAGGGAUGGUGGGGUUUAACUGCAGCAAGCCAGCUUUGACUCGGUGGCUAUCCUGAACUACGACUGCGAGUAACUUUUUGAGGUGGCGCACACGAGUCCACAUAUUCACCAUAUCAAUACACCACUAUGGAUCUGCUCCCGUCUCCCUACGAGAACGCCAUCCAUAGCACUCACGCUUAUCUUGCGUAUUUUAGAGUAUCCACUUUCACUUGUCUAUGAACUGAUAUAAGCAACCCAGAAGUCCUUUACCGCGGACACGGCUAUUCGAAUAGAUGAUAUUAACCCUGCAGGGGUGUACUUCUUCAUACAUGUUUCCACCACUUAGCGUCUGCACACGACAUGUGCUCGGCAGACUUCAAGCGAAAGCCGACGUGGGUGUAGACCACGACCUACCUAAACACUCAAGUCUCUAGUCCAGGUUUAUCGCCUAUUCGGGUUCCAUCCAUGAGGAGAUCCGGCCGGAGUUUCGCUCACAGCCCCAAACGAUGUGAACAGGGUUCCGUGACACCAAACGGGCGCCCGGUAUACCCGGCCAUGUGCCUACCGCAUCACAGCCCACCCCUACGGUCAGCGCUGUCCACGGCCUCCAGCAUACUACAAACACCAGAAACUACUUGCAACUCCUGGACAGAGGACAAGGGUGAAUAAGAAGUCGAGCGGGGUCAUAUUUCAGGGCCCAAUGUAUGGUAGUAGCUGAAUCAUGGAUCACAAACACAGAACUCAGUUCCUGAGGAUGGCUUCAAUGAGACAACCCACCAUGUACUCCUACAUGGCCUCUCACCGCUACCUUUACCAAAACGUGUUCACACACUUAGCUCACACACAGUAGGACAUGUUCACACGCCUCUGAUUCAUCCCUGAUGAAUCAGACCUGACUCAACUCUAAGUAGUAGCAGGCAUGAAAAACAAGCAUGAAUGAGUAGGCACAAUAGGGCUCAAACAACUCCUACUCAUGCUAGUGGGUUUCAUCUAUUUACUGUGGCAAUGACAGGUCAUGCAGAGGAUAAAGGGGUUCAGCUACCGCAGCAAGUAACAGAUGAAUCAGUGUUGUCCUAAUGCAUUAAAAGAGAGCAGGGGCGAGAGAGUAGGAUUGUAUCAGAAUGAACAAGGGGUUUUUGCUUGCGUGGCACUUCUGAAGAUAACAUUGAGUCUUCAUCAGUGUCAACGAUCACAACGUCGGAACAUCGUCUACCGGGAGGGAACAGAUACCGGCAACAAGAAGAAAUACAAUCAAUGCAAUGCACAAUAUGAUGCAUGCUCAUGACAUGGCAAUAUGAAUGUGUUUUGAGCUAAUGCACCUAGCUAUGAUUUAAAUGAGGUUGGUUUGAAUACAUGAUUCAAAUUCCAACUCCAUAUAUGAUUAUUUAAAUGCCCUUUAAUUGAUUUGUGCUAAACAGCAGCUAUAAGUUGUUCUAACAUGCAUGAAAAUGGUACAGAUGGAUUCCUUGAAUUUUUCUGAUAAUUUUUCAUAUAUAAAUUAUUUAACUUGGAGUUACGGUUGAAUUUCUAUGAUUUAUUGAAGUUUUAGCUAUUUUCUGAAAUUUCCUGAAUUAAAAUAAAUCCAGAAAAUGAUUUAUUGCAUCAGCCUGACGCCGGGGUGACGUCAGCAGGUCAAAGGCGUCGACCAGGUCAAACCUGACCAGUGGGGCCCACUGGUCAGUGACCCAGUCAACUAACCAAGUUAGUUAGCCCUAACUAACUGGAUUGGGCCCACUGGUCAGCGACUAGCCUAAAUAUGAUUAGCCCUAACUAACUUAGUUAGCCGGGCGGGGCCCGCAUGUUAGUGGCUCAGUGGCUUAGCCGAAAUUAGUUAUUAACUUAACCAAAGUUAGCACGGGCCGGGCCCACCUGUCAGUGACCCUGGGAAAGUCAAACAGAGUCAAAUCCCGGGUCGGUGGGGUCAAACCCACCGGCGACAUGACGCCGGCGAGGCCCGAGACGGCGGCGAUGCGCGGAAUCGCAGCACAGGCCACGGAUCGAGGCGCGGAUGGCACCGUUGGAACCCCGAGCCUCGUCCGCGUCCUCUGGUGCUAGUGGGGUCGCCGGAGACGGCUCAAAUCGACGGCGGCGUCCACUUCCGCGGCGGCCGGAGCUCGGCUAAGUGCGGGCGCAGUGCUGCAGCUCAUAGGUGGGUGAAUGGAGGUGCUAGGCAGCACCUAAAGGCGGCAGGAGCAUGUCGGAGCUGCUAUGCGAGGCAGAGGUGCUCGGGGCACGGAGCUCGCCGGCCAUGGCGGACGGCGGCGCUCGGGAAUGUGGGCGGGGGUGCUACGGCACGGGAACGAGCAAAACGAAGGAGGGGAAACAGAGUGGAGCUCACGUGGAUCCCGUAGAGGUGGACGGCGAGCUCGGGGAAGGCCGAACGGCGACGAAUUUGACGACGGCGAUCCUCGGUGGCCGAGGAGGGGAACGGCGAAGCUGGCAGCAUCCAGGGCUUCCGGCGCCUUCCGUCUUGGUGAGGAGGAAGAGGGGGACGGGGCGGAGCUUCUUGGCGCUUAGGCGAGGCGUGGGGUGGCCGGUGGCUACGGUGGUUCUCGUCGGCGGCGGUGGCUCCGUUCGGGUGAGGAGAACAGAGGAGGGGGAGAGUGUUCCGGGGAGAGAGAGGAGAGGGGCACGAGGAGAGUAGGAGAGGGUCGAGGGGAGUGCGUGGCAUCGUCCGGGGCGUCGAGGAGGAAGCAGGAGGUGGCCAGGGGAAGCAGGAGGUGGCCGAGCAGGGUGGAGGUGGCGCGCGCGGCGGCGUCGCGGUGUCCGUCCUCCUGGCAGAGAGGAUGACGACAGGGGAGGGGGGGGGGCGGUGGGCUGGGCCGUUGGGGGAGCUGGGCCAGGUAGGUGGGCGCCAGGUAGGUGGCCCAGGUGGCCUUCUCUCCCUUUCUUUUAUUUCCUCUUUUUUUAUUUCUAUUUUCUGUAGUUUGUUUUGAUUUAGUUUUAGACACUAAAUCAUUUUUUAUAAAUCCUGAGAAUAAUUGUGGACAUUAACUGAAUUAUUACAGAGGCCCUCAACUAUUUUCAGAAUUGUUGGAGCAUUUAAAAAUAUUAACAGUAUUUAAAUGCCCCAAUUCAAAUACAAUAUGGUUUAAUCAAAAAUCCAAAAAUGUCUUGGAAAAAUAUCCAUCAUCUCUGGAUAUGGUUUUCACCCUUUUCCAGUAAUCAUGAACAUUUUUGCAAACCAAUUUGGGUUCUUUGAAAAUAUUUUGAAGUUGAACCUAUUUGCAAUGCUUUGGUGCUAGGGCUUGGUCAUCCCCAUUUCAAAUUUUCAUAAAAUUUAAACAUGUUGCAUGGAUGCUAAAGCAAAAACAAACAAGGGCUGAUCUGAGGCUGUGACAGAAACCCUCCAUCACAGCGGAGCAGUACCUCAGACUCCAUCUCCAAAUGCCUAAGAUCUUCUUCCCCUCCCCCGACAGCCAAGUCAGCCGGAGCAUCCUCACCAGCCAACCCAAUCACGCUGAGAUCGACAUGGCUUCGCCAAAGAGGUUGUACACUUGUUGCAUCUCUUUUUUACCCUACAUGUUAUAUAUAUAUAUUGUCCACUGAGCACACGGAGUAACGAGAAAUACGAUUAUUUUAGCCUACUAUAUGACAAGCAGUGAGGUACCAGGCAACUUAGCUAUCUGUGAUGGACUCUCUUGAAUGCCAACAUUAUUUAUCUCUGUGCAUUUGAGCUGUGCAUUUGUCGAUGGCCAUGGGAGCUGAACUAGUAGGGCAGUGGCCUGGGUCCAAAGUAAUAGAAGUAGCACAAAUUUUUUUAGUGUAGACUUUUCCUCGCUCAAGCCUGCCUACUAGAAUCGCCAGUGCUUGAAAGGAAAAGUGAAUGAAAAACAUAGGAAUUGGAAAGUUUCCUAUGGUACUACUUUUCAUGAAUUUGGUGCAAAGGAAUGGAGCAAAGGAAAACUGUAGGAUUUGUUCCUUUAGUGUCUCCUUGAAAGAAAAACCGUAGGAAUUUUAAUUUCCACUUGUCCUCCUUUUCAAUUUCCUAUUCAUGAAGCACAAGACUAAGAGAUAGUAGCAUAAUAGCAUUAUAACCGUACAAUUUCUUGUGGUUUGACUUAAUCUCACCAUGCUUCUUUGCAUCCUGUGUUCUUCCAAUUCUUGUGAACCAAACACCCAGAUUGGCAAAAAUCCGGUGUUUUUAAAUUCUCUGUUUUGCACGUGCAUUCCUAUCCUAUUCCUGUCUAUUUCCUAUCCCUGCAUUGUUAGAAUCCUCAAAUUUAAACAAGCCCUUACACAAUUACUUCUGUUACAGAUAUGUGUCAAAGAAAACCUUGUGUGGUUUGUCCUGCUCCUGCGGUGUUGUGUUCCACCCUAGCUCAGCUGCUCCAACGAUGGAAGGGUUCACCACAGCAGGAAUCCGUUCUCCAGACUGUCUUUUGCCGCCUCAGAUCUUCUUCCCCGCCGCCGACAGCCACGACAACUGCAUUACCAUCAUCAACUGAGCAGAUGACCUUGAGGACUACACGGGUCUGCAAGAGAGGUCGCACUCUUCCGUGUCUGCUUACGUUAUGCAUCGUUUAAUAUGAUGACAUGCUACUUUAUCAUCGUGUUCACCUAUUAGACUCCGAGUCAGGUCCAAACUUAUGUUGAAACUUGAGUUUUUAAAUGGUUGUGGGGUACAUAUUGGGGCAACAAUCAGUACUAUCUGUCUACUAUCUAGUUUAGUAUAGUGUCAAUGCCAUCUGUUUAGUUUCUUUAUCGUAUAUGUGAAUCAUGCAAUGCCAUCUUGUUUAGCUAGGCGUCAUGUAUGUGAAUUUUGUAAUGCCACCCUAGUUAGCCAGUCAUCUUAUAUGUGAAUUAUAUCAUGACAUCAUUUUUAUUACGUGUUAGAUUUGUCAACAAUUUUAGUACAUUCAAUUACUCUUCCUGUGCAUCAGCCAUUCGACACGAUCAUGAAAAAAAUCUGGAGUGGAAACAAGGUCUUCAGAGCAGACAAUGCUAUCUGACGAAGCGCAUGUCUUGCUGGUUACAGAUAGCUCCUUGGAGGAGGAUUCAGAGACAGAUGAUCAGUCCUAUCCCCCCCCCGAGGUGCAUGCUCUAACUUGGCAGGGUUAUGUUGCUCAUAUCGUGCGUAUGGUAUCUUGCAUUGCUAUGUCAUUUGCUUAGUUUAGACAUGCUUUGUGUGAAUGCCACCUGUUUAGUGUCUAAUUACCAUAUAUGUGAAUUAUGCAAUGCCAUCUUGUUGCAAGACAUUAUAUAUGUGAAUUAUGCAAUGCUAUCUUGUUGCAAGGCAUUAUAUAUGUGAAUUAUGCAACGCCAUGCUGUUUAGCCAAGCGUUAUAUAUGUGAAUUAUAUCAUGCCAUCCUUUUUUUUGUAUUUCUCGUUGCUUUUGUCGACAAUGUUUGUAUAUUCAACUGCUCUUCCUAUGCAUCAGCCAUUUGAAUUGGUGAUGGAGAAAUCUAGAGUGAAAACAAGGUCUUCAGAGCAGACAAUGCUACCUGCUGAAGCAUAUAUCUUGCUAGUUACGAAUAGCUCUUCAGAUGAGGAUUCAGAGGCAGAUGACCAGUCCUAUUAUCCCCCUGAGGUGUAUGCUCAAACUUGGCAGGGUUAUAUUACUCAAAUCAUGCAUAUGUUGUAUUGCAAUGCUUAGUUUUUACAUCAUAUACACGAUAUUGAAUGCCAUCUCCUUAGUAGACACAUCAUAUAUGCGAUUUCCCUCUGCUCACUUCCUUAGUAUAUAAAUCAUAUAUUUGAAUUAUAUCAUGCCAUGAUGUUUACAUAGACAACAUGUAUCUGAAUUAUGCCAUGCCAACCCAUUUUCUAAAGACAUAAUAUAGUUAUAUCAUCUCAUCUUGUUUACAUAGUCAUCAUAUUUUGAAUUAUGUCAUUCUAUCCGUGAAUUAUAUCAUGCCAUCAUGUUUCCAUCGACGACAUGUUUGUGAUUUAUGGCAUGCCAACCACUUUAAUAGACACAUCAUAUAGUUAUAUCAUGUCAUCCUAUUUACAUAGUCAUCAUAUUUUGAAGUAUGUCAUUCUAUCUGCUACCUCUCGAGCACUAUGUUGGUUUUUCCUUAAAGAGGAAAGGGUGAUGCAGCAAAGUAGCGUAAGUAUUUCCCUUAGUUUUUGAGAACCAAGGUAUCAAUCCAGUAGGAGAUCACGCUCAAGUCCCACGCACCUACGCAAACAAAUAAGAACCUCGCAACCAACGCGAUAAAGGGGUUGUCAAGCCCUUCACGGUCACUUACAAGAGUGAGAUCUGAUAGAUAUGAUAAGAUAAUAUUUUUGGUAUUUUUAUGAUAAAGAUGCAAAGUAAAAUAAAAGGCAAAGGAAAUAACUAAGUAUUGGAAGAUUAAUAUGAUGGAAGAUAGACCCGGGGGCCAUAGGUUUCACUAGUGGCUUCUCUCAAGAGCAUAAGUAUUACGGUGGGUAAACGAAUUACUGUCGAGCAAUUGAUAUAAUUGAGCAUAGUUAUAAGAAUAUAUAGGUAUGAUCAUGCAUAUAGGCAUCACGUUCGAGUAAAGUAGACCGAAACGAUUCUGCAUCUACUACUAUUACUCCACACGUCGACCGCUAUCCAGCAUGCAUCUAGAGUAUUAAGUUCAUAAGAAUAGAUUAAUGCUUUAAGGAAGAUGACAUGAUGUACAGGGAUAAACUCAUGCAAUAUGAUAUAACCCCCAUAUUUUUAUCCUCGAUGGAACAAUACAAUACGUGUCGGUUCCCUUUCUGUCACUGGGAUCGAGCACCGCAAGAUUGAACCCAAAGCUAAACACUUCUCCCAUUGCAAGAAAGAUCAAUCUAUUAGGCCAAACCAAAUUCAUAAUUCGAAGAGACCUGCAAAUAUAAACCAAUCAUACAUAAAAGAAUUCAGAGGAGAAUCAAAUAUUGUUCCUAGAUAAUCUGGAUCAUAAACCCACAAUUCACCGGAUCUCGACAAACACACCGCAAAAGAAGAUUACAUCGAUAGAUCUCCAAGAAAAUCAAGGAGAACUUUGUAUUGAGAUCCAAAGAGAGAGAAGAAGCCAUCUAGCUAAUAACUAUGGACCCGUAGGUCUGAAGUAAACUACUCACACAUCACCGGAGAGGCCAUGGAGUUGAUGUAGAGGCCCUCCAUGAUCAAUGCCCCCUCCGGCGGAGCUCCGGAAGAGGCCUCGAGAUGGGAUCUCUCGAGUACAGAAGGUUGCGGCGGUGGAAUUAGGGUUUCAUGGUGCUCCUGGAUGUUUGGGGGUACGUGGAUAUAUAUAGGAGGAAGAAGUACGUCGGUGGAGCAACAAAGGGCCCAUGAGGGUGGAGGGCACGCCAAGGGGGGUAGGCGCGCCCCCCUGCCUCGUGCCCUCCUCCCUUGUUUCUUGACGGCCACUCCAAGUCUCCUGGAUCACGUUUGUUGAGAAAAUCACGUUCCUGAAGGUUUCAUUCCAUUUGGACUCCGUUUGAUAUUCCUUUUCUUCGAAACCCUAAAAUAGGCAAAAAAACAACAAUUUGGGUUGGGCCUCCGGUUAGUAGGUUAGUCCCAAAAAUGAUAUGAAAGUGUAAAAUAAAGCCCAUUAACAUCCAAAAUAGAUAAUAUAAUAGCAUGGAGCAAUCAAAAAUUAUAGAUACAUUGGAGACAUAUCACUAUCCUGUUUAGUUAGCCAUCAUACAUGUGAAAUUGUGCCAUGCUAUCCUGUUUAAUUAGCCAUCAUAUAUGUGAAAUUAUGUCCUGCUAUUCUGUUUGGUUAGACCACAUAAAUGUGAAUUAUUUCAUGCCCUAUUUUCUUCCCUACUAUCCAUUGCACCUGUCUAUCUUACAAUUUCUGUACAUUCAAUUACUUUUCUUGUUUACCAGCCAUUUCAAUUUGAGGGGGUGAUGGCAGUAUCCGUGGGAGUAAAAACACGGUCUUCAGAAAAGAUCGUGCUACAUGUCGAUGGAGAUAGAACUACGGUUGUACUUGCCCAAGAACCAGCCCCACCACACAUAACCCAGUCUCACGCAGAUUGUACCCCUACCCAGUUGGACAGAGAACCAGCUACACCCCUUCUAACCCCAACCCCGGCAGAUAGUAACCCAGUUCUCGUUGACACAUCACCAUCUCCACCACAGAGCACCCAAACACAAGCAGUUAGUAAGGCAACUGCAGUGUCCAAAGCACGAGGACCACCACUUCGAACCCCAAGCCAACGCUUAAAGCAGAAGAAGAAUUUUUCUCAGGUCAGGUUUCAUAGCUAUGGUUCACACUACUUUGCUCUUGCAUCACUGCAUUUACUCAUACCAACUAAUUUCAAAUUUGAAGGAUGCAAUUGAAACUCCAAUGGUGCAAUAGGUAUGUUUUAAACCUGUUUCUUUAACGUGUUUGCUGUUGUAACUUGCACUAUGUUGAUUUCAGUUUCAAUUGAAUAAACAGUUAUGUUCUCAUGCCAUGCACAUUACAAGUGUUGUUAUUGCUGUGUAGUUUCCCACGCUUAUAUUCUGUCUAUGCUGCUUUGUCUUAAAUAGAUAUGAUUCAAACUGUAUCAAUCUUGAUUUGGCAACAUAAACUAGAUUGAUAUAGACGAUACAGCGACCAUACCACAUAGAUAUAUGUUUGUUUCAUGCUAUUAUCCUGUCCACCUUACUACUGAACUGGUUUACCAAAAUGAGUUUCAUAUACUACAUUGUAAACCUAUGAUGUGUUUGUUUGUUUAUCUUUUAGAACACGGAUAAAAUAUUGGAGAAGAGUACCCCGUUAUGCAGAUAGUGAGACAUCCCUGUUGGUCUCCAAGAAAGCUGAUAAAAACUAUAUUGAAGACAGUGGACAACCCCAAAGUCCUGUCUUGAUGUAGUGUUCGAGUUACUAGCUACUACUACUGGCACCAGCUCUUUGAACUCGCUGCCCGAAUUUGUUCGGCUUCUUGAGUCUCAACUUCAAGUUGAAAAACAGAUCAGAUGUUAUGUGAUAGGAGGACAAAGGACUGGGGAAGUCCCUGCAGAAUUCAGAUGCAUACUUUCUGGUGCAACAACAAGUGCUGGAGGAUUUAAGCGCCAAACAAGAGAAAGUUAAUAAGCUUGCUAAGCAUCCUGCCAGCAUUAUGGGUACCCAGGAUAUUAAUUCUUGAGCUCUUCUGAAGUGGUUUCAGUUCUGGACUUGUUUUGCUAUGGCAUUUAUAUGCUGCUUUGUUCCCUAUAUUUGCACUGGUGGCGAACUUUGAUGCCCAGCGGAUGUACUAUGUGUAAUAGCCGUGAUAGCCUAGUGUAAGUUGCUUGCUAAUUUAUUUCCUUAUUGUCUUGUUUAUUUGUUUUCUUGUAGUCAGUGCAGUUCUUUUUCCGCGGCUUGCUAGUGGCCGCAAUAACCUAUUUUUUUAAACUAGGCCACAAUAACCAUGGGCUACAUAUUUACUGUAGUUAACAUGGGCCUCCUAUGGGCCAUAGAAACAACGGACCUUCUACGGGGCGUAGAAACAAUGGGCCUUAUACGGGCCAUAGACACAAUGGGCCUUCUACGGGCCGUAUCAUCAAUGGGCCUUCUCCGGGCCGUAUGAUCGGUUGGCCAAACAUGGGCCAACAACAAACCACAUUAUGGUCGUAAAUGAGCUAGAGUUGAAAUCGUCCGUUCAUGGGCCGACCAUAACGGGCCAUCAUUAGUCGGCCGUAUUUGAUGACGCUAUGAAAAUGGCCCAACGUAUUAACGAGCCACAAAUGGGCCGACUGUAACCACAUGCUGAAUUUGGGCCACAAGCAGAAAAUGAUAGUAACGAGCCAUAAGUAAACGAAUACUGGAAAUGAUCCCAAGAAUAAAUGGGCCCUGAGAAGGCCGAAAGAUAACAUGGGCUGGAAACGGCCCAACGGAAUAAUGGGCUGUUAAUGGGUAUAAAGUGAUACACUGUUCAUUACGGGCCAGUUUCACCACGUGCCGUUAAUGGGCCGAUGGUUACUAUGGGCCUCAUAUGGGCCUAAAGACGUCAUGGGCCAUACAUGGGCCGGAAGUUAAAACGGGCGGGAAUUAUAUUGGACGGCCCAGAUGACGCUACUGGGCCUAAUUUGGAUAGGCCGUAAACGGGCCCUGGGUUAGCAGGCUGUAAAUGGGCUAUAUGUGAAGCAGUCAACAGGCUUGCCAUGGGUCGGCCCGCCACCUUUUGACCAAGUCAAACGGGCCGGCCUUUUCACAGGAAUGGGCCUCUGUUGGGCCGUGCCAUGUGUCGACGUAUCAUAGGCGCUUUGGGUCCAAUGAGUAGAUGAUAUCUGUCCCAACGGUGAGCCGACACGUAUUUCCUCCAGCUAAUGAUGAUUUUACACGUGGAAAAUCCCCAUUGGUCGGGGCUGUUAACGGGUUAUCGGAUCCAAAGCCGGACCGGAUAGCUUAACGGCGUUACGUUACGAUGGAUGCCACGUGUCGGCCACCCUUGACGAAAGCACUUCUGUGACGCGCGAUUUAUCGUCAUGGAAGUGGACACUUCUGUGAUGAUAAUUUUGGUAAUGUCAUGGAACACUUCUACGACAUCACAGGUAUGUGAUACGUCUCCAACGUAUCUAUAAUUUUUGAUUGCUCCAUGCUAUAUUAUCUAUUGUUUUGGAUGUUUAUGGGCUUUAUUAUACACUUUUAUAUCAUUUUUUGGGACUAACCUAUUGACCCAGAGCCCAGUGCCAGUUUCUGUUUUUACCUUGUUUUAGGGUUUCGAAGAAAAGGAAAACCAAACAGAGUCCAAUUGACCUGAAACUUCACGGAACCCAUUUUUGGAAGGAAAGAAGCCCAGAAGACUUGAAGUGCACGUAAGGGAAGCUUCGAGGAGGCCACGAGGUAGGGGGCGCGCCCACCCCCCUGGGGGCACCCUCCACCCUCGUGGCCCCCCUGACGUACUUCUUCCGCCUAUAUAUCUCCAUACACCCUAAAACUUCUAGGGAGCACAAUAGAUCGGGAGUUCCGCCGCCAGAAGCCUCCGUAGCCACCGAAAGCCAAUCUAGACCCGUUUCGGCACCUUGCCAGAGGGGGAAUCCCUCUCCGGUGGCCAUAUUCAUCAUCCCGGUGCUCUCCAUGACGAGGAGGGAGUAGUUCUCCCUCGGGGCUGAGGGUAUGUACCAGUAGCUAUGUGUUUGAUCUCUCUCUCUCUCUCUCUCUCUCUCUCUCUCUCGUGUUCUUGAGGUGAUACGAUCUUGAUGUAUCGCGAGCUUUGCUAUUAUAUUUGGAUCCUAUGAUGUUUCUUCCCCCCUCUACUCUCUUGUAAUGGAUUGAGUUUCCCCUUUGAAGUUAUCUUAUCGGAUUGAGUCUUUAAAGAUUUGAGAACACUUGAUGUAUGUCUUGCCGUGGAUAUCUAUGGUGACAAUGGGAUAUCACGUGAUUCACUUGAUGUAUGUUUUGGUGAUCAACUUGCGGGUUCCGCCCAUGAACCUAUGCAUAGGGGUUGGCACACGUUUUCGUCAUGAUUCUCCGGUAGAAACUUUGGGGCACUCUUUGAGGUUCUGUGUUGGUUGAAUAGAUGAAUCUGAGAUUGUGUGAUGCAUAUCAUAUAAUCAUACCCAUGGAUACUUGAGGUGACAUUGGAGUAUCUAGGUGACAUUAGGGUUUUGGUUGAUUUGUGUCUUAAGGUGUUAUUCUAGUAUGAACUCUAGGGCUGUUUGUGACACUUAUAGGAAUAACCCAAUGGAUUGAUUGGAAACAAUAACUUUGAGGUGGUUUCGUACCCUACCAUAAUCUCUUUGUUCGUUCUCCGCUAUUAGUGACUUUGGAGUGACUCUUUGUUGCAUGUUAAGGGAUAUUUAUGUGAUCCAAUUAUGUUAGUUGAAAGAUCGUGGAUGUCGCCUAGAGGGGGGGGGGUGAAUAGGCGUUUUAAAAUAAUUACGGUUUAGGCUUGAACAAAUGCGGAAUAAACCUAGCGGUUAAUUUGUCAAGCACAAAACCUAAAACAACUAGGCUCACCUAUGUGCACCAACAACUUAUGCUAAGCAAGAUAAGCAACUAUGUGAUAGCAAGAUAUAUGACAAGAAACAAUAUGGCUAUCACAAAGUAAAGUGCAUAAGUAAAGGGCUAGGGUAAGAGAUAACCGAGGCAUGUGGAGACGAUGAUGUAUCCCGAAGUUCAUACCCUUGCGGAUGCUAAUCUCUGUUUGGAGCGGUGUGGAGGCACAAUGCUCCCCAAGAAGCCACUAGGGCCACCGUAAUCUCCUCACGCCCUCACACAAUACAAGAUGCCGUGAUUCCACUAAGGGACCCUUGAGGGGGGUCACCGAACCCGUACAAAUGGCAACCCUUGGGGGCGGUCACCGAACCCGUACACUUUGGCAACCCUUGGGGGUGGUCACCAGUACCUGUCAAAUUGCUCGGGGCGAUCUCCACAACCCAAUUGGAGACCCCGAUGCUUGCUCGGAGCUUUACCCCACAAUGAUUGAGCCCCGAAUACCACCAACCGUCUAGGGCGCCCAAGCACCCAAGAGGAACAAGCUCAAGGGUACCAAGCACCCAAGAGUAAUAAGCUUCUCAACUUGUAACUUCCACGUAUCACCGUGGAGAACUCAAACUGAUGCACCAAAUGUAAUGGCAAGGGCACACGGAGUGCCCAAGUCCUUCUCUCUCAAAUCCCACCGAAGUAACUAAUGCUAGGGAGGAAAAUUAGAGGAAGAACAAGAAGGAGAACACCAAGAACUCCAAGAUCUAGAUCCAAGGGGUUCCCCUCACAUAGAGGAGAAAGUGAUUGGUGGAAAUGUGGAUCUAGAUCUUCUCUCUCUUUUCCCUCAAAAACUAGCAAGAAUCCAUGGAGGGAUUGAGAGUUAGCAAGCUCAAAGAAGGUCAACAAUGGGGGAAGAACACGAGCUCAAGAGAUAAGGUUGAAUGGGGAAGAAGACCCCCUUUUAUAGGAGCACCCGGGAGGUAGAACACGGAGAGCGGAGCGAAACAGAGUGCGUGGCGGAGUUGUGUGAGCGGCACUACCGCUGGAGCCAGCGGUACCACCGUUGGCCGUAGCGGUACUGCCGCUUGGGACAGCGGUACUACCGCUUGUGGCGAUAAGCGGUACUGCCGCUCCGGCCCGGUGGUACUACCGCUGGGACCGCGCACAACGCCUACCACGAGCACAGGGAGAAGGAACAACGAGGAGGGCCAUUGAGCGGCACUAGGGGUGGUGGUAGCUGCGGUACUACUGCACAUGAGCGGUACUACCGCUCCUACUGCCGCUGAACCCGACACGAGAAAACCACGUCUCGAGUCGAGGCGGUACCAGCACGGAACCGGAGCCGUACUACCGCUUAUGGCCAUGGGCGGUACUACCGCUGUGGGACAGCGGUACUACCGCUUGUGGCGAUAAGCGGUACUGCCGCUCCGGCCCAGCGGUACUACCGCUGGCGCCAUCCUUAAGCCACUUCCACAAAAGCAAGUAAAUUCCACGGAAAACCAGAACUGCCAUAACUUCUGCAUAUGAGCUCCGAAUUGAGCAAACUCAAGCUUGUUAGAUACAAGACGACGAGUAGCACAAGAAUCGUGUAUGGGACCAGUACGUCAAGGGAGGAAAGAAGACUCCAGUAUUCAAGGGAACACUAGAGAAGCAAAGUGCUCAUUGGGACGAAUUCAUGAAUUUCAAGGAAUCGGAAUUAUCUAAGGAAUGGUCGAGAAUAAACAAGGCCAUUGCCGCAAAAAAGGAUAAGAUCCAUAAGCUGGGGCCAGGUGGCCAUGCGGUGGGAAUGCCUAAGUGGGAUAAGUCUGAGAAAGAGAUGGAGGAUGUAGGUGUCACUCCAGAAACAUUGAGCUGGCCCCCCAGGUGCAGGACUUGGUUCUAUGCGCAUGGGGGGAGUUGGACCCGAAGACAGACAAAGUUUCAAAGAAGGCAUGUCUGGACGGAGCCGAAGAUAAGCUACUUGUUGCAAUAGAAGAGGCUCGAUCGGGGGUGCUCGAGCCAAACAGAGAGAACGACGAGCUUACGCGUGCCCUGGGAAAUCCUGAACACCCGGGAAGAACACGAGGCAAGGGCGCUAUUCCAUGGUAUGAGGGGUUUUCGGACUGGAACACCGACUAUAGAACCCGUGCGAGAAAGAAGAUUGCGGAGGAGAAGAAGAGGAAGAUGGAGGAGGAGCAGAGGAAGCUGGACUAUGAAUGCCUUCAAGGCCUAGAAUCAACGCACGUGGACUUGGCAGUCAAAUUCCAGCGGCAGCAGGAGCAGAUCGACUCACUUAGCUAGCAAAGGGGCUCUCAGCAGCUGCAGCAGCUAGCGGAUGAUCCAACAUUGGAUAGCACCGUCCCAUCCAUGCCGAGAAGCAGCAUGGGUUCCGCCCCGGGCGACGCAUUGCUGGAUAGCUACCCAGUGGAUGACAUCAUGGAGAACACUAAUUGCGAGCUACACUUCAAAAUGAAGAACAUAUCCAUGAAGGUGGCGGACGCCGUUUAUUUUACAAAUCCCCCCGAGGCAACCUGCCAUUUCAACCCGAUUCCAGCGGGCUAUGCUCGUGUCUUGGUUGAUGAGGUGGUGGACCAAUAUUCGGGGCUAGAGCUUGACAUUCCUGGAGGUGACGAGGAGCACACACUGGGAGAGGCCAACCAUCGUAUCAUCCUAUGGAGAAAGGGUUGCAUCAUCUUUCGAAGGCCACCGACACCGCGUCAUCCGACUCCUCGUCGAAGUCCGCCAUCGAGUUAGUAGACUCCCGCUCCUCCAAGUCCACCAACGCGUCAGGCCACUCCUCCUCCAAGUCCGGCACAACUUCGGGCCACUUUCCUCCUCCAAGUCCGGCAAAGCGUCAGGCCACUCCUCCUCCAAGUCCGGCACAGCUUCAGGCCACUCCUCCUCCUCCAACUCAGCCACGUUAGCCGUCUUCGCCGCCUCAGCAAUCAUGGAUGAGAGCCGCCUCAGCUAUGGUGCGUAGCGGUACAAGUCGAGGUAGUACUGGAGGUACAGGCGGAGGCAAGCGAUUUCAAUAUGGUCCAAGCAGCCUCGCGCCUCUUCCGCAGAGGCCUUACGACAAAUCCGAGGAGGAAAACACAUCCAUAUCAAAGGCCGAGGUGGAAGCCCAUUUUGCACCGAAACUGCCACCAUCGCCAAGGGAGAAAGUGCCUGAGGAAAAGAUUGACCACUUAAUUCGUAUGGCUAGAGCACCAGCUCCCAAGCCUGUUGACACAGACUAUGAGCGCCACCUCAGGAAGUUAAAUCGAGCACGUCUACAGAAAGAGGCGAGCUCGAGCUCGAGCAAAUCAGCUGGGAAAAGGAGCGGUAAAACCGUUCCCCAGCUGGGAGAACAGACGGCGCAAUCAAUCCCCCCCGCUUGUUGUGCCAACAACACAUGAGAGUACGCGUGCCCAAUAUUAUUGUGGUCAAACCGUUAACGUUCCCGGGCUGGGUGAUGUGGUAAUAACCGAGGAGCAUAUUGAGCAGGCUAAAAGGCUCAUGAUCACUGUUGGACAACUCCUCGAUAUCGAGCCCAUGUCUCGGAUUAGAGAGGAGGAAAUAAAAUGGAAAUAUGUCCGGGGCCAACCUUUGGUCGAGCCAGACGAGGUCAAGAAGCUCCCAACGAGAAUGUAUGAAUUGCAUCAAUGGUACAUGGACAUUACCAAGAUUUCCAAUCGAGAGUCCCUCAUGGUGAAUGUCAAGAAGGAUCAUUACUACCAUGAGAAAGCUGUGUCCGUUGAGUAUUCAGAACUAUUUCAGUUAUACAAUCAAGACGCACUCGACAAAUCUAUCGUCAGUUGCUAUUGUCUGUAAGUGAUUUCUUUCUGUAAUUUAAGUCUCAAGCUAGCUGUAGUGAUCAUUUUGAUCAAUCAUUACCUGUAAUUAUCCUCACUAUAUUCUUUUCUGUGGUAUUAUGCAGGAUGAAGAUUUAUGAAAUGAAAAAAGGUGGACGCUAUGGCAUUGGGUUCAUUGACCCAAAUACCAUUAAUGAAUACACAUGGAAAUUAGAUCCAUAUUAUGAAAAAAGUGUAGAGGAAAGCAUGCUAGAGUUCUUCAAGCGCCUCAAUACCAAUGAAGAUAUACUACUGCUUCCUUACAACUUCGAGUGAGUCACACUGUCUUGUACUACAAAUUCUGUUUUUGCCUACUAGCUAGCUACAUGUUUUUUCUUACAUAUGCCCGCUUAAUUAAGACAUGCAAACGUGUGUGCAUGAAGAUUUCACUGGAUCUUGUUAAUCAUUAAAGUUGAUGAAGGAACAGUUGAAAUACUGGACUCACUACUUAAAAAAGCAAGUGACUACACCAUCUUGUUUGGGAUAGUCAACAUGUAAUUUCAAUCAUUAUUAACUAUAUCUCGGCCUAUUUAGUUCGUCAUUUCCUAAUAUGAACUAUUUAAUAACCCCUUUAUUCAUUUUCUUUGUCGGCGGGCAGGGCUUGGGCAAAGUUCAUCAGCGUCACUCCAGGCCAAUGGAAAAAAAGCUAAAAUGGUAUCGAACCAAGAUAAGUAAUUAUGUAGUACUAGCUAGCUACCUGCCAUCUCUUUAAUUAUCAUGCUUGAUUAAUUAUUAUCUAAUCAAAUUCCAUUCUCGUAAAGGCCCUGAAGCAGGCGCGGGCAAUAAUCUGUGUGCAUACUACGGCUAGGAGCACGCACAACGCCUACCACGAGCACAAGGAGAAGGAACAGAGAGGAGGGCCAUUGAGCGGCACUAGGGGUGGUGGUAGCCGUGGUACUACUGCACAUGAGCGGUACUACCGCUCCUACUGCCGCUGAACCCGACACGAGAAAACCACGUCUCGAGUCGAGGCGGUACCAGCACGGAACCGGAGCCGUACUACCGCUUAUGGCCAUGUGCGGUACUACCGCUGUGGGAUAGCGGUACUACCGCUUGUGGCGAUAAGCGGUACUGCCGCUCCGGCCCAGCGGUACUACCGCUAGCGCCAUCCUUAAGCCACUUCCACGAAAGCAAGUAAAUUCCACGGAAAACCAGAACUGCCAUAACUUCUGCAUAUGAGCUCCGAAUUGAGCAAACUCAAGCUUGUUAGAUACAAGACGACGAGUAGCAUAAGAAUCAUGUAUGGGACCAGUACGUCAAGGGAGGAAAGAAGACUCCAGUAUUCAAGGGAACACUAGAGAAGCAAAGUGCUCAUUGGGUCGAUUUCAUGAAUUUCAAGGAAUCAGAAUUAUCUAAGGAACUGUCGAGAAUAAACAAGGCCAAUGCCGCAAAAAAGGAUAAGUUCCAUAAGCUGGGGCCAGGUGGCCAUGCGGCGAUGAUCUUCAUGCCAUCAAAUACCUACCCCUAAAACUCAAGGGGCCAGCCCGACACUGGCUGAAAACCUGCCUGGAAACUCUAUUGGCAGCUGGGAGGACUUGGAAGAAGCCUUCCUUGACAACUUCCAAGGUACUGAUGUUCGACCUCCGGAUGCUGACGACUUAAGUCAUAUAAUCCAACGCCCGGAGAGUCAGCCAGGAAAUUCCAGACUAGAUUCUUGACUAAAAAGAACCAGAUCAUUGACUGUCCGGACGCCGAAGCCCUGGCGGCAUUUAAACAUAGCAUACAGGACGAAUGGCUCGCUUGACACCUCGGCCAAGAAAAGUCGAAGUCCAUGUCAGCCCUCACGGCCAUGCGGUGGGAAUGCCUAAGUGGGAUAAGUCUGAGAAAGAGAUGGAGGAUGCAGGUGUCACUCCAGAAACAUUGAGCUAGCCCCCCAGGUGCAGGACUUGGUUCUAUGUGCAUGGGGGGAGUUAGACCCGAAGACAGGCAAAGUUUCGAAGAAGGCAUGUCUGGACGGAGCCGAAGAUAAGCUACUUGUUGCAAUAGAAGAGGCUCGAUCAGGGGUGUUCGAGCCCAACAGAGAGAACAACAAGCUUACGCGUGCCCUGGGAAAUCCUGAACACCCGGGAAGAACACGAGGCAAGGGCGCUAUUCCAUGGUAUGCGGGGUUUUCGGACUGGAACGCCGACUACAGAACCCGUGCGAGAAAGAAGAUUGCGGAGGAGAAGAAGAGGAAGAUGGAGGAGGAGCAGAGGAAGCUGGACUAUGAACGCCUUCAAGGCCUAGAAUCAGCGCACGUGGACUUGGCAGUCAAAUUCCAGCGGCAGCAGGAGCAAAUCGACUCACUUAGCCACCAAAGGGGGUCUCAGCAGCUGCAGCAGCUAGCGGAUGAUCCAGCAUUGGAUAGCACCGUCCCAUCCAUGCCGAGAAGCAGCAUGGGUUCCGCCCAGGGCGACGCAUUGCUGGAUAGCUACCCAUUGGAUCACAUCAUGGAGAACACUAACUGCGAGCUACACUUCAAAAUGAAGAACAUAUCCAUGAAGGUGGCGGACGCCGUUGCUUUUACAAAUCCCCCCGAGGCAACCUUCCAUUGCAACCCGAUUGCAGCGGGCUAUGCUCGUGUCUUGGUUGAUGAGGUGGUGGACCAAUAUUCGGGGCUAGAGCUUGACAUUCCUGGAGGUGACGAGGAGCACACACUAGGAGAGGCCAACCAUCGUAUCAUCCUAUGGAGAAAGGAUUGCAUCAUCUUUCGAAGGCCACCGACACCGCGUCAUCCGACUCCUCGUCGAAGUCUACCACCGAGUCAGUAGACUCCCGCUCCUCCAAGUCCACCAACGUGUCAGGCCACUCCUCCUCCAAGUCCGGCACAACUUCAGGCCACUCCUCCUCCUCCAAGUCCAGCAAAGUGUCAGGCCACUCCUCCUCCAAGUCCGGCACAACUUCACGCCACUCCUCCUCCUCCAACUCAGCCACGUCAGCCGUCUUCGCCGCCUCAGCAAUCACGGAAGAGAGACGCCACAGCUAUGGUGCGUAGCGGUACAAGUCGAGGUAGUACUGGAGGUACAGGCGGAGGCAAGCGAUUUCAAUAUGGUCCAAGCAGCAUCGCGCCUCUUCCACAGAGGCCUUACGACAAGUCCGAGGAGGAAAACACAUCCAUAUCGAAGGCCGAGGUGGAAGCCCAUUUUGCACCGAAACCGCCACCAUCACCAAGGGAGAAAGUGCCUGAGGUAAAGAUUGACCACUUAAUUCGUAUGGCCAGAGCACCAGCUCCCAAGCCUGUUGACACAGACUAUGAGCGCCACCUCAGGAAGUUAAAUCGAGCACGUCUACAGAAAAAGGCGAGCUCGAGCUCGAGCAAAUCAGCUGGGAAAAGGAGCGGUAAAGCCAUUCCCCAGCUGGGAGAACAGGCGGCGCAAUCAACCCCCCCGCUUAUUGUGCCAACAACACAUGAGAGUACGCGUGCCCAAUAUUAUUGUGGUCAAACUGUUAACGUUCCCAGGCUGGGCGAUGUGGUAAUAACCGAAGAGCAUAUUGAGUAGGCUAAAAGGCUCAUGAUCACUGUUGGACAACUCCUCGAUAUCGAGCCCAUGUCUCUGAUUAGAGAGGAGGAAAUAAAACGGAAAUAUGUCCGGGUCCAACCUUUGGUCGAGCCAGACGAGGUCAAGAAGCUCCCAACGAGAAUGUAUGAAUUGCAUCAAUGGUACAUGGACAUUACCAAGAUUUCCAAUCGAGAGUCCCUCAUGGUGAAUGUCAAGAAGGAUCAUUACUACCAUGAGAAAGCUGUGUCCGUUGAGUAUUCAGAACUAUUUUAGUUAAACAAUCAAGACGCACUCGACAAAUCUAUCGUCAGUUGCUAUUGUCUGUAAGUGAUUUCUUUGUGUAAUUUAAGUAUCAAGCUAGCCAUAGUGAUCAUUUUGAUCAAUCAUUACCUGUAAUUAUCCUCACUAUAUUCUUUUCUGUGGUAUUAUGCAGGAUGAAGAUUUAUGAAAUGAAAAAAGGUGGACGCUAUGGCAUUGGGUUCAUUGACCCAAAUACCAUUAAUGAAUACACAUGGAAAUUAGAUCCAUAUUAUGAAAAAAGUGUAGAGGAAAGCAUGCUAGAGUUCUUCAAGCGCCUCAAUACCAAUGAAGAUAUACUACUAGCUUCCUUACAACUUCGAGUGAGUCACAUUGUCUUGUACUACAAAUUCUGUUUUUGCCUACUAGCUAGCUACAUAUUUUUUCUUACAUAUGCCCGCUUAAUUAAGACAUGCAAACGUGUGUGCAUGCAGAUUUCACUGGAUCUUGUUAAUCAUUAAAGUUGAUGAAGGAACAGUUGAAAUACUGGACUCACUACUUAAAAAAGCAAGUGACUACACCAUCUUGUUUGGGAUAGUCAACAUGUAAUUUCAAUCAUUAUUAACUAUAUCUCGGCCUAUUUAGUUCAUCAUUUCCUAAUAUGAAUUAUUUAAUAACCCCUUUAUUCAUUUUCUUUGUCGGCGGGCAGGGCUUGGGCAAAGUUCAUCAGCGUCACUCCAGGCCAAUGGAAAAAAGCUAAAAUGGUAUCGACCCAAGAUAAGUAAUUAUGUAGUACUAGCUAGCUACCUGCCAUCUCUUUAAUUAUCAUGCUUGAUUAAUUAUUAUCUGAUCAAAUUACAUUUUGUAAAGGCCCUGAAGCAGGUGCCGGGCAAUAAUCUGUGUGCAUACUACGGCUGGGACCGCGCACAACGCCUACCACGAGCACAGGGAGAAGGAACAGAGAGGAGGGCCAUUGAGCGGCACUAGGGGUGGUGGUUUCUGCGGUACUACUGCACAUGAGCGGUACUACUGCUCCUACUGCCGCUCAACCCGACACGAGAAAACCACGUCUCGAGUCGAGGCGGUACCAGCAUGGAACCAGAGCCGUACUACCGCUUAUGGCCAUGGGCGGUACUACCGCUUGUGGCGAUAAGCGGUACUGCCGCUCCGGCCCAGCGGUACUACCGCUGGCGCCAUCCUUAAGCCACUUCCACGAAAGCAAGUAAAUUCCACGGAAAACCAGAACUGCCAUAACUUCUGCAUAUGAGCUCCGAAUUGAGCAAACUCAAGCUUGUUAGAUACAAGAUGACGAGUAGCAUAAGAAUCGUGUAUGGGACCAGUACGUCAAGGGAGGAAAGAAGACUCCAGCAUAAGAAUCGUGUAUUGGGACGAUUUCAUGAAUUUCAAGGAAUCGGAAUUAUCUAAGGAACAGUCGAGAAUAAACAAGGCCAAUGCCGCAAAAAAGGAUAAGUUCCAUAAGCUGGGGCCAGGUGGCCAUGCGGUGGGAAUGCCUAAGUGGGAUAAGUCUGAGAAAGAGAUGGAGGAUGCAGGUGUCACUCCAGAAACAUUGAGCUAGCCCCCCAGGUGCAGGACUUCGUUCUAUGCGCAUGGGGGGGAGUUGGACCCGAAGACAGCCAAGUUUCGAAGAAGGCAUGUCUGGACGGAGCCAAAGAUAAGCUACUUGUUGCAAUAGAAGAGGCUCAAUCGGGGGUGUUCGAGCCCAACAGAGAGAACGACGAGCUUACACGUGCCCUGGGAAAUCCUGAACACCCGGGAAGAACACGAGGCAAGGGCGCUAUUCCAUGGUAUGAGGGGUUUUUGGACUGGAACGCCGACUACAGAACCCGUGCGAGAAAGAAGAUUGCGGAGGAGAAGAAGAGGAGGAUGGAGGAGGAGCAGAGGAAGCUGGACUAUGAACGCCUUCAAGGCCUAGAAUCAGCGCACAUGGACUUGGCUGUCAAAUUCCAGCGGCAGCAGGAGCAGAUCGACUCACUUAGCCAGCAAAGGGGGUCUCAGGAGUUGCAGCAGCUAGCGGAUGAUCCAGCAUUGGAUAGCACCGUCCCAUCCAUGCCGAGAAGCAGCGUGGGUUCCGCCCUGGGUGACGCAUUGCUGGAUAGCUACCUAGUGUUGGAAAUAUGCCCUAGAGGCAAUAAUAAAAGUAUUAUUAUUAUAUUUCCUUGUUCAUGAUAAUUGUCUUUUAUUCAUGCUAUAACUGUAUUAUCCGGAAAUCGUAAUACACGUGUGAAUACAUAGACCACAAUAUGUCCCUAGUGAGCCUCUAGUUGACUAGCUCGUUGUGAUCAACAGAUAGUCAUGGUUUCCUGGCUAUGGACAUUGGAUGUCGUUGAUAACGGGAUCACAUCAUUAGGAGAAUGAUGUGAUGGACAAGACCCAAUCCUAAGACUAGCACAAAAGAUCGUGUACUUCAUUUGCUAGAGCUUUGCCAAUGUCAAGUAUCUCUUCCUUCGACCAUGAGAGCGUGUAACUCCUGGAUACCGUAGGAGUGCUUUGGGUGUAUCAAACGUCACAACGUAACUGGGUGACUAUAAAGGUGCACUACAGGUAUCUCCGAAAGUAUCUAUUGUUUUAUGCGGAUCGAGACUGGGAUUUGUCACUCCGUGUAAAUGGAGAGGUAUCUCUGGGCCCACUCGGUAGGACAUCAUCAUAUGCGCAAUGUGACCAAGGAGUUGAUCACGGGAUGAUGUGUUACGGAACGAGUAAAGUGACUUGCCAGUAAUGAGAUUGAACAAGGUAUUGGAUACCGACGAUCGAAUCUCGGGCAAGUAACAUACCGAUAGACAAAGGGAAUUGAAUACGGGAUUGAUUAAGUCCUUGACAUCGUGGUUCAUCCGAUGAGAUCAUCGUGGAACAUGUGGGAGCCAGCAUGGGUAUCUAGAUCCCGCUGUUGGUUAUUGACCGGAGAACGUCUCGGUCAUGUCUACAUGUCUCCCGAACCCGUAGGGUCUACACACUUAAGGUUCGAUGACGCUAGGGUUAUAAAGGAAGUUUGUAUGUGGUUACCGAAUGUUGUUCGGAGUCCCGGAUGAGAUCCCGGACGUCACGAGGAGUUCCGGAAUGGUCCGGAGGUAAAGAUUUAUAUAUGGGAAGUCCUAUUUUGGCCACCGGAAAAUGUUCGGAAUUUUUCGGUAUUGUACCGGGAAGGUUCUAGAAGGUUCCGGAGUGGGGCCCACCUGCAUGGGGGGACCCACAUGGACGUGGGUAGUGGGGGCAAGGCCCCACACCCCUGGUCAAGGCGCACCAAGAUCCCCCCUUAGAAGGAAUAAGAUCAUAUCCCGAAGGGAUAAGAUCAAGAUCCCUAAAAAGGGGGGAUAACAAUCGGUGGGGAAGGAAAUAAUGAGAUUUCUUUCCUCCCACCUUGGCCAACGCCCCAAUGGACUUGGAGGGCAAGAAACCAGCCCCUCCACCCCUAUAUAUAGUGGGGAGGCGCAUGGGAGCUAUACACGAAGUUCUGGCGCAGCCCUCCCCCUCUCCCAAGUACUCCUCCUCUCCCGCGGUGCUUGGCGAAGCCCUGCAGGACUACCACGCUCCUCCAUCACCACCACGCCGUUGUGCUGCUGUUGGAUGGAGUCUUCCUCAACCUCUCCCUCUCUCCUUGCUGGAUCAAGGCAUGGGAGACGUCACCGGGCUGUACGUGUGUUGAACGCGGAGGUGCCGUGCGUUCGGCACUUGAUCAUCGGUGAUUUGAAUCAUGACGAGUAUGACUCCUUCAACCCCGUUCACUUGAACGCUUCCGCUUAGCGAUCUACAAGGGUAUGUAGAUGCACUCUCCUUCUACUCGUUGCUGGUCUCUCCAUAGAUAGAUCUUGGUGAUACGUAGGAAAUUUUUUGAAUUUCUGCUACGUUCCCCAACAGUGGCAUCAUGAGCUAGGUCUAUUGCGUAGAUUCUUUGCACGAGUAGAACACAAAGUAGUUGUGGGCGUUGAUGUUGUUCAAUAUGCUUACCGUUACUAGUCCAAUCUUGUUUCGACGGUAUUGUGGGAUGAAGCGGCCCGGACCGACCUUACACGUACUCUUACGUGAGACAGGUUCCACCGAUUGACAUGCACUUGGUGCAUAAGGUGGCUAGCGGGUGCCAGUCUCUCCCACUUUAGUCAGAACGGAUUCGAUGAAAAGGGUCCUUAUGAAGGGUAAAUAGCAAUUGGCAUAUCACAUUGUGGUUUUGCGUAGGUAAGAAACGUUCUUGCUAGAAACCCAUAGCAGCCACGUAAAACAUGCAAACAACAAUUAGAGGACGUCUAACUUGUUUUUGCAGGGUAUGCUUUGUGAUGUGAUAUGGCCAAGAAGAAUGUGAUGAAUGAUAUGUGAUGUAUGAUAUUGAUCAUGUUCUUGUAAUAGGAUUCACGACUUGCAUGUCGAUGAGUAUGACAACCGACAGGAGCCAUAGGAGUUGUCUUUAUUUAUUGUAUGACCUGCGUGUCAUUUAACAAUGCCAUGUAAAUUACUUUACUUUAUUGCUAAACGCGUUAGCCAUAGAAGUAGAAGUAGUCGUUGGCGUGACAACUUCAUGAAGACACGAUGAUGGAGAUCAUGAUGAUGGAGAUCAUGGUGUCAUGCCGGUGACGAUGAUGAUCAUGGAGCCCCAAAGAUGAAGAUCAAAAGGAGCAAAAAUGAUAUUGGCCAUAUCAUGUCACUAUUUGAUUGCAUGUGAUGUUUAUCAUGUUUAUGCAUCUUGUUUACUUAGGACGACGGUAGUAAAUAAGAUGAUCCCUUACAAAAUUUCAAGAAGUGUUCUCCCCUAACUGUGCACCGUUGCUACAGUUCGUCGCUUCUAAGCACCACGUGAUGAUCGGGUGUGAUGGAUUCUUACGUUCACAUACAACGGGUGUAAGACAGUUUUACACAGCGAAAACACUUAGGGUUAACUUGACGAGCCUAGCAUGUGCAGACAUGGCCUCGGAACACGGAGACCGAAAGGUCGAGCAUGAGUCGUAUAGUAGAUACGAUCAACAUGAAGAUGUUCACCGAUGAUGACUAGUCCGUCUCACGUGAUGAUCGGACACGGCCUAGUUGAAUCGGAUCAUGUAAUCACUUAGAUGACUAGAGGGAUGUCUAUCUGAGUGGGAGUUCAUAAGAUGAACUUAAUUAUCUUGAACAUAGUCAAAAGACCUUUUUGCAAAUUAUGUCGUAAGCUCGCGCUUUAGUUCCACUGUUUAGAUAUGUUCCUAGAGAAAAUAUAGUUGAAAGUUGACAGUAGCGAUUAUGCGGACAGUAGAACGCUUAUGUCCUUAAUGCACUGCUCAGUGUGCUGAACCCCAAACGUCGUUUGUGGAUGUUUCGAACAUCGAACAUACACGUUUUGAUAACUACGUGAUAGUUCAGUUAAAUGGUUUAACUAGAGGCACCAAAGACAUUUUCGAAACGUCGCGGAACAUAUGAGAUGUUUCGAGGGCUGAAAUUGGGAUUUCAGGCUCGUGCCCACGUCAAGAGGUAUGAGACCUCCGACGAUUUUCUUAGCCUGCAAACUAAGGGAGAAAAGCUCAAUCGUUGAGCUUAUGCUCAGAUUGUCUGAGUGCAACAAUCACUUGAAUCAAGUGGGAGUUAAUCUUCCAGAAGAGAUAGUGAUGUUUCCCCAAAGUCAUUGCCACCAAGCUGCUAGAGCUUCGUGAUGAACUAUAACAUAUCAGGGAUAGAUAUGAUGAUCCUUGAGGUAUUCGCGAUGUUUGACACCACGAAAGUAGAAAUCAAGAAGGAGCAUCAAUUGUUGAUGGUUGGUGAAACCACUAGUUUCAAGAAGGGCAAGUGCAAGAAGGGAUACUUCAUGAAAUGGCAAAUCAGCUGCUGCACCAGUGAAGAAACCCGAGAUUGAACCCAAACCCGAGACUAAGUGCUUCUGUGAUAAGGGGAAUAGCCGCUGGAGCAGAAUUACCCUAGAUACUUGGUAGAUAAGAAGGCUGGCAAGGUCGAUAGAAGUAUAUUGGAUAUACAUUAUGUUAAUGUGUACUUUACUAGUACUCCUAGUAGCACCAGGGUAUUAGAUACCGGUUCGGUUGCUAAGUGUUAGUAACUCGAAAUAAAAGCUACGGAAUAAACGAAGACUAGCUAAAGGUGAGCUGACGAUAUAUGUUGGAAGUGUUUCCAAGUUUGAUGUGAUCAAACAUCACACGCUCCCUCUACCAUCAAGAUUAGUAUUAAACCUGAAUGGUUUAUUAAAUCUCGAUUGUAGUGAUACACAUUUUCAUGCCAAAAGAUAUAAGAUAGUAAUGAUAGUACCACUUACUUGUGGCACUGCCAUGUAAGUCAUAAUGGUAUAAAACACAUGAAGAAGCUCCAUGUUGAUGGAUCUUUGGACUCACUCGUUUUUGAAAAGUUUGAGACAUGCGAACCAUGUCUAUUGGUGUAUAUGCAUGAAGAAACUCCAUGCAAAUGGACCGUUUGGACUCACUUGAUUUUGAAUCACUUGAGAUAUGCAAAUCAUACCACAUGGGCAAGAUGACUGAAAAGCCUCGUUUUCAGUAAGAUGGAACAAGAUAGCAACUUGUUGGAAGUAACACAUUUUGAUGUAUCCAAUCCAAUGAGUGCUGAGGCAUGCAGUGAAUAUCGUUAUGAUCUUACUUCACAGAUGAUUCGAGUAGAUGUUGAGAAUAUUUACUUGAUGAAACACAAGUCUGAAUUAUUGAAUGGUUCAAGUAAUUUCAGAGUGAAGUAGAAGAUCAUUGUGACAAGAGGAUAAAAUGUCUAUGAUAUGAUCAUAGAGAUGAAUAUCUGAGUUACGAGUUUUGGCACACAAUUAAGACAUUGUGGAAAUUGUUUCGCAAUUAAUACCGCCUGGAACACCAUAGUGUGAUGGUGUGUCCGAACAUCAUAGUUGCACCCUAUUGGAUAUGGUGCGUACCAUGAUGUCUCUUAUCGAAUUACCACUAUUGUCCAUGGGUUAGGCAUUAGAGACAACCACAUUCACUUUAAAUAGGGCACCACGUAAUUCCGUUGAGAUGACACCGUAUGAAUUAUGGUUUAGAGAAACCUAAGUUGUCGUUUCUUAAAAGUUUGGGGCUGCGACGCUUAUAUGAAAAAGUUUCAGGUUGAUAAGCUCGAACCCAAAGCGGAUAAAAUGCAUCUUCAUAGGAAACCCAAAAUAGUUGGGUAUACCUCCUAAUUCAGAUCCGAAAGCAAUAUGGAUUGUUUCUUGAAUCGGGUCCUUUCUCGAGGAAAAGUUUCUCUCGAAAGAAUUGAGUGGGAGGAUGGUGGAAACUUGAUGAGGUUAUUGAACCGUCUCUUCAACUAGUGUGUGGCAGGGCACAGGAAGUUGUUCCUGUGGCACCUACACCAAUUGAAGUGGAAGCUUGUGAUGUUGAUCAUGAAACUUCGGAUCAAGUCACUACCAAACCUCGUGGGAUGACAAGGAUACGUACUACAUCAGAGUGGUAUGUAAUCCUGUCUUGGAAGUCAUGUUGCUGGACAACAAUGAACCUACGAGCUAUGGAGAAGCAAUGGUGGGCCCGGAUUCCGAUAAAUGGCUCGAGGCCAUAAAAUCCGAGAACGGAUCCAUAACUUUGGAAGAAAUACUUGAUGGUCGUAAGGCCAUUGGGUACGGAUGGAUUUUAAAAGGAAGACAGACAAUGAUGGUAAGAAUUACCAUUAAGAAAGCUCGACUUGUCGUUAAGAUAUUUUCCGACAAGUUCAAGGAGUUGAUUACGGUGAGGUUUUCUCACUCAUAGCGAUGCUAAGAGUCUGUUGGAAUUGGAUUAGCAGUUACUGCAUGAUUGAUGAAAUCUUGCAGAUAGGAUGUCAAAACAUUGUUUCCUCGACGUUAUACUUGAGGAAAGGUUGUAUGUGAUACAACCGGAAGGUUUUGUCAAUCCCAAAAGAUGCUAAUAAGUAUGCAAAGCUCCAGCAAUCCUUCUAAGGACUGGAGUGAGCAUCUCGGAGUUGGAAUGUGUGCUUUGAUGAUGAUCAAAGAUUUUGGGUUUGUACAAAGUUUACGAGAAACUUGUAUUUCCAAAGAAGUGAGUGGGAGCACUAUAGAAUUUCUGAUGAGUAUAUGUUGUUGACAUAUUGUUGAUCAGAAAUGACGUAGAAUUUCUGGAAAGCAUAUAGGGUUAUUUUGAAAGUGUUUUUCAAUGGAAAGCCUGGAUUAAGCUACUUGAACAUUGAGCAUCAAGAUCUAUAAGGAUAGAUCAAAAUGCUUAAUAAUAGUUUCAAAUGAGCACAUACCUUGACAUGAUCUUGAAGGUGUUCAAGAUGGACCAGUCAAAGAAGGAGUUCUUGCCUGAGUUGUAAGGUACGAAGUUAGGACUUAAAGCUCGACCACGGCAGAAAAGAGAGAAAGGGCGAAGGUCGUCCCCUAUACUUUAGACGUAGGCUCUACAGUAUGCCAUGCUGAGUACCGCACCUGGAGUGUGCCUUGCCAUGAGUCAGUCAAGGGGUACAAGAGUGAUCCAAGAAUGGAUCACAGGACAGCGGUCAAAGUUAUCCUUAGUAACUAGUGGACUAAGGAAUUUUCUCGAUUAUGGAGGUGGUAAAAGAGUUCGUCGUAAAGGUUACGACGAUGCAAGCUUGACACCUAUCCGGAUAGCUCUGAGUAGAGAGACCGGAUACAUAUAAUGGAGCAAUAAUUUAGAAUAGCUCCAAGUAGAACAGUUGUUUGGAAUAGCUCCAAAUAGAGCGUGGUAGUUGCAUCUAGGAGAUGACAUAGAGAUUUGUAAAGCACACACGGAUCUGAAAGGUUCAGACCCGUUGACUAAAUCCUCUCUCACAAGCAACAUGAUUAAACAUAAAACUCAUUGAGUGUUAAUCACAUAGUGAUGUGAACUAGACUACUGACUCUAGUAAACUCUUGGGUAUUAGUCACAUGGCGAUGUGACCUGUGAGUGUUAAUCACAUGGCGAUGUGAACUAGAUUAUUGACUCUAGUGCAAGUGGGAGACUGUUGGAAAUAUGCCCUAGAGGCAAUAAUAAAAGUAUUAUUAUUAUAUUUCCUUGUUCAUGAUAAUUGUCUUUUAUUCAUGCUAUAACUGUAUUAUCCGGAAAUCGUAAUACACGUGUGAAUACAUAGACCACAAUAUGUCCCUAGUGAGCCUCUAGUUGACUAGCUCGUUGUGAUCAACAGAUAGUCAUGGUUUCCUGGCUAUGGACAUUGGAUGUCGUUGAUAACGGGAUCACAUCAUUAGGAGAAUGAUGUGAUGGACAAGACCCAAUCCUAAGACUAGCACAAAAGAUCGUGUAGUUCAUUUGCUAGAGCUUUGCCAAUGUCAAGUAUCUCUUCCUUCGACCAUGAGAGCGUGUAACUCCUGGAUACCGUAGGAGUUCUUUGGGUGUAUCAAACGUCACAACGUAACUGGGUAACUAUAAAGGUGCACUACAGGUAUCUCCGAAAGUAUCUAUUGUUUUAUGCGGAUCGAGACUGGGAUUUGUCACUCCGUGUAAACGGAGAGGUAUCUCUGGGCCCACUCGGUAGGACAUCAUCAUAUGCGCAAUGUCACCAAGGAGUUGAUCACGGGAUGAUGUGUUACGGAACGAGUAAAGUGAAUUGCCGGUAAUGAGAUUGAACAAGGUAUUGGAUACCGACGAUCGAAUCUCGGGCAAGUAACAUACCGAUAGACAAAGGGAAUUGAAUACGUGAUUGAUUAAGUCCUUGACAUCGUGGUUCAUCCGAUGAGAUCAUCAUGGAACAUGUGGGAGCCAUCAUGGGUAUCCAGAUCCCGCUGUUGGUUAUUGACCGGAGAACGUCUCGGUCAUGUCUACAUGUCUCCCGAACCCGUAGGGUCUACACACUUAAGGUUCGAUGACGCUAGGGUUAUAAAGGAAGUUUGUAUGUGGUUACCGAAUGUUGUUCGGAGUCCCGGAUGAGAUCCGGGACGUCACGAGGAGUUCCGGAAUGGUCCGGAGGUAAAGAUUUAUAUAUGGGAAGUCCUAUUUUGGCCACCGGAAAAUGUUCGGAAUUUUUCGGUAUUGUACCGGGAAGGUUCUAGAUGGUUCCGGAGUGGGGCCCACCUGCAUGGGGGGACCCACAUGGACGUGGGUAGUGGGGGCAAGGCCCCACACCCCUGGUCAAGGCGCACCAAGAUCCCCCCUUAGAAGGAAUAAGAUCAUAUCCCGAAGGGAUAAGAUCAAGAUCCCUAAAAAGGGGGGAUAACAAUCGGUGGGGAAGGAAAUAAUGAGAUUUCUUUCCUCCCACCUUGGCCAACGCCCCAAUGGACUUGGAGGGCAAGAAACCAGCCCCUUCACCCCUAUAUAUAGUGGGGAGGCGCAUGGGAGCUAUACACGAAGUUCUGGCGCAGCCCUCUCCCUCUCCCAAGUACUCCUCCUCUCCCGCGGUGCUUGGCGAAGCCCUACAGGACUACCACGCUCCUCCAUCACCACCACGCCGUUGUGCUGCUGUUGGAUGGAGUCUUCCUCAACCUCUCCCUCUUUCCUUGCUGGAUCAAGGCAUGGGAUACGUCACCGGGCUGUACGUGUGUUGAACGCGGAGGUGCCGUGCGUUCGGCACUUGAUCAUCGGUGAUUUGAAUCACGACGAGUACGACUCCUUCAACCCCGUUCACUUGAACGCUUCCGCUUAGCGAUCUACAAGGGUAUGUAGAUGCACUCUCCUUCUACUCGUUGCUGGUCUCUCCAUAGAUAGAUCUUGGUGAUACAUAGGAAAUUUUUUGAAUUUCUGCUACGUUCCCCAACACCUAGUGGAUGACAUCAUGGAGAACACUAACUGCGAGCUACACUUCAAAAUGAAGAACAUAUCCUUGAAGGUGGCGGACGCCCUUGCUUUUACAAAUCCCCCCGAGGCAACCUUCCAUUGCAACCCGAUUCCAACGGGCUAUGCUCGUGUCUUGGUUGAUGAGGUGGUGGACCAAUAUUCGGGUCUAGAUCUUGACAUUCCUGGAGGUGACGAGGAGCACACACUAGGAGAGGCCAACCAUCGUAUCAUCCUAUGGAGAAAGGAUUGCAUCAUCUUUCGAAGGCCACCGACACCGCGUCAUCCGACUCCUCGUCGAAGUCCGCCACCGAGUCAGUAGACUCCCGCUCCUCCAAGUCCACCAACGCGUCAGGCCACUCCUCCUCCAAGUCCGGCACAACUUCAGGCCACUCCUCCUCCAAGUCCGGCACAACUUCAGGCCACUCCUCCUCCAAGUCCGGGAAAGCGUCAGGCCACUCCUCCUCCAAGUCCGGCACAACUUCAGGCCACUCCUCCUCCUCCAACUCAGCCACGUCAGCCGUCUUCGCCGCCUCAGCAAUCACGGAAGAGAGCCGCGUCAGCUAUGGUGCAUAGCGGUACAAGUCGAGGUAGUACUGGAGGUACAGGCGGAGGCAAGCGAUUUCAAUAUGGUCCAAGCAGCCUCGCGCCUCUUCCACAGAGGCCUUACGACAAGUCCGAGGAGGAAAACACAUCCAUAUCGAAGGCCGAGGUGGAAGCCCAUUUUUCACCGAAACCGCCACCGCCGCCAAGGGAGAAAGUGCCCGAGGAAAAGAUUGACCACUUAAUUCGUAUGGCUAGAGCACCAGCUCCCAAGCCUGUUGACACAGACUAUGAGCGCCACCUCAGGAAGUUAAGUCGAGCACGUCUACAGAAAGAGGCGAGCUCGAGCUCGAGCAAAUCAGCUGGCAAAAGGAGCGGUAAAAUCGUUCCCCAGCUGGGAGAACAGGCGGCGCAAUCAACCCCCCCGCUUGUUGUGCCAACAACACAUGAGAGUGCGCGUGCCCAAUAUUAUUGUGGUCAAAACAUUAACGUUCCCGGGCUGGGCGAUGUGGUAAUAACCGAGGAGCAUAUUGAGCAGGCUAAAAGGCUCAUGAUCACUGUUGGACAACUCCUCGAUAUCGAGCCCAUGUCUCUGAUUAGAGAGGAGGAAAUAAAACGGAAAUAUGUCCGGGGCCAACCUUUGGUCGAGCCAGACGAGGUCAAGAAGCUCCCAACGAGAAUGUAUGAAUUGCAUCAAUGGUACAUGGACAUUACCAAGAUUUCCAAUCGAGAGUCCCUGAUGGUGAAUGUCAAGAAGGAUCAUUACUACCAUGAGAAAGCUGUGUCCGUUGAGUAUUCAGAACUAUUUCAGUUAUACAAUCAAGACGCACUCGACAAAUCUAUCAUUAGUUGCUAUUGUUUGUAAAUGAUUUCUUUUUGUAAUUUAAGUCUCAAGCUAGCUGUAGUUAUCAUUUGAUCAAUCAUUACCUGUAAUUAUCCUCACUAUAUUCUUUUCUGUGGUAUUAUGCAGGAUGAAGAUUUAUGAAAUGAAAAAAGGUGGACGCUAUGGCAUUGGGUUCAUUGACCCAAAUACCAUUAAUGAAUACACAUGGAAAUUAGAUCCAUAUUAUGAAAAAAGUGUAGAGGAAAGCAUGCUAGAGUUCUUCAAGCGCCUCAAUACCAAUGAAGAUAUACUACUAGCUUCCUUACAACUUCGAGUGAGUCACACUGUCUUGUACUACAAAUUCUGUUUUUGCCUACUAGCUAGCUACAUGUUUUUGCUUACAUAUGCCCGCUUAAUUAAGACAUGAAAACGUGUGUGCAUGCAGAUUUGACUGGAUCUUGUUAAUCAUUAAAGUUGAUGAAGGAUUAGUUGAAAUACUGGACUCACUACUUAAAAAAGUAAGUGACUACACCAUCUUGUUUGGGAUAGUCAACAUGUAAUUUCAAUCAUUAUUAACUAUAUCUCGGCCUAUUUAGUUCAUCAUUUCCUGAUAUGAACUAUUUAAUAACCCCUUUAUUCAUUUUCUUUGUCGGCGGGCAGGGCUUGGGCAAAGUUCAUCAGCGUCACUCCAGGCCAAUGAAAAAAAGCUAAAAUGGUAUCGACCCAAGAUAAGUAAUUAAGUAGUACUAGCUAGCUACCUGCCAUCUCUUUAAUUAUCAUGCUUGAUUAAUUAUUAUCUGAUCAAAUUCCAUUCUCGUAAAGGCCCUGAAGCAGGCGCCGGGCAAUAAUCUGUGUGCAUACUAUGGCUGGGACCGCGCACAACGCCUACCACGAGCACAGGGAGAAGGAACAGAGAGGAGGGCCAUUGAGCGGCACUAGGGGUGGUGGUUGCCGCGGUACUACUGCACAUGAGCGGUACUACUGCUCCUACUGCCGCUGAACCCGACACGAGAAAACCACGUCUCAAGUUGAGGUGGUACCAGCAUGGAACCGGAGCCGUACUACCGCUUAUGGCCAUGGGCGGUACUACCGCUGUGGGACAACGGUACUACCGCUUGUGGCGAUAAGCGGUACUGCCGCUCCGGCCCAGCGGUACUACCGCUGGCGCCAUCCUUAAGCCACUUCCACGAAAGCAAGUAAAUUCCACGGAAAACCAGAACUGCCAUAACUUCUGCAUAUGAGCUCCGAAUUGAGCAAACUCAAGCUUGUUAGAUACAAGACGACGAGUAGCAUAAGAAUCGUGUAUGGGACUAGUAUGUCAAGGGAGGAAAGAAGACUCCAGUAUUCAUGGGAACACUAGAGAAGCAAAGUGCUCAUUGGGACGAUUUCAUGAAUUUCAAGGAAUCGGAAUUAUCUAAGGAACGGUCGAGAAUAAACAAGGCCAAUGCCGCAAAAAGGAUAAGUUCCAUAAGCUGGGGCCAGGUGGCCAUGCGGUGGGAAUGCCUAAGUGGGAUAAGUCUGAGAAAGAGAUGGAGGAUGUAGGUGUCACUCCAGAAACAUUGAGCUGCCCCCCAGGUGCAGGACUUGGUUCUAUGCGCAUGGUUGGGGGGGAGUUGGACCCAAAAGACAGGCAAAGUUUCGAAGAAGGCAUGUCUGGAUGGAGCCGAAGAUAUGCUACUUGUUGCAAUAGAAGAGGAUCGAUCGGGGGUGUUCGAGCCCAACAGAGAGAACGACGAGCUUACGCGUGCCCUGGGAAAUCCUGAACACCCGGGAAGACCACGAGGCAAGGGCGCUAUUCCAUGGUAUGAGGGGUUUUCGGACUGGAACGCCGACUACAGAACCCGUGCGAGAAAGAAGAUUGCGGAGGAGAAGAAGAGGAAGAUGGAGGAGGAGCAGAGGAAGCUGGACUAUGAAUGCCUUCAAGGCCUAGAAUCAGCGCACGUGGACUUGGCGGUCAAAUUCCAGUGGCAGCAGGAGCAGAUCGACUCACUUAGCCAGCAAAGGGGGUCUCAGCAGCUGCAGCAGCUAGCGGAUGAUCCAGCAUUGGAUAGCACGGUCCCAUCCAUGCCGAGAAGCAGCGUGGGUUCCGCCCUGGGCGACGCAUUGUUGGAUAGCUACCCAGUGGAUGACAUCAUGGAGAACACUAACUGCGAGCUACACUUCAAAAUGAAGAACAUAUCCAUGAAGGUGGCGGACGCCAUUGCUUUUACAAAUCCCCUUGAGGCAACCUUCCAUUGCAACCCGAUUCCAGUGGGCUAUGCUCGUGUCUUGGUUGAUGAGGUGGUGGACCAAUAUUCGGGGCUAGAGCUUGACAUUCCUGGAGGUGACGAGGAGCACACACUGGGAGAGGCCAACCAUCGUAUCAUCCUAUGGAGAAAGGAUUGCAUCAUCUUUCUAAGGCCACCGACACCGCGUCAUCCGACUCCUCGUCGAAGUCCGCCACCAAGUCAGUAGACUCCCGCUCCUCCAAGUCCACCAACGCGUCAGGCCACUCCUCCUCCAAGUCCGGCACAACUUCAGGCCACUCCUCCUCCUCCAAGUCCGGCAAAGCGUUAGGUCACUCCUCCUCCAAGUCCGGCACAACUUCAGGCCACUCCUCCUCCUCCAACUCAGCCAUGUCAGCCGUCUUCGCCGCCUCAGCAAUCACGGAAGAGAGCCGCCUCAGCUAUGGUGCGUAGCGGUACAAGUCGAGGUAGUACUGGAGGUACAGGCGGAGGCAAGCGAUUUUAAUAUGGUCCAAGCAGCCUCGCGCCUCUUUCGCAGAGGCCUUACGACAAGUCCGAGGAGGAAAACACAUCCAUAUCGAAGGCCGAGGUGGAAGCCCAUUUUGCACCGAAACCGCCACCGCCGCCAAGGGAGAAAGUGCCUGAGGAAAAGAUUGACCACUUAAUUCGUAUGGCUAGAGAACCAGCUCCCAAGCCUGUUGACACAGACUAUGAGUGCCACCUCAGGAAGUUAAAUCGAGCACGUCUACAGAAAGAGGCGAGCUCGAGCUCGAGCAAAUCAGCUGGCAAAAGGAGCGGUAAAACCGUUCCCCAGCUGGGAGAACAGGCGGCGCAAUCAAUCCCCCCGCUUGUUGUGCCAACAACACAUGAGAGUACGCGUGCCCAAUAUUAUUGUGGUCAAACCAUUAACGUUCCCGGGCUGGGCGAUGUGGUAAUAACCGAGGAGCAUAUUGAGCAGGCUAAAAGGCUCAUGAUCACUGUUGGACAACUCCUCGAUAUCGAGCCCAUGUCUCUGAUUAGAGAGGAGGAAAUAAAACGGAAAUAUGUCCGGGCCAACCUUUGGUCGAGCUAGACGAGGUCAAGAAGCUCCCAACGUGAAUGUAUGAAUUGCAUCAAUGGUACAUGGACAUUACCAAGAUUUCCAAUUGAGAGUCCCUCAUGGUGAAUGUCAAGAAGGAUCAUUACUACCAUGAGAAAGCUGUGUCCGUUGAGUAUUCAGAACUAUUUUAGUUAUACAAUCAAGACGCACUCGACAAAUCUAUCGUUAGUUGCUAUUGUCUGUAAGUGAUUUCUUUUUGUAAUUUAAGUCUCAAGCUAGCUGUAGUUAUCAUUUUGGUCAAUCAUUACCUUUAAUUAUCCUCACUAUAUUCUUUUCUGUGGUAUUAUGCAGGAUGAAGAUUUAUGAAAUGAAAAAAGGUGGAUGCUAUGGCAUUGGGUUCAUUGACCCAAAUACCAUUAAUGAAUACACAUGGAAAUUAGAUCCAUAUUAUGAAAAAAGUGUAGAGGAAAGCAUGCUAGAGUUCUUCAAGUGCCUCAAUACCAAUGAAGAUAUACUACUAGCUUCCUUACAACUUCGAGUGAGUCACACUGUCUUGUACUACAAAUUCUGUUUUUGCCUACUAGCUAGCUACAUGUUUUUGCUUACAUAUGCCCGCUUAAUUAAGACAUGCAAACGUGUGUGCAUGCAGAUUUCGCUGGAUCUUGUUUAUCAUUAAAGUUGAUGAAGGAACAGUUGAAAUACUGGACUCACUACUUAAAAAAGCAAGUAACUACACCAUCUUGUUUGGGAUAGUCAACAUGUAAUUUCAAUCAUUAUUAACUAUAUCUCGGCCUAUUUAGUUCGUCAUUUCCUGAUAUGAACUAUUUAAUAACCCCUUUAUUCAUUUUCUUUGUCGGCGGGCAGGGCUUGGGCAAAGUUCAUCAGCGUCACUCCAGGCCAAUGAAAAAAAAAGCUAAAAUGGUAUCAACCCAGGAUAAGUAAUUAAGUAGUACUAGCUAGCUACCUGCCAUCUCUUUAAUUAUCAUGCUUGAUUAAUUAUUAUCUGAUCAAAUUCCAUUCUCGUAAAGGCCCUGAAGCAGGCGCCGAAUCUGUGUGCAUACUACGGCUGGGACCGCGCACAACGCCUACCACGAGCACAGGGAGAAGGAACAGAGAGGAGGGCCAUUGAGCGGCACUAGGGGUGGUGGUAGCCGCGGUACUACUGCACAUGAGCGGUACUACUGCUCCUACUGCCGCUCAACCCGACACGAGAAAACCACGUCUCGAGUCGAGGCGGUACCAGCAUGGAACCGGAGCCGUACUACCGCUGUCCCACCGCUUGUGGCGAUAAGCGGUACUGCCGCUCCGGCCCAGCGGUACUACCACUGGCGCCAUCCUUAAGCCACUUCCACGAAAGCAAGUAAAUUCCACGGAAAACUAGAACUGCCAUAACUUCUGCAUAUGAGCUCCGAAUUGAGCAAACUCAAGCUUGUUAGAUACAAGACGACGAGUAGCAUAAAAACAACGAAGGUAUGCCAACAAAUAGAGGAGUGAAACCUCCAACCGAGAAGAACCGGCAAAACCUCCAACAUCGAAAACAUCAUAGAAGAUGCAUGAACUCCGUUUUCGAUGAACUCGAGCUUGUCACCAAGAUGACCAUAAGCUCCAAAACUCACAAAGAGAAGAACCAAAUAAGAACCGAUAAAGAUGAUGCAAGGAUGCAAUGGUUUGAGCUCUCUACAACGAUAUGAUCAAGCUACUCAUCGAGAGCCCCCCUUGAUAGUACAACAAUCGAUCCUAUAACCCGGUCUCCCAACUACCAUCAUGAGACCGGUAAAAUAGAAAACCUACCAAGGGCAAACCUUUGCCUUGCACAUGGUCCACUUGAGCUAGAUGAUGACGAUCUUGACUCCCUCAAGUUGGACCACCUUUCUUGAUUGGGUUCACUCGAUGAAGAUUAGUUGAUUGCUCCCCCAUACUCCACUAUGGGCGAGCCACUCUUCCGCACAUCUUCACAAGUCCAUUGUCACCACAAAGGACGACAAGCUUCAAGCAUUUGAUCUCUUCGUGAUGCUCCACUUGAACUUGCACACCGCAACCUUUCUUGAUUGUGUUGACUUGAUGAAGACUAGUUGAUUGCUCCCCCAUACUCCACUAUGGGUGAGCCACUCUUCCGCACAUCUUCACAAGUCCAUUGUAACCACAAAGGAUGACAAGCUUCAAGCAUUUGAUCUCUUCGUGAUGCUCCACUUGAACUUGCACACCGCAACCUAACCCCACAAAGAACCCUCAUGAAGACCAUGGGUUAGUACACAAAGCGUAAUUGACAAUGCUUACCAUACCAUGGGAUCACUUGAUCCCUCUCGGUACAUCUUCUACGCUUUGUGGGUUGAUCAAUUUGAUUCACUCUUUGACUUAGUCUUGAUCAACCUCUCACAAGACCAAUCUUUAGGUAAUUCCUUGAAUAGCACCUUGGUCGAGACAAACUCUCCUUGAAACCAACACAUGUACUCCAAGAAAAGCCUAUGGACAAAACCUUCAGAUAUAACUCAAGCCAACCAUUAGUCCAUAGAGAUUGUCAUCAAUUACCAAAACCAAACAUGGGGCCACCGCAUGUUCUUUCAUUAGUAUUGUUGAGGGAACUUGCACUAGUGAAAGUAUGAACCCUCGGCCUUGUUUCAAUGCAUUGCAAUACUGUUUACGCUCACUUUUAUCAUUAGUUACCUUGUUGUUUUUAUAAUUUCAGAUUACAAAUACCUUUAUCUACUAUCCAUAUACCACUUGUAUCACCCUCUCUUCGCCGAACUAGUGCACCUAUACAAUUUACCGUUGUAUUGGGUGUGUUGGGGACACAAGAGACUCUUUGUUAUUUGGUUGCAGGGUUGCUUGAGAGAGACCAUCUUCAUCCUACGCCUCCUACGGAUUGAUAACCUUAGGUCAUCCACUUGAGGGAAAUUUGCUACUGUCCUACAAACCUCUGCACUUGGAGGCCCAGCAACGUCUACAAGAAGAAGGUUGUGUAGUAGACAUCAAGCUCUUUUCUGGCGCCGUUGCCGGGGAGGUGAGUGCUUGAAGGUAUAUCUUUAGAUCUUGCAAUCAAGUCUUUUAAUUUCUUGUUUUAUCACUAGUUUAGUUUAUAAAAGAAAACUACAAAAAAAUAUGGAACUGAGUUUGCCUCAUACGCUUCAUCUUUUUAAUAUCUUUUGUGAGUAUGAUGGAAAGGAAAAUUGUGCCAAAGUGUUAGAAGAAGAAUGCAUUAAAAUGUUUGGCACUAAAUAUUUGAAUGAUGAGAAUGAUUGCAAUGUUGUUAGUAUGAACUCCUUGAAUAUCCCUAGUACUAAUGAUGAUUGCACUAGUUAUGAUGAAAAUGUCUCCUAUAAACAUGUCAAUUUUUGUGGAGUGCAUUGGGUUUGCAAGUACACACCAAAUAGGGAAGAUAGAUAUUGCAAGAGGCAUAAGUACUUAGAAACUAAAUUGUUGCAAGGAAGGCUAGAUGAUUGUGCUGAUAAUUUAAAUUUUCUUGGCCAUACUUGUGAGCUUUGUAAUGAACGUAGUCAUUUAACCAUCCGAUGCAAAUUGUUUCAUGAUCUAAUCGUUUCCAAAAAUUGUGAUGACUUGAUUUCUCUUGAACAUCAUAAUGAACUUAGUUUUCUUAUGGGUUACGAAGAAGUGAAACGUAUAACUAACUAUCUUCCAGUAUUUGCCCAUGAUAAACUUCUUGGCUUUGAUCUAGAGGAAAUUUAUAUGUAUUGUGCGGCGAAUUGUAUUGAAAAUCCUUAUAUUGCCAACUACAUAAAGAAAAGAAAACAAAUAGAAGAUGAAGAGAAUACUAAUGAAAGGGAAGAGACUUCCCAAUACCCUCCUAUUAUUUCUUAUGAUGAAUCAGGUAACGAGGAGGAGCUUCCUAUUCAACCAAUCUCAUUAAUAAGGAGCUCCAAAAAGAGGAUUGAACCCACACAUGAUGUGGUGAAGAAGAAGAAAAGAAAAAGGAAGAGAGGUAAAAAGAUAUCUCCCCCAAAUAAUGCUGCUCCUAUUACUAUUGUGCCUCAUGAAAAUAUAAUCGUGGAAGAUAAUUAUACUUCUUAUGAUCUUGAAAAUCUUUUUGGCACUUGCUUGGAAGAAUAUGAUAAUUGCUAUACUAUUGGUGCUAUCCAUACUAUUAAUUAUGAGAGUGAUUAUGCUUAUGAUUUGAAAAGGCCCAAGCUUGGGGAUGCUUUGUUUGAUGAAAGAUGAUGUUUUUGAGAAUAUAUUUGCUGAAAUUAAUGUUUGUCCUAAGCUUGGGGAAGCUAUGUUUAAUGAAGAUGCUAUUUUUAGUCUCCCAAGUUUUGAUAUGCAAAUUUAUAAUGAUGAUAGCAUGCCUCCUACUUAUGAUGAUUAUUGUGAUGAUACUUAUGCUAUAAAAAGUAGUGAUUAUAUUUAUAAAACUUGUCAUGAUUAUGAUUACCCCUUUUCUGAACAUUACUCUUUUAAUGUGGAAACAAUUUAUAGUAUUCGAGUUUCUUAUGAUACUCACACUAUUCCGAAUGAGAAGAAUUUUGCUUAUGUGGAGAGUAAUAAAAUUUCUAUGCUUGUAGAUCAUGAAAAGAAUGCUUUAGGUGCUGGUUAUAUUGUUGAAUUCAUUCAUGAUGCUACUGAAAAUUAUUAUGAGGGAGGAAUAUAUGCUUGUAGGAAUUGCAAUAAUAUCAAGUUUCCUCUCUAUGUGCUUAAAGUUUUAAAGUUAUGCUUGUUUUACCUUCCUAUGCAAGUUGAUUCUUGUUCCCAUAAGUUGUUUGCUCAAAACAUUCCUAUGCAUAGGAAGUGGGUUAGGAUUAAAUGUGCUAGUAAUAUUCUUCAUGAUGCUCUCUUUAUGUUUCAAUUCUUAUCUUUUAUGUGAACACCAUUGAAAUGAUCAUGCCUAGCUAGGGGCGUUAAACAAUAGCGCUUGUUGGGAGGCAACCCAACUUUAUUUUUAUUCCUUGCUUUUUCUUCCUGUUUAGUAAUAAAUAAUUCAUCUAGCCUCUGUUUAUAUGUGGUUUUAUGCUUUUAGUUAGUGUUUGUGCCAAGUAGAACCGUUGGGAAGACUUGGGGAAAGUCUUGUUGAUCUUGCUGUAAAAAACAGAAACUUUAGCGCUCACGAGAAUUGCUUCCAUUUUUAUUUGGAGAGUUAUAUUUAGUUAAUUAUUUUUUCAGAUGAUUAAUAUAUAAAUUACUCAGGUCCAGAAAUUUAUUUGAGAAUUUUAUGAGUUCCAUAAGUAUACGUUUGAUCCAUAUUACUACAGACUGCUCUGUUUUUGACAGAUUCUGUUUUUCAUGUGUUGUUUACUUAUUUUGAUGAAUCUAUGGCUAGUAAAAUAGUUUAUAAACCAUAGAGAAGUUGUAAUAUAGUAGGUUUAACACCAAUAUAAAUAAAGAAUGAGUUCAUUACAGUACCUUGAAGUGGUGAUUUAUUUUCUUAUACUAACGGAGCUUUCGAGUUUUCUGUUAAGUUUUGUGUUGUGAAGUUUUCAAAUUUUGGGUAAGGAUUCGAUGGACUAUGAAAUAAGGAGUGGCAAGAGCCUAAGCUUGGGGAUGCCCCGGAAGGCAUCCCCUCUUUCGUCUUCGUUCAUCGGUAACUUUACUUGGAGCUAUAUUUUUAUUUACCACAUGAUAUGUGUUUUGCUUGGAGCGUCAUUUUAUUUUAUUUAGUUUUGCUUGCUGUUUGAAUAAAAUACUAAGAUCUAAUAUUAUUAAAUGUUAUAGAGUCUUCACAUAGUUGCAUAAUUAUUUGACUACUCAUUGAUCUUCACUUAUAUCUUUCGGAGUAGUUUGUCAUUUGCUCUAGUGCCUCACUUAUAUCCUUUUAGAGCACGGUGGUGGAUUUGUUUUAUAGAAACUAUUGAUCUCUCAUGCUUCACUUAGAUUAUUUUGAGAGUCUCAAAUAGCAUGGUAAUUUGCUUAUAUAAUCCUAAUAUGCUAGGUAUACAAGAUUAAUAAUAAAAUUCUCUUAUGAGUGUUUUGAAUACUAAGAGAAGUUUGAUGCUUGAUGAUUGUUUUGACAUAUGAGGUAAUAAUAUCAAAGUCGUGCUAGUUGAGUAGUUGUGAAAUUGAGAAAUGCUUGUGUUGAAGUUUGCAAGUCCCGUAGCAUGCACGUAUGGUAAAUUUUAUGCAACAAAUUUGAAACAUGAGGUGUUAUUUGAUUGUCUUCCUUAUGAGUGGCGGUCGGGGACGAGCGAUGGUCUUUUCCUACCAAUCUACCCCCCUAGGAGCAUGCAUGUAGUACCAAGGUUUUUGAUGACUUGUAGAUUUUUGCAAUAAGUAUGUGAGUUCUUUAUGACUAAUGUUGAGUCCAUGGAUUAUACGCACUCUCACCCUUCGAUCCUUGCUAGCCUCUUCGGUACCGUGCAUUACCCUUUCUCACAUUGAGAGUUGGCGCAAACUUCGCCGGUGCAUCCAAACCCCGUGAUAUGAUACGCUCUUUCUAACAUAAACCUCCUUAUAUCUUCCUCAAAACAGCCACCAUACCUACCUAUUAUGGCAUUUCCAUAGCCAUUCCGAGAUAUAUUGCCAUGCAACUUUCCACCAUUCCAUUCAUCAUGACACAUUCAUCAUUGUCAUAUUGCUUAGCAUGAUCAUGUAGUUGACAUAGUAUUUGUGGCAAAGCCACCGUUCAUAAUUAUUUCAUACAUGUCACUCUUGGUCCAUUGCAUAUCCCGGUACACCGCCGGAGGCAUUCAUAUAGAGUCAUAUUUGUUCUAGUAUCGAGUUGUAAUCAUUGAGUUGUAAAUAAAUAGAAGUGUGAUGAUCAUCAUUUUCUAGAGCAUUGUCCCAAGUGAGGAAUUAUAAAAAAAAAGAGAAAGGCCAUAAUAAAGAGNNNNNNNNNNNNNNNNNNNNNNNNNNNNNNNNNNNNNNNNNNNNNNNNNNNNNNNNNNNNNNNNNNNNNNNNNNNNNNNNNNNNNNNNNNNNNNNNNNNNNNNNNNNNNNNNNNNNNNNNNNNNNNNNNNNNNNNNNNNNNNNNNNNNNNNNNNNNNAAAGGCCAUAAAAAAGAAAGGCCAAAUAAAAAAAUGAGAGAAAAAGAGAGAAGGGUCAAUGCUACUAUCCUUUGCCACACUUGUGCUUCAAAGUAGCACCAUGAUCUUCAUGAUAGAAAGUCUCUUGUUUUGUCACUUUCACAUACUAGUGGGAAUUUUCAUUAUAGAACUUGGCUUGUAUAUUCCAACAAUGGGCCUCCUCAAGUGCCCUAGGUCUUCGUGAGCAAGCAAGUUGGAUGCACACCCACUAGUUUCUUUUGUUGAGCUUUCAUACAUUUAUAGCUCUAGUGCAUCCGUUGCAUGGAAAUCCCUACUCCUUACAUUAACAUCAAUCGAUGGGCAUCUCCAUAGCUCAUUGAUUAGCCUCGUUGAUGUGAGACUUUCUCCCUUUUGUCUUCUUCACAUAACCCCCUCAUUAUUCUCUUCCACCCAUAGUGCUAUAUCCAUGGCUCGCGCUCAUGUAUUGCGUGAAAGUUUAUAGGUUUGAGAUUACUAAAGUAUGAAACAAUUACUUGGCUUGUCAUCGGGGUUGUGCAUGAUGAGAGCAUUCUUGUGUGACGAAAAUGGAGCAUGACUAAACUAUAUGAUUUUGUAGGGAUGAACUUUCUUUGGCCAUGUUAUUUUGAGAAUACAUAAUUGCUUAGUUAGUACGCUUGAAGUAUUAUCAUUUUUAUGUCAAUAUGAACUUUUAUCUUGAAUAUUUUGGAUCUGAAUAUUCAUGCCACAAUUAAGAAGAAUUACAUUGAAAUUAUGUGAAGUAGCACUCCACAUCAAAAAUUCUGUUUUAAUCAUUUACCUACUCGAGGACGAGCAGGAAUUAAGCUUGGGGAUGCUGAUACGUCUCCAACGUAUCUAUAAUUUUUGAUUGCUCCAUGCUAUAUUAUCUACUGUUUUGGAUGUUUAUGGGCUUUAUUAUACACUUUUAUAUCAUUUUUUGGGACUAACCUAUUAACCCAGAGCCCAGUGCCAGUUUCUGUUUUUACCUUGUUUUAGGGUUUCGAAGAAAAGGAAAACCAAACGGAAUCCAAUUGACCUGAAACUUCACGGAACCCAUUUUUGGAAGAAAGAAGCCCUGAAGACUUGAAGUGCACGUAAGGGAAGCUUCGAGGAGGCCACGAGGUAGGGGGGCGCGCCCACCCCCCUGGGCGCGCCCUCCACCCUCGUGGGCCCCUCGUGGCCCCCCCGACGUACUUCUUCCGCCUAUAUAUCUCCAUAUACCCUAGAACUUCCGGGGAGCACAAUAGAUCAGGAGCUCCGCCGCCAGAAGCCUCCAUAGCCACCCAAAAGCCAAUCUGGACCCGUUCCGGCACCCUGCCGGAGGGGGAAUCCCUCUCCGGUGGCCAUCUUCAUCAUCCCGGUGCUCUCCAUGACGAGGAGGGAGUAGUUCUCCCUCGGGGCUGAGGGUAUGUACCAGUAGCUAUGUGUUUGAUCUCUCUCUCUCAUGUUCUUGAUGUGAUACGGUCUUGAUGUAUCGCGAGCUUUGCUAUUAUAUUUGGAUCCUAUGAUGUUUCUUCCCCCCUCUACUCUCUUGUAAUGGAUUGAGUUUCCCCUUUGAAGUUAUCUUAUCGGAUUGAGUCUUUAAAGAUUUGAGAACACUUGAUGUAUGUCUUGCCGUGGAUAUCUGUGGUGACAAUGGGAUAUCACGUGAUUCACUUGAUGUAUGUUUUGGUGAUCAACUUGCGGGUUCCGCCCAUGAACCUAUGCAAAGGGGUUGGCACACGUUUUCAUCGUGAUUCUCUGAUAGAAUCUUUGGGGCACUCUUUGAGGUUCUAUGUGUUGGUUGAAUAGAUGAAUCUGAGAUUGUGUGAUGCAUAUCGUAUAAUCAUACCCAUGGAUACUUGAGGUGACAUUGGAGUAUCUAGGUGACAUUAGGGUUUUGGUUGAUUUGUGUCUGAAGGUGUUAUUCCAGUACGAACUCUAGGGCUGUUUGUGACACUUAUAGGAAUAGCCCAACGGAUUGACUGGAAAGAAUAACUUUGAGGUGGUUUCGUACCCUACCAUAAUCUCUUCGUUCGUUCUCCGCUAUUAGUGACUUUGGAGUGACUCUUUGUUGCAUGUUGAGGGAUAGUUAUGUGAUCCAAUUAUGUUAGUAUUGUUGAGGGAACUUGCACUAGCGAAAGUAUGAACGCUAGGCCUUGUUUCAAUGCAUUGCAAUACCAUUUACGCUCACUUUUAUCAUUAGUUACCUUGCUGUUUUUAUAAUUUCAGAUUACAAAUACCUUUAUCUACUAUCCAUAUACCACUUGUAUCACCCUCUCUUCGCCGAACUAGUGCACCUACACAAUUUACCAUUGUAUUGGGUGUUGUCGGUGUCAAAACCGGCGGAUCUCGGGUAGGGGGUCCCGAACUGUGCGUCUAGGCCGGAUGGUAAUAGGAGGCAAGGGGCACGAAGUUUUACCUAGGUUCCGGCCCUCUCGAUGGAGGUAAAACCCUACGUCCUGCUUGAUUAAUAUUGAUGAUAUGGGUAGUACAAGAGUAGAUCUACCAGGAGAUCAGAGAGGCUAAACCCUAGAAGCUAGCCUAUGGUAUGAUUGUUGUUGUCUAUGUUGUCCUACUGACUAAAACCCUCCGGUUUAUAUAGACACCGGAGAGGGUUAGGGUUACACAAAGUCGGUUACAAUGGUAGGAGAUCUGAAUAUCCGUAUCGCCAAGAUUGCCUUCCACGCCAAGGAAAGUCGCUUCCGGACACGGGACGAAGUCUUCAAUCUUGUAUCUUCAUAGUCCAGGAGUCCGGCUGAAGGUAUAGUCCGGCUGUCCGAACACCCCCUAAUCCAGGACUCCCUCAGUAGCCCCUGAACCAGGCUUCAAUGACGAUGAGUCCGGCGCGCAGAUUGUCUUCGGCAUUGCAAGGCGGGUUUCUCCUCCAAGUACUUGAUAGAAGAUUUUGAACACAAAGAUAGUGUCCGGCUCUCAGCGCGUCAUGCGAGGCGGUUUCCUUGGCACGUCUUGUUAAAGCAGAGAUCGUGUCCCCUUAUUCCGGGAUUCUCAUCAAUACGGGCGAGGGUAACCAAACCACUUCUAGGACUCCUAGAUUAUAGGCAAGUCCAAACAGACACGGAGAGGACGCUUGAUAUUCACCCUCUUUAUAAAGGGACAAGGCUUUUAUUUUUCCCUCCCGUGCUCAAUCGAGUCCUUCCCCCACAUCAAGCUCAAAUGCCCAAAGUUCAGGUCAGGUGCCCCGAACCUUCAGUCAUGUCCGGAUCUAGCCUUCAAGGCCGAUGGGUGCCUUCCUCCGUCACGGAAGAAGACAUCAAAAAGUUGAGGGAGGCCAGAUAUCUGACCGCUGAGAUAUUGCACCGGCUGCCUCCGCGAGGGCAGGCCGUUCCCACCCCCGAACCCAACGAGAACGUCGUGUUUGUCUCCCACUUCCUCCGAGGUCUAGGCCUUGCUCUGGAUCCUUUCUUCAGGGGUUUGAUGUUUUAUUACGGGCUAGACUUCCAUGAUCUAGCUCCGGACUCCUUUCUUCAUACCACGACAUUUAUUGUCGUGUGCGAGGCCUUCCUCCGGGUUACCCCUCACUUUGGCCUAUGGCUCAAGACCUUUGAAGUAAAGUCGAAGAUGAUCAAGCGGCAACAUGCAGCGUGUGGAGGUGCCUCAAUACGCAAGAUGACGGGAGCUCUGUGGCCCAAAGGUUCCAUCCCAGAUGUGUCUGAAUUGUGGCAACAGGAGUGGUUCUACAUCACGGCUCCUAGAAGUGCCAAGUGGGCGGCCGCCCCUGUUUUCCGCUCGGGCCCUCCACCACAACUGAUGUCAUGGAUCAGCAGAGGUCUGAGCUCGGGUCCAGCCAAGGACGUGCCUAUACUGCAAAGCCGCAUUUGAGAUCUCUUCAAUGGAGAUUUCAGUUUGGUCGCGGUAAUACAAGUUAUGCUGGUUCGUCAAGUCCAGCCUUGCAAACGCCGGCCUCUUCGCCUGUGGGAGUUCAAUCCCGAGGGACCGCGUGUCAUUCAAAAUUUUCUCGGUCUGACGCAUGAGGAGAUGUACAAGUCAUUCUUCGGACCUCAGGUGGAGUGUCUGGAAAUCACCGAGGACGUGGGCCUGAGUAGUAACCGCGCCGCCGAACAGGUAAGGCAUCUUCCGGCCGAACAUACUAUCUCUCCCUUGUUACGAAGUUAUUUCUGAGAGUUUGCUUUUUGACCAGGACUGGCUAACAAAGGCGAAGUUGAUUCGGUGUUCGGCCCCCCUCCCCGAGGGUUUGGAAAAUCUGGUAUUGGAAAAGAUGCUCCAGACUGCACCUUGCCCGGAGCCCUUGAAGGAAGAUACAGUGGAGGAUAAUACGGGCGGACGCGGUCCCCCAAUGCUGCCCAUUCUAACCGAGGGAGCGAGCGUCUCCAUGAAGGAAGAUGACCAGAAGAGGAAAAGGACUGUGCCCGAGGAUUCGGAAGCCGAAGCUUCCAAACGGGAGAAGAAGUCUCCCACAGAGGGUCCUACCUUGGGGGGCGCUNNNNNNNNNNNNNNNNNNNNNNNNNNNNNNNNNNNNNNNNNNNNNNNNNNNNNNNNNNNNNNNNNNNNNNNNNNNNNNNNNNNNNNNNNNNNNNNNNNNNNNNNNNNNNNNNNNNNNNNNNNNNNNNNNNNNNNNNNNNNNNNNNNNNNNNNNNNNNNNNNNNNNNNNNNNNNNNNNNNNNNNNNNNNNNNNNNNNNNNNNNNNNNNNNNNNNNNNNNNNNNNNNNNNNNNNNNNNNNNNNNNNNNNNNNNNNNNNNNAGUAUAGAUAUGCCCUCUUUUUCUUCUGAGAGAAUAACCACCGCAUAUAUUUUUGCAGUUCGGGCCUUAGCCCCUCUCAAAUGGCUCGUGUUCGGGGGACCUUCUUCCAGAGAUGAUGGAGAGCGAAACGCUUCCUCCAGACUCCUCCGCUCCGGAAGCGGGCAACCCUGAAGUAUCAUCGCGGAGGGCCUCUCCGAGUCCGGUGAGGCCGGAAGAUAAUCCCAUUGACCCCUGAAGCUCCCAGUGUCCAGCUCCCGAAGAGAGCAGACAAAAGAGUUCGGCACCGUCUAGUGUGCGAUCGAAUGUUCUGAGGGAGUUGGUGGGGUGAGCGGCCAUCUCAGAUGAACACCGUGUGCUGAUGAAUACGAUGAUGGAGAGAAUAUCGUCCGCCGAAAGCGGAUUGCAUGAAGCUUUUAUGAGUCUACUGACAGGCUUUGAGGUACGUAAAAGAAUGUAUGAUAGUCUUGCACAUGCUAGGUGUGCCCUGUGUAGAUAGUAGCCCCUGAGACUCUGGUUGUCGUCGGAAACGAUGAUAAACAGAGGAUCAUAUUCCCAGGUAAUAACCAUACUGCCUCUAUGUGCAGGUGAUGGAAGCUCCGGUGGCUAGCCGGACUAGCGAGUUUGCCCAUUUAGAACGGCAGUUGGAUGCGGCAGACACCGACAUCGAGCUUGUUAACAAAAGGCUUGACGAGGCAUAGGGUAAGUGUCAUUAUCUGGUAAACGCCACAAUAGGAAGAGCAGCAUGAUGCCAGCAUCUUUAAUAUGUUGUGACUGCAGAUGGAGCUGCCACUGUUGAAGCCUUGCGGGAAGAACUUGCCCGAGCCAAGGAACAAGCGAGGUUGGGUAAUGCGGCUGCUUUGAAGGCGGCCGAAGAGUUGCAAGCCGAGAAGGCCGCGCAUGGCGAGAGCCGAGACAAGAUUGCCAAGAUGGCCAUAGAAUUAAAAGCCGCCGCCGACCGUUGCCGGGUUCUUGAAAAGGAAAACCAAGCGAAGGCAUCAGACCUUGAGAAGGCUGGUGCGACAAAAAAAGACCUCCGCUCUGCUAUGAGGGCAAAGAAUGAGGAGCUGCAGGAAGCCGGGGAUAUUGUAGCUGGGAAAUCCUUUAUGUUGCGGAGGAAGUUCGGAGAUCCACGGUAUGCCCCUCUAGAUCGGCAGUGGAGUUCGUAGGAUGUAUAUAUGGAUUUGGCGGCGAGCGCUGCCGAUGCGGCCAAGUAUUUCCAGGGUUAGACGGACCGUGAAGUAGACCAGCUAUUUUGGAGAUAAUUCCAUUCUCCCGAGCAUCCGCUUUCAUUGACUGACCAAUUAGCCGAAUGGGCCGAACUAAAUAGGUUGUCCGGACUCUCCAUGAGGUCUGUUGUGGAUCAGCUAUGGCCGGAAAGGUCAAAAUCGAACAGCUAUUUCAGCUUGGUGCAGCAGUUCCUUGACGUGGUGCCGCGCAUUAAUGCGAUGAAGAGGUCGGCGUGCAUAGAGGGCGCACGGAUGGCCUUUGCCCGUGUUAAAGCAUACUGGGCGGAGAUGGAUGCUACCACUGUUGCAGCGCGAGAUUCGGCCAUAGGUCGAAGGGCUGCUGAGCACUACUUUGAAGAAGUUCUUGAGGGUGCUCGUUUGAUAGAGACCCAAUGCUCAAAAAAUGUUAUGUUUGAGUGAUAUGUAAUCUCAUUGUAAGCGAAAUGCUUUUAUAAAUUUUUAUAAGGCUAUUUUUAUACUUUUGCCUGAAAGUAAUAUGAUGCCUCCUGGGCGGCCGUUUAUGUAUACAUGUGUAUAACCUGAAAGAUUGCAGCCAUCGGCUUCAACCCUCACGCAUAUAAUGCGGAGGUGCUCGCAAAAACACGCGUUCACACUUAACCCAACGUCUUGGUCCUAUUAAGGAGGUGAUAGCGGAGCGAGCGAGGCAACCGGACUAUAACGCUUUAGCACUUUCACUUAGCCAUAGGAGUUUGACAGUGGGGCUACUAAAUAGCCCCUGGUGGCUCCGCACUUUCCCGAUCCCGGGGUGCGUACAUGCCUGGUCGGAAAACGGCCCUUCAUUAAGGCGGAGGAAUUCUAACAUUCCAACAGGUCAUCGAGUGGUUGACCAGUCUCACGCUAUAUCAUGAUAGUCAGUUUUCGGCUUUCUCUACUGAGGUGCUCGUCCGGAUGAACCAGGGCACAAUCGCAGUAGUUCUCCUGGUGCUACCUUAGCCGGUAAAGCGGAACGUAAGGCACCAAAACAUAGGAGCCGGGCAAACCCAACAUUUGACCAAAGACAAUGAUUCGGAGCUGAUGCAUAUAGGGCCAAACUCACGACGCCGAACACUCCCUAAGGUAUUCGGUCUUUGUGGUAUAAACCGGGCCUAAAUAAUGGCCUUUUUAAGAAGCCCCUUGUGUCCAGGUACGUGCAUUGUUCUGGCGUGGCCACAUGCCAAGACGUCAGCAUCCUUCUCAACGGUGGAUAUGUAUCAACAAGAGACAGUAAAAAAGGUUUACGCAGGGUCUUAAUCUAAAAAGAAUCCUUGGAGCGGGUCCCUACUGCACGUCUGCGCCUGUAUCUCCAUUGUGCCGUAUCCUGGACGGGUGUGGCAUGAUGAUCGCCUGUAAAAGAGAGGAAUUUAGGUGAAAAAGUUGUCAUGUAAAAAGAUAGUUUGUUAAAGAAACCAUGUAUAAUUCAAGAUGAGAAGAAAUUGCCACUCGUCUGCGCGUGUUGAGCCCCUUGUAUUGACAAAUAGGGGUGUGACCAUUUAUUCGGUAUAAGUAGCGGCGCCGGACUCGAUUAGUUGUAUCUGGGGUCUUGACGACCUAUUGGAUGCUUUCGCUUGUCCAGGCGCCUUUAGUGUGUGGCUGCCAAGGCAGCCUCACUCUCUUCAUCGCGCAGAGAUCGCUUGAUAUUUCCGUGCAAUGUAAUGAUGCCACGUGGACCGGGCAUCUUGAGUGUGAGGGAGGCAUAGUGUGGUAUUGCAUUAAAGCGAGCGAAAGCUUCGCGUCCGAGCAGUGCUUGAUAGCCACUUUGAAACUGAGCGAUGUGGAAAGUUAAAUGCUCGCGACGAAAGUUAUCGGGGGAGCCGAAUAUAACUUGUAGUAGGAGGGAGCCCGUACAAUGAGCCCUUGGGCCUGGUGUUACUCAUUUAAAGGUAGUAUUGCUAUGGUGAAUUUGUGUUGGGUCUAACCCCAUCCCACGGAUUGUAUCCUGAUAUAUUAGGUUGAGGCUACUGCCGCCGUCCAUCAAGACUCUUGUGAAGUGAUAUCCGCCAAUUACUGGGUCUAAUACCAAGGCAGCACAUCCUGCGUGUCGGAUACUUGCUGAGUAAUCACGAUGGUCGAAAGUGAUCGGUUGAGAUGACCAGUGGCAGCACUUCGUGGUGACAGGCACUUGGGUAUAUUUUCCUGGGAGUGCCGCGUUGUUUUUUCCCUUGAUUACGUGUAACACGUUUACUGUUUUGACUUCUGGUGGAAAUUUCUUUUGUUCCCCCGUGUCUUGCUUGGGGGGCUCGUCCUCGUCUUCACUUGGUGUAUCCUCCCCCUUGUGUACGGCGUUGAGCUUGCCAGACUGCUUGAAGACCCAACAUUCUCUGUGGGUAUGAUUAGCAGGUUUACCAGGGGUACUAUGAAUCUGGCAUACUUGGUCUAGAAUUUUGUUGAGGCUGGACAAUUCAUCCCUGGUGCCUUUAGGGGGCGGCUUUUGACCUGGCUGAGAGCUUUUGAAUCUGGCAUUUACUGCCGUGCCCUUCGUGCUAUCUUCUUUAUUCCUGUGUUUGUUAUUGCAGUUGCACCGUGAUUUCCCGUUUCCAUCUCUAACUUCAGAUGUACUAGGGUCGCUGGUGCUGCAUCUGGCUAGCCAGCUGUCCUCACCCGCGUAAAAGCAGGUCAUGAGGUUUGUUAAUGCGGCCAUCGUUCUAGGCUUAUUUUGGCCGAGGUGUCUGGCGAGCCAUUCGUCACGGACGCUAUGCUUGAAAGCCGCCAAGGCUUCAGCGUCCAGACAGUCGACAAUCUGGUUCUUUUUAGUAAGAAACCUGUUCCAAAGCUUUCGGGCUGACUCUCCGGGCUGUUGAGUUAUAUGACUCAAAUGUCCGCAUCCGGAGGUCGGACAUAAGUCCCUUGAAAAUUUGCCCGAAAGGCGUCUUCGAGCUCUUCCCAACUUCCAAUGGAGCUUUCGGGGAGGCCUUUGAGCCGGUGACGAGCUGGCCCUUUGAACUUGAGGGGUAGGUACUUGAUUGUGUGGAGAUCAUCUCCUCGAGCCAUAUGGAUAUGAAGGAUGUAGUCCUCAAUCCAGACCCCAGGGUCUGUUGUUCCGUCGUAUGCCUCUAUGUUUACGGGCUUGAAUCCCUCUGGAAAUUCGUGGUCCAGCACCUCAUCGGUGAAACAUAGGGGGUGUGCGGCACCCCUGUAGCUGGGUGUACCGCGUUGUUUGGAUGUUUGUUGUGUUGCAUUGUAUGCUGGGGCGCGCUUGCGUGGUCCAUAGAUGGAUCUUGUUGCACCAUCCUUUGGGUGCGAGACCUCGCAUGGGUCGCGUAUUGUAUUGUGAGUGGUGUUGUUUGCCGCUCUGUGUUGGUAGAGGGGUCGUCUAUCCGACCAGGUGGCUGCUUUGAUAUUUGGUUGUGGGGGUUCUGAGGCCUCCUCAUCGAAUUCGGGUAGCAGCUUCCGCUUUGGGUAGCUUUUGGAGGGGCGAUUGUCACCGUACAUUGCUGCAGUGUUGAGUAUUUUACUCCAUCUGAUUUGGAGUGUGUCUUGCGUGGCCUUGAGCCUUUGCUUCUACUUUUUCAGACUCCUCGCGGUGGCAACAAGCCUUUUACGGGCAAUCCACUGCUCCGGGUGUCUGUCUGGUGUUAUGUCAUCCGGACCAUUAUCCUUGAUAGGAUUUGUUUGUUUGGUUUGAUUAUCCGGAUUGCCGUUGUCUGGCAGCGGUUCGCCCUGCUCCAGCGCUGGGUCUAUGUGAUCGCUAUUUCUGUCGAGGCGGGAUUUGGGGCGGCGCUUGCGUCGCCGCUUUGACUACUUUUCGAGGGAACAAGCCUUCGGUGCGUCCUUCCUCUCCUCGUCGUCAUCUUUUGGUGCGUCCACCAUGUAUACGUCAUAUGACGAGGUGGCGUUCCAGGGCCCAAUAGGCGCUGGUUCUUCAUCGUCUCCUUCAUCGUCGUCCAUACCGUCGAUGUCUUCGGAGUCGAAGUCGAGCAUGUCGGUUAAAUCAUCGACAGUGGCUACAAAGUGGGUGGUGGGUGGGCUUUGAAUUUCUUCAUCGUCCGCAUCCCAAUCUCGCUGACCAUAGUCCGGCCAGGGCUCUCCUGAUAAAGAGAGAGACUUCAGUGAUUUUAUAAUAUCGCCAAAGGGCGAGUGCUGAGAGAUGUCCACGGAAGUAAACUCCAUGAUCGGCGCCCAAUCGGAUUCGAUCGGAUGAGGCGCGAAUGGAUUGGAGUCCGGAGAGGAGUCCGGCUCCUUGGAAUCAUGAAUCUCGCGGAGUGUGGGGCUGGUGUUCGGCUCAAUCGCUGUUAGGAUCGCAGCCCCCGAGGCGGCGUCCAACUACCCAUCCUCGGUCGGCGCGGUUGGCUCCGAAUUAAGGGUCGAAGCCGAUGCGGGUGCAGCCUUCAGGGCACUGUUAGGCGGCGGAGCUAGAUCAUGCUCGUUGUGGCAGUGCGGCGCGCUCGGUAGUGGCUCGAAUCCAUUGAAGAUCAAGUCCCCACGGACGUCAGCCAUGUAGUUUAAACUUCCAAAUCUGACCUGACGGCUAGGGGCAUAGCUUUCGAUCUACUCCAAAUGGCCAAGUGAAUUGGCCCGCAGUGCAAAGCCGUCGAAGAUAGAGAUCUGUCCGGGGAGACAAGUUUCACCCUGGACUGCAUCACUAUCGAUGAUCGUAGGAGCCAUCAAGCCUGACGGCGACGACACAGAGGAACUCUCAAUGAAAGCACCAAUGUUUGUGUCAAAACCGGCAGAUCUCGGGUAGGGGGUCCCGAACUAUGCAUCUAGGCCGGAUGGUAACAGGAGGCAAGGGCAUGAAGUUUUACCCAGGUUCGGGCCCUCUCGAUGGAUGUAAAACCCUACGUCCUGCUUGAUUAAUAUUGAUGAUAUGGGUAGUACAAGAGUAGAUCUACCACAAGAUCAGAGAGGCUAAACCCUAGAAGUUAGCCUAUGGUAUGAUUGUUGUUGUCUAUGUUGUCCUACGGACUAAAACCCUCUGGUUUAUAUAGACACCGGAGAGGGUUAGGGUUACACAAAGUCGGUUACAAUGGUAGGAGAUCUGAAUAUCCGUAUCGCCAAGCUUGCCUUCCACGCCAAGGAAAGUCCCUUCCGGACAUGGGACAAAGUCUUCAAUCUUGUAUCUUCAUAGUCCAGGAGUCCGGCUGAAGGAAUAGUUUGGCUAUCUGAACACCCCCUAAUCCAGGACUCCCUCAGGUGUGUUGGGGACACAAGAGACUCUUUGUUAUUUGGUUGCAGGGUUGCUUGAGAGAGACCAUCUUCAUCCUACGCCUCCUACGAAUUGAUAAACCUUAGGUCAUCCACUUGAGGGAAAUUUGCUAUUGUCCUACAAACCUCUACACUUGGAGGCCCAACAACGUCUACAAGAAGAAGGUUGUGUAGUAGACAUCAGUAUGACUAUCUUGAUUUUGUCAUAAAUUUGUCAUGGAUGUACAUGCAUGACAGAAAACAUGACCUGCUGUGACAAACAUGUACCAUCACGUAAGUGUAUUUUUUUUGUAGUGACAUGACUUGUCAGCGGCUGAUCCCUUUUCAGAAAGUACGCGGUUUGCAAUGUUUGAAUUUGGGCGUUGUAAUCUUUGAAUUCGAACCUUGCAAUAUUUAUGGUAUUUUGUUAUAUUGAACCGUUUCUGUUCUCUUGUCUCAAUGCAAACAGUUCAUCUGAGUGAACCGCAUGUCGUAUAUCGCACACACCUUGAUCUGGCUGACCGUUUUUUUGUGUUGCCUAAUCACAAAUAGUUCAUCCGAGUGAACUAUAUGUUGUACAUCGCACACACCUUGAUCCGGCUGACCGUUUCUUUUGUGUUGCCUAAUCACAAACAGUUCAUCCGAGUGAACCGUAUGCUAUACAUCACACCGACCUUCAUCUAGAUGCCUGUUUAUUUUGUUCAUGCUCAUCGAAAACGGUUAAUUGAACUAAACCGUAUGCCCUGAAUCGCACACGCAACUAAAAUCAAAACCAUGUUUGAUACAUCCGUCAUCGCAAAUAUUUUGCGCCUUUUUACGGGGUUUUUACACCACCGUUUGCGAUUAUUGCAUCGCACACAUUUUCGUCGAAGGGUCUUUGAUCGUAGUGCCGCGUUAGCAGCAUCCUGCAGUAGUGCAUAGUUCUCGAACCCAUAGGGUCCGCACGCUUAACAUUUGAUGACGUUUUAUAUUAUGAGUUAUGUGUUUUGGUGACUGAAGUUUGUUCGGAGUCCCGGAUGAGAUCACGAACAUGACGAGGAGUCUCGAAAUGGUCGAGAGGUAAAUAUUCAUAUAUUGGAAGGUAGUAUUCGGACAUCGGAAUGGUUUCAAGUGAUUCAGGUAUUUUACCGGAGUACCGAGGGGUUACCGGAACCCCCCGAGGAAAUAUUGGGCCUUAGUGGGACUUAGUGGAGAGAGAGGAGGGCCGCAAGGGGUGGCCCUCCCAUGGCAGUCCGAAUUGGACUAGGGGGAGGGGCGGCGCUCCCCUUUCCCUCUCCCUCUCCCUCUCCUUCCUUUUUCCCUCCGGUGGAGAAAGGAAAGGGGGGGGGGAUCCUACUAGGACUAGGGAGUCCUAGUAGGACUCCCCCCUUGGCGCUCCCCUCCUGGCCGCCGGCCUCCUCCUCCCCUCCUUUAUAUACGGGGCGGCGGCACCCCAAAGACACAACAAUUGAUCUCCUAGCCGUGUGUGGUGCUCCCCUCCACAGUUUACUCCCACGGUCAUAGCGUCGUAGUGCUUAGGCGAAGCCCUAGGCGGAUCACAUUACCAUCACCGUCACCACGCUGUCAUGCUGAUGGAAAUCUCCCUCGACCCUCUAUUGGAUCAAGAGUUCGAGGGACGUCAUCGAGAUGAACGUGUGCUAAACACGAAGGUGCCGUACAUUCGGUACUUGGAUCGGUUGGAUCGUGAAGACGUUCGACCACAUCAAUCGCGUUAACCUAACGCUUCCGCUUUCGGUCUACGAGGGUAUGUGGACACACACCCCCCUCUUGUUACUAUGCAUCUCUUAGAUAGAUCUUGCGUGAUUGUAGCAAUUUUUUUGAAAUUGCAUGCUAUGUUCACCAACAACUAUGUGGGGAAACUUCUUGAUGAGAGUGUACAAAAGUGCAUAGAAAAUAAAGCAUUCUGCUGCUGCUCCAUGUUGUUGUUCCAUAGGUGUCAUCACUAUAAUUUUUGCACUGUAGUUUAAUUGUAUAACCACCACUAAAGGAUGCUGCAUAUGACUGGCAUGGAUAACCAAAUCUCUCAAACUCUACAUCAGUGACUUUACAAUAGUGUCAGUGAGAAAGCAGUAUGCUUUACUAGGUGCAGGCCAUGCAAGCAAAAACUGUCAUAUCGACCAUUGAUUCUAUGUUGUCAGGAACAUAAUCAAGUACAUAAUAGGGGCUCAAUAUGUUGGGGAACACAACAUUUCAAAAAAAUCCUACGAUCACGCAAGAUCUAUCUGGGAGAUGCAUAGCAACGAGUGGGGAGAGUUUGUCCACGUACCCUCAUAGACCGAAAGCGGAAGCCUUAAGUAACGCGGUUGAUGUAGUCGAACGUCUUCGCGAUCCAAAUGAUCAAGUACCGAGCGCAUGGCACCUCCGCGAUCUGCACAUGUUCAGCUCGGUGACGUCCCUCAUACUCUUGAUCCAGCUAAGGCCAAGGGAGAGUUCCAUCAGCACGACGGCGUGAUGACGGUGAUGAUGAAGUUACCGACGUAGGGCUUCGCCUAAGCACUACAACGAUAUGACCGAGGUGGAAAUCAGUGGAGGGGGGCACCGCACACGGCUAAGACAACUGUCAACUUGUGUGUCUAUGGGGUGCCCCCUCCCCCGUAUAUAAAAGAGUGGAGGAGGGGAGGGCCAUCCCUCUCUAUGGCGCGCCCCAAGGGGGAUUCCUACUCCUAGUAGGAGUAGGUUUCCCCCUUCCCUAGUUGGAGUAGGAGAAGAAGGAAGAGGGAGAAGGAGAGAAGGAAAGGGGGCCCGGCCCCCUCCCCAAUUCGGAUUGGUCUUGGGAAAGGGGCUGAGGGAGUCUUGGACUAAAGGGUCCUCGGGCGUCCGGCCUGUUGGACAUGGGCCGGACUGAUGGGCUACAAAGAUACAAGACCGAAGACUCUCACCCGUGUCCGGAUGGGACUCUCCUUUGCAUGGAUGGCAAGCUUGGCGUCUGGAUAUACUAUUUCCUUCCUAUGUAACCGACUUUGUAUAACCCUAGUCCCCUCUGGUGUCUAUAUAAACCAGAGGGCUUAGUCCAUGGACGAGGAUAAUCAGAUAGGCUAGACUUCUAGGGUUUUAGCCAUUGCGAUCUCGUGGUAGAUCAACUCUUGUAACCCCCAUACUCAUCAAUAUUAAUCUAGCAGGACGCAGGGUUUUACCUCCAUUGAGAGGGCCCGAACCUGGGUGAACAUUGUGUUCCCUGUCUCCUAUUACCAUCAACCUCAGAUGCAUAGUUCGAUACCCCCUACCCGAGAUCCGCCGGUUUUGACACCGACAUUGCUUUCAUUGAGAGUUCCGCUGUGCCGUCGCCAAGAGGUUCGAUGGCCCCGUCAAUCAUCCAUAACAACAGUGUCCAGGGAGAAACCUUUCUCCCCAGACAGAUCUUCAGGUUCGGCGGCUUCACGCUACGGGCCAACUCGCUUGGCCAUCUAGAGUAGAUUGAUAGCUACUUCCCUAGCCAUCCGGUCAGAUUUGGAAGCUUGAACUACGUUGCGGACAUCUGCGGAGACUUGAUCUUCGACAGAUUCGAGACCACGACAGUAGCCGCUCCCUGCCACCAUGAUGAACAUGGCUUAAAUCUAUCAUCGAACUACACCUAGGAGAUAGAACCUGCGACUGCUCCAGCUCUAAAUCCGGAGCAAAUCACGCCAUCCGAGGAUGGGAGGCUCAACCCCACCAUGGAGGCCGCAGAUUCAGCGGCAUUGGAGCCGCACACAGACCCAACCUCAAGUGAGAUCUGUGUUGCCAAAACCUCGGACACGCUUCCGGCCACAGGUUCGAAAGCAUGUGUGUUCGUGCACGACGAGCUUGAUCGGGCGUCGAUCGUUGAAUUCAGCUCCGCGGACAUCUUCCGACACUCGCCUUUAGGUGAUGUGCUAAACUCAUUAAAAACACUCUCCUUGGCAGGGGACUUACGACCGAAUUAUAUCCGGUUCGAACUGGAGGCUGAUGAUGAAUUUCGCUUCCCACCCCGCCCACUUAAUAGCCACUGUCGAAGACUUAACUGACAUGCUUGAUUAUGGCUCCAACGACAUCGACGGUAUGGACGGCGAUGCCGGAGAAGAAGAGGCCCAAAACCUGCCGUUUACCAGACGCUGGACGGCCACUUCCUCGUAUGACGUAUACAUGGUGGAUGCACCAAAAGAGAAUAGCGACAAUGACAAGGAAGAUCCAGUUGAGGAUAAACCUCCCGAGAUACAACCAAAGCGCCGGCAUCAGUGGUGCCGCUCUAAGUCACGCGCAGCAAAGACAACAACACCGACACAGGAGAAGAUAACACUGCGGAAGGUGCCGAAGACAACGAAUACCCCGUUGAGGCAACUGCCGAACAAAAUGAACGGGAGGACGGGCAAGUUAGCCCUGGUGAACAGGCCACACACAAAAACUCGAAGGACAGUAAUUAUCUUCCACUCUCCGCGGAUGAGGCGAGCCUCGGCACUGAGGAUUUUAUCGUGCCAGAGGAACCUCUCGAGCAGGAGCGCUUCAAGCACCAGCUAAUAGCCACUACAAGGAGCCUGAAAAAGAAGCAGCAACAGCUUCAAGCUGAUCAAGACCUGCUCAAUGACAGAUGGACUAACAUCCUGGAAGCCGAGGAAUACGGCCUCAAGCGACCACUCAAAAGUUACCCAAAGCGCAAAUUAUUACCUCAAUUCGAUGACGAGGUGUUGGAGCCCGUGCCAUCAGCGCACAAUGCGGCUGACCGACCACCAUGUGGUCGGGACAAAGCGGCAACCUAAGCUGAACACCAACCUGUACCACCUCACCAUAAAGACAAAAUUGCUCAAAGAUACUCAUAUGAUCUCCGGCAGGGCCUGAAGAAUAAAGUAGGUCCGGCCAGAUCGAUCUAUGUAUCAUGGGGGCAUGCCCCGGCGCGCGACGACGGCUAUCGAGCCGAACAUGACAAGUACAAUUACGCCCGAGCCAAAAAUCGCAGAUGGGCUCCAUUCGAAGUACGUAGCGACCUGGCCCGACAUAGAGGCGCCACACACCCCCUCUACUUCACUGAUGAAGUAAUGGAACAUGAAUUCCUAGAAGGGUUCAAACUCGUCAAUAUCGAAUCAUAUGAUGGAACCACAGAUCCUGCGGUAUGGAUUGAAGACUUUAUCCUCCAUAUUCACAUGGCACGCGGUGAUGAUCUUCAUGCCAUCAAAUACCUACCCCUAAAACUCAAGGGGCCAGCCCGGCACUGGCUGAACAACCUGCCUGGAAACUUUAUUGGCAGCUGGGAGGACUUGGAAGAAGCCUUCCUUGACAACUUCCAAGGUACAUAUGUUCGACCUCCGGAUGCUGAUGACUUAAGUCAUAUAAUCCAACGCCCGGAGAGUCAGCCAGGAAAUUCCGGACUAGAUUCUUGACCAAAAAGAACCAGAUCAUCGACUGUCCGGACACCGAAGCCCUGGCGGCAUUUAAACAUAGCAUACAUGACAAAUGGCUCGCUCGACACCUCGGCCAAGAAAAGUCGAAGUCCAUGGCAGCCCUCACGGCACUCAUGACCCGCUUUUGCACUUUGGAAGCCAGAAACAGCAACGACAAGCCCCGACACAACAAACAUAGAUGAUGAGGCAAUGGUGAUAAUACCGAGGACACGGCGGUCAAUGCCGGAUUCAGUGGCUCCAAGUCUGGUCAGCGGAAGAAGCCAUAUAAAAGAAAUAAUCAGGGCCCUUCCAGCCUAGACCGCAUACUCGAUCGCCCAUGUCAGAUCCACGACACCCCUGAUAAACAAGCCAAUCAUACCCACAGGAGUUGUUGGGUCUUCAAACAUGACGACAAGUUAAAUGCCGAAGACAAAGAGAAGGGGUCGCAAAGCGAGAACGACGACGAGGAGCCCCGUCCACCAAACACAGGGGGACAGAAGAAGUUUCCUCUGCAAAUCAAAAUAGUGAACAUGAUAUACGCCGCCCAUAUCCCCAAGAGGGAGCACAAACGUGUGCUCAGGGACGUCUAUGCGAUAGAGCCAAUCACACCAAAAUUUAACCCAUGGUUGUCAUGCCCAAUCACUUUCGAUCGUAGGGAUCAUCCGAUCAGUAUCCGUCAUGGCGGGUCAGCCGCACUGGUCCUUGAUCCAAUAAUGGAUGGAUUUUGCUACCUCUUGAGCACUGCAUUGGUUUUCCCCGAAGAGGAAGGGAUGAUGCAGCAAACUAGCAUAAGUAUUUCCCUCAGUUUUUGAGAACCGAGGUAUCAAUCCAGUAGGAGGCUACGCGCGAGUCCCUCGUAUCUGCACAAAACAAAAAAAUCCUCACAACCAACGUGUUAAGGGGUUGUCAGUCCCUACACGGCCACUUACGAGAAUGAGAUCUGAUAGAUAUGAUAAGAUAAUAUUUUUGGUAUUUUUAUGAUAAAGAUGCAAAGUAAAAUAAAAGCAAAGUAAAAGCAAAAGGAAAUAACUAAGUGUUGGUAGAUUAAUAUGAUGAAGAUAGACCCGGGGGCCAUAGGUUUCACUAGUGGCUUCUCUCGAGAGCAUAAGUAUUCUACGGUGGGUGAACAAAUUACUGUUGAGCAAUUGGCAGAAUUGAGCAUAGUUAUGAGAAUAUCUAGGUAUGAUCAUGUAUAUAGGCAUCACGUCCGAGACAAGUAGACCGGCUCCUGCCUGCAUCUACUACUAUUACUCCACUCAUCGAUCGCUAUCCAACAUGCAUCUAGAGUAUUAAGUUAAUGAAAACAGAGUAACGCCUUAAGCAAGAUGACAUGAUGUAGAGGGAUAAACUCAUGCAAUAUGAUGAAAACCCCAUCUUGUUAUCCUCGAUGGCAACAAUACAAUAUGUGCCUUGCUGCCCCUACUGCCACUGGGAAAGGACACCAUAAGAUUGAACCCAAAGCUAAGAACUUCUCCCAUUGCAAGGAAGAUCAAUCUAGUAGGCCAAACCAAACUGAUAAUUCGAAGAGACUUGCAAAGAUAACCAAUCAUACAUAAAAGAAUUUAGAGAAGAUUCAAAUAUUGUUCAUACAUAGACUUGAUCAUAAACCCACAAUUCAUCGGUCUCAACAAACACACCGCAAAAAGAAGAAUACAUCGAAUAGAUCUCCACAAGAGAGGGGGAGAACAUUGUUUUGAGAUCGAAAAAGAGAGAAGAAGCCAUCUAGCUACUAACUAUGGACCCGUAGGUCUGAGGUAAACUACUCACACUUCAUCGGAGGGGCUAUGGUGUUGAUGUAGAAGCCCUCCAUGAUCGAUGCCCACUUCGGCGGAGCUCCGGAAUAGGCCCCAAGAUGGGAUCUCGUGGAUACAGAAAGUUUCAGCGGUGGAAUUAGGGUUUUUGCUCCGUAUCUGAUCGUUUGGGGGUAUGUAGGUAUAUAUAGGAGGAAGGAGUACGUCGGUGGAGCAACAGGGGGCCCACGAGGGUGGAGGGCGCGCCUGGGGGGGUAGGCGCGCCCCCCUACCUCGUGGCCUCCUCUUUUGUGUCUUGACGUAGGGUCCAAGUCUCCUGGGUCUUGUUCGUUGAGAAAAUCAUGUUCCCGAAGGUUUCAUUCCGUUUGGACUCCGUUUGAUAUUCCUUUUCUUUGAAACCCUAAAACAGGAAAAAACAGCAAUUCUGGGCUAGGCCUUUGGUUAAUAGGUUAGUCCCAAAAAUAAUAUAAAAGUGGAUAAUAAAGCCCAAUAAUGUCCAAAACAGUAGAUAAUAUAGCAUGGAGCAAUCAAAAAUUAUAGAUACGUUGGAGACAUAUCAUAUUUCAUCUCACACGAGUCCUCAUGGACGACGGCAAUGAUACGUCUCCAACAUAUCUACUUUUCCAAACACUUUUGCACUUGUUCUGGACUCUAACUUGCAUGCUUUGAAUGGAACUAACCCGGACUGACGCUGUUUUCAGCAGAAUUGCCAUGGUGUUAUUUUUGUGCGGAAAUAAAAGUUCCCGGAAUGACCUGAAAAUCAACGGAGAUUAUUUUUGGAAUAUAUAAAAAUACUGGCAAAAGAAUCAACGUCAGGGGGCCCACGCCCUAUCCACGAGGGUGGGGGCACGCCCCCUGCCUCGUGGGCCCCCUGAUGCUCCAUCAACGUCCAUCCUGACUCCAUAUAUUCACAUUCGGGGAGAAAAAAUCAGGGAGAAGUAUUCAUCGCGUUUUAUGAUACAGAGCCGCCGCCAAGCCCUAAUCUCUCUCGGGAGGGAUGAUCUGGAGUCCGUUCGGGGCUCCGGAGAGGGGAAUCCGUCGCCAUCAUCAUCAUCAACCUUCCUCCAUCACCAAUUGCAUGAUGCUCACCGCCGUGCGUGAGUAAUUCCAUCAUAGGCUUGCUGGAUGGUAAUGGGUUGGAUGAGAUUUAUCAUGUAAUCGAGUUAUUUUUGUUAGGGUUUGAUCCCUAGUAUCCACCAUAUUCUGAGAUUGAUGUUGCUAUGACUUUGCUAUGCUUAAUGCUUGUCACUAGGGCCCGAGUGCCAUCAUUUCAGAUCUGAACCUAUUAUGUUUUCAUGAAUAUAUGUGAGUUCUUGAUCCUAUCUUGCAAGUCUAUAGUCACCUAUUAUGUGUUAUGAUCCGUUAACCCCGAAGUGACAAUAAUCGGGAUACUUACCGGUGAUGACCGUAGUUUGAGGAGUUCAUGUAUUCACUAUGUGUUAAUGCUUUGGUCUGGUACUCUAUUAAAAGGAGGCCUUAAUAUCCCUUAAUUUCUGAUAGGACCCCGCUGCCACGGGAGGGUAGGACAAAAGAUGUCAUGCAAGUUCUUUUCCAUAAGCACGUAUGACUAUAUUCGGAAUACAUGCCUACAUUACAUUGAUGAACUGGAGCUAGUUCUGUGCCACCCUAUGUUAUAACUGUUGCAUGAUUAAUCGCAUCUUACAUAAUUAUCCAUCACCAAUCCAAUGCCUACGAGCUUUUCAUAUAUUGUUCUUCGCUUAUCUACUUUUCCAUUGGUAUUGUUACAAUCACUAUAAAACCAAAACUGCUACCGUUACUUUUACCACUAUUACCGCUACUAUCAUAUUACUUUGCUACUAAAUACCUUGUUGCAGAUAUUAAGUUAUCCAGGUGUGGUUGAAUUGACAACUCAGCUGCUAAUACUUGAGAAUAUUCUUGGCUCCCCUUGUGUCGAAUCAAUAAAUUUGGGUUGAAUAUCUACCCUCAAAAACUGUUGCGAUCCCCUAUACUUGUGGGUUAUCAAGACUAUUUUCUAGCGCCGUUGUCGGAGAGUAUAGCUCUAUUCUUUGAGUUACUUGGGAUUUAUAUCUGCUGAUCACUAUGAAGAACUUGAAAGAUCAAAGAACCAAGAUUUUUCCCUCAACUACGAGGGGAGGUAAGGAACUUCCAUCUAGCUCUGCACUUGAUUCACCUUCUGUUUUGAGUAAACUUGCGACACCUACACAUGCUAUUGAUUCUGAUAGGUCACAUGUUAUUGAUGAUGCCACUUCUGCUUUGCAUGAUAUUUAUGAUGAAACUACUUCUAUGCUUGAUACUAAUGUGCCACUAGGUGAAUUUCUUGAUGAACAACUUGCUAGGGUUAGAGAGAAUGAAAUUAUUGAAACUGAUAAUAUUGAUGAAAGUGAUGAUGAAGAUUCUCCCCCUAGAUAUGAAUUUCCUGUUGUGCUUGAGGGUUAUGUUAUGGAUGAAGAAACUGCUAGAGACUGCUUGGCUUGCAAUGAUAGAUCCGAUCUUAAGAAAUUAUUAGCUAAGCUUAAAGAAAAGUCUUUGAAUGCUAGAAUGAAAUAUGACCCUGCUUUUGCUACUUCACCUAUCUUUAUUACUAAUAAGGAUUAUGAUUUCUCUGUCGAUCCCGAGUUAAUUACUUUGGUUGAAUCUAAUCAUUUUUAUGGCUAUGAAUCUGAAACUGUUGUGGCACAUCUUACUAAAUUAAAUGAUAUAGCCACCCUGUUUACUCAUGAUGAGAAAACUCGCUAUUACUUUAUCCUUAAGUUGUUUCCGUUCUCAUUAAAUGGUGAUGCUAAAACAUGGUUUAAUUCUCUUGAUCCUGGUUGUGUGCGUACUUCCCAGGAUAUGAUUUAUUACUUCUCUACUAAAUAUUUCCCCGCUCAUAAGAAACAAGUUGCUUUAAGGGAAAUAUAUAAUUUUGUGCAAAUUGAAGAAGAGAGUCUCCCACAAGCUUGGGGGAGGCUUCUCCGAUUACUUAAUGCUUUUCCUGAUCAUCCUCUCAAGAAAAAUGAAAUACUUGAUAUCUUUUAUAAUGGACUAACCGAUGCUUCCAGAGACCACAUGGAUAGUUGUGCUGGUUGUGUUUUCAGGGAAAGGACUGUUGAUCAAGCUGAAUUGCUAUUGAAUAAUAUGUUGAGUAAUGAAAAUGAUUGGACACUUGCCGAACCAACUCCUAAGCCAACUCCAAAGAAAAGGGGGUAUUCUAUUUCUCAGUCCUGAAGAUAUGCAAGAGGCAAAGAAAUCAGUGAAAGAAAAAGGUAUUAAAGCUUAAGAUGUUAAGAAUUUACCACCUAUUGAAGAAAUACAUGGUCUUGAUAACCCGACACAGGUAGUAAAGGUAAAUUCUCUCUAUAGUUUUGAUGAAGGUGAAAUCCCUUGUUAUAAGUCUGCUAGCCAAUGCUUAGAUGAGUUUGAUAAUUUUAUUGUUAAACAAGAAAACUUCAAUGCUUAUGUUGGUAGACAAUUGAAACGCAAUGCUGAUAUGCUUGAACACUUGAGUGAUUAUAUGGCUAGUGUUAAAGGGGAACUUAAACUUAUUAGUAAACAUGCUUCUAUGGUUACCACUCAAGUAGAACAAGUACUUAAGGCUCAAAAUGAUUUGCUCAAUGACUUAAAUAAUAAGAAAAAUGAUAAUGUUGUUAGAGUUGUGACUAGAGGGGGUAAAAUGACUCAGGAACCUCUGUAUCCUGAGGGCCACCCUAAGAGAAUUGAGCAAUAUUCUCAGAGAACUAAUGUUGAUGCACCUAGUUCUUCUUAGAAGAAGAAGAAGAAAAAUGAUAGGACUUUGCAUGCUUCUAGUGAACCUGCUGUUGACACACCUGAGAAUCCCAAUGAUAUUUCUAUUUCUGAUGCUAAAACACAAUCUGGUAAUGAACAUGAACCUAGUGGUAAUGUUAAUGAUGAUGUUCAUGUUGAUGCUCAACCUAACAAUGAUAAUGAUGUAGAGAUUGAACCUGCUGUUGAUCUUGAUAACCCACAAUCAAAGAAUCAACAUUAUGAUAAGAAAGAGAACCAUGGGUUCAGAAACCCAUGCCUUUUCCUCCUAAACCAUCCAAGAAAAAGGAUGAUGAUGAUUUUGAGCGCUUUCCUGAAAUGAUUAGACCUAUCUUUUUGCGUAUGCAUUUGACUGAUAUGCUUAAAAUGAAUCCUUAUGCUAAGUAUAUGAAAGAUAUUGUUACAAAUAAGAGGAAGAUACUGGAAGCUAAAAUUUCCACCAUGCUUGCUAAUUAUACUUUUAAAUGGAACACCUAAGAAAUUGGGAGAUCCCGGAGUACCAACUAUACCAUGCUCCAUUAAAAGAAACUAUGUUAAAACUGCUUUAUGUGAUCUUGGAGUCGGUGUUAGUGUUACGCCUCUCUCUUUACAUCGUAGACUUGAUUUGAAUAAGUUUACAUCUACUGAAAUAUCUUUGCAAAUGGCCGAUAAAUCAACUGCUAUACCUGUCGGUAUUUGUGAGGAUGUGCCUGUUGUGGUUGCAAACGUUACUAUUUUGACAGACUUUGUUAUUCUUGAUAUUCCAGAGGACGAUAGUAUGUCUAUUAUUCUUGGGAGACCCUUUUUGAAUACUGCAGGGGAUGUUAUUGAUUGCAACAAAGGCAAUGUCACUUUUCAUGUUAAUGGUAAUGAGCAUACGGUACACUUUCCGAGGAAACAACCUCAAGUCCACAGUAUCAAUUCUAUUGCAAAAAUUCCAACUAUUACUAUAGGUGGUUUUGAAUUUCCUCUUCGUACUGUCAAGAAGAAAUAUGAUAUUCUUAUUGUUGGGGACAUGCAUAUCCCCGUCGAGGUAACCUAGUGUUAUUCGAAAAUUCUCCGGUUUCAUGUUAUUCGAAAAGAGUUUGUUAACAAGACUUGAUCAACCUUGUUAGUGGAUUCCUUUUUGAUGAGCAUGAGAUGGGUGAAGUUAGAAAGCACAACCUUCUAUACCCUCUUUUUACUUUUUGUUAUUUAAAUUAAAUAAAGAAAAAAUAGUAUUUUUUGUCUGUUUUCUGAAUUAUCCAUGCAAUGAAAAAUACCCCGAAAAUAAAAGCUCUCCAAAUGCCCUGAAAUUUUAAUAUGAUUUUUUAGAAUAUUUGAGAACAUCUAGCACUGAGAACACACCAGGGGGACCCACCACGUGCCCACGAGGGUGGAGGGUGCGCCCCCUGCCUCGUGGACCCCACGUGGGUCCCCUCCACUUAUCCUUGCACCCACACACUUCGUCUUGCUCCAGAAAAAAUCAUCCACCAGCUCAAACUCGUGUUCUAGCUCAUCUUGUUGCCAUUUUCGAUCUCCUUGCUCAAAGCUCCAUUCACAAAACUUCUUUGGGGGAUUGUUCUUCGGUAUGUGACUCCUCCAAUGGUCCAAUUAGUUUUUGUUCUAGUGCUUUAUUUAUUGCAAAUUUUUGCUGCUUAGGUGACCCUGUUCUUGAGCUUGCAUGUCAAAUUUAUAUGGUUAAAAGUAGUUUUAAUGCAUGAUAUAGUCUCUAGGAACUUGUAGGAGUAGCUGCUAUCAAUUUUGUUGAGUUUGGCUCACUUUUAUUUUAAGUUACUAAAAAUUUCAGAAAUUUUUCAGAGGAAGAAAUAUGUUUAGGAAAAUGUACCAAGGUGGUUCCUAAAGGAAGCAAGGCCCAAGGCCCGCAAUACGCGAGCCAGACAAUGAACUACCAAGGGAGGCUCAAGUGCGGCCUUGUGAAUGGCCGUCAGAGGAUUUCAUGGUCCGGGCAGGCAUCAAGGAAGAAUUUGACGCAUAUGUGCGUAACACUGAUCUUGAGAGCUUCGAGUCAGAUAAGUGCCGACAGUACCUCUAUUUAACUGAUUCAUUUGUGAGAAGGUUUAAGUUUACAUCCUUGCGCAAUUCUCAUAAUGUCCUAUUUGAUCUUUAUGAUAAAUCCUAUACCAUGGACUUAGAAGAUUUUAAUACUGCUUGUAAACUCCCACAGUGGGGUAAUGUUAGUGAACCUCGCAAAGCUGAAUAUAAAGAUUUUCUUGCUAGUAUCACUGUGGGGGAAUCUAGAGAAAUAACACAAGCUACCAUAGGAGCAUUCAUUUUCCUGCCAUACAUUAUUUUCUCUCUUUAUAGGUAGAUGCAUUAACGGUAAGGAUGGGGCAUGUCACAUGUGCGUUCCCGAUCUUAGUGUUCUCAAGAGUGUUGUAUUAGGAGAUAGCCAAUAUAACUUGGGGGCCAUUGUUGCACGUAGGUUGCAUAAUAAUAGUAUUAAUGGAGAUUUCUUAGGUGGAAUUUAUGCAAACCGUUUAGCUGAUUUUCUUGAGAUACCCAUACGUGGAGAUGAUAUUGAGUUGCCUCCUGCUUAUUUAGAUUAUAAUGCUAUGGUUCAUCAUCAGUUUGUUGAAAGGAAUGAUCAGUCCCUCCAGUACCAACUAAUCUUUGACAGACGACACACCUAUCAUGUCGCUCUCCCUACUCCUAAUUUCUUUGACUAUCAGGCAAAAGGGAGAUAUGUCAUAACCAGGGAGGAGGUGAACGAGUACGAGAGGAGGACGGAGGCAGCCCGCCUCCAAGCUGCAGCCCUUCAGGCAGUAGUUGAUGCAUCUCAGUACGACCCCAACUUCAACUUCGGAUAUCCACCAGGCCAUCCAUGGGCAUAGACCAACUUAGGCCAAAAGCCUAAGCUUGGGGAGUACGUAUUUCUCACCGGCAUUACAUUCAUGUUCACACAUUCAUGCCAGUUGUCGUUGCUCAUACUCUUUCAUUGUAUCAUCCAUGCUAGUUUAAUUUAUUUUUAAGCUUUCUUCUUGUGUGUUUGAAAAACCUUAAGAAAAACCAAAAAAAAUUACUUGUACCUUUUAGCUAGUUUACUUUCCAUGCCUGUAGUAGUAGUAGUAGUAAUUAAAGAGAAAACCCAAAAAGAUUUCUCGUUCUUCUUUUGCUUGUUGGGAGCUUUCCCGUGUAAAUAGUUUUAUUUCUUUCUUUUUAUUUGGGGGUCGAUAGGAGAAGAGCAUGAUUAAAAUGUUGAGUGGCUCUCAUAUGCAUUAUUGUUGAUCUAACAGAGAGCCCAUAUUACCUUGUCUUCUCCUAUGUAUUGAAUGCUUGCAGAUUCCAGCUUAGUCCAAUGCACGUGCACUAUUAUUAUUAUCCACACUAUUCGGUUGUUCAAGUGAAAGGCAAUAAUGACGAUAUAUGAUGAACUAAUUGAGAUGAGAAAAGCUGGUAUGAACUCGACCUCUCUUGUUUUUGUAAAUAUGAUUAGUUCAUCAUUACUGAUUCAGCUUAUUAUGAAUGAAACAUGUUUGCAAUGAUAAUUAGAGAUUAUAGUUGCUUAUGCCAUGCUUAAUUAGCUAGGAGUUUAUAAUGGUUUGCCUUGCGUGCCAACAUGCUAUUAAAAUGGUUGUGAUGUGGUAUGAUAGGGUGGUAUCCUCCUUUGAACGAUUCGAGUGGCUUGACUUGGCACAUGUUCACGCAUGUAGUUGAAAAAAAAUCAACAUAGCCUCUACGAUAUUUAUGUUCAUGGUGCAUUAUAUCCUACUCAUGCUUGCAUUCGGUGUCGAUUAAUUUUAAUGCAUGUACAUGACUGUUGUCGCUCUCUAGCUAGUCGCUUCCCAGUCUUUUUCUAGCCUUCACUUGUACUAAGCGGGAAUACUUCUUGUGCAUCCAACUCCAUAAAACACAAAAGUUAUUCCAUAUGAGUCCACCAUACCUACCUAUAUACGGUAUCUACCUGCCGUUCCAAGUAAAUUUGUAUGUGCCAAACUCUGAACCUUCAAAUAAACAUUCUGUUUUGUAUGCUCGAAUAGCUCAUGUAUCAACUAGGGAUGUAUGUAUCUUCCAUGCUAGGCGGGUUAUUCUCAAGAGGAGUGGACUCCGCUCCUCACUCAUAAGAAAAUGGCUGGUCAUCGAGAUGCCCAGUCCCAUGCUCAAAUCAAAUCAAAAUAAUUGCAAAUAACUCCCCUAGGAUUGUUGGUAGUUGGAGGCACCCGUUGUUUCGGGUAAGCCAUGGAUUGAUGCUUGUUGGUGGUGGGGGAGUAUAAACUUUACCAUUCUGCUUGGGAACCGCCUAUAAUGUGUAUAGCAUGGAAGAUAUCGAGAUCUCUCGGUUGUUGUGUUGACAAUGAAAGUAUACCGCUCAAAAUAUUAUUCAUCUCUAUUUCAAAACCGAGAUCUGGCACCUUUGCAAAUCCUUGCUUCCCUCCACGAAGGGCCUAUCUAUUUACUUUUAUGCUGAGUCAUCAUCCUCUUAUUAAAAAGCACCAGUUAGAGAGCACCGCUGUCAUUUGCAUGUAUUAUUGUUAGUUUACAUUGAGUAUGACUUGACUGGAUCUCUUUUAUCAUGAAUUACAAUUUCCAGUCAGCCCUUGAUCUUUAAAGGUGCUCUGCAUUUAUGUUUUGCGAUCUCAGAAAGGGCUAGCGAGAUACCAUCUUGUUAUAUCAUAUUAUGAUUGUUUUGAGAAAGUGUUGUCAUCCGAGAUUUAUUAUUAUUGCUCGCUAGUUAAUUAUGCCAUUGAUAUGAGUAAAUAUGAGACCUAAAUGUUAUUGUGAAUAUGGUUAGUUCAUAAUCUUUGCUAAAAACUUGAAUGCUGGCUUUACAUAUUUGCAACAACAAGAGCAAAUAGAGUUUGUAAAAGUUUUUCUUUAUCACUUUUAGUUUAUCAACUGAAUUGCUUGAGGACAACCAAAGGUUUAAGCUUGGGGGAGUUUAUACGUCUCCAACGUAUCUACCUUUCCAAACACUUUUGCUCUUGUUUUGGACUCUAACUUGCAUGAUUGGAAUGGAACUAACCCAGACUGACGCUAUUUUCAGCAGAAUUGCCAUGGUGUUAUUUUUGUGCAAAAAUAAAAGUUCCCGGAAUGACCUGAAAAUCAACGGAGAUUAUUUUUGGAAUAUAUAAAAAAUACUGGCAAAUGAAUCAACGUCCGGGGGCCCACACCCUGUCCACGAGGGUGGGGGUGCGCCUACCCCCCUGCCUCGUGGGCCCCCUGAUGCUCCACCGAUGGCCAUCCUGACUCCAUAUAUUCAUGUUCAGGGAGAAAAAAAUCAGGGAGAAGGAUUCGUUGCAUUUUACGAUACGGAGCCGCCGCCAAGCCCUAAUCUCUCUCGGGAGGGCUGAUCUGGAGUCCAUUCGGAGCUCCAGAGAGGGGAAUCCGUUGCCAUCGUCAUCAUCAACCUUCCUCCAUCACCAAUUUGAUGAUGCUCACCGCCGUGCAUGAGUAAUUCCAUCGUAGGCUUGCUGGACGGUGAUGGGUUGGAUGAGAUUUAUCAUGUAAUCGAGUUAGUUUUCCUAGGGUUUCAUCCCUAGUAUCCACUAUGUUCUGAGAUUGAUGUUGUUAUGACUUUGCUAUGCUUAAUGCUUGUCACUAGGGCCCGAGUGCCAUGAUUUCAGAUCUGAACAUAUUAUGUUUUCAUGAAUAUAUGCGAGUUCUUGAUCCUAUCUUGCAAGUCUAUAGUCACCUAUUAUGUGUUAUGAUCCGUUAACCCCGAAGUGACAAUAAUCGGGAUACUUACCGGUGAUGACCCUAGUUUGAGAAGUUCAUGUAUUCACUAUGUGUUAAUGCUUUGUUCCGAUACUCUAUUAAAAGGAGGCCUUAAUAUCCCUUAGUUUCCGACUAGCACAUAUGCCCAUGCGUUGCAAUGGGAGAAAAAAUGCAUUUAAAGUAAGUGAAAAUUAUAUGUGCAAGCAAAACCCUGUGUGCAUGUCAAAAGGGAACAUUUAGCUUCUCGGUUUCGCCAGGUUUGAAGUAACCAAUCCGCUAUUUUUCAUUUAUUGAUCGAGGGCAUUUAAGAGUUUUGUUACGUCAUCGUACGCUAGAGAAGGCCCAUGAAUUAUCCAAUCUAUUUUUCCUUUCAAUCAAGGAAAUUUUAAGGUAUGAAGUUUCUGAAUAUUGUAGAAAACAUGAACCAUUUUUCUAAUCCUGAACAUUUUUUGAAAAUUAUGUACACUUUCAGAAAAAACACAAACAAAAUUUAAAACAAGAACAUCUUUAAAAAUUCACAAACAAUUUUUGAAAACGCCAACUUUCUUUAUAAAAACAUGUACAUUAUUUGAAUUUGUGAACAUUUUUUAAACACGUGAACAUGUGUUGAAAAUUCACACCAUUUAAAAAAAUGUGUAUCUUUUAUACACGGACAUUAUUUAGAAUUGUGAAAAAUUCACUAAACCAAAAAUAUUUUUCGAAUUUGGAGCAUUUUUUUAAAAUGUCAUGUUCUUUUUAGAAAUCUUGAAUUUGUUUGCAAAACAAUAUUUUUUGAAAAAAUGUUUAACUUUUUCCAAAUUCCAAUUAUUUUCCAAAAUAGCAAUAAAAAUUUGGAAUUUUGAACAUUUUUUGAGAAUUUGGAAUUUAUGAAAUAAAUUCUAUAAGGAAAAUAAAUUGUAAGGAAAAAAGAGAUAGGGAAAGUAGAAUAAAAAUAGAAGUAAAACACAAAAAUGAAGAAAAAAGGGCCAGCCUAUUAUUAUUUGUCCGGUGUGAAGCUCGAACUAUUUGUCACCCUAUGCUGAAAAUAGAAUUUCCCCAGCUACAUGGGUAGAAAAAUAAAUGGGUUGGAAUCGGUGGGCCACAUCACGCGUGCGGCCCAUGUACGGAAUUUUGGCAAAGACUUCUUUUAUCUAGCAGACGAACACAUAAGAAUUUAGUACCACCUCACAUAGGAUAAAAAUAUUUUCGACGGUGAACGGAUGAAAAAUUUGGCGAAACACACCUUGCUUUAUUAGUAGGUAUAGAUAGGACCCCGCUGCUGAUGACCCACAAGUAUAGGGGAUCUAUCGUAGUCCUUUCGAUAAGUAAGAGUGUCGAACCCAACGACGAGCAGAAGGAAAUGAUAAGCGGUUUUCAGCAAGGUAUUCUCUGCAAGUAAUGAAAUAAGUGGUAACAGAUAGUUUUGUGUAUGAUAAUUUGUAACGAGCAACAAGUAACAAAAAUAAAUAAAGUGCAGCAAGGUGGCCCAAUCCUUUUUGUAGCAAAGGACAAGCCAGGACAAACUCUUAUAUAAGGAAAAGCGCUCCCGAGGACACAUGGGAAUAUCGUCAAUCUAGUUUUCAUCACGUUCAUAUGAUUCGCGUUCGGUAUUUUGACAAUUUGACAUGUGGGCGGACCGGUGCUUGGGUGUUGGUUCUUACUUGAACAAGCAUCCCACUUAUGAUUAACCUCUAUUGCAAGCAUCCGCUGAAGGAAAUAUGCCCUAAAGGCAAUAAUAAAGUUAUUAUUUAUUUCCUUAUAUCAUGAUAAAUGUUUAUUAUUCAUGCUAGAAUUGUAUUAACCGGAAACAUAAUACAUGUGUGAAUACAUAGACAAACAAAGUGUCACUAGUAUGCCUCUACUUGACUAGCUCGUUGAUCGAAGAUGGUUAUGUUUCCUAACCAUAGACAUGAGUUGUCAUUUAAUUAACGGGAUCACAUCAUUAGGAGAAUGAUGUGAUUGACUUGACCCAUUCCGUUAGCAUAGCACUUGAUCGUUUAGUUUGUUGCUAUUGCUUUCUUCAUGACUUAUACAUGUUCCUAUGACUAUGAGAUUAUGCAACUCCCGUUUACCGGAGGAACACUUUGUGUGACACCAAACGUCACAACGUAACUGGGUGAUUAUAAAGGUGCUCUACAGGUGUCUCCGAAGGUACUUGUUGGGUUGGCGUAUUUCGAGAUUAGGAUUUGUCACUCCGAUUGUCGGGGAGGUAUCUCUGGGCCCUCUCGGUAAUGCACACCACUUAAGCGUUGCAAGCAUUGCAACUAAUGAGUUAGUUGCAGGAUGAUGUAUUACGGAACGAGUAAAGAGACUUGCCGGUAACGAGAUUGAACUAGGUAUUGAGAUACCGAUGAUCGAAUCUCGGGCAAGUAACAUACCGAUGACAAAGGGAACAACGUAUGUUCUUAUGCGGUCUGACCGAUAAAGAUCUUCGUAGAAUAUGUGGGAGCCAAUAUGAGCAUCCAGGUUCCGCUAUUAGUUAUUGACCGGAGACGUGUCUCAGUCAUGUCUACAUUGUUCUCGAACCCGUAGGGUCCGCAUGCUUAAGGUUUCGAUGACAGUUAUAUUACGAGUUUAUGAGUUUUGAUGUACCGAAGGAGUUCGGAGUCCCGGAUGAGAUCGGGGACAUGACGAGGAGUCUUGAAAUGGUCGAGACAUAAAUAUCGAUAUAUUGGACGACUAUAUUCGGACAUCGGAAAGGUUCCGAGUGAUUCGGGUAUUUUUCGGAGUACCGGAGAGUUACGGGAAUACGUAUUGGGCCUUCUUGGGCCAGACGGGAAAGAAGGAAAAGGGCCUCAAGGGUGGCCGCACCCCUCCCCUUGGUCUGGUCUGAAUUGGACUAGGGAAGGGGGGGGGGGCCCUUCCUUCCUUCUCCUUUUUCCUUCCUCUUUUCCUAUUCCAUAUGGGAGGUGGAAUCCUACUAGGGCUAGGGAGUCCUAGUAGGACUCCACACUUGGCGCGCCCCUUCCUAGGGCCGGCCUCCUCCUCCCUUGCUCCUUUAUAUACAGGUGCAGGGGGGCACCCCAAAGACACAACAAUUGAUCAUUGAUCUCUUAGCCGUGUGCGGUGCUCCCUUCCACCAUAAUCCUCGAUAAUAUUGUAGCGGUGCUUAGGCGAAGCCCUGCGACGGAACUCUUCCCUGACAUUCUGCUGGAUCGGAGUCCGGGGAUUGUCAUCAUGCUGAACGUGUGCUAGAACUCGGAGGUGGCGUAGUUUCGGUGCUUGAUCGGUCGGGCCGUGAAGACGUACGACUACAUCAACCGCGUUGUGCUAACACUUCCGCUUUUGGUCUACAAGGGUACGUAGACAACACUCUCCCCUCUCGUUGCUAUGCAUCACCAUGAUCUUGCGUGUGCGUAGGAAUUUUUUUGAAAUUACUACGUUCCCCAACAGUGGUAUCAGAGCCAGGUUUUAUGCGUUGAUGUUAUGCACGAGUAGAACACAAGUGAGUUGUGGGGGAUAUAAGUCAUACUGCUUACCAGCAUGUCAUACUUUGGUUCGGCGGUUGUCGGUGUCAAAACCGGUGGAUCUCGGGUAGGGGGUCCCGAACUGUGCGUCUAGGCCGGAUGGUAACAGGAGACAAGGGACACAAUGUUUUACCCAGGUUCGGGCCCUCUUGAUGGAGGUAAAACCCUACGUCCUACUUGAUUAAUAUUGAUGAUAUGGGUAGUACAAGAGUAGAUCUACCGCGAGUUCAAGGAGGCUAAACCCUAAAAGCUAGCCUAUGGUAUGAUUGUUGUAUGAUGAAGUUGUCCUACGGACUAAAACCCUCCGGUUUAUAUAGGUACCAGAGAAGGUUACAAUUGUAGGAGAUCUUGAAUAUCCGCAUCGCCAAGCUUGCCUUCCACGCCAAGGAAAGUCCCAUCCGGACACGGGACGAAGUCUUCAAUCUUGUAUCUUCAUAGUCCUGGAGUCCGGCUGAAGGUAUAGUCCGGCUACCCGAACACCCCCUCAGUAGCCCCUGAACCAGGCUUCAAUGACGAUGAGUCCGGCGCGCAGAUUGUCUUCGGCAUUGCGAGGCGGGUUCCUCCUCCAAAUUCUUGAUAAAAGUUUGUAAACACCAAGAGUAGUGUUCGGCUCUGCAAAAUAAGUUUCCACGUAUUGCCAUAGAGAGAAUAAUAUUAACACAAAUCUAAUCUGCUGACGUAUUCCGCAGCGUGAUAUCACACUACGGCCAAGCCUUUAUUCGAAUCGUUUUCAUUUUUCCACCUUAGCGUGUUUCGCGAGGCGGUUUCCUUGGAACGUCUUGUCAAAGCAGAGAUCAUGUCCCCUUUGUUUACGGGAUUCUCAUUAAUACGGACGUGGGUAACCCAACCGCGCCACUUAUCAUGGCGCUUGGGAGGCAAGCGAGUUUUACUUAGGCUGGUGGGGGCGCAUAGUCGCAUCCGCCCAUAUAAGGGGAUAAGGAUCCAACUUUUUACCUACGCCUUCUUCCUCCUUUGCCCAUCCAUCUUCUGCGCACCCGAGCUCCAGCGCCCAAGCCCGCACUUCCUACCUCAACCCUCUCCAAGAAUGUCCGGAGCGGGAGGCAAGUGGAUGGUCUUCUCCGUCACGGAGGGCCAUGUCAAAAGGUUAAGGAAGGCCGGAUACUUGUCCAAAGACAUCGCGCACCAGCUUCCUGAGGAGGGGCAGAUUCUCCCCACCCCAAGACCCCAUGAGAGGGUAGUAUUUCUUCCCCACUUCCUCCGCGGACUGGGUUUUCAUCUCCACCCAUUCGUCCGUGGGCUCAUGUUCUACUAUGGCAUAGAUUUCCACGAUCUGGCCCCGAACUUCAUCCUCAAUAUCUCGGUGUUUAUCAUUGUGUGCGAGGCUUUCCUCUGCAUCCACCCCCAUUUUGGCCUCUGGCUCAAGACCUUCAACGUCAAGCCAAAGGUGGUGCGCGGCAACCAGGCGGAGUGUGGAGGUGCCAUGGCGGGCAAAAUAGCCAACGUCCUAUGGCUCGAGGGCUCCUUUGUGGAGACCUUGAAGGGGUGGCAGUCAGGGUGGUUUUACAUCACCGAGCCACGCGAUCCGAAGUGGAUCGCAGCCCCUGAAUUCCGAUCCGGACCCCCUACGCGGCUCACGUCCUGGAAGGAGGCGAGCUUUUCAUGGGGCGACGAAGAAGAGUUGACCGGACUGCAAAAAUGCAUCCAGUCCCUGGUGAACAAGCAGCUCAAGCUUGUCAAUGUAGUCCAAGUCAUGCUUGUCCGCCGAAUCCUUCCGUGUCAAGAACGGGACUUCAAUUUGAGGGAGUUCAACCCGGCGCAGCACCGAACUCUGAGUAGGCUCUUCGACACGACGUACGAAGAUGUCUGGAGGGGGCUAACCAAAGGCGCCAAGGCUCCCACAUCCGCCUCCGAAGACCGCAGAUUCAGCUCGCAGCGUCCUGCUAGCGAGGUAAGAUAUUUCCAUCUUUUAUAGGAUGUUAAGUUUUUCAUAGUUUGACUCUAUGCGGGAUCCAAACUCCCUCACCUUUGAAAGGACUAGCGGGAGAAGUCCGGACAGAUUAACUGUCCGACUCCCUUGCCCGAAGACCCAGCCCCUGCUCUCCUAGAGAAGCUGCUGGUUCCGGCACCUUAUGUGGUGCCGGAGAAGAAGGCCAAGAAGAAGAAGGCCACGGGGACUCGAAAGAGUUCCCGGCAUAUGGUGGUGUCGGACUCGUCAUCCGACGAGUCCGAGACGCGCUCCUCCCGUGAAGACGAGGAGGAGGAAGAAGAAACCUCUCCCCCUCCAGCGGGGGGAGGAAAGAAGAGGAAGGCCGCCCUAGCAGGGGAGGCCGAGGGGUCCAAGAAGAGGAAAACCCCUCUGCCGGACUACGCCCCCGACGCUGACGAGGACGAAGAGGAGUGGCCGGACAGGGCCAAGCGUCCGGUGAAAUCGUAAGUGUUCGGAUACCAGAGUAACUCAUGCUAUUCCUUUUGUUGCACAGCUUUCCCUAAUGUCGAAUAUGAUCGUGCAGCCCGCCCAAGGAUGGGCUCGACGAGUCAUCGAGCAGCUCCCUGGAUUCAUCGGACGUGAAUUCAGUUCCGCCCACUGCCUCCCCCUGUGCUACGGAUGACGCCAAAGUGGCAUCACGACAAGCUCCGGGGCAAGAGGAGGUGGUCCAGGAGGAGCCGCGAGGCGACCUCCCGGACUCCAGGAGUGAAGGGGACAAGACCCCCCUGGGCUCCAAGUCCGGCUUUAAGCCGGACACCGCGCCGGAAUCAUCAACGGUUCCGGACUGCGGUAGGCGAACUCCUGCCAAGAGGAGCAAGCCUACUGAGCCGGCGUCCUCCGUCCAACUGGAGGCGCCGGACAAUCUGCUGGAGGAGCUUAAGGGCGCCUCCAUCGACGAGGAGCACUAUGCCAUCAUGAGUACGGUGGUCCAGAAGGUUCGGUCCGCCAAAAGCGGACUAACUGAAGCUUGUGCUAGCCUUCUAACAGGCUUCGAGGUAAGUAAAAAUAUGUAAAAAUAUUACCGUAUAGACAGUAGCCCCUGAUGCUCUGUUUGGCGUUCGGAAAGAAAAGCCGAAUAGAGGAUCUAUUAAGUAUCGCAGGAGUCUAACUAAAAAGGAGUCAAUAUACGUAUGCAGGCUUCGCUGCUGGCCACCGCCGCACUGACUGCGGAGGUGGGUGCCCUGAAGCAGGGCCUCGAGCGGACCGAGCAAGAGCUCGGCCUUGCCAAACGGCAGCUCGAGGAGAAAGAAGGUAAGAGAUACCUUAUAGAAAAAAUGCCUAUAGGAAGGCGCAAUUGCAAAAAAUGACAGGAGUAUACUGCUUAUUGUAGGGGCCACAACUGAGGUGGUGACCCUCAAGCAGGCGCUGUUCGAGGCCAAGAAGAAAGCGGCCAUGGAGCGCACCGAGCGGGAGAAAUUUGAGGCCCUCCAAGAAUUGGAUGCGGUGAAAAAGAUAGCGGCGGGUAAGGCAUUCUAUAUGCAAAGCAGACAUAUAAAAGUAAACUACUUGUUACUUACCCGAAUCCGAAGCUCUCCAGGGGCAUUCGCAGAUCUUCCCCGCAGCGUAUCCGAUGCCGCCACAUUCUACCGAGCCGAGGAAGGCAGCUCGACGGAGAAGGUGUUCUGGUCUCAGUACGCUGAGGCCGGACACCCUGUGCCCUUGAGCGACCAGCUGAAGCAGCUGGUCGAGCUCCACAAGGCGGCCGAACAGGCCCUGAAGGGCUUCAUAGUUCGGCUGUGGCCUGGAGAGGCCCUGCCAGGGAGCUACUUCGGACUGGUGCAGCGGCUGGUGGAGGCUUGUCCAAGGCUCGAGGUCAUCAAGCGCUCCGUCUGCAUCGAAGGUGCCCGUAGAUCCCUUGCCCGUGCAAAGGUGCACUGGGGUAAGCUGGACGGUGAGAACCUUGUGAAGGACGGGCCGCCGCCGGGGAAGGAGCAUCGCAAGCCCGAGAACUAUUACAAGGAUGUUCUUGCUGGUGCCCGCCUUGUGGCGGAUGAAUGUAUCAAGGAUGUAAUUUUUGAAUGAACUCGCUCGUGUCAUCCUGUGCGCUGAAAACUUAUUCAUAUGCACUAAGCAAUGCUUGAAUUUAAAAUAUUACUUUCUGUGCGGCCGUUUAUCAAAAAAUUGAGAGAUGGUCAGUCGUCGGCUUCUGCCCUCAUGCCACUAGUGCUGGGGUGUUCGGGAUAAACCUGAGCGCUCUUUUUCCCAUGAUUGGGUCCAUCGAGGGAGGCGGUCAGCACAACGAACAAGGCAAUCGGACUAUAAUGCUUGAACACUCUCACUUAGCCAUAGAACUCUAUAAUUUUAAAUUUUUGCGAAGCCCCUAGUAUUCGGAAGACCGAGUUCGGGGCGCUAUCCACGCCUUGGCCGGACAAAGCCGGUUCCUCGCUCGAAGCGGCAUAAGCCUUUAAGGACUCAAAAAACCUCUCGAACAGCGACCGGUCUCUCGCCUCAUCAUGACAGUCAGUUUUAGCUUUCUCCACUGAGGUGCUCGGCCCAGCUCAACUGGGGCACAAUCGCAGUGGUUCUCCUAGUGCUACCAUAGCCGAUAUAGCGGAACGUAAGGCACCAAAACAUAGGAGCCGGGCAAACCCAACUAUUGACCCAAAUCAUGAUUCGGAGUCGAUGCAUAUAGUGCUAUAAGUUCGGGGUGCCGCACUUGUGAAAGUGGACGGACUUCUCACGCCAUAUUGAUGGGUACUGAAGCCCCUGGCGUAUUUUGCCAUACCACAGUGUAUGGAUGCAGCAUGUUUAUUAAUAAACAUAUAUAUAAAAAGAGGGUAAUGCAAAAAAUAGACAAAAAGCUAUGCAUUGUUUAUAGAAAGGCUGCUAUGAAAGCGGAACGAUACAAAUAGUGCGAUAAGCAAAAGAAAUUGGACUAUUUAACAUGUCCUGGUCAGGGGCAGGCCACGGAAUUGUAUUAAAAAAUAGCUAUACUGCUCGCAAUAGAGACCACCUGGGAGUUCCAUAAUGCGGCGUGGCUUGUCUGCUUCCCUGGAUCUUGCAUCGUUUGUGCAGCAGUUGAAUUGCCGAAGGGUCGUCCGAAAAAUGGAGUCCUGAGAGUAAGAGAAAAAAGAAGGAAUCUGGCAGCCCCUGGUGCGGUUUAAGCCAUAUUUCGGGCAUGCCAUGAUAGUGCCCCUUCCCCUGUGCCCACGGUAUUUCAAGAGCGUAGUUAUGUACGCGAACCGCUGGUUUCGCUAUAUCGCGAGGGCUAGGGUUGGGGCCGCAUUGCUACACUAGCUCGAAACGUGCCAGGCGGUCUUGUUGUAGGGUACUCCGGGUGCGCUUGACAGUGUCCGUCUUUUUGAAGGCUGAACUGGAGAACUGCCUAGAGAGGCUGCUUUGUACUUCUGCUGCGAGCGCUGCCGUGUGCUCCUCCGUUCGGAGGGAGCGUUCAGUGUUCCCAUUGACCGUGAUUACUCCUCUAGGGCUUGGCAUCUUGAGCUUGAGGUAUGCAUAGUGCGGUACCACGUUGAAUUUUGCGAAUGCGGUUCGCCCGAGCAGUGCGUGAUAGCCACUACGAAACUGGACUAUGUCGAAGAUUAACUCCUCGCUUCGGAAGUUAUCCGGAGAUCCGAAGACCACUUCCAGUGUAACCGAGCCUGUACAGUUGGCUUCUACACCUGGUAUGAUGCCUUUAAAGGUCGUUUUGGUGGGCUUGAUCCUUGAGGGAUCUAUGCCCAUCUUUCGCACUGUAUCUUGGUAAAGCAGGUUCAGGCUGCUGCUGCCGUCCAUGAGGACUCUUGUGAGAUGAAAUCCGUCAAUGAUUGGGUCUAGAACCAAUGCGGCGAAGCCGCCAUGACGGAUGCUAGUGGGGUGGUCCCUUCGAUCAAAGGUGAUCGGGCAGGAGGACCAUGGGUUGAACUUUGGGGCGACCGGCUCCAUCGCAUAUACGUCCCGUAACGCACGCUUCCGCUCCCUCUUGGGGAUGCGGGUUGCGUAUAUCAUGUUCACCGUCCACACUUGCGAGGGAAAUCCCUUCUGUCCACUAUUGUCCGGAAGCCUGGGCUCCUCCUCGUCAUCGCUAUGCAGCCCCUUGUCUUUGUUUUCGGCUCUUAACUUGCCUGCCUGCUUGAACACCCAACAGUCCCUGUUGGUGUGAUUGGCUGGCUUUUCGGGGGUGCCGUGUAUCUGGCACAAGCAGUCGAGUAUUUGGUCCAAACUGGAUGGGCCCUGAGCAUUUCUUUUGAAUGGCUUUUUUCGCUGACUGGAUUUGUAGCCUCGGAAUCCGGCAUUAACUGUCGUAUCCUUGUUGCUGUCGCUGUUAACGCGGCACUUUUGUUUGUUCCGACACGACCUGUCACCUUUGUCCUUGGUAUUUGAAUUACCAGGGUUCUUGUUUAAGUUGUUACUGUGAGCUAGCCAGCUGUCUUCUCCUGCGCAAAAGCGGGUCAUGAGUGUCGUGAGGGCUGCCAUAGAUUUUGGCUUUUCCUGUCCUAGGUGCCGGGCAAGCCACUCGUCACGGAUAUUAUGCUUGAAGGCCGCUAAGGCCUCUGCGUCCGGACAGUCGACUAUCUGGUUUUUAUUUGUUAGGAACCGUGUCCAGAAUUGCCUGGCCGAUUCUUCUGGCUACUGAAUUAUGUGGCUUAGGUCAUCGGCGUCCGGUGGUCGCACAUAAGUGCCCUGGAAGUUGUCAAGGAAUGCGGCUUCCAGGUCCUUCCAAGAAGCGAUUGAGUUUGCUGGCAAGCUGUUAAGCCAAUGCUGGGCCGGUCCCUUAAGUUUGAGUGGGAGGUAUUUGAUGGCAUGUAAAUCAUCACCGCGGGCCAUGUGGAUAUGAAGGAGAUAAUCCUCGAUCCAUACCGCAGGAUCCGUUGUGCCAUCGUAUGAUUCGAUGUUUACGGGUUUGAAUCCCUCAGGGAUUUUAUGAUCCAUUACUUCAGCAUAGUGGGUGUGCGGCGCCUCUGUAUUGGGCUAUAUCACGACGCAGCUCGAAGGAGCUUUGUCUGUUGAGUUCGGCCCGGCCGGAUUCAUUGCGUCCGGAGUGACGAUCACCGUCACAUGCUGUGGGGCGCCUGUGCGAUCCAUAGAUCGAUCUUGUUUGCCUUGCCUUGUCCUCCAGUAUGUCGCGCAAGUCGGGCGCAUUUUCUCGUGCCUUAGUAUGCUUGAUGCGGCACCAGGGCAUGGUUUGAGUGGAGGGCCAAGAGGCCUCUCUAUCGCAGCCACGAGGUGGCCGGUCGGCCAUGUCAUGCGCUAGUGAUGUAGGUGCUUCCUCCUCUAGUCGGGGGAGCAGCCUGCGCUUUGGGUAACUCUUGGAGGGGCGUUCGAGUUCAUACUCUUUGGCCGCAAGGACUUCAGUCCUUCUGUCAGCUAGCAAAUCCUGAUCAGCUCUAAGCUGUUGCCGCUUUUUCUUGAGGCUGCUUGCUGUGGCCAUAAGCCUGCGUUUAAAACGCUCUUGUUCGGCGGGAUCCUCUGGCACGACGAACUCAUCGUCGUCGAGGCUUGCCUCGUCUUUGGAGGGAGGUGUAUAAUUAUUGUCCUCAACCUCUUUAUCUGCCGCCCUCUCAUGAGGGCUGGCUUCUCUGUCCUCCUAUGCUGAAUCUUGCUGGAGGGGGUGUUCUUCGGCGCUAUCCGGAGUAGUAUUAUCUCCCGUGCCGGAAUCACCGUUUUUGCUUUGGCGGGAUUUAGAGCGGCGCCAUUGACGCCGGCGCUUGGGCUGUUUCUUAGAGGUAUCGUCCCCCGCUGUUCCAUCGCCGUCUCCAUCCUUUGGAGUGUCCACCAUAUAUAUGUCAUAUGACGAGGUGGCCUUCCAGCGCCCUACAGGUGCUGGUUCUUGUUCGUCUCCUGCAUCGUCGUCCAUGCCGUCGCUGUCUUCAGAGUCGAAGUCAAGCAUGUCGGUUAAGUCAUCGACAGUGGCUAUGAAGUGGGUGGUGGGUGGGUUUUGAAUUUCUUCAUCGUCCGUAUCCCAACCUUGCUGACCAUAGUCCGGCCAGGGCUCUACUGAUAAAGAGAGAGACUUUAGAGAGUUUAGGAUGUCGCCGAAGGGCAAGUGCUGAAAGAUGUCCGCGGCAGUGAACUCCAUUAUCGGCGCCCAAUCGGAUUCAAUCGGCAGGGGCGCGGAGUUCGGAGAGGAAUCCGUCUCUUCGGAGUCACGGUCCAUGAGGAGUGCGGGGCUGGAGUUCAGCUCGAUCGCCUCUGCGAUCGCAGCCCCUGAGGCAGCGUCCAACCGCUGAUCCUCGAUUGGUGCAGUAGGCUCCAAAUCAAUGGUCGGAACCGAUGCGUGUGCGGCCUCCAAAGCGCUGUUCAGCGGCAGAGCUAUAUCAUGCCCAUCGAGACAGUGCGGAACGCUUGGCUGUGGCUCGAAUCCGUCGAAGAUCAAGUCCCCGCGGAUGUCAGCCGUGUAGUUUAGGCUUCCAAACCUGACCUGAUGGCUAGGGGCGUAACUUUCGAUCUGCUCAAGGUGACCAAGCGAGUUGGCCCGUAGUGCGAAACCGCCGAAGACGAAGAUCUGUCCGGGGAGAAAAGUCUCACCCUGGACUGCAUCCUGGUUGAUGAUCGAAGAAGCCAUUGGGCCUGAAAGGGACGACACAAAGGAACUCUCAAUGAAAGCACCAAUGUCGGUGUCAAAACCGGCGGAUCUCGGGUAGGGGGUCCCGAACUGCGCGUCUAGGCCAGAUGGUAACAGGAGACAAGGGACACAAUGUUUUACCCAGGUUCGGGCCCUCUUGAUGGAGGUAAAACCCUACGUCCUGCUUGAUUAAUAUUGAUGAUAUGGGUAGUACAAGAGUAGAUCUACCGCGAGAUCAAGGAGGCUAAACCCUAAAAGCUGGCCUAUGGUAUGAUUGUUGUAUGAUGAAGUUGUCCUACGGACUAAAACCCUUCGGUUUAUAUAGGCACCGGAGAAGGUUAGGGUUACACAAAGUCGGUUACAAUUGUAGGAGAUCUUGAAUAUCCGCGUCGCCAAGCUUGCCUUCCACGCCAAGGAAAGUCCCAUCCGGACAAGGGACGAAGUCUUCAAUCUUGUAUCUUCAUAGUCCUGGAGUCCGGCUGAAGGUAUAGUCCGGCUACCCGAACACCCCCUAAUCCAGGACUCCCUCAGCGGUAUUGUUGGAUGAGGCGGCCCGGACCGACAUUACGCGUACGCUUACGCGAGACUGGUUCUACCGAUGUGCUUUGCACACAGGUGGCUAGCGGGUGUCAGUUUCUCCAACUUUAGUUGAACCGAGUGUGGCUACGCCCGGUCCUUGCGAAGGUUAAAACAACACUAACUUGACAAACUAUCAUUGUGGUUUUCGAUGCGUAGGUAAGAACGGUUCUUGCUAAGCCCGUAGCAGCCAUGUAAAACUUGCAACAACAAAGUAGAGGACGUCUAACUUGCUUUUGCAGGGCAUGUUGUGAUGUGAUAUGGUGAAGACGUGAUGAGAUAUAAGUUGUUGUAUGAGAUGAUCAUGUUUUGAUGAAGUUAUCGGCAACUGGCAAAAGCCUUAUGGUUGUCUCUCUAUUGCAUAAGAUGCAAGCGCCAAAUAAUUGCUUUACUUUAUCGCUAUACGAUAGCAAUAGUUGCAAGAGCAAUAGUUGGCGAGACGACCAUGUGAUGACACAUUGAUAUAGAUCAAGAUGAUGGAUAUCAUGGUUUCAUGCCGGUGACGAUGGAGAUCAUGACGAGAUCAAACGCACAAGAUGAUAAUGGCCAUAUCAUGUCACAUAUUUUGAUUGCAUGUGAUGUUUAUCUUUUAUACAUCUUAUUUUGCUUAGUUCGACGGUAGCUUCAUAAGAUGAUCUCUCACUAAUUAUCAAGGUACAAGUGUUCUCCCUGAGUAUGCACCGUUGCGAAAGUUCUUCGUGCUGAGACACCACGUGAUGAUCGGGUGUGAUAGGCUCUAUGUUCAAAUACAACGGGUGCAAAACAGUUGCACACGCGGAAUACUCAGGUUAAACUUGACGAGCCUAGCAUAUAACAUAUAUGGCCUCGGAACACGAAGACCGAAAGGUCGAGCAUGAAUCAUAUAGUAGAUAUGAUCAACAUAUUGAUGUUCACCAUUGAUACUACUCCAUCUCACGUGAUGAUCAGACAUGGUUUAGUUGAUUUGGAUCACGUGAUCACUUAGAGGAUUAGAUGGAUAUCUUUCUAAGUGGGAGUUCUUAAGUAAUUUGAUUAAUUGAACUUUAAUUUAUCAUGAACUUAGUCCUGGUAGUAUUAGCAUAUCUAUGUUGUAGAUCAAUAGCUCGCGUUGUUGCUUCCCUAUGUUAUAUAUAUAUAUGUUCCUAGAGAAAACUAACUUCAAAAAUGUUAGUAGCAAUGAUGCGGAUUGGAUCCGUGAUCUGAGGUUUCUCCUCAUUGCUGCACAGAAGAAUUAUGUCCUUGAUGCACCACUAGAUGACAGACCUAUUGCAGGAGCAGAUGCAGACGUUAUGAACGUUUGGCUAGCUCAAUAUGAUGACUACUUGAUAGUUUAGUGCACCAUGCUUAACAGCUUAGAAUCGGGACUUCAAAGACGUUUUGAAUGUCAUGGACCAUAUGAGAUGUUCCAGGAGUCGAAGUUAAUAUUUCAAGCAAAUACCCGAGUUGAGAGAUAUGAAGUCUCCAACAAGUUCUAUAGCUAAAAAGAUGGAGGAGAAUAGCUCAAGCAGUGAGCAUGUGCUCAGAUUGUCUGGGUACUACAAUUGCUUGAAUCAAGUGAGAGUUAAUCUUCCAGAUAAAAUAGUGAUUGACAAAAUUCUCUAGUCACCAUCACCAAGUUAGUAGAACUUCGUGAUGAACUAUAGUAUGCAAGGGAUGAUGAAAAUGAUUCCUAAGCUUUUCAUGAUGAUGAAAUCGAUGAAGGUAGAAAUCAAGAAAAAUAUCAAGUGUUGAUGGUAGACUAGACCACUAGUUUCAAGAAAAGGGCAAAGGGAAGAAGGGGAACUUCAAGAAGAACGGCAAGCAAGUUGUUGCUCAAGUGAAGAAGCCCAAGUCUGGUCCUAAGCCUAAGACUAAGUGCUUCUACUGCAAAGGGACUGGUCACUAGAAGCAGAACUGCCCCAAGUAUUUGGCGGAUAAGAAGGAUGGCAAAGUGAACAAAGGUAUAUUUGAUAUACAGAUUAUUGAUGUGUAUUUUACUAGUGUUCGUAGCAACCCCUCGGUAUUUGAUACUGGUUCAGUUGCUAAGAGUAGUAACUCGAAACAGGAGUUGCAGAAUGAACAUAGACUAGUUAAGGGUGAAGUGACGAUGUGUAUUGGAAGUGGUUCCAAGAUUGAUAUGAUCAUCAUCGCACACUCCCUAUACUUUUGGGAUUAGUGUUGAACCUAAAUAAGUGUUAUUUGGUGUUUGCGUUGAGCAUGAAUAUGAUUUGAUCAUGUUUAUUGCAAUAUGAUUAUUCAUUUAAGUAAGAGAAUAAAUUGUUUUUCUGUUUACAUGAAUCAAACCUUAUAUGGUUACACACCCAAUGAAAAUGGUUCAUUGGAUCUCGAUCGUGAUACACAUAUUCAUAAAAUUGAAACCAAAAGAUGCAAAGUUAAUAAUGAUGGUGCAAUUUAUUUGUGACACAGCCGUUUUGGUCAUAUUGGUGUAAAGCGCAUGAAGAAAAUCCAUGCUGAUGGGCUUUUGGAAUCACUUGAUUAUGAAUCAGUUGAUGCUUGCGAACCAUGCCUCAUGGGCAAGAUGACUAAGACUCCGUUCUCCAGAACAAUGGAGCGAGCAACAGAUUUGUUGGAAAUCAUACAUACUGAUGUAUGUGGUCCAAUGAAUAUUGAGGCUCGUGGCAGGUAUCAUUAUUUUCUGAUCUUCAUAGAUGAUUUGAGCAGAUAUGAGUAUAUCUACUUGAUGAACCACAAGUCUGAAACAUUUGAAAAGUUCAAAGAAUUUCAGAGUGAAGUGGAGAAUCAUCGUAACAAAAAUGAAAGUUUCUACAAUAUGAUCGCAGAAGUAAAAUAUUUGAGUUACCAGUUUGGCCUUCAGUUAAAAACAAUGUGAAAUAGUUUCACUACUCACGCCACCUGGAACACCACAGUGUAAUGGUGUGUCCGAACGUUGUAAUCGUACUUUAUUAGAUAUGGUGCGAUCUAUGAUGUCUCUUACCGAUCUACCACUAUCGUUUUGGGGUUAUGCAUUAGAGACAGUUGCAUUCAUGGUAAACAGGGCACCAUCUAAAUCCGUUGAGAUGACACUGUAUGAACUAUGGUUUGGCAAGAAACCUAAGCUGUCAUUUCUUAAAGUUUGAGGUUGCAAUGCUUAUGUGAAAAAGUUUCAACCUGAUAAGCUCUAACCCAAAUCGGAGAAGUGCGUCUUCAUAGGAUACCCAAAGGAAAAUGUUGGGUACACCUUAUAUCACAGAUCCGAAGGCAAUAUAUUCGUUGCUUUGAAUGUAUCCUUUCUAGAAAAUGAGUUUCUCUCGAAAGAAGUGAGUGGGAGGAAAGUAGAACUUGAUGAGGUAACUGUACCUGCUCCCUUAUUGGAAAGUAGUUCAUCACAGAAAUCUGUUCCUGUGACUACUACACCGAUUAGUGAGGAAGCUAAUGAUGAUGAUCAUGUAACUUUAGAUCAAGUUACUACCGAACCUCGUAGGUAAACCAGAGUGAGAUCCGCAUCAGAGUGGUACGGUAAUCCUGUUCUGGAGGUCAUGUUACUUGACCAUGACGAGCCUACGAACUAUGAGGAAGCGAUGAUGAGCCUAGAUUCCGCGAAAUGGCUUGAGGCCAUGAAAUCUGAGAUCAGAUCCAUGUAUGAGAACAAAGUAUGGACUUUGAUUGACUUGCCCAAUGAUCGGCGAGCCAUUGAGAUUAAAUGGAUCUUCAAGAGGAAGACGGACGCUGAUAGUAGUGUUACUAUCUACAAAGCUAGAAUUGUCGCAAAAAGGUUUUCGACAAGUUCAAGGUGUUGACUAUGAUGAGAGUUUCUCACUCGUAUCUAUGCUUAAGUUUGUCCGAAUCAUGUUAGCAAUUGCCGCAUUUUAUGAAAUCUGGCUAAUGGAUAAACAAAACUGCAUUCCUUAAUGGAUUUAUUAAAGAAGAGUUGUAUAUGAUGCAACCAGAAGGUUUUGUCAAUCCUAAAGGUACUAACAAAAUAUGCAAGCUCCAGCGAUCCAUCUAUGGACUGGUGCAAGCAUCUCGGAGUUGGAAUAUACGCUUUGAUAAGUUGAUCAAAGCAUAUAGUUUUAUACAGACUUGCGGUGAAGCCUGUAUUUACAAGAAAGUGAGUGGGAGCACUACAACAUUUCUGAUAAGUAUAUGUGAAAGACAUAUUGUUGAUCGGAGAUAAUGUAGAAUUAUUCUGCAAAGCAUAAAGGAAUGUUUGAAAGUAGUUUUUCAAAGAAAGACCUCGGUGAAGCUGCUUACAUAUUGAGCAUCAAGAUCUAUAGAGAUAGAUUAAGACGCUUGAUAAGUUUUUCAAUGAGUACAUACCUUGACAAGAUUUUGAAGUAGUUCAAAAUGGAACAGUCAAAGAAGGAGUUCUUGCCUGUAUUACAAAGGUGUGAAGUUGAGUAAGACUCAAAACCCGACCACGGCAGAAGAUAGAGAGAGAAUGAAAGUCAUUCCCUAUGCCUCAGCCAUAGGUUCUAUAAAGUAUGCCAUGCUAUGUACCAGACCUAUUGUAUACCCUGCCUUGAGUUUGGCAAGGGAGUACAAUAGUGAUCUAGGAGUAGAUCACUGGACAUUGGUCAAAGUUAUCCUUAGUGGAAUAAGGAUAUGUUUCUCGAUUAUCGAGGUGACAAAAGGUUCGUCGUAAAGGGUUACGUCGUUGCAAGUUUUGACACUGAUCCAGAUGACUCUAAGUCUCAAUCUGGAUACAUAUUGAAAGUGGGAGCAAUUAGCUAGAGUAGCUCCAUGCAGAGCAUUGUUGACAUAGAAAUUUGCAAAAUACUUACGGAUCUGAAUGUGGCAGACCUGUUGACUAAACUUCUCUCACAAGAAAAACAUGAUCACACCUCAGUACUCUUUGGGUGUUAAUCACAUAGCGAUGUGAACUAGAUUAUUGACUCUAGUAAACCCUUUGGGUGUUGGUCACAUGUCGAUGUGAACUAUGGGUGUUAAUCACAUGGUGAUGUGAACUAUUGAUGUUAAAUCACAUGUCGAUGUGAACUAGAUUAUUGACUCUAGUGCAAUGGGAGACUGAAGGAAAUAUGCCCUAGAGGCAAUAAUAAAGUUAUUAUUUAUUUCCUUAUAUCAUGAUAAAUGUUUAUUAUUCAUGCUAGAAUUGUAUUAACCGGAAACAUAAUACAUGUGUGAAUACAUAGACAAACAGAGUGUCACUAGUAUGCCUCUACUUGACUAGCUCGUUGAUCAAAGAUGGUUAUGUUUCCUAACCAUAGACAUGAGUUGUCAUUUGAUUAACGGGAUCACAUAAUUAGGAUAAUGAUGUGAUUGACUUGACCCAUUCCGUUAGCAUAGCACUUGAUCGUUUAGUUUGUUGCUAUUGCUUUCUUCAUGACUUAUACAUGUUCCUAUGACUAUGAGAUUAUGCAACUCCCGUUUAUCGGAGGAACACUUUGUGUGCCACCAAACGUCACAACAUAACUGGGUGAUUAUAAAGGUGCUCUAUAGGUGUCUCCGAAGGUACUUGUUGGGUUGGCGUAUUUCGAGAUUAGGAUUUGUCACUCCGAUUGUCGGAGAGGUAUCUCUGGGCCCUCUCGGUAAUGCACAUCACUUAAGCCUUGCAAGCAUUGCAACUAAUGAGUUAGUUGCAGGAUGAUGUAUUACGGAAUGAGUAAAGAGACUUGCCGGUAACGAGAUUGAACUAGGUAUUGAGAUACCGACGAUCGAAUCUCGGGCAAGUAACAUACCGAUGACAAAGGGGACAACGUAUGUUGUUAUGCGGUCUGACCGAUAAAGACCUUCGUAGAAUAUGUGGGAGCCAAUAUGUGCAUCCAGGUUCCGCUAUUGGUUAUUGACCGGAGACGUGUCUCGGUCAUGUCUACAUUGUUCUCGAACCCGUAGGGUCCGCACGCUUAAGGUUUCGAUGACAGUUAUAUUAUGAGUUUAUGAGUUUUGAUGUACCGAAGGAGUUCGGGGUCCCGGAUGAGAUCGGGGACAUGACGAGGAGUCUCGAAAUGGUCGAGACAUAAAGAUCGAUAUAUUGGACGACUAUAUUCAGACAUUGGAAAGGUUCCGAGUGAUUCAGGUAUUUUUCGUAGUACCGGAGAGUUACGGGAAUACUUAUUGGGCCUUAUUGGACCAUACAGAAAGAAGGAAAAGGGCCUCAAGGGUGGCCGCACCCCUCCCCUUGGUCUGGUCCGAAUUGGACUAGGGAAGGGGGGCACCCCCUUCCUUCCUUCUCCUUUUUCUUUCCUCUUUUCAUAUUCCAUAUGGGAGGUGGAAUCCUACUAGCACUAGGGAGUCCUAGUAGGACUCCACACUUGGCGCGCCCCUUCCUAGGGCCGGCCUCCUCCUACCUUGCUCCUUUAUAUACGGGUGCAGGGGGGCACCCCAAAGACACAACAAUUGAUCAUUGAUCUCUUAGCCGUGUGCGGUGCCCCCUUCCACCAUAAUCCUCGAUAAUAUUGUAGCGGUGCUUAGGCGAAGCCGUGCGACGGUAGAGCAUCAAGAUCGUCACCACGCCGUCGUGCUGACGGAACUCUUCCCCGACAUUCUGUUGGAUCGGAGUCCGGGGAUCGUCAUCGAGCUGAACGUGUGCUAGAACUCAGAGGUGUCGUAGUUUCGGUGCUUGAUCGGUCGGGCCGUGAAGACGUACGACUACAUCAACCGCGUUGUGCUAACGCUUCCGCUUUCGGUCUACGAGGGUACGUAGACAACACUCUCCCAUCUCGUUGCUAUGCAUCACCAUGAUCUUGUGUGUGCGUAGGAUUUUUUUUGAAAUUACUACGUUCCCCAACAUCCGCAACUACAACAAAAGUAUUAAGGUAAACCUAACCAUAGCAUGAAACAUAUGGAUCCAAAUCAGCCCCUUACGAAGCAACGCAUAAACUAGGGUUUAAGCUUCUGUCACUCUAGCAACCCAUCAUCUACUUAUUACUUCCCAAUGCCUUCCUCUAGGCCCAAAUAAUGGUGAAGUGUUAUGUAGUUGACGUUCACAUAACACCACUAGAGGCUAGACAACAUACAUCUCAUCAAAAUAUUGAACGAAUACCAAAUUCACAUGACUACUAAUAGCAAGACUUCUCCCUUGUCCUCAGGAACAAACGUAACUACUCACAAAGCAUAUUCAUGUUCAUAAUCAGAGGGGUAAUAAUAUGCAUAAAGCAUUUGAACAUAUGAUCUUCCACCAAUUAAACCAACUAGCAUCAACUACAAGGAGCAAUUAACACUACUAGCAACCUACUAGCACCAAUCCCGGGCUUGGAGACAAGAAUUGGAUACAAGAGAUGAACUAGGGUUUUGAGAUGAGAUGGUGCUGAUGAAGAUGUUGAUGGAGAUUGCCCUCUCCCAUUGAGAGGAGCGUUGGUGAUGACGAUGGCGAUGAUUUCCCCCUCUGGGAAGGAAGUUUCCCCAGCAGAACAGCUCUACCGGAGCUCUAGAUUGGAUCCGCCAAGAUUCCGCCUCGUGGCUGCGGAGUUUCGUCCCGAAAGGUUGCUUGUGGUUUUUUUUCUCGACGAAAGACUUCAUAUAGUAGAAGAUGGUCAUCGAAGAGCCACUAGGGGGCCCACGAGGUAGGGGGGCGCGCCCUAGGGGGGUGCACCCCCCACCCUUCUGGAAAGGUUGUGGGCCCCUAGUCUUCAUCUUUGGCGAGGAUUUUUCAUUAUUUAUUAUAAGGUAUUCUGUGGAGUUUCAGGACUUUUGGAGUUUUGCAGAAUAGGUCUCUAAUAUUUGCUCCUUUUCCAGCCCAGAAUGCCAGCUGUCGGCAUUCUCCCUCCUUUAUGUAAAACUUAUAAAAUAAGAGAGAAUAGCCAUAAGUAUUGUGACAUAAUGUGAAAUAACAGCCCAUAAUGCAAUAAAUAUCGAUAUAAAAGCAUGAUGCAAAAUGGACGUAUCAACUCCCCAAGCUUAGACCUCGCUUGUCCUCAAGCGAAAGCCGAUAACAAUAAAUAUGUCCCCAUGUUUAGAGGUAGAGGCGUCGAUAAAAAUAAAAUACGGACAUGAGGGCAUCAUGAUUAUUCUCAUAACAGCAACAUACAUAGAUAUUGUCAUAUGAUUACUUAUGUUCAAGUGAUGAUCUAUUCACAAUGCAAAAGUAUGAAUCAGAAACCUUAUUGAGAACCAACAAACUAUGAUCUCAGUCAUUGAAGCAACUGCAAUUUAUCAUAACAUCAGAAAGAGUCUAUGUUAGAGCUAAAAAGCAAGUCCACAUACUCAACUAUCAUCUAGUCCUUCAUAAUUGCUAACACUCGCGCGAUACUUGUGGUUAUGGAGUUUUAAUCGGACACAAAGAAAGAUAGGGGCUUAUAGUUUCGCCCCACAACCUUUUACCUCAAGGGUAAUGUCAACAAUAAUAACUCAUGCCCCCUACAUCCAAUUAUAUAUAUAUCAGGUUCUUUCCAACAUGCUAGGCUUGCCGAAGGAUAAAAUGAAAAAGAAAAGGUGAAGAUCACCAUGACACUUGCAUAAGGUAGAAGAUAAUAAUAAAAGAUAGGCCCUUCGCAGAGGGAAGCAGAGGUUGCCAUGCGCUUUUAUGGUUGGAUGCACAAAAUCUUAAUGCGAAAGAACGUCACUUUAUAUUGCCCCUUGUGAUAUGAACCUUUAUUAUGCAGUCCGUCGCUUUUAUUACUUCCACAUCACAAGAUAAUAUAAAGCUUAUUUCUCCCACACUAAUCAUACAUAUUUAGAGCAAUUUUUAUUGCUUUGCACUGAUGACAACUUACUUGAAGGAUCUUAUUCAAUCCAUAGGUAGAUAUGGUGGACUCUCAUGGCAAAACUGGUUUAAGGGUAUUUGCAAGCACAAGUAGUAUCUAUACUUGGUGCUGAGAAUUUGGCUAGCAUGACGGGGAAAGGCAAGCUCAACAUGUUGGAUGAUCCGUGACAACAUACUUUAUCUCAGAUAUAAGAAAACGUAACCCAUUACGUUGUCUUCCUUGUCCAACAUCAACUCUUUAGCAUGUCAUAUUUUGAUGAGUGCACCCAAUCAUAAAAGAUGUCAAUAAUAGUAUAUUUAUAUGUGAAACCUCUCUUUCCUUAUUACUUCCUAUUAAUUGCAAGGAUGACCAAAGCUAUGUCUGCCAACUCCCAACAACUUUUAAUCAUCACACUCUUUCUAUGUGAAGUCAUUACUAUCAAUAAGAUCAAUAUGAACUUUUGUUUCUUCUUAUUCUUUUUCUCUUUUCUUUUUUUCACCCAAGAUCAUAGCAAGAAAAUCAAGCCCUUGACUAAACACUAAUCUUUAUUAUAUAGCUCACGGACUUGAUUACAUAGAGAGAUCAUAAGGCAAAACUCAAAACUAGAUCAUGCCAUAAACUUUAUUCUACUAGAUCAAAAUACUACUAAUAGGAUCGAACUAAGGAAAACGGUAAAGAUAGGAGUUGUGAUUGUGAUACGAUACCGGGGCACCUCCCCCAAGCUUGGCAGUUGCCAAGGGAAGUUCCCAUACCCAUGUGAUUAUAUCUCCUUGGUUGGUGAAGAUGGAGGUGAUGGAUAGUCGCCCAUUGAGCGUAAGAGGUCCUCUAGCUUGCGAAUAAUGCCCUUGAGUGCAAAGAUAUGCUCCUUCAACAAAAUAUUUUCACUUGUGAGAUACUUGUUUUGAAUAUGAGUUAACUCAAUCAUCUGGAAAGCUUCGAUCUCAGUUGGGGUAAGAAGGUUGUGAUCAAUUUGAAGGAUGUCUUCUGUUGCCGGAGCUUGGUUCUCCGUGGCCUUCUUGAUCCCUUCAUCCUUGUUGAUCUCCAUGGGUUCUUCCCUCUUCAGGUCUAUCUUCAUUAGCUAGGCAUCUUUGUCACCGUUGUUGGAGGAGGGAGACGACAUGAUGCCUGGCCUUGACAACCCUAAUAGAGAACAGCCCAAAACAAGAACAGAGGAUAUUUGCGUGAUACGGGAGUCAAAACCUUCAGGAAAAUAUAUAGUGAAUUUUUACCGACCAAAAUACGUAUUGUGCAAGAAAACGGAGUCUGGAAGGCACACGAGGUGCUCACGAGGUAGGGGGCGCGCCUAGGGGGGUAGGGCGCGCCCUCCACCCUCGUGGGGCCCUCGUGUCCUUCCCGGACUACUACUUAAUUUCCUAUUUCUCUAAAUAUUCCAAAACGGAGAAAUAUUGCCUUAAAAAUUGUUUUGGAGUCGGUUUACUUACCGUACCACAUACCUAUUCCUUUUCGGAGUCUGAAACAUUCUGGAAAGUGUCCCUUAUGUAUUCCUCUGGGGUUACAGUUUCAAUAAUAUUGGUUUCAAUAUUUAUGGGAUUACCUGAGAUAUAAUGUUUAAUUCUCUGACCAUUUACCACCUUCGGAUUUGUGCCUUCGGAGUUGUUGAUUUAUAUGGCACCGAAAUGAUAGACCUCCUCGAUAACAUAGGGGCCUUCCCAUUUAGAGAGAAGUUUUCCUGCAAAAAAUCUUAAACGAGAGUUGUAUAGCAAUACAUAAUCACCUACAUUAAACUCACGCUUUUGUAUCCUUUUGUCAUGCCAUCUUUUAACCUUAUCUUUAAACAACUUGGCAUUUUCAUAAGCUUGGGUUCUCCAUUCAUCAAGUGAGCUAAUAUCAAAUAACCUCUUUUCACCGGCAAGUUUGAAAUAAUAGUUGAGCUCUUUAAUAGCCCAAUAUGCCUUAUGUUCUAGUUCGAGAGGUAAGUGACAUGCUUUUCCAUAUACCAUUUUAUACGGAGACAUACCCAUAGGAUUUUUAUAUGCAGUUCUAUAGGCCCAUAAUGCAUCAUCAAGUUUCUUGGACCAAUUCUUUCUAGAUCUAUUGACAGUCUUUUGCAAAAUUAAUUUGAGUUCUCUAUUACUCAAUUCUACUUGACCACUAGACUGUGGGUGAUACGGAGAUGCAAUUCUAUGAUUGACGUCAUAUUUAGCAAGCAUUUUACGGAAAGCACCAUGAAUAAAAUGUGAACCACCAUCAGUCAUUAAAUAUCUAGGGACUCCAAACCUCGGAAAAAUAACUUCUUUAAGCAUUUUAAUAGAAGUGUUAUGAUCAGCACUACUAGUUGGAAUAGCUUCUACCCACUUAGUAACGUAAUCAACAGCAACUAAAAUAUGUGUAUAUCCAUUAGAGGCAGGAAAAGGUCCCAUAUAAUCAAAGCCCCAAACAUCAGACGGUUCAAUAACAAGUGAAUUCAUAGGCAUUUCUUGACGUCUACUAAUAUUACCAAUUCUUUGACAUUCAUCACAAGAUAGGACAAACUUACGGGCGUCCUUGAAGAGAGUAGGCCAAUAAAAACCGGAUUGCAAUACCUUAUGUGCAGUUCUAUCUCCUGCAUGGUGUCCUCCAUAAGUUUCGGAGUGGCACUUGCGUAGGAUCUGUUCCUGUUCAUGCUCAGGUACACAACAUCUAAUAACACAAUCUACUCCUUCUUUAUAAAGAUGUGGGUCAUCCCAAAAGUAAUGUCUCAAAUCAUAGAAGAACUUUUUCUUUUGUUGGUAUGUGAAGCUAGUUGGUAUAAAUUUAGCAACUAUGUAAUUAGCAUAAUCAGCAUACCAAGGGGUACUACGAGAAGUACUUAUGACAUUUAAUUAUUCAUCAAGAAAGCUAUCAUCAAUAGGUAGUGGGUCAUCAAGAACAUUCUCUAACCUAGAUAAAUUGUCUGCAACGGGGUUCUCAGCUCCUUUUCUAUCAACAAUAUGCAAAUAAAAUUCUUGUAGCAAGAGAACCCAUCUAAUAAGUCUAGGUUUAGCAUCUUUCUUCUCCAUAAGAUAUUUAAUAGCAGCAUGAUCAGUGUGGAUAGUUACUUUAGAAUCAACAAUAUAAGGUCUGAACUUAUCACAAGCAAAUACAACUGCUAAAAGUUCUUUUUCAGUAGUAGCAUAAUUUCUUUGAGCAUUGUCUAGGGUCUUACUAGCAUAAUGGAUAACAUUUAAUUUCUUAUCAACUCUUUGCCCUAGAACAGCACCUACAUCAUAAUCGCUAGCAUCACACAUAAUUUCAAAGGGUAAAUUCCAAUCAGGUGGCUGGACAAUAGGUGCAGAGACUAAUGCUUUCUUAAGUAUUUCAAAUGCUUCUACACAAUCAUCAUCAAAGACAAAUGGUAUAUAUUUUUGUAAUAAAUUAGUCAGAGGCCGAGAAAUUUUUGGGAAGUCCUUAAUGAACCUCCUAUAAAAUCCGGCGUGACCAAGGAAACUUCUUAUACCUUUGAUGUCCUUGGGACAUGGCAUCUUUUCAAUAGCAUCAACCUUGGCUUUAUCAACUUCAAUACCUCUUUCAGAAACUUUAUGCCCCAAGACAAUACCCUCAUUAACCAUAAAGUGGCACUUUUCCCAAUUCAAUACAAGAUUAGUUUCUUCACAUCUCUGCAAAACUCAAUCAAGAUUGCUCAAGCAAUCAUCAACAGAAGAUCCAUAGACGGAAAAGUCGUCCAUAAAAACCUCACAAAUCUUUUCACAGAAGUCAGAGAAUAUAGCCAUCAUGCAUCUUUGAAAGGUAACAGGUGCAUUACGUAAACCAAAAGGCAUAGAUCUAUAAGCAAAAGUACCAAAAGGGCAAGUAAAAGUAGUCUUUGAUUGAUCCUUGGCUGACACAGGUAUUUGAGAGAAACCAGAAUAACCAUCUAGAAAGCAGUAAUGUGUAUGCUUGCAUAAUCUUUCUAGUAUUUGAUUGAUAAAAGGUAAGGGGUAAUGAUCUUUCUUAGUAGCUUUAUUUAAUUUGCAGAAAUCAAUUACCAUCCUAUAACCUGUAAUAAUUCUUUGUGGAAUCAAUUCAUCUUUAUCAUUAGGAACAACAGUAAUACCUCCCUUCUUAGGGACACAAUGAACAGGACUUACCCACUGGCUAUCAGCAACGGGAUAAGUUAUACCUGCCUCCAGAAGCUUUAGUAUUUCUUUUCUUACCACUUCUUUCAUUUUAGGAUUCAGACAUUGUUGAGGAUCACGAACUAGUUUGGCAUCUGCUUCCAAAUUUAUUUUAUGUUGACAUAGAGUGGGACUGAUGCCCUUAAGAUCAUCAAGAGUAUAUCCAAUAGCAUCACGGUGCUUCUUCAGAGUUUUCAAUAAUCUUUCUUCUUCAUGCUCUGAAAGGUUAGCACUAAUAAUAACAGGAUAUAUCUUCUUUUCAUCAAGAUAAGCAUAUUUAAUAUUAUCAGGCAAUAGUUUAAGCUCAAACACGGGAUCACCCUUAGGUGGAGGGGGAUCCCCUAGGAUUUCAAUAGGCAAAUUGUGUUUCAGAAUAGGUUCUUGUUUAAAGAAUACUUUAUCUAUUUCCCUUCUUUCAUUCAUAAACAUAUCAUUCUCAUGGUCUAGCAAAUAUUGUUCUAAAGGAUCACUAGGAGGUACGGCAAUAGAAGCAAGACCAAUAAUUUCAUCCUCACUAGGCAAUUCUUCUUCAUGGUGUUGUUUACUAAAUUUAGAGAAAUUAAACUCAUGAGUCAUAUCAUCUAAGCCGAUAGUAACAACAUCCCUUGUGCAAUCUAUGGUAGCAUUAACAGUAUUUAAGAAGGGUCUACCAAAUAUAAUGGGACAAAAGCUAUCUUGUGGGGAACCAAGAACAAGAAAAUCAGCAGGUUAUUUAGUUUUCCCACACAAGACUUCAACAUCUCUAACAAUUCCCAUUGGUGAAAUAGUAUCUCUAUUAGCAAGUUUAAUAGUAACAUCAAUUUCUUCUAACUCAACAGGUGCAAUGUCAUGCAUAAUUUCUUUGUAUAAGUCAAUAGGUAUUGCACUAGCACUAGCACCCAUAUCACAUAAGCCAUGAUAACAAUGAUCUCCUAUUUUAACAGAAAUAACAGGCAUUCCUACCGCAGGUCUAUUUUUAUCUUUAGCACAAGGUUUAACAAUUCUAGCAGUUUCACCGCAGAACUGAAUAACAUGCCCAUCAAUAUUAUCAGAUAAGAGAUCUUUAACAAUAGCAAUCUUAGGUUCAACUUUAACUUGCUCAGGAGGUGUAUAUGUUUUAAUAUUGGUUUUACGAACCACAGUUGAAGCUUUAGCAUGAUCCUUUAUCCUAACAGGGAAAGGUGGUUUCUCAACAUAACAAGUAGGAACGAUAGGAUCAUUAUAAGUGACAGUCUUUUCUUUAACUUUAAUUGGUGCAUCUACUUUUACUUCCAUGGGAGGAUGAUAUUUAAACCACUUCUCCUUAGGGAGAUCAACAUAAGUAGCAAAAGAUUCACAGAAAGAAGCUACUAUCUUAGAAUCAAGUCCAUAUUUAGUGCUAAACUUACGAAAAAUAUUGGUAUCCAUAAAAGAUUUAACACAAUCAAAACUAGGUGUAAUACCUGACUCCUUACCAUUGUCGAGGUCCCAAUCUUCGGAGUUGCGUUUAAUUCUAUCGAAUAAAUCCCAUCUAAAUCCAAUAGUCUUCAUCAUAAAAGAGCCGGCACAAGAAGUAUCGAGCAUGGUGCGAUUAUUUUCAGAAAGCCGAGCAUAAAUUUUUUGAAGAAUUGUUUCUCUUGGAAGCUCAUGAUUGGGGCAUGAAUAUAACAUUGAUUUAAGCCUCCCCCAAGCUUAAGCGAUGGUUUCUCCUUCGCGAGGCCAAAAAUUAUAUAUAUAAUUGCGGUCACGAUGAACAAGAUGCAUAGGGUAAUACUUUUGAUGAAAUUCCAAUUUCAAUCUUCUAUAGUUCCAUGAUCUCGUAUCAUCACAUAGCCUAUACCAUUUCAAUGCAUCUCCCUUCAAAGAUAAAGGAAGACCUUCUUCCUAGCAACAUCAUCGGGUAUACCUACUGUUGGGGAACGUAGUAAUUUCAAAAAAAUUCCUACGCACACGCAAGAGCAUGGUGAUGCAUAGCAACGAGAGGGGAGAGUGUGAUCUACGUACCCUUGUAGAUCGACAACGGAAGUGUUAGCACAACGUGGUUGAUGUAGUCAUACGUCUUCACGGUUCGACCGAUCCAAGCACCGUUACUCCGGCACCUCCGAGUUCUUGGCACACGUUCAGCUCGAUGACGAUCGCCGGGCUCCGAUCCAGCAAAGCGUCGGGGAGGAGUUCCGUCAGCACGACGGCAUGGUGACGAUCUUGAUGUUCUACCGUCGCAGGGCUUCGCCUAAGCACCGCUACAAUAUGACCGAGGUGGAAUAUGGUGGAAGGGGGCACCGCACACGGCUAAGGAACGAUCACGAAGAUCAACUUGUGUGUCUAUGGGGUGCCCGCUGCCCCCGUAUAUAAAGGAGUGGAGGAGGGGAGGGCCGGCCCUCUCUAUGGCGCGCCCUAGGGGAGUCCUACUCCCACCGGGAGUAGGAUUCCCCCUUUCCUAGUCCAACUAGGAGUCCUUCCAUGUAGUAGGAGUAGGAAACAAGGAAGGGGUGCAGCCCCACCCCCUAGUCCAAUUCGGACUAGGCCUUCGGGGGGCGCGCGGCCUGCCCUAGGCAGCCCCUCUCUCUUUCCCGUAUGGCCCAAUAAGGCCCAAUACUUCUCCCGGCGAAUUCCCGUAACUCUCCGGUACUCCGAAAAAUACCCGAAUCACUCGGAACCUUUCCGAAGUCCGAAUAUAGUCGUCCAAUAUAUCGAUCUUUACGUCUCGACCAUUUCGAGCCUCCUCGUCAUGUCCCCGAUCUCAUCCGGGACUCCGAACUCUUUCGGUACAUCAAAACUCAUAAACUCAUAAUAUAACUGUCAUCGAAACCUUAAGCGUGCGGACCCUACGGUUCGAGAACAAUGUAGACAUGACCGAGACACGUCUCCGGUCAAUAACCAAUAGCGGGACCUGGAUGCCCAUAUUGGCUACUACAUAUUCUACGAAGAUCUUUAUCGGUCAGACCGCAUAACAACAUACGUUGUUCCCUUUGUCAUCGAUAUGUUUACUUGCCCGAGAUUCGAUCGUCGGUAUCUCAAUACCUAGUUCAAUCUCGUUACCGGCAAGUCUCUUUACUCGUUCCGUAAUACAUCAUCUCGCAACUAACUCAUUAGUUGCAAUGCUUGCAAGGCUUAAGUGAUGUGCAUUACCGAGAGGGCCCAGAGAUACCUCUCCGACAAUCGGAGUGACAAAUCCUAAUCUCGAAAUACGCCAACCCAACAUGUACCUUUGGAGACACCUGUAGAGCACCUUUAUAAUCACCCAGUUACGUUGUGACGUUUGGUAGCACACAAAGUAUUCCUCCGGCAAACGGGAGUUGCAUAAUUUCAUAGUCAUAGGAACAUGUAUAAGUCAUGAAGAAAGCAAUAGCAACAUACUAAACGAUCGGGUGCUAAGCUAAUGGAAUGGGUCAUGUCAAUCAGAUCAUUCACCUAAUGAUGUGAUCCCGUUAAUCAAAUAACAACUCUUUGUCCAUGGUUAGGAAACAUAACCAUCUUUGAUUAACGAGCUAGUCAAGUAGAGGCAUACUAGUGACACUCUGUUUGUCUAUGUAUUCACACAUGUAUUAUGUUUCCGGUUAAUACAAUUCUAGCCUGAAUAAUAAACAUUUAUCAUGAAAUAAGGAAAUAAAUAAUAACUUUAUUAUUGCCUCUAGGGCAUAUUUCCUUCAGUCUCCCACUUGCACUAGAGUCAAUAAUCUAGAUCACAUCACCAUGUGAUUAACAUUGAUAGUUCACAUCAUCAUGUGAUUAACACCCAUAGUUCACAUCGCCAUGUGACCAACACCCAAAGGGUUUACUAGAUUCAGUAAUCUAGUUCACAUCGCUAUGUGAUUAACACCCAAGGAGUACUAAGGUGUGAUCAUGUUUUGCUUGUGAGAGAAUCUUAGUCAACGGGUCUGCCACAUUCAGAUCCGCAUGUAUUUUGCAAAUUUCUAUGUCAACAAUGCUCUGCAUGGAGCUACUCUAGCUAAUUGCUCCCACUUUCAAUAUGUAUCUAGAUCGAGACUUAGAGUCAUCUAGAUUAGUGUCAAAACUUGCAUCGGCGUAACCCUUUACGACGAACCUUUUUUCACUUCCAUAAUCGCGAAACAUAUCCUUAUUCCACUAAGGAUAAUUUUGACCGCUGUCCAGUGAUCUACUCCUAGAUCACUAUCGUACUCCCUUGCCAAACUCAGUGGUAGGGCAUACAAUAGAUCUGGUAUACAGCAUGGCAUACUUUAUAGAACCUAUGACUGAGGCAUAGGGAAUGACUUUCAUUCUCUUUCUAUCUUCUGCCGUGGUCGGGCUUUGAGUCUUACUCAACUUCACACCUUGUAACACAGGCAAGAAACCUUUUCUUUGACUGUUCCAUUUUGAACUACUUCAAAAUCUUGUCAAGGUAUGUACUCAUUGAAAAAACUUAUCAAGUGUCUUGAUCUAUCUCUAUAGAUCUUGAUACUCAAUAUGUAAGCAGCUUCACCGAGGUCUUUCUUUGAAAAACUCCUUUCAAACACUCCUUUAUGCUUUGCAGAAUAAUUCUACAUUAUUUCCGAUCAACAAUAUGUCAUUCACAUAUACUUAUCAGAAAUGUUGUAGUGCUCCCACUCACUUUCUUGUAAAUACAGGCUUCACCGCAAGUCUGUAUAAAACUAUAUGCUUUGAUCAACUUAUCAAAGCGUAUAUUCCAACUCCGAGAUUCUUGCACCAGUCCAUAGAUGGAUCGCUGGAGCUUGCAUAUUUAGUUAACACCUUUAGGAUCGACAAAACCUUCUAGUUGCAUCGUAUACAACUCUUCUUUAGUAAAUCCAUUAAGGAAUGCAGUUUUGUUUAUCCAUUUGCCAGAUUUCAUAAAAUGCGGCAAUUGCUAACAUGAUUCGGAUAGACUUAAACAUAGAUACGAGUGAGAAAAUCUCAUCAUAGUCAACACCUUGAACUUGUCGAAAACCUUUUGCGACAAUUCUAGCUUUGUAGAUAGUAACACUACUAUCAGCGUCCGUCUUCCUCUUGAAGAUCCAUUUAUUUUAUAUGGCUUGCCGAUCAUUGGGCAAAUCAACCAAAGUCCAUACUUUGUUCUCAUACAUGGAUCAUAUCUCAGAUUUCAUGGCCUCAAACCAUUUCGCGGAAUCUGGGCUCAUCAUCGCUUCCUCAUAGUUCGCAAGUUCGUCAUGGUCUAGUAACAUGACUUCCAGAACAGGAUUACCGUACCACUUUGGUGCGGAUCUCACUCUGGUUUACCUACGAGAUUUGGUAGUAACUUGAUCUGAAGUUACAUGAUCAUCAUCAUUAGCUUCCUCACUAAUUGUUGUAGUAGUCACAGGAACAGAUUUUUGUGAUGAACUACUUUCCAAUAAGGGAACAGGUACAGUUACCUCAUCAAGUUCUACUUUCCUCCCACUCACUUCUUUCGAGAGAAACUCCUUCUCUAGAAAAACUCCGAAUUUAGCAACAAAAGUCUUGCCUUCGGAUUUGUGAUAGAAGGUGUACCCAACAGUCUCCUUUGGGUAUCCUAUGAAGACAUAUUUCUCCGAUUUGGGUUUGAGCUUAUUAGGGUGAAACUUUUUCAUAUAAGCAUCACAACCCCAAACUUUAAGAAACAACAACUUUGGUUUCUUGCCAAACCACAGUUCGGAUUGUGUCGUCUCAACGGACUUAGAUGGUGCCCUAUUUAACGUGAAUGCAGCUGUCUCUAAUGCAUAACCCCAAAACGAUAGUGGUAGAUUGGUAAGAGACAUCAUAGAUCGCACUAUAUCUAAUAAAGUACGGUUAUGACGUUCGGACACACCAUUAUGUUGUGGUGUUCCAUGUGGCAUGAGUUUGUGAAACUAUUCCACAUUGUUUUAAUUGAAGACCAAACUCGUAACUCAAAUAUUUGUCUCCGCGAUCAGAUUGUAGAAACUUUAUUUUCUUGACACGAUGAUUUGCCACUUCAGUCUGAAAUUCUUUGAACUUUUCAAAUGUUUCAGACUUAUGUUUCAUCAAGUAGAUAUACCCAUAUCUGCUCAAAUCAUCUGUGAAGUUCAGAAAAUAAUGAUACUUGCCGUGAGCCUUAACACGCAUCGAACCGCAUACAUCAGUAUGUAUUAUUUCCAAUAAGUCAGUUGCUCGCUCCGGAGAACGGAGUCUUAGUCAUCUUGCCCAUGAGGCAUGGUUCGCAAGCAUCAAGUGAUUCAUAAUCAAGUGAUUCCAAAAUCCCAUCAGCAUGGAGUUUCUUCAUGCGCUUUACACCAAUAUGACCUAAACGGCAGUGCUACAAAUAAGUUGCACUAUCAUUAUUAACUUUGCAUCUUUUGGUUUCAAUAUUAUGAUUAUGUGUAUCACUACGAUCAAGAUCCAACGAACUAUUUUCAUUGGGUGUGUAACCAUAUAAGGUUUUAUUCAUGUAAACAGAACAACAAUUUAUUCUCUUACUUAAAUGAAUAACCGUAUUACAAUAAACAUGAUCAAAUCAUAUUCAUGCUCAACGUAAACACCAAAUAACACUUAUUUAGGUUCAACACUAAUCCCGAAUUUAUAGGGAGUGUGCGAUGAUGAUCAUAUCAAUCUUGGAACCACUUCCAACACACAUCGUCACUUCACCCUUAACUAGUCUCUGUUUAUUCUGCAACUCCCGUUUCGAGUUACUAAUCUUAGCAACUGAACUAGUAUCAAAUACUGAGGGGUUGCUAUAAACACUAGUAAAGUACACAUCAAUAACAUGUAUAUCAAAUAUACUUAUGUUCACUUUGCCAUCCUUCUUAUCUGCCAAUCACUUGGGGUAGUUCCGCUUCCAGUGACCAGUCCCUUUGCAGUAGAAACACUUAGUCUCAAGCUUAGGACCAGACUUGGGCUUCUUCACUUGAGCAGCAACUUGCUUGCUGUUCUUCUUGAAGUUCCCCUUCUUCCCUCUGCCCUUUUCUUGAAACUAGUGAUCUUGUCAACCAUCAACACUUGAUGCUCUUUCUUGAUUUCUACCUUCAUUGAUUUCAUCAUCAUGAAAAGCUCGGGAUUCGUUUUCGUCAUCCCUUGCAUAUCAUAGUUCAUCACGAAGUUCUACUAACUUGGUGAUGGUGACUAGAGAAUUCUGUCAAUCACUAUCUUAUCUGGAAGAUUAACUCCCACUUGAUUCAAGCGAUUGUAGUACUCAGACAAUCUGAGCACAUGCUCACUAGUUGAGCGAUUCUCCUCCAUCUUUUAGCUAUAGAACUUGUUGGAGACUUCAUAUCUCUCAACUCGGGUAUUUGCUUGAAAUAUUAACUUCAACUCCUGGAACAUCUCAUAUGCUCCAUGACGUUCAAAACGUCUUUGAAGUCCCGAUUCUAAGCCAUUAAGCAUGGUGCACUAAACUAUCAAGUAGUCAUCAUAUUGAGCUAGCCAAACGUUCAUAACGUCUGCAUCUGCUCCUGCAAUAGGUCCGUCACCUAGCGGUGCAUCAAGGACAUAAUUCUUCUGUGCAGCAAUGAGGAUAAACCUCAGAUCACGGAUCCAAUCCGCAUCAUUACUACUAACAUCUUUCAACACAAUUUUCUCUAGGAACAUAUCAAAAUAAACACAGGGAAGCAACAACACGAGCUAUUGAUCUACAACAUAAUUUGCAAAAUACUACCAGGACUAAGUUCAUGAUAAAUUUAAGUUCAAUUAAUCAUAUUACUUAAGAACUCCCACUUAGAUAGACAUCCCUCUAAUCCUCUAAGUGAUUACGUGAUCCAAAUCAACUAAACCAUGUCCGAUCAUCACGUGAGAUGGAGUAGUUUCAUUGGUGAACAUCACUAUGUUGAUCAUAUCUGCUAUAUGAUUCACGCUCGACCUUCCGGUCUCCGUGUUCUGAGGCCAUAUCUGUAUAUGCUUGGCUCGUCAAGUAUAACCUGAGUAUUCCGCGUGUGCAACUGUUUUGCACCCGUUGUAUUUGAACAUAGAGCCUAUCACACCCGAUCAUCACGUGGUGUCUCAGCACGAAGAACUUUCGCAACGGUGCAUACUCAGGGAGAACACUUCUUGAUAAUUAGUGAGAGAUCAUCUUAUAAUGCUAUCGUCAAUCAAAGCAAGAUAAGAUGCAUAAAAUAUAAACAUCAUAUGCAAUCAAAAUAUGUGACAUGAUAUGGUCAUCAUCAUCUUGCGCCUUUGAUUUCCAUCUCCAAAGUACUGUUAUGAUCUCUUGUUGGGGAAUGUAGUAAUUUCAAAAAAAUUCCUACGCACACGCAAGAUCAUGGUGAUGCAUAGCAACGAGAGGGGAGAGUGUGAUCUACAUACCUUGUAGAUCGACAACGGAAGCGUUUGGUACAUGUAGUCGUACGUCUUCACGGCCCGACCGAUCAAGCACCGAAACUACGGCACCUUCGAGUUUUAGCACACGUUUAGCUCGAUGACGAUCCCCGGACUCCGAUCCAGCAAAGUGCCGGGGAAGAGUUCCGUCAGCACGACGGCGUGGUGACAAUCUUGAUGUACUGCUGCUGCAGGGCUACGCCUAAGCACCGCUACAAUAUUAUCGAGGACUAUGGUGGCCGGGGGCGCCGCACACGGCUAAGGAAUAGAUCACGUGGAUCAACUUGUGUGUGUUCUAGGGUGCCCUUUGCCUCAGUAUAUAAAGGAGCCAGGGAGAGGGGGCGUCCGGCCAAGGUGGGCGCGCCAAGGGGGAGUCCUACUCCCAUCGGGAGUAGGACUCCUAGUUGGACAAGGAGAGACGGGAAAGAGGUGGAAGAGAGGAAGGAAAGGGGGGGCGCCGCACCCCUUCCCUUGUCCUUUUCGGACUAGGAAGGGGAGGGGCGCGCGGCCACCUCUUGCCUCCUUCUCUCUUCUCCCUCAAGGCCCAUGUAGGCCCAAUAAACCCCCGGGGGGUUCCGGUAACCCCCCGGUACUCCGAAAAAAUGCCGAUUUCACCCGGAACGAUUCCGAUGUCCAAAUAUAGGCUUCCAAUAUAUCAAUCUUUACGUCUCGACCAUUUCGAGACUCCUCGUCAUGUCCGUGAUCACAUCCGGGACUCCGAACAACCUUCGGUACAUCAAAAUGCAUAAACUCAUAAUAUAACUGUCAUCGUAACCUUAAGCGUGCGGACCCUACGGGUUCGAGAACAAUGUAGACAUGACCAAGACAUGUCUCCAGUCAAUAACCAAUAGCGGGACCUGGAUGCCCAUAUUGGCUCCUACAUAUUCUACAAAGAUCUUUAUCGGUCAGACCGCAUAACAACAUACAUCGUUCCCUUUGUCAUCGGUAUGUUACUUGCCCGAGAUUCGAUCGUCGGUAUUCCAAUACCUAGUUCAAUCUCGUUGCUGGCAAGUCUCUUUACUCGUUCUGUAAUACAUCAUUCCGCAACUAACUCAUUUAGUUGCAAUGCUUGCAAGGCUUAAGUGAUGUGCAUUACCGAGAGGGCCCAGAGAUACCUCUCCGACAAUCGGAGUGACAAAACCUAAUCUCGAAAUACGCCAACCCAACAUGUACCUUUGGAGACACCUGUAGAGCACGUUUAUAAUAACCCAGUUACGUUGUGACGUUUGGUAGCACACAAAGUGUUCCUCCGGCAAACGGGAGUUGCAUAAUCUCAUAGUCAUAGGAACAUGUAUAAGUCAUGAAGAAAGCAAUAGAAACAUACUAAACGAUCGGGUGCUAAGCUAAUGGAAUGGGUCAUGUCAAUCAGAUCAUUCACCUAAUGAUGUGAUCCCAUUAAUCAAAUAACAACUCUUUGUCCAUGGUUAGGAAACAUAACCAUCUUUGAUUAACGAGCUAGUCAAGUAGAGGCAUACUAGUGACACUCUGUUUGUCUAUGUAUUCACACAUGUAUUAUGUUUCCGGUUAAUACAAUUCUAGCAUGAAUAAUAAACAUUUAUCAUGAAAUAAGGAAAUAAAUAAUAACUUUAUUAUUGCCUCUAGGGCAUAUUUCCUUCAGUCUCCCACUUGCACUAGAGUUAAUAAUCUAGAUCACAUCACCAUGUGAUUAACAUUGAUAGUUCACAUCAUCAUGUGAUUAACACCCAUAGUUCACAUCGCCAUGUGACCAACACCCAAAGGGUUUACUAGAUUCAGUAAUCUAGUUCACAUCGCUAUGUGAUUAACACCCCAGGAGUACUAAGGUGUGAUCAUGUUUUGCUUGUGAGAGAAUCUUAGUCAACGGGUCUGCCACAUUCAGAUCCGCAUGUAUUUUGCAAAUUUCUAUGUCAACAAUGCUCUGCAUGGAGCUACUCUAGCUAAUUGCUCCCACUUUCAAUAUGUAUCUAGACCGAGACUUAGAGUCAUCUAGAUUAGUGUCAAAACUUGCAUCGGCGUAACCCUUUACGACGAACCUUUUUUCACUUCCAUAAUCGAGAAACAUAUCCUUAUUCCACUAAGGAUAAUUUUGACCGCUGUCCAGUGAUCUACUCCUAGAUCACUAUCGUACUCCCUUGCCAAACUCAGUGGUAGGGCAUACAAUAGAUCUGGUAUACAGCAUGGCAUACUUUAUAGAACCUAUGACUGAGGCAUAGGGAAUGACUUUCAUUCUCUUUCUAUCUUCUGCCGUGGUCGGGCUUUGAGUCUUACUCAACUUCACACCUUGUAACACAGGCAAGAAACCUUUUCUUUGACUGUUCCAUUUUGAACUACUUCAAAAUCUUGUCAAGGUAUGUACUCAUUGAAAAAACUUAUCAAGUGUCUUGAUCUAUCUCUAUAGAUCUUGAUACUCAAUAUGUAAGCAGCUUCACCAAGGUCUUUCUUUGAAAAACUCCUUUCAAACACUCCUUUAUGCUUUGCAGAAUAAUUCUACAUUAUUUCCGAUCAACAAUAUGUCAUUCACAUAUACUUAUCAAAAAUGUUGUAGUGCUCCCACUCACUUUCUUGUAAAUACAGGCUUCACCGCAAGUCUGUAUAAAACUAUAUGCUUUGAUCAACUUAUCAAAGCGUAUAUUCCAACUCCGAGAUUCUUGCACUAGUCCAUAGAUGGAUCGCUGGAGCUUGCAUAUUUAGUUAACACCUUUAGGAUCGACAAAACCUUCUACUUGCAUCGUAUACAACUCUUCUUUAGUAAAUCCAUUAAGGAAUGCAGUUUUGUUUAUCCAUUUGCCAGAUUUCAUAAAAUGCGGCAAUUGCUAACAUGAUUCGGACAGACUUAAGCAUAGAUACGAGUGAGAAAAUCUCAUCAUAGUCAACACCUUGAACUUGUCGAAAACCUUUUGCGACAAGUCAAGCUUUGUAGACAGUAAUAUUACCGUCAGCAUCAGUCUUCUUCUUGAAGAUCCAUUUAUUCUCAAUUGCUUGCCGAUCAUUGGGCAAGUCAACCAAAGUCCAUACUUUGUUCUCAUACAUGGAUCCCAUCUCAGAUUUCAUGGCUUCAAGCCACUUUGCGGAAUCUGGGCUCACCAUUGCUUCUUCAUAGUUCGUAGGUUCAUCAUGAUCUAGUAGCAUGACUUCCAGAACAGGAUUACCGUACCACUCUGGUGCGGAUCUUACUCUGGUUGAUCUACGAGGUUCAGUUGUUCUGAAGUUUCAUGAUCAUUAUCAUUAGCUUCCUCACUAAUCGGUGUAGAUGUCGCAGAAACAGGUUUCUGUGAUGUACUACUUUCCAAUAAGGGAGCAGGUACAGUUACCUCGUCAAGUUCUACUUUCCUCCCACUUACUUAUUUCGAGAGAAACUCCUUCUCCAGAAAGUUUCCGAAUUUAGCAACAAAAGUCUUGCCUUCGGAUCUGUGAUAGAAGGCUUUGGAUAUCCUAUGAAGACACAUUUAUCCGAUUUGGGUUCGAGCUUAUCAUGUUGAAGCUUUUUCACAUAAGCAUCGCAGCCCCAAACUUUCAGAAAUGACAACUUUGGUUUCUUGCCAAACCACAGUUCAUAAGGCGUCGUCUCAACGGAUUUUGAUGGUGCCCUAUUUAACGUGAAUGCAGCUGUCUCUAAUGCAUAACCCCAAAACGAUAGUGGUAGAUCGGUAAGAGACAUCAUAGAUCGCACUAUAUCUAAUAAAGUACGGUUAUGAUGUUCGGACACACCAUUAUGCUGUGGUGUUCCAUGUGGCAUGAGUUUGUGAAACUAUUCCACAUUGUUUUAAUUGAAGACCAAACUCGUAACUCAAAUAUUUGUCUCCGCGAUCAGAUCGUAGAAACUUUAUUUUCUUGUCACGAUGAUUUUCCACUUCACUCUGAAAUUCUUUGAACUUUUCAAAUGUUUCAGACUUAUGUUUCAUCAAGUAGAUAUACCCAUAUCUGCUCAAAUCAUCUGUGAAGUUCAGAAAAUAACGAUACUUGCCGUGAGCCUUAACACUCAUCAAACCGCAUACAUCAGUAUGUAUUAUUUCCAAUAAGUCAGUUGCUCACUCCGGAGAACGGAGUCUUAGUCAUCUUGCCCAUGAGGCAUGGUUCGCAAGCAUCAAGUGAUUCAUAAUCAAGUGAUUCCAAAAUCCCAUCAGCAUGGAGUUUCUUCAUGCGCUUUACACCAAUAUGACCUAAACGGCAGUGCUACAAAUAAGUUGCACUAUCAUUAUUAACUUUGCAUCUUUUGGUUUCAAUAUUAUGAUUAUGUGUAUCACUACGAUCAAGAUCCAACGAACUAUUUUCAUUGGGUGUGUAACCAUAUAAGGUUUUAUUCAUGUAAACAGAACAACAAUUUAUUCUCUUACUUAAAUGAAUAACCGUAUUACAAUAAACAUGAUCAAAUCAUAUUCAUGCUCAACGUAAACACCAAAUAACACUUAUUUAGGUUCAACACUAAUCCCGAAUUUAUAGGGAGUGUGCAAUGAUGAUCAUAUCAAUCUUGGAACCACUUCCAACACACAUCGUCACUUCACCCUUAACUAGUCUCUGUUUAUUCUGCAACUCCCGUUUCGAGUUACUAAUCUUAGCAACUGAACUAGUAUCAAAUAGUGAGGGGUUGCUAUAAACACUAGUAAAGUACACAUCAAUAACAUGUAUAUCAAAUAUACUUAUGUUCACUUUGCCAUCCUUCUUAUCUGCCAAUCACUUGGGGUAGUUCCGCUUCCAGUGACCAGUCCCUUUGCAGUAGAAACACUUAGUCUUAGGCUUAGGACCAGACUUGGGCUUCUUCACUUGAGCAGCAACUUUCUUGCCGUUCUUCUUGAAGUUCCCCUUCUUCCCUUUGCCCUUUUCUUGAAACUAGUGAUCUUGUCAACCAUCAACACUUGAUGCUCUUUCUUGAUUUCUACCUUCAUCGAUUUCAUCAUCAUGAAAAGUUCGGGAUUCGUUUUCGUCAUCCCUUGCAUAUCAUAGUUCAUCACGAAGUUCUACUAACUUGGUGAUGGUGACUAGAGAAUUCUGUCAAUCACUAUCUUAUCUGGAAGAUUAACUCCCACUUGAUUCAAGCGAUUGUAGUACUCAGACAAUCUGAGCACAUGCUCACUAGUUGAGCGAUUCUCCUCCAUCUUUUAGCUAUAGAACUUGUUGGAGACUUCAUAUCUCUCAACUCGGGUAUUUGCUUGAAAUAUUAACUUCAACUCCUGGAACAUCUCAUAUGCUCCAUGACGUUCAAAACGUCUUUGAAGUCCCGAUUCUAAGCCAUUAAGCAUGGUGCACUAAACUAUCAAGUAGUCAUCAUAUUGAGCUAGCCAAACGUUCAUAACGUCUGCAUCUGCUCCUGCAAUAGGUCCGUCACCUAGUGGUGCAUCAAGGACAUAAUUCUUCUGUGCAGCAAUGAGGAUAAACCUCAGAUCACGGAUCCAAUCCGCAUCAUUGCUACUAACAUCUUUCAACACAAUUUUCUCUAGGAACAUAUCAAAAUAAACACAGGGAAGCAACAACGUGAGCUAUUGGUCUACAACAUAAUUUGCAAAAUACUACCAGGACUAAGUUCAUGAUAAAUUUAAGUUCAAUUAAUCAUAUUACUUAAGAACUCCCACUAAGAUAGACAUCCCUCUAAUCCUCUAAGUGAUUACGUGAUCCAAAUCAACUAAACCAUGUCCGAUCAUCACGUGAGAUGGAGUAGUUUCAUUUGUGAACAUCACUAUGUUGAUCUUAUCUGCUAUAUGAUUCACGCUCGACCUUUCAGUCUCCGUGUUCCGAGGCCAUAUCUGUAUAUGCUUGGCUCUUCAAGUAUAACCUGAGUAUUCCGUGUGUGCAACUCUUUUGCACCCGUUGUAUUUGAACGUAGAGCCUAUCACACUCGAUCAUCAUGUGGUGUCUCAGCACGAAGAACUUUCGCAACGGUGCAUACUCAGGGAGAACACUUCUUGAUAAUUAGUGAGAGAUCAUCUUAUAAUGCUACCAUCAAUCAAAGCAAGAUAAGAUGCAUAAAAGAUAAACAUCAUAUGCAAUCAAAAUAUGUGACAUGAUAUGGCCAUCAUCAUCUUGCGCCUUUGAUUUCCAUCUCCAAAGUACUAUUAUGAUCUCUAUCGUCACCGGCAUGACACCAUGAUCUCCAUCAUCUUGAUCUAUAUCAAUAUGUCAUCACGUGGUCGUCUCGCCAACAAUUGCUCUUCCAACUAUUGCUAUCGCAUAGCAAUAAAGUAAAGCAGUUAUUGGGCGCUUGCAUCUUAUGCAAUAGAGAGACAACCAUAAGGAUUUUGCCAGUUGCCGAUAACUUCAACAAAACAUGAUCAUCUCAUACAACAACUUAUAUCUCAUCACGUUUUGACCAUAUCACAUCACAACAUGCCCUGCAAAAAUAAGUUAGACGUCCUCUACUUUGUUGUUGCAAGUUUUACGUGGCUGCUACGGGCUUAGCAAGAACCGUUCUUACCUAUGCAUCAAAAACCACAAUGAUAGUUUGUCAAGUUCGUGUUGUUUUAACCUUCGCAAGGACCGGGCGUAGCCACACUCGGUUCAACUAAAGUUGGAGAAACUGUCACCCGCAAGCCACCUAUGUGCAAAGCACGUUGGGAGAACCGGUCUCGCAUAAGCGUACGCGUAAUGUCGGUCCGGGCCGCUUCGUCCAACAAUACCACCGAACCAAAGUAUGACAUGCUGGUAAGCAGUAUGACUUAUAUCGCCCACAACCCACUUGUGUUCUACUCGUGCAUAUAACAUCAACAUAUAAAACCUAGGCUCGGAUGCCACUGUUGGGGAACGUAGUAAUUUCAAAAAAAUUACUACGCACACGCAAGAUCAUGGUGAUGCAUAGCAACGAGAGGGGAGAGUGUGAUCUACAUACCUUGUAGAUCGACAACGGAAGCAUUUGGUUGAUGUAGUCGUACGUCUUCACGGCUCGACCGAUCAAGCACCGAAACUAUGGCACCUCCGAGUUUUAGCACACGUUCAGCUCGAUGACGAUCCCCGAACUCCAAUCCAGCAAAGUGUCGGGGAAGAUUUCCGUCAGCACGACGGCGUGGUGACGAUCUUGAUGUACUGCUGCUGCAGGGCUUCGCCUAAGCACCGCUACAAUAUUAUCGAGGACUAUGGUGGCUGGGGGCGCCGCACACGGCUAAGGAAUAGAUCACGUGGAUCAACUUGUGUGUGUUCUAGGGUGCCCUUUGCCUCAGUAUAUAAAGGAGCCAGGGAGAGGGGGCAGCCGGCCAAGGUGGGCGCGCCAACGGGGAGUCCUACUCCCAUCGGGAGUAGGACUCCUAGUUGGACAAGGAGAGAGGGGAAAGAGGUGGAAGAGAGGAAGGAAAGGGGGGGCGCCGCACCCCUUCCCUUGUCCUAUUCGGACUAGGAAGGGGAGGGGCGCACGGCCACCUCUUGCCUCCUUCUCUCUUCUCCCUCAAGGCCCAUGUAGGCCCAAUAAACCCCCGGGGGGGUUCCAGUAACCCCCCGGUACUCCGGAAAAAUGCCGAUUUCACCCGGAACGAUUCCAAUGUCCAAAUAUAGGCUUCCAAUAUAUCAAUCUUUACAUCUCGACCAUUUCGAGACUCCUCGUCAUGUCCGUGAUCACAUCCGGGACUCCGAACAACCUUCGGUACAUCAAAAUGCAUAAACUCAUAAUAUAAUUGUCAUCGUAACCUUAAGCAUGCGGACCCUACGGGUUCGAGAACAAUGUAGACAUGACCGAGACAUGUCUCCAGUCAAUAACCAAUAGCGGCACCUGGAUGCCCAUAUUGGCUCCUACAUAUUCUACGAAGAUCUUUAUCGGUCAGACCGCAUAACAACAUACGUCGUUCCCUUUGUCAUCGGUAUGUUACUUGCCCGAGAUUCGACCGACGAUCGUCGGUAUUCCAAUACCUAGUUCAAUCUCGUUGCUGGCAAGUCUCUUUACUCGUUCUGUAAUACAUCAUUCCGCAACUAACUCAUUUAGUUGCAAUGCUUGCAAGGCUUAAGUGAUGUGCAUUACCGAGAGGGCCCAGAGAUACCUCUCCGACAAUCGGAGUGACAAAACCUAAUCUCAAAAUACGCCAACCCAACAUGUACCUUUGGAUACACCUGUAGAGCACCUUUAUAAUCACCUAGUUACGUUGUGACGUUUGGUAGCACACAAAGUGUUCCUCCGGCAAACGGGAGUUGCAUAAUCUCAUAGUCAUAGGAACAUGUAUAAGUCAUGAAGAAAGCAAUAGCAACAUACUAAACGAUCGGGUGCUAAGCUAAUGGAAUGGGUCAUGUCAAUCAGAUCAUUCACCUAAUGAUGUGAUCCCGUUAAUCAAAUAACAACUCUUUGUCCAUGGUUAGGAAACAUAACCAUCUUUGAUUAACGAGCUAGUCAAGUAGAGGCAUACUAAUGACACUCUGUUUGUCUAUGUAUUCACACAUGUAUUAUGUUUCAGGUUAAUACAAUUCUAGCAUGAAUAAUAAACAUUUAUCAUGAAAUAAAGAAAUAAAUAAUAACUUUAUUAUUGCCUCUAGGGCAUAUUUCCUUCAUCUCUAUCGUCACAGGCAUGACACCAUGAUCUCCAUCAUCUUGAUCUAUAUCAAUGUGUCGUCACGUGGUCGUCUCGCCAACAAUUGCUCUUGCAACUAUUGCUAUCGCAUAGCAAUAAAGUAAAGCAGUUAUUGGGCGCUUGCAUCUUAUGCAAUAGAGAGACAACCAUAAGGAUUUUGCCAGUUGCCGAUAACUUCAACAAAACAUGAUCAUCUCAUACAACAACUUAUAUCUCAUCACGUCUUGACCAUAUCACAUCACAACAUGCCCUGCAAAAACAAGUUAGACGUCCUCUACUUUGUUGUUACAAGUUUUACGUGGCUGCUACGGGCUUAGCAAGAACCGUUCUUACCUACGCAUCAAAAACCACAACAAUAGUUUGUCAAGUUGGUGUUGUUUUAACCUUCGCAAUGACCGGGCGUUGCCACACUCGGUUCAACUAAAGUUGGAGAAACUGUCACCCGCAAGCCACCUAUGUGCAAAGCAUGUCGGGAGAACCGGUCUUGCGUAAGCGUACGCGUAAUGUCGGUCCGGGCCGCUUCAUCCAACAAUACCGCCGAACCAAAGUAUGACAUGCUGGUAAGCAAUAUUACUUAUAUCGCCCACAACUCACUUGUGUUCUACUCGUGCAUAUAACAUCAACAUAUAAAACCUAGGCUCGGAUGCCACUGUUGGGGAACGUAGUAAUUUCAAAAAAAUUCCUACGUACACGCAAGAUCAUGGUGAUGCAUAGCAACGAGAGGGGAGAGUAUGAUCUCCGUACCCUUGUAGAUCGACAACGGAAGCGUUAGCACAACGUGGUUGAUGUAGUCGUAUGUCUUCACGGUUCGACCGGUCCAAGCACCGUUACUCCGGCACCUUCGAGUUCUUGGCACACGUUCAGCUUGAUGACGAUCCCCGGGCUCCGAUCCAGCAAAGCGUCGGGGAGGAGUUGUGUCAGCACGACGGCGUGGUGACGAUCUUGAUGUUCUACCGUCGCAGGGCUUCGCCUAAGCACCGCUACAAUAUGACCGAGGUGGAAUAUGGUGGAGGGGGGCACCGCACACGGCUAAGGAACGAUCAUGAAGAUCAACUUGUGUGUCUAUGGGGUGCCCCCUGCCCCCGUAUAUAAAGGAGUGGAGGAGGGGAGAGCCGGCCCUCUCUAUGGCGCACCCUAGGGAAGUCCUACUCCCACAGGGAGUAGGAUUCCCCCUUUCCGAGUCCAAUUAGGAGUCCUUCCAUGUAGUAGGAGUAGGAAACAAGGAAGGGGUGCAGCCCCUACCCCUAGUCCAAUUCGGACUAGGCCUUGGGGGGGCGCCCGGCCUGCCCUAGGCAGCCCCUCUCUCUUUCCCGUAUGGCCCAAUAAGGCCCAAUACUUCUCCCGGCGAAUUCCCGUAACUCUCCGGUACUCUGAAAAAUACCCGAAUCACUCGAAACCUUUCCAAAGUCCGAAUAUAGUCGUCCAAUAUAUCGAUCUUUAUGUCUCGACCAUUUCGAGACUCCUCGUCAUGUCCCCGAUCUCAUCGGGGACUCCGAACUCCUUCGGUACAUCAAAACUCAUAAACUCAUAAUAUAACUGUCAUCGAAACCUUAAGCGUGCGGACCCUACGGUUCGAGAACAAUGUAGACAUGACCGAGACACGUCCCCGGUCAAUAACCAAUAGCGGGACCUGGAUGCCCAUAUUGGCUCCUACAUAUUCUACGAAGAUCUUUAUCGGUCAGACCGCAUAACAACAUACAUUAUUCCUUUUGUCAUCGGUAUGUUACUUGCCCGAGAUUCGAUCGUCGAUAUCCAAUACCUAGUUCAAUCUCAUUGCCGGCAAGUCUCUUUACUCGUUCUGUAAUACAUCAUCCCGCAACUAACUCAUUAGUUGCAAUGCUUGCAAGGCUUUAAGUGAUGUGCAUUACCGAGAGGGCCCAGAGAUACCUCUCCGACAAUCGGAGUGACAAAUCCUAAUCUCGAAAUACGCCAACCCAACAUUUACCUUUGGAGACACCUGUAGAGCUCCUUUAUAAUCACCCAAUUACGUUGUGACGUUUGGUAGCACACAAAGUGUUCCUCCGGCAAACGGGAGUUGCAUAAUUUCAUAGUCAUAGGAACAUGUAUAAGUCAUGAAGAAAGCAAUAGCAACAUACUAAACGAUCGGGUGCUAAGCUAAUGGAAUGGGUCAUGUCAAUCAGAUCAUUCACCUAAUGAUGUGAUCCCGUUAAUCAAAUAACAACUCUUUGUCCAUGGUUAGGAAACAUAACCAUCUUUGAUUAACGAGCUAGUCAAGUAGAGGCAUACUAGUGACACUCUGUUUGUCUAUGUAUUCACACAUGUAUUAUGUUUCUGGUUAAUACAAUUCUAGCAUGAAUAGUAAACAUUUAUCAUGAAAUAAGGAAAUAAAUAAUAACUUUAUUAUUGCCUCUAGGGCAUAUUUCCUUCACCUGCAAGCUUAAAUAAUCCACAAACUUCAUCCACAUAUAUUAGGUGUUCAUCAGGAUGCUUUGUUCCAUCUCCUGUAAAAGGAUUAGCUAGCAGUUUUUCUAUCAUACCCGAAGGAUACUCAUAAGGAAUUUCAUUUUAAAUAGGUUCAGUAGGUUGAGGAGCAACUCUUUGCUCUACUGGUCGGGAUGAAGAUACCCCGAACAAGCCCCUCAGAGGAUUACUUUCCAUAGUAACAAGUGACAGUAAAUUUCAGCACACUAUAUAAAAUUUUCCUUACCAAAUUCCACCUACCAAAGGCGCUUCACUCCCCGGCAACAACGCCAGAAAAGAGUCUUGAUGACCCACAAGUAUAGGGGAUCUAUCGUAGUCCUUUCGAUAAGUAAGAGUGUCGAACCCAACGAGGAGCAGAAGGAAAUGAUAAGCGGUUUUCAGCAAGGUAUUCUCUGCAAGUACUGAAAUAAGUGGUAACAGAUAGUUUUGUGGUAAGAUAAUUUGUAACGAGCAACAAGUAACAAAAAUAAAUAAAGUGCAGCAAGGUGGCCCAAUCCUUUUUGUAGCAAAGGACAACCCUGGACAAACUCUUAUAUAAGGAAAAGCGCUCCUGAGGACACAUGGGAAUAUCGUCAAGCUAGUUUUCAUCACGUUCAUAUGAUUCGCGUUCGGUACUUUGAUAAUUUGACAUGUGGGUGGACCGGUGCUUGGGUGCUGUUCUUACUUGAACAAGCAUCCCACUUAUGAUUAACCUCUAUUGCAAGCAUCCGCAACUACAACAAAAGUAUUAAGGUAAACCUAACCAUAGCAUGAAACAUAUGGAUCCAAAUCAGCCCCUUACGAAGCAACACAUAAACUAGGGUUUAAGCUUCUGCCACUCUAGCAACCCAUCAUCUACUUAUUACUUCCCAAUGCCUUCCUCUAGGCCCAAAUAAUGGUGAAGUGUUAUGUAGUCAACGUUCACAUAACACCACUAGAGGCUAGACAACAUACAUCUCAUCAAAAUAUCAAACGAAUACCAAAUUCACAUGACUACUAAUAGCAAGACUUCUCCCUUGUCCUCAGGAACAAACGUAACUACUCACAAAGCAUAUUCAUGUUCAUAAUCAGAGGGGUAAUAAUAUGCAUAAAGGAUCUGAACAUAUGAUCUUCCACCAAUUAAACCAACUAGCAUCAACUACAAGGAGUAAUUAACACUACUAGCAACCUACUAGCACCAAUCCCGGGCUUGGAGACAAGAAUUGGAUACAAGAGAUGAACUAGGGUUUUGAGAUGAGAUGGUGUUGAUGGAGAUGUUGAUGGAGAUUGCCCUCUCCCAAUGAGAGGAGCGUUGGUGAUGACGAUGGCGAUGAUUUCCCCCUGUGGGAGGGAAUUUUCCCAGCAGAACAGCUCUGCCAGAGCUCUGGAUUGGAUCCGCCAAGGUUCCGCCUCGUGGCGGUGGAGUUUCGUCCCGAAAGGUUGCUUGUGGUUUUUUUCUCAACGAAAGACUUCAUAUAGCAGAAGAUGGUAAUCGGAGAGCCACCAGGGGGCCCACGAGGUAGGGGGCGCGCCCUAGGGGGGGCGAGCCCCCCACCCUCAUGGAAAGGGUGUGGGCCCCCUGGUCUUCAUCUUUGGCGAGGAGUUUUCAUUAUUUAUUAUAAGGUAUUCCCUGGAGUUUCAGGACUUUUGGAGUUGUGCAGAAUAGGUCUCUAAUAUUUGCUCCUUUUCCAGCCCAGAAUUCCAGCUACCGACAUUCUCCCUCCUUUAUGUAAACCUUAUAAAAUAAGAGAGAAUAGCCAUAAGUAUUGUGACAUAAUAUGAAAUAACAGCCCAUAAUGCAAUAAAUAUCGAUAUAAAAGCAUGAUGCAAAAUGGACGUAUCAGCUGCCACGGGAGGGUAGGACAAAAGAUGUUAUGCAAGUUCUUUUCCAUAAGCAUUUAUGACUAUAUUCGGAAUACAUGCCUACAUUACAUUGAUGAACUGGAGCUACUUAUGUGUCACCCUAUGUUAUAACUGUUGCAUGAUUGAUCGCAUCCGACAUAAUUAUUCAUCAGUGAUCCAAUGCCUACGAGCUUUUCAUAUAUUUUUCUUCGCUUAUCUACUUUUCCAUUGCUACUGUUACAAUCACUAUAAAACCAAAACUGCUACCAUUACUUUUACCACUGUUACCGCUACUAUCAUAUUACUUUGCCACUAAAUACCUUGCUGUAGAUAUUAAGUUAUCCAGUUGUGGUUGAAUUGACAAUUCAGCUGCUAAUACUUGAGAAUAUUCUUUGGCUCCCCUUAUGUCAAAUCAAUAAAUUUGGGUUGAAUACUCUACCCUCGAAAACUGUUGCGAUCCCCUAUACUUGUAGGUUAUUAGGCAGCAGCCUCAACCUGCUUUACCAGGAUACAGUGCACAAAAUGGGCAUCGACCCAUCAAGGAUCAAGCCCACCAACACCACCUUUAAAGGAGUUAUACCAGGUGCAGAGGCCUGUUGCUCAGGCUCAAUCACAUUGGUGGUCAUCUUCGGAUCUCCGGACAACUUUUGAAGCGAGGAGUUAAUCUUCGAUAUCGUCCCCUUCCGCAGUGGCUAUGACGCACUGCUCGGACGAACUGCGUUUUCCCGAUUCAAUGCGGUGCCGCACUAUGCUUACCUCAAGCUCAAGAUGCCCGGACCCCGCGGUGUCAUAACAGUCAAUGGAAAUACGGAGCGCUCCCUCUAUAUCGACGAGCACACCACUUCCCUGGCAGCAGAAGUACAGAGUGCCCUCCGCAAACAGAACCUUAAUUCGGCAGCCAUACUCCCGGACACUAUCAAACGAGUCCGGACUACCAUGCACCAGGACAGCCCAGCUUGUCAAGAGCUCAACUAGCAAUUCGGCCUCCGUCCCAGACCACACCAAGUGGCGGCGUUCGUGUUGCGCGUACAUAACUACGCACUCAAAAUACCGUGGGCAUAUAGACGGAGGCAUAACCAGAUUGUGAUCCACAAUAAGGCUCGGCCUCCCCUGGACACACAUACUUUCACUUUUCCUUUUUUCCUCCUCGGGUUUCCUUUCCGCAGGUCCCCCUCGCUGGCCUCAUAAUCGGUCCUUUCGAAGAAUGGGCACACCAAGGUGGCAAGUAGCACAGACGUGCGGGGGAAUCUCUAGAUGUCCCUCUUGGCAAUCACUCUACCUGUUUUCAGGACCCGUACGCAGCUCCUCCUUGGUCUUGUCAUGUCAAAUAGCCACUGUUUCUUCUCACACUUUUUUUGUUCACAUACACUUUGACGUAUUAGUUAAAAUUAUAAUGGAAAUAGUUUGCGGCCCGACAUAUGUGGCAUUCUUCUUCUUUAUUUUUAUUUUUGCUAUUUUAAUUUUCAUCCGUAUUCCUUGGUACACCGUAAUCUGCCAGGGGCUUUAUUGCGCCCCACACUAUGGCAACAAGUCCGAACACUUUUACAGUAUAGUUCAGCACCCCGAGUUUAGCAUUAUAUGCAUUGGCUCCGAAUCAUGUCUUUGGGCAAUAGUUGGGUUUCCCAGCUCCUGUGCUUUCUACCUUACUUUCUGCUAUAUCAGCUAGGGUAGUAAAGGGAGAACUACUGCGAUUGUGUUCCGGCUUAUCCGUAUGAGCACCUCAGUAGAGAAAGCCGAAAACUGACUGUCAUGAUGCGGCGUGAGCUGGUCAACUCUUCAGAGGUUUCAAAUCUUUAGCGAUUUUUCCCGCAUUACACGACGAAUCGGUUCUCAUCCGAUCAGGUGUUUACAACACCCUAGUCUGGACACUAGGGGCUACGCCUAUAUUUUAAUUGUCAAACUCCUAUGGCUAAGUGAGGGUAAUAAAGCCACAUAGUCCGAUUGCCUGGUUUGUUGCGCUAAACACCUCCUUUAAGGACCAAACUCUUGGAUAAAGCGUGUUUAGAUUCAUCCCGAACACCCCCGUACUACCUACGUGGGGGCUGAAGCCGACGACUGGCCAACUCUCAGAUUUGAUAAAAAUGGCCGCACAGGAGGUAAAUUUUUUUAAAAACAGCAAAGCAUUAUAUUACAUAUCAAGCCUUGUUUUUAUCAUAUAGGGCGGGAUUACAUGAAUGUAUUCAUUCGAAAAUUAUGCCCUUAGCACAUUGCUCCGCCACAAUGCGGGAUACCUUCAGAACAUCUUAAAAAUACCGCUCGGGCAUGCGGUGCUCCUUGCCCGCAGGCGGUCCUUCGGUCGCGAGCUUGACGGCAUCCAUCUUCGCCCAUUGUAUCUUGACGCGGACGAAGGCCAUCCGCGCACCUUCUAUGCAGACCGACCACUUGAUGGCAUCAAGCCGCGGGCAGGCAUUGACCAGCCACUUCAUGAGGCCGAAGUAGCUGCCGAGUAUAGCUUCUGCAAGCCACAACCGGAUUAUUAAAUCCUUCAUGGCUAGUUCGGCCACCCUAUGCAGCUCGACCAACUGUUUUAGCUGGUCGCUAAAGGGCACCUGAUGUUCUGGUGCAAGGUAUUGCGACCAGAACAGCUUCUCUGUUGAGCUCCCCCCUUUGGCCCAGAAGAAUGCCACAACGUCAGAAACACCACGCGACAAAUCCGCAAAUGCCCCUAGAGAACUCCAAAUCCGAGUCAAUAAGAGAUACCUCGGGCUCACAUACUUGCUUUGCAUAAUGAAAGCCUUACCUGCCAUGAUCUUCUUGGCCUCCUGGAUCUCCAGGAGGGCGCCUUGGGCUUCGGCUCGGGCCUCUUGUGCACUUUGGCGGGCCUUAGAGAGUUCGGACUCUUGGUCCGCAUUCUGGCGCUCCAAGGACUCGCAUUUCUUCACUGCGUCCUGGAGCUCCUGCUGGACCUCGCCAACCCUGGCCUCAUGCUUUUCUCGGGUGGCCUUUUCAUUUACCGCUCUCUCCUCAGCCUUGGCCAGCGCCUUUUUGAGGGCUUCUACCUCAGUCGCCGCCCCUAAUAAAUGGCAUGGCACUGUGAUCAGCUUACAUUAUUCGCCCCUUCCGGACAUACACAAUUUCAUUGCAUACCUUGGGUAUUCUCCAGCUGGUUUCUCGCACGGCCGAUCUCAUCCUCGGUCCGUUCCAGCUUCUGCUUCAGUCCGGAGACUUCGGCAGCAUGAGAAGUCGCGGCCAGCACCGACGCCUGCUUAUUCACAAAGACAUGUAUGAUUAGUUUCCUAUGAAUAGCUAUUUGAUCCUCUGUUCGGCUUUUCUUUCCGAACAUCGGACAAAGUCUCGGGGGCUACUGUCUAUAAUGUAACUUUCUUUUCACAUAAAUGUAGCGCUUACCUCAAAGCCUAUUAGAAGGCUCGCACAGGCUUCGGUCAGUCCGCUCUUCAUGGACCGAAUCUUCUCAAUCACCGCACCCAUGAGGGCACGGUGUUCCUAAACGAUGGAAGCGCUUCGCAGCGCCUCCAGUAGAGUAUCCAGCGCCUCUAGUUGGACAGAGGUCACUGAUACGUCCAUUUUGCAUCAUGCUUUUAUAUCGAUAUUUAUUGCAUUAUGGGAUGUUAUUACACAUUAUGUCACAAUACUUAUGCCUAUUCUCUCUUAUUUUACAAGGUUUACAUAAAGAGGGAGAAUGUCGGCAGCUGGGAUUCUGGGCUGGAAAAGGAGCAAAUAUUAGAGACCUAUUCUGCACAGCUCCAAAAGUCCUGAAACUUCACGGAAGUCAUUUUCAGACUAUAUAAAAAUACUAAGCGCAAGAAGUUCCAGAGGGGGGCCACACCCUGGCCACGAGGGUGAGGGGCGCGCCCUACCCCCCUGGGCACGCGCCCCUGCCUCGUGGGCCCCUUGGUGGCCCUCCAAUGCCCAUCUUCUUCUAUAUGGAGUCUUUCGAUGAGAAAAAAAUCAUAAGCAAGCUUUCGGGACGAGACUCCGCCGCCACGAGGCAGAACCAAUCUGGGGCUCUGGCGGAGCUGUUCUGCCGGGGACACUUCCCUCUGGGAGGGGGAAAAUCAUCGCCAUCGUCAUCACCAACGAUCUUCUCAUCAGGAGGGGGUCAAUCUCCAUCAACAUCUUCACCAGCACCAUAUCCUCUCAAACCCUAGUUCAUUUCUUGUAUCCAAUUCUUGUCUCUAAGCCUGGGAUUGGUACAUGUGGGUUGCUAGUAGUGUUGAUUACUCCUUGUAGUUGAUGCUAGUUGGUUUAUUUGGUGGAAGAUCAUAUGUUCAGAUCCUACAUGCAUAUUAAUACCCCUCUGAUUAUGAACAUGAAUAUGCUUUGUGAGUAGUUACGUUUGUUCCUGAGGACAUGGGAGAAGUCUUGCUAUUAGUAGUCAUGUGCAUUUGGUAUUCGUUCGAUAUUUUGAUGAGAUGUAUGUUGUCUCUCCUCUAGUGGUGUUAUGUGAACGUCGACUACAUGACACUUCACCAUUAUUUGGGCCUAGAGGAAGGCAUUGGGAAGUAAUAAGUAGAUGAUGGGUUGCUAGAGUGACAGAAGCUUAAACCCUAGUUUAUGCGUUGCUUCGUAAGGGGAUGAUUUGGAUCCACAUGUUUCAUGCUAUGGUGAGGUUUACCUUAAUACUUUUGUUGUAGUUGCAGAUGCUUGCAAUAGGGGUUAAUGAUAAGUGGGAUGCUUGUCCAAGUAAGGAUAGCACCCAAGCACCGGUCCACCCACAUAUCAGAUUAUCAAAUUACCGAACGUGAAUCAUAUGAUCGUGAUGAAACCUAGCUUGAUGAUAAUUCCCAUGUGUCCUCGGGAGCGCUUUCUAUAUAAGAAUUUGUCCAGGCUUGUCCUUUGCUACAAAAAGGAUUGGGCCACCUUGCUGCACUUUAUUUACUUUUGUUACUUGUUGCUCGUUACAAAUUAUCUUAUCACAAAACUAUCUGUUACCUAUAAUUCCAGUGCUUGCAGAGAAUACCUUGCCGAAAACCGCUUAUCAUUUCCUUCUGCUCCUCAUUGGGUUCGACACUCUUACUUAUCGAAAGGACUACGAUAGAUCCCCUAUACUUGUGGGUCAUCAGUCACGGUGGAAUGGGCACACCUCCUUCCAAUGAAGGAGGCUACUGGCCGGAUUCCGGAGUCAUAUAGGUCUCUGGGACCGCAUCCGGCUGGGGGCCGUAUUGGACAUAGCCCCCACCACCAGUCUCCAUGGGGAUCUGCUCCCCCAUGUGUUCGGCGGCCAAUGUCUCACCCUCUGGCGUUGUCUUGACGACCUUCUGUGUCUCUCCCUGGCCAGGGGUCCUUCGGGACAACACCUCGAUAUCAUCUGUAUCCUUGGGGGAGGAGGCCAUUGGAAGGGACCCGCUGUCCAUCACCUUCGGAUCCAGCGAGUUCCCUGUAGACGAGGAUCGCUCGAGGGCGGAACGAGCCAGACUGCAAAUGCACGAUUCAACAUGUUAGAAGUAUGAGGUGAAAGAGGAGGAUGUAUGAAUACUUCAGGGUCUUCAGAUACUUACAAUUCAGCCAGGGGCUUGUUUCGAGGGCGCCGCUCUGGGCUGCUAUCGACGUCCCACACGGAGCUAUCCGCGAGGGAAGCCUUUCCCUUCUUGGACGCCUCUGCCUCUAGAUCUGUGCAGGCCACCCUCUUCUUCCCCCCCCCCCCCUCGGGGAGGGGGAAAUUGCUUUCUUCCUCCUCUUCCUCCUCCUCGCCCUCUUCGGCGACGGAGUGAGUUUCGGCAUCUUCGGAUGCCGCGUCCGAAGUACCCUUGGGACGGAGGCCUCCUCUAGUCCCCUUGGCCUUCUUAUUGGCCUUCUUCUCCGGCGCCUUGUACGGCGCCGCAACUAGCAUCUUCGUCAGACGCGGGCAGCGGAGCCGGACACUGAAUACUCGGGCAGCGGAGCCGGACACUGAAUCUGCUCCGCCUUCUUCGUCCAAGCCUGAAAGAACAAAUGGGAAAGUUUAUACACCCUCCUCGAAUAAGCAGGUAAGGAAUACACCUUGAAAUAACGGAAAACUUACCGAACUGGCGGGAUGAGCCAGGUCAUGCCCACGAUCCUCGGUGGUCUUCGGCCAUGUCUAGUUGGCCUUGAAGAGCACCUUCCAGAUAUCUUCGUGUGUAGUUCCAAAGAACCGUUGUAGGGUCUUGUGCUCGACUGGAUCGAACUCCCAUAGGUGGCAAGCCCGGCUCUGGCAUGGAAGGAUCCUCCGGACUAGCAUCACUUGAAUCACAUCGACAAGCUUGACGUUCUUGUCCAUCAUGCUCCUGAUGCGCGUCUGGAGCGCUGUCAGCUCGUCCGACGAAGACCAAUCCAGGCCCUUCUCCUGCUAGGAGGCUAGGCGCAUUGGGGCCCCGGAUUUGAAUUCGGGAGCCACGGCCCAGGUGGUGUCGCGGGGCUCUGUGAUGUAAAACCACAAUUUUUGCCACCCUUUGAUGGUCUCCAUGAAGGUGCCUUUGGGCCACGGGACAUUGGACAUCUAUCUCACCAUGGCACCUCCGCAGUCCGCGUGCUCGCCGCCCACCACCUUCGGUUUCACAUUGAAGGUCUUCAGCCACAGUCCAAAGAGGGGGGCGGAGGAAAGUGUCGGUGUCAAAACCGGCGGAUCUCAGGUAGGGGGUCCCGAACUGUGCGUCUAGGCCGGAUGGUAACAGGAGACAAGGGACACAAUGUUUUACCCAGGUUCGGGCCCUCUUGAUGGAGGUAAAACCCUACGUCCUGCUUGAUUAAUAUUGAUGAUAUGGGUAGUACAAGAAUAGAUCUACCACGAGAUCAAGGAGGCUAAACCCUAAAAGCUAGCCUAUGGUAUGAUUGUUGUAUGAUGAAGUUGUCCUACGGACUAAAACCCUCCGGUUUAUAUAGACACCGGAGAGGGUUAGGGUUACACAAAGUCGGUUACAAUGGUAGGAGAUCUUCAAUAUCCGCAUCGCAAAGCUUGCCUUCCAUGCCAAGGAAAGUCCCAUCCGGACACGGGACGGAGUCUUCAAUCUUGUAUCUUCAUAGUCCUGGAGUCCGGCUGAAGGUAUAGUCCGGCUACCCAAACAACCCUAAUCCAGGACUCCCUCAGUAGCCCUUGAACCAGGCUUCAAUGACGACGAGUCCGGCGCGCAAAUUGUCUUCGACAUUGCAAGGCGGGUUCCUCCUCCAAAUUCUUCAUAAAAGUUUGUAAACACCAAGAGUAGUGUCCGGCUCUGCAAAAUAAGUUUCCACGUAUUGCCAUAGAGAGAAUAAUAUUAACACAAAUCUAAUCUGCUGACGUAUUCCGCAGCGUGACAUCACACUACAGCCAAGCCUUUAUUCGAAUCAUUUUCACUUUUCCUUGGCACGUCUUGUCAAAGCAGAGAUCGUGUCCCCUUUGUUUAUGGUAUUCUCGUUAAUACAGACGUGGGUAACCCAACCGCGCCACUUAUCACGGCGCUUGGGAGGCAAGCGAAUUUUACUAGGCUGGUGGGGACGCAUAGUCGCAUCCGCCCAUAUAAGGGGAUAAGGAUCCACCUUUUUACCUACGCCUUCUUCCUCCUUUGCCCAUCCAUCUUCUGCGCACCCGAGCUCCAGCGCCCAAGCCCGCACUUCCUACCUCAACCCUCUCCAACAAUGUCCGGAGCGGGAGGCAAGUGGAUGGUCUCCUCCGUCGCGGAGGGCCAUGUCAAAAGGUUAAGGAUGGCUGGACACUUGUCCAAAGACAUCGCGCACCGGCUUCCCAAAGAGGGGCAGCUUCUCCCCACCCCAAGGCCCCAUGAGAGGGUAGUAUUUCUUCCCCACUUCCUCCGCAGACUGGGUUUUCCUCUCCACCCAUUCGUCCGUGGGCUCAUGUUCUACUAUGGCCUAGAUUUCCACGAUCUGGACCUGAACUUCAUCCUCAAUAUCUCGGCGUUUAUCGUCGUGUGCGAGGCUUUCCUCUGCAUCCGCCCCCAUUUCGGCCUCUGGCUCAAGACCUUCAACGUCAAGCCAAAGGUGGUGCGCGGCAACCAGGCGGAGUGCGGAGGUGCCAAGGCAGGCAAAAUAGCCAAUGUCCUAUGGCUCGAGGGCUCCUUUGUGGAGACCUUGAAGGGGUGGCAGUCAGGGUGGUUUUACAUCAUCGAGCCACGCGAUCCGAAGUGGAUCGCAGCCCCUAAAUUCCGAUCCGGACCCCCUACGCGGCUCACGUCCUGGAAGGAGACGUGCUUGUCGUGGGAUGAUGAAGAAGAGGUGACCGGACUGCAAAAAUGCAUUUAGUCCCUGGUGAACAAGCAGCUCAAGCUUGUCAACGUAGUCCAGGUCAUGCUCGUCCGCCGGAUACUUCCGUGUCAAGGACGGGACUUCAAUUUGUGGGAGUUCGACCCGGCGCAGCACCGAACUCUAAGCAGGCUCUUCGACACGACGUACGAAGAUGUCUGGAAGGGGCUAACCAAAGGCGCCGAGGCUCCAAGAUCCGCCUCCGAAGACCGUGGAUUCAGCUCGCAGCGUCCUGCUGGCGAGGUAAGAUAUUUCCAUCUUUUAUAGGAUGUUAAGUUUUUUCAUAGUUUGACUCUAUGCGGGAUCUAAACUCCCUCACCUUUGACAGGAUUGGCGGGAGAAGUCCGGACAGAUUAACUGUCCAGCUCCCUUGCCCGAAGACCCAGCCCCUGCUCUCCUAGAGAAGCUGCUGGUUCCAGCACCUUAUGUGGUGCCGGAGAAGAAGGCCAAGAAGAAGAAGGCCACGGGGACUCGAAAGAGUUCCCGGCAUAUGGUGGUGUCGGACUCGUCGUCCGACGAGUCCGAGACGCGCUCCUCCCGUGAAGACGAGGAGGAGGAAGAAGAAACCUCUCCCCCUCCAGCGGGGGGAGGAAAGAAGAGGAAGGCCGCCCCAGCAGGGGAGGCCGAGGGGUCCAAGAAGAGGAAAACCCCUCCGCCGGACUACGCCCCCGACGCCGACGAGGACGAAGGGGAGUGGCCAGACAGGGCCAAGCGUCCGGCGAAAUCGUAAGUGUUUGGAUACCAGAGUAACUCAUGAUAUUCCUUUUGUUGCACAGGUUUCCCUAAUGUCGAAUAUAAUCGUGCAGCCCGCCCAAGGAUGGGCUCGACGAGUCAUCGAGCGGCUCCCUGGAUUCAUCGGACGUGAAUUCAGUUCUGCCCGCUGCCUCCCCCUGUGCUGUGGAUGACGCCGAAGUGGCAUCGCGACAAGCUCCGGGGCAAGAGGAGGUGGUCCGCGAGGAUCCGUGAGGCGACCUCCCGGACUCCAGGAGUGAAGGGGACAAGACCCCCCCUGGGCUCCAAGUCCGGCUUUAAGCCGGACACCGCGCCGGAAUCAUCAACGGUUCCGGACCGCGGUAGGCGAACUCCUGCCAAGAGGAGCAACUGAGGUGGUGACCCUCCGUCCUCCGUCCAACUGGAGGUGCCGGACAAUCUGUUGGAGGAGCUUAAGGGCACCUCCAUCGACGAGGAGCACCGUGCCAUCAUGAGUACGGUGGUCCAGAAGGUUCGGUCCGCCAAAAGCGGACUGACUGAAGCUUGUGCUAGCCUUCUAACAGGCUUCGAGGUAAGUAAAAAUAUGUAAAAAAUAUUACCGUAUAGACAGUAGCCCCUGAUGCUCUGUUUGGCGUUCGGAAAGAAAAGUUGAAUAGAGGAUCUAUUAAAUAUCGCAGGAGUCUAACUAAAAAAGAGUCAAUAUACGUAUGCAGGCUUUGCUACUGGCCACCGCUGCACUGACUGCGGAGGUGGGUGCCCUGAAGCAGGGCCUCGAGCGGACCGAGCAAGAGCUCGGCCUUGCCAAACAGCAGCUCGAGGAGAAAGAAGGUAAGAGAUACCUUAUAGAAAAAAUGCCUAUAGGAAUGCGCAAUUGCAAAAAAUGACAGGAGUAUACUGCUUAUUGUAGGGGCCACAACUGAGGUGGUGACCCUCAAGCAGGCGCUGUCCGAGGCCGAGAAGAAAGCGGCCACGGAGCGCACCGAGCGAGAGAAAUUUGAGGCGCAGGUCGGCGAGGUGCGGCAAGACCUUCAGGCUCUCGUGCAAAAACAUGAGACUCUGGAGCUCGACUCGAAGACGCGAGCGUCCGAGCUUGCUGCGGCCCUGAAAAUUGCCAAAUCUGCCAAGGCCGAAGCCCAGAAGGCCCUCCAGGAAUUGGAUGCGGUGAAAAAGAUAGUGGCGGGUAAGGCAUUCUAUAUGCAAAGCAGACAUAUAAAAGUAAACUACUUGUUACUUACCCGAAUCCGAAGCUCUCCAGGGGCAUUCGCAGAUCUUCCCCGCAGCGUAUCCGAUGCCACCGCAUUCUACCGAGCCGAGGAAGGCAGCUCGACGGAGAAGGUGUUCUGGUCUCAGUACGCUGAUGUCACGACCGCCUUUCCAAUAAAACAUUUAUUGAAAAGCCGAUCUUUGUAUUAACCAGUAUAGAAGAAUUCUUCUUACUGGCAGACAAAACCUUGAUAUAGAAAUCUAGCAGUACUAAUAUUAUACAUGGUUGAUCUGAGGAUGCUCAACAAAUUAUUACAAGCACGCCUAUAUUAUACAUAGAGGCGGAUAUGACACAAGGGUAUGGUGGCAUAACUACUGUCUCGUAAUAGAGGUGGUGGUGGAUAUGUCACACUGAGGUGGGUGACAUGACUCUGAAAUCUUACAGCUCAUCAAGCGUCGGAGUGAGGCUUGAUGAUUUUUAUUUGGGUGGCGGAAGCGUGUAUGAUACAAGUGAACAACUCCAGGGUCGAACGUGACUGGCUGGGACUCCUCUAGGCGUCAGACUUGCUAUCGAACUCUUCAUCCAUAAGAUCGUCUUCGUCAACAUCUGGCCAAAUCAACAAGCCAGGUGAGUACUUUGAAUGUACUCGCUAGACAGUUCGGACAUAAGAUAUAACAAAUGUAAACAUGAUGCACAUGAGCAGGUUAGUAUGUACAAUUAAAUAAUAGAAUUGCACUGCACGAUAAAUAAGGGGAAAUCAGGCGGUAGUCCUCCCGAAAUCCCAGUAAAAAUAACUGAAGACCGAUCGGGUGUCUGAAGCGACGCCUCAAAAGGUAAAAUAAAAUUAACAUGCCGCAGUCGGGCGUCGAGGCGACACCACAUAAAGGGCUUAUAUUGAAAAGUAAAUAACAGAACGUGCCAUAGUCGGGCGUCUAGGCGACACCUCGGAAAGGGCUUAUAAUGAAAAUAAAUAACAAUGGUGCCACAGUCGGACGUCUGAGCGACAUCGCAUAAAGGGCUUAUAUCAAAAGUAAAUAACAAUGAUGCCACAGUCGAACGUCUGAGCGACAUCGCAUAAAGGGCUUAUAUCAAAAGUAAAUAACAGUGAUGCCACAGUCGGACGUCUGAGCGACAUCACAUAAAGAGCUUAUAUCAAAAGUAAAUAACAGUGAUGCCACAGUCGGACGUCUGAGCGACAUCACAUAAAGGGCUUAUAUUUUAUCAUUCGAAUUUAAGCAGCUCAUGAAUUCAGAUCAUCACAAGGAAAUACUUAGCUUAUGAUAAUAAACUGGUUAGUCCAUUCACAUGAAUAACCUUCAACCGAGUUUACCACUCUCGGUUGUAUGUUUAUACUCCGGAGACUGUCACCGGGGUUGACACUGAGAUUUGACACUGAGACUGACACUGACACUGAGAUGAUGUCCAAGUCCUUGAUCGUGGACAUGGAUACUCGAAUGAUUUUUGACUCUGCAGAGUUUGUACUCUUUAACCACAGCCAACGGAUUUCAGUAGUCACAAGGACUAGUUCCGUUUACAGUGUUUUAGAAGAAACACGUCUAACCAGUACACACCCAUUCCGCCUUUCGUUGCCAAGAAUCACCCUCAGCAACGUUCAAGAAAAACCUUAAGACGAGGAGGCCACAACCUUGAAUAGCAUGGGAUCAAAUUUAUAUCGCGCGCUCUAAGGGUUGCCCCCCUCUUGGUCCCAACCGGAAACACCCAUGCCCCCUGACCGGAUGACUGGCUUUAAUCCAGGGCCAUGGAACCCUCAUCGCAGCCCCUCUGUUUUGUGUGUACCAGGAAAGAGGUUUGCAACUUACUAAACCGCACUCUUUGCAGAAAACAUGUGGCGGCACGAAGGGGAGACGAACGGGAUUGAGACUUGACCCACGUUGAAACUGGAGUUCAUGGUUGACAUAGAACUGGCAUGCUUCAACACUACCAGCCUGCAACACAUCAUGUCACCACAUGAUCGUGUUAACUUAUCAUCAUAAGAACACAUCAACUUCGAAGCCCACCGGUAGCUUGCCUUGCAUGCAUAUGACAUUCACAAAUGCUUAUAUAAACAUGCCAUGAGAACACUAAUCGAGCAAACAUGCAAAACACUCAUCAUAUCAAAGGUUCAAACAUGCUUGCCUGGUUCGGAGAAGUCGGAGUCUAGCUCGGCGAAGUACGCGUCUCCUUUACUCCUCCCGGUAUCUACGUAUUUAAAGAAAAACCGGAUACUACAUAAAUACCGUGCGUGCACAAAAAUUAUCCCAAAUAUUUUUCAAAUAAAUAUGAAAAAAACUAGACAGAAAUACAAAGAUGAUAGAAAAGGUUUCAAGUUAAAAUCAUCUUUUGUUUAAAAGUUAUAAGAGUUUUGGUCCAGGGACCUUUCUGUAAUGAAACAGAAAGUUUCCAGGGUUUUCUUUGUAAAAACAGAAAACGUUUCAGUUAAGAACACGCCAGCCCAGAGGGGAAGACGUAUUUUGCCCAAAGGCGUUUUUAGAAAACGAUUCGAAAAAGAGAAAAAGUCGAUGGGGAGGUCCCACCCGUCAGGUUUGAAUGUUUGAAAGAGGGAAACAGAGUGCGCCGGCGCCCGAAGCUUGCGGUGGUCGCCGGCGGCGAUCCACUGUGAGUUAGGGGGAGGUGAAGGUACCUACGUGAUCAGCGUGCCCUCCCGCGUCUAUGGGUGGUGGAGGUGGUUGUCGGCGAGCACCACGUCGACGGUGGCCUCUACUCCGGCGGAUGGCGGCUCGAGUGAUGUUGGAUCUCGUCGGGGAAGGCUGCAAGGGCCAAAUUGAGGCGCGGGUUAGGUGACUGGGUGCCUUAGGAGGUUACGGGCAGGGUUAGGGAGGUGGGGGAGCCCUCACUGGCGUGGAUCGUGCCGGAGCCCGAAGCGGACAGAGGCGACCGGAGACAGAUAAGGAGACCUCCUCGGGGUCCUUCUGUCGGCUUGGAGAUGCUCUGGUGAAGUGGAGUGACUGGCGCUGGUUGAAGGCGAGCUCGGGGUGGCUAUUUAUAGCCGGCCCGAGGCGGUGCCUGAGAACGGGAUAACGCCGACGUCGAUUACGGCGAGUCGGUGACCGGACGGGUGGAUUAGGUGGCUGGGCAUCAGCGUGGAGGUAUACUGGUUCCACUCACACGCUAACCUUGAUGGGAUUAGGCCUGCUCCGUGGUCUCGACGGAACGGCGCUCCACGGACCGGUCGACGGCAGAGAGCGCGCCUUGAGCACGCUAGGCCACGGCGACGGUGCCGCGGUGCAUGCAGGGGUGCAGACGGCCAUGCGGAGGCCUCGGGUGGUUUGGGCGGUGCCGGACGGCGCCGAAAGCUCCUGCUGCGCCCUGUCGGCCGCCACUGGUGGCCCUGCCACCGCAGAGGUUGCCGGUGUCGGCGAGGCACGCUGCCACCGACACCUGCACCCGUCCAAGAGAGCAUGCGGCACUCUGGAUAAGGAGGAGGAGCAGUGCACAAGGCGCCAAGCGUGCACUGGUGAGAUCGAUGCCAAGUCGCUGAAGAAAACGACACUGAUGACCGACUGAAUACUGAAGAAAUCUGAAUUUUACUGAAACUGAACAGCAACAGUGCCUGCCAGGUGUUUGAUGGAAUGAUUUUGGCAUGUGCAAAAUUUUUCCUUGAGCUUAUCUUUGGUGGGAUGGCCUCUCAGUGCACCUGGGGGCUGCCUGAUUUUUGUUAGAAUUUUUGGGGAAAGAAAAAUAUGAAUUUCACCAAAAAUGAUGAAUCUGGUCCAAACUUGCAGUGGGCAAAUUUUGAAAUAUUUGAACUGUGGAAGAGUGGAUCUUUAUGGAUCUAGGUUGGGGGUGCUAAGGACUAGCCAGAGGAGUUGGUUUGAGAUCAAAACUCACAAGAAAAAAGGUACUUCCUUUGUAAAUCACCUAGGUCCAAAAAUAACAACAGAAAUAGUUUUAGGGUUAAAAUAAAUGAAAUAAAAAUCCAAAAUGGGUUGAACUUGCUAGGAUUGGCUACUUGACUUGACCCAAAGUGGACGGAGAGGUUAUGGAGGGCAGAUGUCAAAAUGAGACAUGGUAAAAGAGGGUAAAAUUUUGAAAUGAGAGGAGGAUAAACCCAAAAUCCUUAGGGUUUUCCUUUUAGUAGAAAGAUUUAAAAAUAAAAAUUUCGUAGAAACCAGAUGAAGUGAAGAGCUCUCAAGACCAAAGGUCCAAGUUGAGAAGAGUACCAAACAUUUGUCAUAAAAGUUUUGAGAGGGAGAGGUUUAAGAAAAAAAUUUAAAUGGCUUCCAAAAAUUUUAAAUAGUCUCCUCCAAAUCAAAUAAAGUUUUUGAUAAAAACCAAAUAAAAUUUUUUGGAGUGUCACAACACCUACCCCCUUAAGAAAAAUCUCGUCCCCGAGAUUUUAGCUGAUCCUCAAAUAGGUGUGGGUAUUUUGCCCGGAGAGAGUCCUCUCUUUCCCAUGUCACUUCAUCCUUGGUGUGAUUGCUCCACUGAACCUUGAAGAACUUAAUUGUUUUCUGAUGGGUCCUCCUUUCAGACUCCUCUAAGGAUUUUAUUGGUCGUUCCCUAUAGGUGAGGUCUGGUUGCACGUCAAUGUCUUCAUGAGAUACCUGCUUCUCUGUGUUGCUUACACAUUUCUUCAACUGUGAGACGUGGAAUACGUCGUGGACGUCUGACAGCUCCUUGGGUAGGUCUAGCUGGUAGGAUACGGUGCCUCUCCAUGCAACCACGCAGAAGGGCUUCAUAGUUCGGCUGUGGCUUGGAGAAGCCCUGCCUGGGAGCUACUUCGGACUGGUGCGGCGGCUGGUGGAGGCUUGUCCAAGGCUCGAGGUCAUCAAGCGCUCCGUCUGCAUCGAAGGUGCCCGUAGGGCCCUUGCCCAUGCAAAGGUGCACUGGGGUAAACUGGACGGUGAGAAGCUUGUGAAGGACGGGCCGCCACCGGGGAAGGAGCAUCGCAAGCCCGAGAACUAUUACAAGGAUGUUCUUACUGGUGCCCGCCUUGUGGCGGAUGAAUGUACCAAGGAUGUAAUUUUUGAAUGAACUCGCUCGUGUUAUCCUGUGCGCUGAAAACUUGUUCAUAUGCGCUAAGCAAUGAUUGGAUUUAAAAUAUUACUUUCUGUGCGGCCGUUUAUCAAAAAAUUGAGAGAUGGCCAGUCGUCGGCUUCUGCCCUCAUGCCACUAGUGCUGGGGUGUUCGGGAUAAACCUGAGCGCUCUUUUUCCCAUGAUUGGGUCCAUCGAGGGAGGCGGUCAGCACAACGAACAAGGCAAUCGGACUAUAAUGCUUGAACACUCUCACUUAGCCAUAGAACUCUAUAAUUUUAAAUUUCGGCGAAGCCCCUAGUAUUCAGAAGACCGAGUUCGGGGCGCUAUCCACGCCUUGGCCGGACAAAGCCGGUUCCUCGCUCGAAGCGGCAUAAGCCUUUAAGGACUCGAAAAACCUCUCGAACAGCGACCGGUCUCUCGCCUCAUCAUGACAGUCAGUUUUAGCUUUCUCCACUGAGGUGCUCGGCCCAGCUCAACUGGGGCACAAUCGCAGUGGUUCUCCUAGUGCUACCUUAGCCGAUAUAGCGGAACGUAAGGCACCAAAACAUAGGAGCCAGGCAAACCCAACUAUUAACCCAAAUCAUGAUUCAGAGCUGAUGCAUAUAGUGCUAUAAGUUCGGGGUGCCACACUUGUGAAAGUGGACGGACUUCUCAUGCCAUAUUGAUGGGUACUGAAGCCCCUGGCGUAUUUUGCCAUACCACAGUGUACGGAUGCAGCAUGUUAUUAAUAAACAUAUAUAUAAAAAGAGGGUAAUGCAAAAAAUAGACAAAAAGCUAUGCAUUGUCUAUAGAAAGGCUACUAUGAAAGCAGAACGAUACAAAUAGUGCGAUAAGCAAAAGAAAUUGGACUAUUUAACAUGUCCUGGCCAGGGGCAGGCCGCGGAAUUGUAUUAAAAAACAGGUAUACUGCUCGCAAUAGAGAUCACCUAGGAGUUCCAUAAUGCGGCGUGGCUUGUCUGCUUCCCUGGAUCUUGCAUCGUUUGUGCGGCAGUUGAAUUGCCGAACGGGUCGUCCGAAGUAUGGAGUCCUGAGAGUAAGAGAAAGAAAAGAAGGAAUCCGGCAGCCCCUGGUGCGGUUUAGGCCGUAUUUCGGGCGUGCCGUGAUAGUGCCCCUUCCCCUGUGCCCAUGGUAUUUCAAGAGCAUAGUUAUGUACACGAAGCACUGGUUUCGCAAUAUUGCGAGGGCUAGGGUUGGGGCCGCAUUGCUACGCUAGCUCGGAACGUGCCAGGCGGUCUUGUUGUAGGGUACUCCGAGCGCGCUUGACAGUGUCCGGCUUUUUGAAGGCCGACCUGGAGAACUGCCUAGAGAGGCUACUUUGUACUUCUGUUGCGAGUGCUGCUGUGUGCUCCUCCAUUCGGAGGGAGCGUUCAGUGUUCCCAUUGACCGUGAUUACUCCUCUAGGGCCUGGCAUCUUGAGCUUGAGGUAUGCAUAGUGCGGUACCGCAUUGAAUUUUGCGAAUCCGGUUCGCCCGAGCAGUGCGUGAUAGCCACUACGGAACUGGACUAUGUCGAAGAUUAACUCCUCACUUCGGAAGUUAUCCGGAGAUCUGAAGACCACUUCCAGUGUAACCGAGCCUGUAUAGUUGGCUUCUACACCUGGUAUGACGCCUUUAAAGGUCGUUUUGGUGGGCUUGAUCCUCGAGGGAUCUAUGCCCAUCUUUCGCACUGUAUCCUGGUAAAGCAGGUUCAGGCUGCUGCCGCCGUCCAUGAGGACUCUUGUGAGAUGAAAUCCGUCAAUAAUUGGGUCUAGAACCAAUGCGGCGAAGCCGCCGUGACGGAUGCUAGUGGGGUGGUCCCUUCGAUCAAAGGUGAUCGGGCAGGAGGACCAUGGGUUGAACUUUGGGGCGACCGGCUCCAUCGCAUAUACGUCCCAUAACGCACGCUUCCGCUCCCUCUUGGGGAUGUGGGUUGCGUAUAUCAUGUUCAUCGUCCGCACUUGCGAGGGAAAUCCCUUCUGUCCACUAUUGUUCGGCGGCCUGGGCUCCUCCUCGUCGUCGCUAUGCAGCCCCUUGCCUUUGUUUUCGGCUCUUAACUUGCCUGCCUGCUUGAACACCCAAUAGUCCCUGUUGGUGUGAUUGGCUGGCUUUUUGGGGGUGCCGUAUAUCUGGCACAAGCGGUCGAGUAUUCGGUCCAAACUGGACGGGCCCUGAGUUUUUCUUUUGAAUGGCUGUUUCCGUUGACCGGAUUUGUAGCCUCGGAAUCCGGCAUUAACUGACGUAUCCUCGUUGCUGUCACCGUUAACGCGGCGCUUUUGUUUGUUCCGACACGACCUGUUUUGUCCUUGGUAUUCGAAUUACCAGUGUUCUUGGUUAAGUUGUUACUGCGAGCUAGCCAGCUGUCUUCUCCCGCGCAAAAGCGGGUCAUGAGUGUCAUGAGGGCUGCCAUAGAUUUCGGCUUUUCUUGUCCCAGGUGCCGGGCCAGCCACUCAUCACGGAUAUUAUGCUUGAAGGCCGCUAAGGCCUCUGCGUCCGGAUAGUUGACUAUCUGGUUUUUCUUUGUUAGGAACCGUGUCCAGAAUUGCCUGGCCAAUUCUUCUGGCUGCUGAAUUAUGUGGCUUAGGUCAUCGGCGUCUGGUGGUCGCACAUAAGUGCCCUGGAAGUUGUCAAGGAAUGCGGCUUCCAGGUCCUCCCAAGAACCGAUUGAGUCUGCUGGCAAGCUGUUAAGCCAAUGCCGGGCCGGUCCCUUAAGUUUGAGUGGGAGGUAUUUGAUGGCGUGUAGAUCAUCACCGCGGGCCAUGUGGAUAUGAAGGAGAUAAUCCUCGAUCCAUACCGCAGGAUCUGUUGUGCCAUCGUACGAUUCGAUGUUUACGGGUUUGAAGCCCUCAGGGAUUUUAUGAUCCAUUACUUCAUCUGUGAAGCAUAGUGGGUGUGCGGCGCCUCUGUAUUGGGCUAUAUCACGACGCAGCUCGAAGGAGCUUUGUCUGUUGAGUUUGGCCCGGCCGGAUUCAUUGCGUCCGGAGUGACGAUCACCGUCACGUGCCAUGGGGCGCCUGCGCGAUCCAUAGAUCGAUCUUGUUUGCCAUGCCUUGUCCUCCAGUAUGUCGCACAGGUCGGGCGCAUUUUCCCGUGCCUUAGUAUGCUUGAUGCGGCGCCGGGGCAUGGUUUGAGUGGAGGGCCAAAAGGCCUCUCUGUCGUGGCCACGAGGUGGCCGGUCGGCCAUGUCAUGCACUGGUGAUGUAGGUGCUUCCUCCUCUAGUCGGGGGAGCAGCCUGCGCUUUGGGUAACUCUUGGAGGGGCGUUCGAGUUCAUACUCUUCGGUCGCGAGGACUUCAGUCCAUUUGUUAGCUAGCAAAUCCUGAUCAGCUCUAAGUUGUUGCCACUUUUUCUUGAGGCUGCUUGCCGUGGCCAUAAGCCUGCGUUUAAAACGCUCUUGUUCGGCGGGAUCCUCUGGCAUGACGAACUUAUCGUCGUCGAGGCUUGCCUCGUCUUCGGAGGGAGGUGUAUAAUUAUCGUCCUCAACCUCUUUAUCCGCCGCCCUCUCGUGAGGGCUGGCUUCUAUGUCAUCCUGUGCCGAAUUUUGCUGGAGGGGGUGUUCUUCGGCGCUAUCUGGAGUAGUAUUAUCUCCCGUGCCGGAAUCACCGUUUUUGCUUUGGCGGUAUUUAGAGCGGCCCCGCUGACGCCGGCGCUUGGGCUGUUUCUUAGAGGUAUCGUCCACUGCUGUUCCAUCGCCAUCUCCAUCCUUUGGAGUGUCCACCAUAUAUAUGUCAUAUGACGAGGUGGCCUUCCAACGCCCUACAGGUGCUGGUUCUUGUUCGUCUCCUGCAUCGUCGUCCAUGCCGUCGAUGUCUUCGGAGUCGAAGUCAAGCAUGUCGGUUAAGUCGUCGACAGUGGCUACGAAGUGGGUGGUGGGUGGGUUUUGAAUUUCUUCAUCGUCCGUAUCCCAACCUUGCUGAUCGUAGUCCGGCCAGGGCUCUCUUGAUAAAGAGAGAGACUUUAGAGAAUUCAGGAUGUUGCCGAAGGGCGAGUGCUGAAAGAUGUCCGCGGCGGUGAACUCCAUUAUCGGUGCCCAAUCGGAUUCGAUCGGCGGGGGCGCGGGGGGUUCGGAGUUCGGAGAGGAAUCCGGCUCCUCGGGGUCACGGGCCAUGCGGAGUGCGGGGCUGGAGUUCGGCUCGAUCACCUCUGAGAUCACAGCCCCUGAGGCAGCGUCCAACCGCUGAUCCUCGAUUGGUGCAGUAGGCUCCGAAUCAAUGGUCGGAACCGAUGCGUGUGCGGCCUUCAAAGCGCUGUUCGGCGGCAGAGCUAUAUCAUGCCCGUCGAGACAGUGUGGCGCGCUUGGUUGUGGCUCGAAUCCGUCGAAGAUCAAGUCCCCGCGGAUGUCAGUCGUGUAGUUUAGGCUUCCAAACCUGACCUGAUGGCCAGGGGCGUAGCUUUCGAUCUGCUCAAGGUGGCCAAGCGAGUUGGCCCGCAGUGCGAAGCCGCUGAAGACGAAGAUCUGUCCGGGGAGAAAAGUCUCACCCUGGACUACAUCCUUGUUGAUGAUCAAAGAAGCCAUCGGGCCUGAAAGCGACGACACAGAGGAACUCUCUAUGAAAGCACCAAUGUCGGUGUCAAAACCGGCGGAUCUCGGGUAGGGGGUCCCGAACUGUGCGUCUAGGCCGGAUGGUAAUAGGAGACAAGGGACACAAUGUUUUACCUAGGUUCCGGCCCUCUUGAUGGAGGUAAAACCCUACGUCCUGCUUGAUUAAUAUUGAUGAUAUGGGUAGUACAAGAGUAGAUCUACCACGAGAUCAAGGAGGCUAAACCCUAAAAGCUAGCCUAUGGUAUGAUUGUUGUAUGAUGAAGUUGUCCUACGAACUAAAACCCUCCGGUUUAUAUAGACACCGGAGAGGGUUAGGGUUACACAAAGUCGGUUACAAUGGUAGGAGAUCUUGAAUAUCUGCAUCGCCAAGCUUGCCUUCCACGCCAAGGAAAGUCCCAUCCGGACCGGGACGGAGUCUUCAAUCUUGUAUCUUCAUAGUCCUGGAGUCCGGCUGAAGGUAUAGUCCGGCUACCCGAACACCCACUAAUCCAGGACUCCCUCAGAAAGCCUCACACGCGACGAUGAACACCGAAAUAGUGAGGAAGGAUUUUGGGGCUAGAUCAUGGAAAUCUAGCCCGUAAUAGAACAUGAGUCUGCGGAUGAAAGGGUGGAGAGAAAACCCUAACCCACAGAUGAAAUGGGGGAUGAACACCACCCUCUCAUUGUGCUUUGGGGUGGGGACAAUUUUCCCCUUGGCCGGAAGCCGGUGGGCGAUUUCUUUCGCCAGGUACCCGACCUCCUGAAGAUCGGUGAUGUCCUUCUCCUUGACGGAGGAGGCCAUCCACUUGCCCUGCGCUCCAGAUCCAGACAUGGUCGAGUGCUUUCUUGAGGCGGAGAUGAUGAGGACUUGGGCACUAGAGCUCGAGAAUGGGAGGGCAGAGAGAGAAAGAAGGUGUGGGUGAAAGAAGGGAGUCCUUAUCUCCUUAUAAAGGCAGUGAAUAUCAAGCGCCUCCCCACUCACCUUAAAACUCGCCUAUUCCCAAGGGUUGUGCAAACGGCACAGUUGGAUUACCCAUGCUCGUAUUGAUGAGAAUCCAGUAAUAAGGGGACACGAUCUCUGCUUUGACAAGAUGUGCCAAUGAGACCGCAUCUCGAAGCGGCAGGCUGAAAAAAUGGUUCGAAAUAAUGACCGGGUAGUGACGUGGUGUCACGUUGUCAAAAAUUGUCAGCAAAUUGGACUCGUGAAAUAUUAUACUCUCUGCGGUGGUGUGUGAUGCUUGUUUUGCAGACCCGGACAUGUUAGUCGUAUUCGAAGACUGUGUUGGAGUAUUCGGAGGAGGAACCCGCCUUGCAAUGCCGAAGACAAUCUGCGCGUCGGACACCUCGUCAUUGAAGCCUGGUUCAGGGGCUACUGAGGGAGUCCUGGACUAAGGGGUCCUCGGGCGUCUGACCUAUUGGACAUGGGCCGGACUGAUGGGCUACAAAGAUACAAGACCGAAGACUCUCACCCGUGUCCGGAUGGGACUCUCCUUUGCAUGGAUGGCAAGCUUGGCGUCUAGAUAUACUAUUUCCUUCCUAUGUAACCGACUUUGUAUAACCCUAGUCCCCUCCGGUGUCUAUAUAAACUGGAGGGCUUAGUCCAUGGACGAGGAUAAUCAGAUAAGCUAGACUUCUAGGGUUUUAGUCAUUGCGAUCUCAUGGUAGAUCAACUCUUGUAACCCCCAUACUCAUCAAUAUUAAUCUAGCAGGAUGUAGGGUUUUACCUCCAUCGAGAGAGCCCGAACGUGGGUAAACAUUGUGUUCCCUGUCUCCUAUUACCAUCAACCUCAGACGCACAGUUCGGGACCCCCUACCCGAGAUCCACCGGUUUUGACACCGACAGGGGCGCCCUAUUGGGUAACGUAGUAAUUUCAAAAAAAUUCCUACGCACACGCAAGAUCAUGGUGAUGCAUAGCAACGUGGGGGGAGUAUGAUCUACGUACCUCGUAGAUCGACAACGGAAGCAUUUGGUUGAUGUAGUCGUACGUCUCCAUGGCCCGACCGAUCAAGCGCCGAAACUACGGCACCUCCGAGUUCUAGCACAAGUUCAGCUCGAUGACGAUCCCCGGACUCCGAUCUAGCAAAGUGUCGGGGAAGAGUUCCGUCAGCACGACGGCGUGGUGACGAUCUUGAUGAACUACUGCAGCAGGGCUUCGCCUAAACUCCGCUACAAUAUUAUCGAGGACUAUGGUGGCAGGGGGCGCCGCACACGGCUAAGGAAUAGAUCACGUGGAUCAACUUGUGUGUCUCUAGGGUGCCUCUGCCUCAGUAUAUAAAGGACCAAAGGGGGAGGACAGCCGGCCACAUAGGGUGCGCCAGGAGAGUCGUACUCCCUCUGGGAGUAGGAUUCCCCCCCCCCCCCAAUCCUAGUUGGAAUAGGACUCGCGGAGGGGGGAAAAGAGAGAGAGGGGCCGGCCCCCUCUCCUUGUCCAAUUCGGACCAAGGGAAGGGAGGGGCGCGCGGCCCACUAUGGGCUGCCUCUUCUCUUUUCCACCAAGGCCCAUUAAGGCCCAUCUAGCUCCCCGGGGGGUUCCGGUAACCUCCCGGUACUCCGGUAAAAUCCCGAUUUCACCCGGAACACUUCCGAUAUCCAAACAUAGGCUUCCAAUAUAUCAAUCUUUAUGUCUCGACCAUUUCGAGACUCCUCGUCAUGUCCGUGAUCACAUCCGGGACUCCGAACAACCUUCGGUACAUCAAAUGCAUAAACUCAUAAUAUAACUGUCAUCGUAACCUUAAGCGUGCGGACCCUACGGGUUCGAGAACAAUGCAGACAUGACCGAGACAUGUCUCCGUUCAAUAACCAAUAGCGGGACCUGGAUGCCCAUAUUGGCUCCUACAUAUUCUACGAAGAUCUUUAUCGGUCAGACCGCAUAACAACAUACGUUGUUCCCUUUGUCAUCGGUAUGUUACUUGCCCGAGAUUCGAUCGUCGGUAUCCAAUACCUAGUUCAAUCUCAUUACCGGCAAGUCUCUUUACUCGUUCUGUAAUACAUCAUCCCGCAACUAACUCAUUAGUUGCAAUGCUUGCAAGGCUUUAAGUGAUGUGCAUUACCGAGAGGGCCCAGAGAUACCUCUCCGACAAUCGAAGUGACAAAUCCUAAUCUUGAAAUACGCCAACCCAACAUUUACCUUUGGAGACACCUGUAGAGCUCCUUUAUAAUCACCCAGUUACGUUGUGACGUUUGGUAGCACACAAAGUGUUCCUCCGGCAAAUGGGAGUUGCAUAAUCUCAUAGUCAUAGGAACAUGUAUAAGUCAUGAAGAAAGCAAUAGCAACAUACUAAACGAUCGGGUGCUAAGCUAAUGGAAUGGGUCAUGUCAAUCAGAUCAUUCACUUAAUGAUGUGAUCCCAUUAAUCAAAUGACAACUCAUGUCUAUGGUUAGGAAACAUAACCAUCUUUGAUCAACAAGCUAGUCAAGUAGAGGCAUACUAGUGACACUCUGUUUGUCUAUGUAUUCACACAUGUAUUAUGUUUCCGGUUAAUACAAUUCUAGCAUGAAUAAUAAACAUUUAUCAUGAAAUAAGGAAAUAAAUAAUAACUUUAUUAUUGCCUCUAGGGCAUAUUUCCUUCAGUCUCCCACUUGCACUAGAGUCAAUAAUCUAGUUCACAUCGCCAUGUGAUUUAACAGCAAUAGUUCACAUCACCAUGUGAUUAACACCCAUAGUCCACAUCGAUAUGUGACCAACACCCAAAGGGUUUACUAGAGUCGGUAAUCUAGUUCACAUCAUUGUGUGAUUAACAUCCAAAGAGUACUAAGGUGUGAUCAUGUUUUGCUUUGUGAGAUAAUUUUAGUCACCGGGUCUGUUAUAUUCAGAUCCGUAAGUAUUUUGCGAAUUCUAUGUCUACAAUGCUCUGCACGGAGCUACACUAGCUAAUUGCUCCCACUUUCAAUAUGUAUCUAGAUCGAGAGUUAGAGUCAUCCAGAUCUGUGUCAAAACUUGCAUCGACGUAAUUUUUACGAUGAACCUUUUGUCACCUCCAUAAUCAAGAAAUAUUUCCUUAUUCCACUAAGGAUAAUUUUUGACCAAUGUCCAGUGAUCUACUCUUAGAUCACUAUUGUACUCCCUUGCUUAACACAGUGUAGGGUAUACAAUAGAUCUGGUACACAUCAUGGCAUACUUUAUAGAACCUAUGGCUGAGGCAUAGGGAAUGACUUUCAUUCUCUUUCUAUCUUCUGCCGUGGUCGGGCUUUGAGUCUUACUCAAUUUCAUACCUUGUAACACAGCCAAGAACUCUUUCUUUAACUGUUCCAUUUUUGAACUACUUCAAAAUAUUGUCAAGGUAUGUACUCAUUGAAAAAACUUAUCAAGCGUCUUGAUCUAUCUCUAUAGAUUUUGAUGCUUAAUAUGUAAGCAGCUUCACCGAGGUCUUUUUCUGGAAAAUUCCUUUCAAACACUCCUUUAUGCUUUGUAGAAUAAUUCUACAUUAUUUCCGAUCAACAAUAUGUCAUUCACAUAUACUUAUCAGAAAUGUUGUAGUGCUCCCACUCACUUUCUUGUAAAUACAGGCUUCAUCGCAAGUCUGUAUAAAACUAUAUGCUUUGAUCAACUUAUCAAAGUGUAUAUUCCAACUCCGAGAUGCUUGCACCAGUCCAUAGAUGGAUCGCUGGAGCUUGCAUAUUUUGUUAGCACCUUUAGGAUUGACAAAACCUUUUGGUUGCAUCGUAUACAACUCUUCUUUAGUAAAUCCAUUAAGGAAUGCGGUUUUGUUUAUCCAUUUGCCAGAUUUCAUAAAAUGCGGCAAUUGCUAACAUGAUUCAGACAGACUUAAGCAUAGAUACGAGUGAGAAAAUCUCAUCGUAGUCAACACCUUGAACUUGUCGAAAACCUUUUGCGACAAUUCUAGCUUUGUAGAUAGUAACACUACUAUCAGCGUCCGUCUUCCUCUUGAAGAUCCAUUUAUUUUCUAUGGCUUGCCGAUCAUCGGGCAAAUCCAUCCAAGUCCAUACUUUGUUCUCAUACAUGGAUCAUAUCUCAGAUUUCAUGGCCUCAAACCAUUUCGGGGAAUCUGGGCUCACCAUCGCUUCUUCAUAAUUUGUAGGUUCGUCAUGGUCAAGUUGCAUGACCUCCAGAACAGGAUUACCGUACCACUCUGGUGCGGAUCUCACUCUGGUUUACCUACGAGAUUCGGCAGUAACUUGAUCUGAAGUUAUAUGAUCAUCAUCAUUAGCUUCCUCACUAAUUGGUGUAGUAGUCACAGGAAUAGAUUUCUGUAAUGAAAUACUUUCCAAUAAGGGAGAAGGUACAAUUACCUUAUCAAGUUCUACUUUCCUCCCACUCACUUCUUUUGAGAGAAACUCCUUCUCUAGAAAAACUCCAAAUUUAGCAACGAAAAGUCUUGCCUUCGGAUUUGUGAUAGAAGGUGUACCCAACAGUCUCCUUUGGGUAUCCUAUGACGACAUACAUCUCCAAUUUGCGUUCGAGCUUAUCAUGUUGAAGCUUAUUCACAUAAGCAUCGCAGUCCCAAACUUUAAGAAAUGACAACUUUAGUUUCUUGCCAAACCACAGUUCAGAUUGUGUUGUCUCAACGGACUUAGAUGGUGCCCUAUUUAACGUGAAUGCAGCUGUCUCUAAUGCAUAACCCCAAAACGAUGGUGGUAGAUCGGUAAGAGACAUCAUGGAUCGCACUAUAUCUAAUAAAGUACGGUUAUGACGUUCGGACACACCAUUACACUAUGGUGUUCCAGGUGGCGUGAGUAGUGAAACUAUUUCACAUUGUUUUAGUUGAAGACCAAACUCGUAACUCAAAUAUUUUACCUCUGCGAUCAUAUCGUAGAAACUUUUAUUUUCUUGUCACGAUGAUUUUCCACUUCACUCUGAAAUUCUUUGAACUUUUCAAAUGUUUCAGACUUAUGUUUCAUCAAGUAGAUAUACCCAUAUCUGCUCAAAUCAUAUGUGACGGUCAGAAAAUAACGAUACCCGUCGCGAGCUUCAACACUCAUCGGAUCGCAUACAUCAGUAUGUAUUAUUUCCAAUAAGUCAGUUGCUUGCUCCAUUGUUCCGGAGAACGGGGUCUUUAGUCAUCUUGCCCAUAAGGCAUGGUUCGCAAGCACCAAGUGAUUCAUAAUCAAGUGAUUCCAAAAUCCCAUCAGCAUGGAGUUUCUUCAUGCGCUUUACACCAAUAUGACCUAAACGGCAGUGCUACAAAUAAGUUGCACUAUCACUAUUAACUUUGCAUCUUUUGGUUUCAAUAUUAUGAUUAUGUGUAUCACUACGAUCGAGAUCCAACAAACUAUUUUCAUUGGGUGUGUAACCAUAUAAGGUUUUAUUCAUGUAAACAGAACAACAAUUUAUUCUCUUACUUAAAUGAAUAACCGUAUUACAAUAAACAUGAUCAAAUCAUAUUCAUGCUUAACGCAAACACCAAAUAACACUUAUUCAGGUUCAACACUAAUCCCGAAAGUAUAGGGAGUGUACGAUGAUGAUCAUAUCAAUCUUGGAACCACUUCCAACACACAUCGUCACUUUUUACCCUUAACUAGUCUCUGUUUAUUCUACAACUCCCGUUUCGAGUUACUAAUCUUAGCAACUGAACUAGUAUCAAAUACUAAGGGGUUGCUAUAAACACUAGUAAAGUACACAUCAAUAGCAUGUAUAUCAAAUAUACUUAUGUUCACUUUGCCAUCCUUCUUAUCUGCCAAUCACUUGGGGUAGUUCCGCUUCCAGUGACCAGUCCCUUUGCAGUAGAAACACUUAGUCUUAGGCUUAGGACCAGACUUGGGCUUCUUCACUUGAGCAGCAACUUUCUUGUCGUUCUUCUUGAAGUUCCCCUUCUUCCCUUUGCCCUUUUCUUGAAACUAGUGAUCUUGUCAACCAUCAACACUUGAUGCUCAUUCUUGAUUUCUACCUUCAUCGAUUUCAUCAUCAUGAAAAGCUCGGGAUUCGUUUUCGUCAUCCCUUGUAUACUAUAGUUCAUCACGAAGUUCUACUAACUUGGUGAUGGUGACUAGAGAAUUCUGUCAAUCACUAUCUUAUCUGGAAGAUUAACUCCCACUUGAUUCAAGCGAUUGUUGUACUCAAACAAUCUGGGCACAUGCUCACUAGUUGAGCAACUCUCCUCCAUCCUUUAGCUAUAGAACUUGUUGGAGACUUUCAUAUCUCUCAACUCGGGUAUUUGCUUGAAAUAUUAACUUCAACUCCUGGAACAUCUCAUAUGCUCCAUGACGUUCAAAACGUCUUUGAAGUCCCGAUUCUAAGCCGUUAAGCAUGGUGCACUAAACUAUCAAGUAGUCAUCAUAUUUAGCUAGCCAAACGUUCAUAACGUCUGCAUCUGCUCCUGCAAUAGGUCUAUCACCUAGCGGUGCAUCAAGGACAUAAUUCCUCUGUGCAGCAAUGAGGAUAAACCUCAGAUCACGGAUCCAAUCCGCAUCAUUGCUACUAACAGCUUUCAACACAAUUUUUCUCUAGGAAUAUAUCAAAAUAAACAUAUGAAAGCAAUAACGUGAGCUAUUGAUCUACAACAUAAUUUGCAAAAUACUACCAGGACUAAGUUCAUGAUAAAUUUAAGUUCAAUUAAUCAUAUUACUUAAGAACUCCCACUUAGAUAGACAUCCCUCUAAUCCUCUAAGUGAUCACGUGAUCCAAAUCAACUAACCCAUGUCCGAUCAUCACGUGAGAUGGAGUAGUUUCAUUGGUGAACAUCGCUAUGUUGAUCAUAUCUACUAUAUGAUUCACGCUCGACCUUUCGGUCUCCAUGUUCCGAGGCCAUAUCUGUAUAUGAUUGGCUCAUCAAGUAUAACCUGAGUAUUCCGCGUGUGCAACUGUUUUGCACCCGUUGUAUUUGAACGUAGAGCCUAUCACACCCGAUCAUCACGUGGUGUCUCAGCAUGAAGAACUUUCGCAACGGUGCAUACUCAGGGAGAACACUUCUUGAUAAUUUAGUGAGAGAUCAUCUUAUAAUGCUACCGUCAAUCAAAGCAAGAUAAGAUGCAUAAAAGAUAAACAUCACAUGCAAUCAAUAUAAGUGAUAUGAUAUGGCCAUCAUCAUCUUGCGCCUUUGAUCUCCAUCUCCAAAGUACUGUCAUGAUCUCUAUCGUCACCGGCAUGACACCAUGAUCUCCAUCAUCUUGAUCUAUAUCAAUGUGUCGUCACACGGUCGUCUCGCCAACUAUUGCUCUUGCAACUAUUGCUAUCGCAUAGCGAUAAAGUAAAGCAAUUAUUUGGUGCUUGCAUCUUAUGCAAUAAAGAGACAACCAUAAGGCUUUUGCCAGUUGCCGAUAACUUUAACAAAACACGAUCAUCUCAUACAACAACUUAUAUCUCAUCACGUUUUGACCAUAUCACAUCACAACAUGCCCUGAAAAAACAAGUUAGACGUCCUCUACUUUGUUGUUGCAAGUUUUACAUGGCUGCUACGGGCUUAAGCAAGAACCAAUCUUACCUACGCAUCAAAACCACAACGAUAGUUUGUCAAGUUGGUGAUGUUUUAACCUUCGCAAGGACCGGGCGUAGCCAUACUCGGUUCAACUAAAGUUGGAGAAACUGUCACCCGCUAGCCACCUUUGUGCAAAGCACGUCGGGAGAACCGGUCUCGCGUAAGCGUACGCGUAAUGUCGGUCCGGGUCACUUCAUCCAACAAUACCGCCGAACCAAAGUAUGACAUGCUGGUAAGCAGUAUGACUUAUAUCGCCCACUACUCACUUGUGUUCUACUCGUGCAUAUAACAUCAAACCAUAAAAACCUAGGCUCGGAUGCCACUUUUGGGUAACGUAGUAAUUUCAAAAAAAUUCCUACGCACACGCAAGAUCAUGGUGAUGCAUAGCAACGAGGGGGGGAGUAUGAUCUACGUACCUCGUAUAUCGACAACGGAAGCGUUUGGGUGAUGUAGUCGUACGUCUCCACGGCCCGACCGAUCAAGCACCGAAACUACGGCACCUCCGAGUUCUAGCACACGUUCAGCUCAAUGAUGAUCCCCGGACUCCGAUCCAGCAAAGUGUCGGGGAAGAGUUCCGUCAGCACGACGGCGUGGUGACAAUCUUGAUGAACUACUGCAGCAGGGCUUCGCCUAAACUCCGCUACUAUAUUAUCGAGGACUAUGGUGGCAGGGGGCGCCGCACACGGCUAAGGAAUAGAUCACGUGGAUCAACUUGUGUGUCUCUAGGGUGCCUCUGCCUCAGUAUAUAAAGUACCAAAGGGGGGAGGACAGACGGCCACAUAGGGCGCGCCAGGAGAGUCCUACUCCCUCUGGGAGUAGGAUUCCCCCCCCCCCCAAUCCUAGUUGGAAUAGGACUCGCGGAGGGGGGAAAAGAGAGAGAGGGGCCGGCCCCCUCUCCUUGUCCAAUUCGGACCAAGGGAAGGGAGGGGCGCGCGGCCCACUAUGGGCUGCCUCUUCUCUUUUCCACCAAGGCCCAUUAAGGCCCAUCUAGCUCCCCGGGGGGUUCCGCUAACCUCCCGGUACUCCGGUAAAAUCCCGGUUUCACCCGGAACACUUCUGAUAUCCAAACAUAGGCUUCCAAUAUAUCAAUCUUUAUGUCUCAACCAUUUCGAGACUCCUCGUCAUGUCGGUGAUCACAUCCGGGACUCCGAACAACCUUCGGUACAUCAAAUGCAUAAACUCAUAAUAUAACUGUCAUCGUAACCUUAAGCGUGCGGACCCUACGGGUUCGAGAACAAUGCAGACAUGACCGAGACAUGUCUCCGUUCAAUAACCAAUAGCGGGACCUGGAUGCCCAUAUUGGCUCCUACAUAUUCUACGAAGAUCUUUAUCGGUCAGACCGCAUAACAACAUACGUUGUUCCCUUUGUCAUCGGUAUGUUACUUGCCCGAGAUUCGAUUGUCGGUAUCCAAUACCUAGUUCAAUCUCAUUACCGGCAAGUCUCUUUACUCGUUCUGUAAUACAUCAUCCCGCAACUAACUCAUUAGUUGCAAUGCUUGCAAGGCUUUAAGUGAUGUGCAUUACCGAGAGGGCCCAGAGAUACCUCUCCGACAAUCGGAGUGACAAAUCCUAAUCUCGAAAUACGCCAACCCAACAUUUACCUUUGGAGACACCUGUAGAGCUCCUUUAUAAUCACCCAGUUACGUUGUGACGUUUGGUAGCACACAAAGUGUUCCUCCGGCAAACGGGAGUUGCAUAAUCUCAUAGUCACAGGAACAUGUAUAAGUCAUGAAGAAAGCAAUAGCAACAUACUAAACGACCGGGUGCUAAGCUAAUGGAAUGGGUCAUGUCAAUCAGAUCAUUCACUUAAUGAUGUGAUCCCAUUAAUCAAAUGACAACUCAUGUCUAUGGUUAGGAAACAUAACCAUCUUUGAUCAACGAGCUAGUCAAGUAGAGGCAUACUAGUGACACUCUGUUUGUCUAUGUAUUCACACAUGUAUUAUGUUUCCGGUUAAUACAAUUCUAGCAUGAAUAAUAAACAUUUAUCAUGAAAUAAGGAAAUAAAUAAUAACUUUAUUAUUGCCUCUAGGGCAUAUUUCCUUCAGUCUCCCACUUGCACUAGAGUCAAUAAUCUAGUUCACAUCGCCAUGUGAUUUAACAGCAAUAGUUCACAUCACCAUGUGAUUAACACCCAUAGUCCACAUCGAUAUGUGACCAACACCCAAAGGGUUUACUAGAGUCGGUAAUCUAGUUCACAUCGUUGUGUGAUUAACACCCAAAGAGUACUAAGGUGUGAUCAUGUUUUGCUUUGUGAGAUAAUUUUAGUCACCGAGUCUGUUAUAUUCAGAUCCGUAAGUAUUUUGCGAAUCCUAUGUCUACAAUGCUCUGCACGGAGCUACACUAGCUAAUUGCUCCCACUUUCAAUAUGUAUCUAGAUCGAGAGUUAGAGUCAUCCAGAUCUGUGUCAAAACUUGCAUCGACGUAAUUUUUAUGAUGAACCUUUUGUCACCUCCAUAAUCAAGAAAUAUUUCCUUAUUCCACUAAGGAUAAUUUUUGACCAAUGUCCAGUGAUCUACUCUUAGAUCACUAUUGUACUCCCUUGCUUAACACAGUGUAGGGUAUACAAUAGAUCUGGUACACAUCAUGGCAUACUUUAUAGAACCUAUGGCUGAGGCAUAGGGAAUGACUUUCAUUCUCUUUCUAUCUUCUGCCGUGGUCGGGCUUUGAGUCUUACUCAAUUUCAUACCUUGUAACACAGCCAAGAACUCUUUCUUUAACUGUUCCAUUUUUGAACUACUUCAAAAUAUUGUCAAGGUAUGUACUCAUUGAAAAAACUUAUCAAGCGUCUUGAUCUAUCUCUAUAGAUUUUGAUGCUUAAUAUGUAAGCAGCUUCACCGAGGUCUUUUUCUGGAAAAUUCCUUUCAAACACUCCUUUAUGCUUUGUAGAAUAAUUCUACAUUAUUUCCGAUCAACAAUAUGUCAUUCACAUAUACUUAUCAGAAAUGUUGUAGUGCUCCCACUCACUUUCUUGUAAAUACAGGCUUCAUCGCAAGUCUGUAUAAAACUAUAUGCUUUGAUCAACUUAUCAAAGUGUAUAUUCCAACUCCGAGAUGCUUGCACCAGUCCAUAGAUGGAUCGCUGGAGCUUGCAUAUUUUGUUAGCACCUUUAGGAUUGACAAAACCUUUUGGUUGCAUCGUAUACAACUCUUCUUUAGUAAAUCCAUUAAGGAAUGCGGUUUUGUUUAUCCAUUUGCCAGAUUUCAUAAAAUGCGGCAAUUGCUAACAUGAUUCAGACAGACUUAAGCAUAGAUACGAGUGAGAAAAUCUCAUCGUAGUCAACACCUUGAACUUGUCGAAAACCUUUCACGAAAUCUGGGCUCACCAUCGCUUCUUCAUAGUUCGUAGGUUCGUCAUGGUCAAGUUGCAUGACCUCCAGAACAGGAUUACCGUACCACUCUGGUGCGGAUCUCACUCUGGUUUACCUACGAGAUUCGGCAGUAACUUGAUCUGAAGUUAUAUGAUCAUCAUCAUUAGCUUCCUCACUAAUUGGUGUAGUAGUCACAGGAAUAGAUUUCUGUAAUGAACUACUUUCCAAUAAGGGAGAAGGUACAAUUACCUUAUCAAGUUCUACUUUCCUCCCACUCACUUCUUUUGAGAGAAACUCCUUCUCUAGAAAAACUCCGAAUUUAGCAACGAAAAGUCUUGCCUUCGGAUUUGUGAUAGAAGGUGUACCCAACAGUCUCCUUUGGGUAUCCUAUGACGACAUACUUCUCCAAUUUGGGUUCGAGCUUAUCAUGUUGAAGCUUAUUCACAUAAGCAUCGCAGUCCCAAACUUUAAGAAACGACAACUUUAGUUUCUUGCCAAACCACAGUUCGGAUUGUGUCGUCUCAACGGACUUAGAUGGUGCCCUAUUUAACGUGAAUGCAGCUGUCUCUAAUGCAUAACCCCAAAACGAUAGUGGUAGAUCGGUAAGAGACAUCAUGGAUCGCACUAUAUCUAAUAAAGUACGGUUAUGACGUUCGGACACACCAUUACACUAUGGUGUUCCAGGUGGCGUGAGUAGUGAAACUAUUUCACAUUGUUUUAGUUGAAGACCAAACUCGUAACUCAAAUAUUUUACCUCUGCGAUCAUAUCGUAGAAACUUCUAUUUUCUUGUCACGAUGAUUUUCCACUUCACUCUGAAAUUCUUUGAACUUUUCAAAUGUUUCAGACUUAUGUUUCAUCAAGUAGAUAUACCCAUAUCUGCUCAAAUCAUAUGUGAAGGUCAGAAAAUAACGAUACCCGCCGCGAGCUUCAACACUCAUCGGAUCGCAUACAUCAGUAUGUAUUAUUUCCAAUAAGUCAGUUGCUUGCUCCAUUGUUCCGGAGAACGGGGUCUUUAGUCAUCUUGCCCAUAAGGCAUGGUUCGCAAGCACCAAGUGAUUCAUAAUCAAGUGAUUCCAAAAUCCCAUCAGCAUGGAGUUUCUUCAUGCGCUUUACACCAAUAUGACCUAAACGGCAGUGCUACAAAUAAGUUGCACUAUCACUAUUAACUUUGCAUCUUUUGGUUUCAAUAUUAUGAUUAUGUGUAUCACUAUGAUCGAGAUCCAACAAACUAUUUUCAUUGGGUGUGUAACCAUAUAAGGUUUUAUUCAUGUAAACAGAACAACAAUUUAUUCUCUUACUUAAAUGAAUAACCGUAUUACAAUAAACAUGAUCAAAUCAUAUUCAUUCUUAACGCAAACACCAAAUAACACUUAUUCAGGUUCAACACUAAUCCCGAAAGUAUAGGGAGUGUACGAUGAUGAUCAUAUCAAUCUUGGAACCACUUCCAACACACAUCGUCACUUUUUACCCUUAACUAGUCUCUGUUUAUUCUACAACUCCCGUUUCGAGUUACUAAUCUUAGCAACUGAACUAGUAUCAAAUACUAAGGGGUUGCUAUAAACACUAGUAAAGUACACAUCAAUAGCAUGUAUAUCAAAUAUACUUAUGUUCACUUUGCCAUCCUUCUUAUCUGCCAAUCACUUGGGGUAGUUCCGCUUCCAGUGACCAGUCCCUUUGCAGUAGAAACACUUAGUCUUAGGCUUAGGACCAUACUUGGGCUUCUUCACUUGAGCAGCAACUUUCUUGCCGUUCUUCUUGAAGUUCCCCUUCUUCCCUUUGCCCUUUUCUUGAAACUAGUGAUCUUGUCAACCAUCAACACUUGAUGCUCAUUCUUGAUUUCUACCUUCGUCGAUUUCAUCAUCAUGAAAAGCUCGGGAUUCGUUUUCGUCAUCCCUUGUAUACUAUAGUUCAUCACGAAGUUCUACUAACUUGGUGAUGGUGACUAGAGAAUUCUGUCAAUCACUAUCUUAUCUGGAAGAUUAACUCCCACUUGAUUCAAGCGAUUGUUGUACUCAGACAAUCUGGGCACAUGCUCACUAGUUGAGCAACUCUCCUCCAUCCUUUAGCUAUAGAACUUGUUGGAGACUUUCAUAUCUCUCAACUCGGGUAUUUGCUUGAAAUAUUAACUUCAACUCCUGGAACAUCUCAUAUGCUCCAUGACGUUCAAAACGUCUUUGAAGUCCCGAUUCUAAGCCGUUAAGCAUGGUGCACUAAACUAUCAAGUAGUCAUCAUAUUUAGCUAGCCAAACGUUCAUAACGUCAGCAUCUACUCCUGCAAUAGGUCUAUCACCUAGCGGUGCAUCAAGGACAUAAUUCCUCUGUGCAGCAAUGAGGAUAAACCUCAGAUCACGGAUCCAAUCCGCAUCAUUGCUACUAACAUCUUUCAACACAAUUUUUCUCUAGGAACAUAUCAAAAUAAACAUAUGAAAGCAAUAACGCGAGCUAUUGAUCUACAACAUCAUUUGCAAAAUACUACCAGGACUAAGUUCAUGAUAAAUUUAAGUUUAAUUAAUCAUAUUACUUAAGAACUCCCACUUAGAUAGACAUCCCUCUAAUCCUCUAAGUGAUCACGUGAUCCAAAUCAACUAAACCAUGUCUGAUCAUCACAUGAGAUGGAGUAGUUUCAUUGGUGAACAUUGCUAUGUUGAUCAUAUCUACUAUAUGAUUAGCACUCGACCUUUUGGUCUCCAUGUUCCGAGGCCAUAUCUAUAUAUGAUUGGCUCGUCAAGUAUAACCUGAGUAUUCCGCGUGUGCAACUGUUUUGCACUCGUUGUAUUUGAACGUAGAGCCUAUCACACCCGAUCAUCACGUGGUGUCUCAGCAUGAAGAACUUUCGCAACGGUGCAUACUCAGGGAGAACACUUCUUGAUAAUUUAGUGAGAGAUCAUCUUAUAAUGCUACCGUCAAUCAAAGCAAGAUAAGAUGCAUAAAAGAUAAACAUCACAUGCAAUCAAUAUAAGUGAUAUGAUAUGGCCAUCAUCAUCUUGUGCCUUUGAUCUCCAUCUCCAAAGUACUGUCAUGAUCUCUAUCCUCACCGGCAUGACACCAUGAUCUCCAUCAUCUUGAUCUAUAUCAAUGUGUCGUCACACGGUCGUCUCGCCAACUAUUGCUCUUGCAACUAUUGCUAUCGCAUAGUGAUAAAGUAAAGCAAUUAUUUGGUGCUUGCAUCUUAUGCAAUAAAGAGACAACCAUAAGGCUUUUGCCAGUUGCCGAUAACUUUAACAAAACACGAUCAUCUCAUACAACAACUUAUAUCUCAUCACGUUUUGACCAUAUCACAUCACAACAUGCCCUGCAAAAACAAGUUAGACGUCCUCUACUUUGUUGUUGCAAGUUUUACGUGGCUGCUACGGGCUUAAGCAAGAACCAAUCUUACCUACGCAUCAAAACCACAACAAUAGUUUGUCAAGUUGGUGCUGUUUUAACCUUCGCAAGGACCGGGCGUAGCCAUACUCGGUUCAACUAAAGUUGGAGAAACUGUCACCCGCUAGCCACCUUUGUGCAAAGCACGUCGGGAGAACCGGUCUCGCGUAAGCGUACGCGUAAUGUCGGUCCGGGCCGCUUCAUCCAACAAUACCGCCGAACCAAAGUAUGACAUGCUGGUAAGCAGUAUGACUUAUAUCGCCCACAACUCACUUGUGUUCUACUCAUGCAUAUAACAUAAAACCAUAAAAACCUAGGCUCGGAUGCCACUUUUGGGGAACGUAGUAAUUUCAAAAAAAUUCCUACGCACACGCAAGAUCAUGGUGAUGCAUAGCAACAAGGGGGGGAGUAUGAUCUACGUACCUCGUAUAUCGACAACGGAAGCGUUUGGUUGAUGUAGUCGUACGUCUCCACGGCCCGACCGAUCAAGCACCGAAACUACGGCACCUCCGAGUUCUAGCACACGUUCAGCUCAAUGAUGAUCCUCGGACUACGAUCUAGCAAAGUGUCGGGGAAGAGUUCCGUCAGCACGACGGCGUGGUGACGAUCUUGAUGAACUACUGCAGCAGGGCUUCGCCUACAUAUUCUACGAAGAUCUUUAUCGGUCAGACCGCAUAACAACAUACGUUAUUCCCUUUGUCAUCGGUAUGUUACUUGCCCGAGAUUCGAUCGUCGGUAUCCAAUACCUAGUUCAAUCUCAUUACCGGCAAGUCUCUUUACUCGUUCUGUAAUACAUCAUCCCGCAACUAACUCAUUAGUUGCAAUGCUUGCAAGGCUUUAAGUGAUGUGCAUUACCGAGAGGGCCCAGAGAUACCUCUCCGACAAUCGGAGUGACAAAUCCUAAUCUCGAAAUACGCCAACCCAACAUUUACCUUUGGAGACACCUGUAGAGCUCCUUUAUAAUCACCCAGUUACGUUGUGACGUUUGGUAGCACACAAAGUGUUCCUCCGGCAAACGGGAGUUGCAUAAUCUCAUAGUCACAGGAACAUGUAUAAGUCAUGAAGAAGGCAAUAGCAACAUACUAAACGAUCGGGUGCUAAGCUAAUGGAAUGGGUCAUGUCAAUCAGAUCAUUCACUUAAUGAUGUGAUCCCAUUAAUCAAAUGACAACUCAUGUCUAUGGUUAGGAAACAUAACCAUCUUUGAUCAACGAGCUAGUCAAGUAGAGGCAUACUAGUGACACUCUGUUUGUCUAUGUAUUCACACAUGUAUUAUGUUUCCGGUUAAUACAAUUCUAGCAUGAAUAAUAAACAUUUAUCAUGAAAUAAGGAAAUAAAUAAUAACUUUAUUAUUGCCUCUAGGGCAUAUUUCCUUCAGUCUCCCACUUGCACUAGAGUCAAUAAUCUAGUUCACAUCGCCAUGUGAUUUAACAGCAAUAGUUCACAUCACCAUGUGAUUAACACCCAUAGUCCACAUCGAUAUGUGACCAACACCCAAAGGGUUUUAUAAGAGUCGGUAAUCUAGUUCACAUCGUUGUGUGAUUAACACCCAAAGAGUACUAAGGUGUGAUCAUGUUUUGCUUUGUGAGAUAAUUUUAGUCACCGGGUCUGUUAUAUUCAGAUCCGUAAGUAUUUUGCGAAUUCUAUGUCUACAAUGCUCUGCACGGAGCUACACUAGCUAAUUGCUCCCACUUUCAAUAUGUAUCUAGAUCGAGAGUUAGAGUCAUCCAGAUCUGUGUCAAAACUUGCAUCGACGUAAUUUUUAUGAUGAACCUUUUGUCACCUCCAUAAUCAAGAAAUAUUUCCUUAUUCCACUAAGGAUAAUUUUUGACCAAUGUCCAGUGAUCUACUCUUAGAUCACUAUUGUACUCCCUUGCUUAACACAGUGUAGGGUAUACAAUAGAUCUAGUACACAUCAUGGCAUACUUUAUAGAACCUAUGGCUGAGGCAUAGGGAAUGACUUUCAUUCUCUUUCUAUCUUCUGCCGUGGUCGGGCUUUGAGUCUUACUCAAUUUCAUACCUUGUAACACAGCCAAGAACUCUUUCUUUAACUGUUCCAUUUUUGAACUACUUCAAAAUAUUGUCAAGGUAUGUACUCAUUGAAAAAACUUAUCAAGCGUCUUGAUCUAUCUCUAUAGAUUUUGAUGCUUAAUAUGUAAGCAGCUUCACCGAGGUCUUUUUCUGGAAAAUUCCUUUCAAACACUCCUUUAUGCUUUGUAGAAUAAUUCUACAUUAUUUCCGAUCAACAAUAUGUCAUUCACAUAUACUUAUCAGAAAUGUUGUAGUGCUCCCACUCACUUUCUUGUAAAUACAGGCUUCAUCGCAAGUCUGUAUAAAACUAUAUGCUUUGAUCAACUUAUCAAAGUGUAUAUUCCAACUCCGAGAUGCUUGCACCAGUCCAUAGAUGGAUCGCUGGAGCUUGCAUAUUUUGUUAGCACCUUUAGGAUUGACAAAACCUUUUGGUUGCAUCGUAUACAACUCUUCUUUAGUAAAUCCAUUAAGGAAUGCGGUUUUGUUUAUCCAUUUGCCAGAUUUCAUAAAAUGCGGCAAUUGCUAACAUGAUUCAGACAGACUUAAGCAUAGAUACGAGUGAGAAAAUCUCAUCGUAGUCAACACCUUGAACUUGUCGAAAACCUUUUGCAACAAUUCUAGCUUUGUAGAUAGUAACACUACUAUCAGCGUCCGUCUUCCUCUUGAAGAUCCAUUUAUUUUCUAUGGCUUGCCGAUCAUCGGACAAAUCCAUCCAAGUCCAUACUUUGUUCUCAUACAUGGACCAUAUCUCAGAUUUCAUGGCCUCAAACCAUUUCGCGAAAUCUGGGCUCACCAUCGCUUCUUCAUAGUUCGUAGGUUCGUCAUGGUCAAGUUGCAUGACCUCCAGAACAGGAUUACCGUACCACUCUGGUGCGGAUCUCACUCUGGUUUACCUACGAGAUUCGGCAGUAACUUGAUCUGAAGUUAUAUGAUCAUCAUCAUUAGCUUCCUCACUAAUUGGUGUAGUAGUCACAGGAAUAGAUUUCUGUAAUGAACUACUUUCCAAUAAGGGAGAAGGUACAAUUACCUUAUCAAGUUCUACUUUCCUCCCACUCACUUCUUUUGAGAGAAACUCCUUCUCUAGAAAAACUCCGAAUUUAGCAACGAAAAGUCUUGCCUUCGGAUUUGUGAUAGAAGGUGUACCCAACAGUCUCCUUUGGGUAUCCUAUGACGACAUACUUCUCCAAUUUGGGUUCGAGCUUAUCAUGUUGAAGCUUAUUCACAUAAGCAUCGCAGUCCCAAACUUUAAGAAACGACAACUUUAGUUUCUUGCCAAACCACAGUUCAGAUUGUGUCGUCUCAACGGACUUAGAUGGUGCCCUAUUUAACGUGAAUGCAGCUGUCUCUAAUGCAUAACCCCAAAACGAUAGUGGUAGAUCGGUAAGAGACAUCAUGGAUCGCACUAUAUCUAAUAAAGUACGGUUAUGACGUUCAGACACACCAUUACACUAUGGUGUUCCAGGUGGCGUGAGUAGUGAAACUAUUUCACAUUGUUUUAGUUAAAGACCAAACUCGUAACUCAAAUAUUUUACCUCUGCGAUCAUAUCGUAGAAACUUCUAUUUUCUUGUCACGAUGAUUUUCCACUUCACUCUGAAAUUCUUUGAACUUUUCAAAUGUUUCAGACUUAUGUUUCAUCAAGUAGAUAUACCCAUAUCUGCUCAAAUCAUAUGUGAAGGUCAGAAAAUAACGAUACCCGCCGCGAGCUUCAACACUCAUCGGAUCACAUACAUCAGUAUGUAUUAUUUCCAAUAAGUCAGUUGCUUGCUCCAUUGUUCCGGAGAACGGGGUCUUUAGUCAUCUUGCCCAUAAGGCAUGGUUCGCAAGCACCAAGUGAUUCAUAAUCAAGUGAUUCCAAAAUCCCAUCAGCAUGGAGUUUCUUCAUGCGCUUUACACCAAUAUGACCUAAACGGCAGUGCUACAAAUAAGUUGCACUAUCACUAUUAACUUUGCAUCUUUUGGUUUCAAUAUUAUGAUUAUGUGUAUCACUACGAUCGAGAUCCAACAAACUAUUUUCAUUGGGUGUGUAACCAUAUAAGGUUUUAUUCAUGUAAACAGAACAACAAUUUAUUCUCUUACUUAAAUGAAUAACCGUAUUACAAUAAACAUGAUCAAAUCAUAUUCAUGCUUAACGCAAACACCAAAUAACACUUAUUCAGGUUCAACACUAAUCCCGAAAGUAUAGGGAGUGUACGAUGAUGAUCAUAUCAAUCUUGGAACCACUUCCAACACACAUCGUCACUUUUUACCCUUAACUAGUCUCUGUUUAUUCUACAACUCCCGUUUUGAGUUACUAAUCUUAGCAACUGAACUAGUAUCAAAUACUAAGGGGUUGCUAUAAACACUAGUAAAGUACACAUCAAUAGCAUGUAUAUCAAAUAUACUUAUGUUCACUUUGCCAUCCUUCUUAUCUGCCAAUCACUUGGGGUAGUUCCGCUUCCAGUGACCAGUCCCUUUGCAGUAGAAACACUUAGUCUUAGGCUUAGGACCAGACUUGGGCUUCUUCACUUGAGCAGCAACUUUCUUGCCGUUCUUCUUGAAGUUCCCCUUCUUCCCUUUGCCCUUUUCUUGAAACUAGUGAUCUUGUCAACCAUCAACACUUGAUGCUCAUUCUUGAUUUCUACCUUCGUCGAUUUCAUCAUCAUGAAAAGCUCGGGAUUCGUUUUCGUCAUCCCUUGUAUACUAUAGUUCAUCACGAAGUUCUACUAACUUGGUGAUGGUGACUAGAGAAUUCUGUCAAUCACUAUCUUAUCUGGAAGAUUAACUCCCACUUGAUUCAAGCGAUUGUUGUACUCAGACAAUCUGGGCACAUGCUCACUAGUUGAGCAACUCUCCUCCAUCCUUUAGCUAUAGAACUUGUUGGAGACUUUCAUAUCUCUCAACUCGGGUAUUUGCUUGAAAUAUUAACUUCAACUCCUGGAACAUCUCAUAUGCUCCAUGACGUUCAAAACGUCUUUGAAGUCCCGAUUCUAAGCCGUUAAGCAUGGUGCACUAAACUAUCAAGUAGUCAUCAUAUUUAGCUAGCCAAACGUUCAUAACGUCAGCAUCUACUCCUGUAAUAGGUCUAUCACCUAGCGGUGCAUCAAGGACAUAAUUCCUCUGUGCAGCAAUGAGGAUAAACCUCAGAUCACGGAUCCAAUCCGCAUCAUUGCUACUAACAUCUUUCAACACAAUUUUUCUCUAGGAACAUAUCAAAAUAAACAUAUGAAAGCAAUAACGCGAGCUAUUGAUCUACAACAUCAUUUGCAAAAUACUACCAGGACUAAGUUCAUGAUAAAUUUAAGUUUAAUUAAUCAUAUUACUUAAGAACUCCCACUUAGAUAGACUUCCCUCUAAUCCUCUAAGUGAUCACGUGAUCCAAAUCAACUAAACCAUGUCUGAUCAUCACAUGAGAUGGAGUAGUUUCAUUGGUGAACAUCGCUAUGUUGAUCAUAUCUACUAUAUGAUUAGCACUCGACCUUUUGGUCUCCAUGUUCCGAGGCCAUAUCUGUAUAUGAUUGGCUCGUCAAGUAUAACCUGAGUAUUCCGCGUGUGCAACUGUUUUGCACUCGUUGUAUUUGAACGUAGAGCCUAUCACACCCGAUCAUCACGUGGUGUCUCAGCAUGAAGAACUUUCGCAACGGUGCAUACUCAGGGAGAACACUUCUUGAUAAUUUAGUGAGAGAUCAUCUUAUAAUGCUACCGUCAAUCAAAGCAAGAUAAGAUGCAUAAAAGAUAAACAUCACAUGCAAUCAAUAUAAGUGAUAUGAUAUGGCCAUCAUCAUCUUGUGCCUUUGAUCUCCAUCUCCAAAGUACUGUCAUGAUCUCUAUCCUCACCGGCAUGACACCAUGAUCUCCAUCAUCUUGAUCUAUAUCAAUGUGUCGUCACACGGUCGUCUCGCCAACUAUUGCUCUUGCAACUAUUGCUAUCGCAUAGUGAUAAAGUAAAGCAAUUAUUUGGUGCUUGCAUCUUAUGCAAUAAAGAGACAACCAUAAGGCUUUUGCCAGUUGCCGAUAACUUUAACAAAACACGAUCAUCUCAUACAACAACUUAUAUCUCAUCACGUUUUGACCAUAUCACAUCACAACAUGCCCUGCAAAAACAAGUUAGACGUCCUCUACUUUGUUGUUGCAAGUUUUACGUGGCUGCUACGGGCUUAAGCAAGAACCAAUCUUACCUACGCAUCAAAACCACAACGAUAGUUUGUCAAGUUGGUGCUGUUUUAACCUUCGCAAGGACCGGGCGUAGCCAUACUCGGUUCAACUAAAGUUGGAGAAACUGUCACCCGCUAGCCACCUUUGUGCAAAGCACGUCGGGAGAACCGGUCUCGCGUAAGCGUACGCGUAAUGUCGGUCCGGGCCGCUUCAUCCAACAAUACCGCCGAACCAAAGUAUGACAUGCUGGUAAGCAGUAUGACUUAUAUCGCCCACAACUCACUUGUGUUCUACUCAUGCAUAUAACAUAAAACCAUAAAAACCUAGGCUCGGAUGCCACUUUUGGGGAACGUAGUAAUUUCAAAAAAAUUCCUACGCACACGCAAGAUCAUGGUGAUGCAUAGCAACGAGGGGGGGAGUAUGAUCUACGUACCUCGUAUAUCGACAACGGAAGCGUUUGGUUGAUGCAGUCGUACGUCUCCACGGCCCGACCGAUCAAGCACCGAAACUACGGCACCUCCGAGUUCUAGCACACGUUCAGCUCAAUGAUGAUCCCCGGACUACGAUCCAGCAAAGUGUCGGGGAAGAGUUCCGUCAGCACGACGGCGUGGUGACGAUCUUGAUGAACUACUGCAGCAGGGCUUCGCCUACAUAUUCUACGAAGAUCUUUAUCGGUCAGACCGCAUAACAACAUACGUUGUUCCCUUUGUCAUCGGUAUGUUACUUGCCCGAGAUUCGAUCGUCGGUAUCCAAUACCUAGUUCAAUCUCAUUACCGGCAAGUCUCUUUACUCGUUCUGUAAUACAUCAUCCCGCAACUAACUCAUUAGUUGCAAUGCUUGCAAGGCUUUAAGUGAUGUGCAUUACCGAGAGGGCCCAGAGAUACCUCUCCGACAAUCGGAGUGACAAAUCCUAAUCUCGAAAUACGCCAACCCAACAUUUACCUUUGGAGACACCUGUAGAGCUCCUUUAUAAUCACCCAGUUACGUUGUGACGUUUGGUAGCACACAAAGUGUUCCUCCGGCAAACGGGAGUUGCAUAAUCUCAUAGUCACAGGAACAUGUAUAAGUCAUGAAGAAAGCAAUAGCAACAUACUAAACGAUCGGGUGCUAAGCUAAUGGAAUGGGUCAUGUCAAUCAGAUCAUUCACUUAAUGAUGUGAUCCCAUUAAUCAAAUGACAACUCAUGUCUAUGGUUAGGAAACAUAACCAUCUUUGAUCAACGAGCUAGUCAAGUAGAGGCAUACUAGUGACACUCUGUUUGUCUAUGUAUUCACACAUGUAUUAUGUUUCCGGUUAAUACAAUUCUAGCAUGAAUAAUAAACAUUUAUCAUGAAAUAAGGAAAUAAAUAAUAACUUUAUUAUUGCCUCUAGGGCAUAUUUCCUUCACGCCCCCCACUUGGCCACCUCCUUCUCUCUCCCACUAUGGCCCAUUAACUCCCCGGGGGGUUCCGGUAACCCCCCCGGUACUCUGGUAAUUGCCCGAACUUAUCCGAAACCAUUCCAGUGUCCAAACAUAGCCUUCCAUUAUAUAAAUCUUUAUGUCUCGACCAUUUCGAGACUCGUCAUCAUGUCCGUGAUCACAUCUGGGACUCCGAACUACCUUCGGUACAUCAAAACACAUAAACUCAUAAUACCGAUCGUCAAUGAACGUUAAGCGUGCGAACCCUACGGGUUCGAGACCUAUGUAGAUAUGACCGAGACUCACUUCCGGUCAAUAACCAAUAGCGGAACCUGGAUGCUCAUAUUGGUUCCUACAUAUUCUAUGAAGAUCUUUAUCGGUCAAACCGCAUAACAACAUACGUUGUUUCCUUUGUCAUCGGUAUGUUACUUGCCCGAGAUUCGAUCGUUGGUAUCAUCAUACCUAGUUCAAUCUUGUUACAGGCAAGUCUCUUUACUCAUUCUGUAAUGCACCAUCUUGUAACUAACUCAUUAGUCACAUUGCUUGCAAGGCUUUAUAGUGAUGUGCAUUACCGAGAGGGCCCAGAGAUACCUCUCCGAUAAUCGGAGUGACAAAUCCUAAUCUCGAUCUAUGCCAACUCAACAAACACCAUCGGAGACACCUGUAGAGCAUCUUUAUAAUCACCCAGUUACGUUGUGACGUUUGAUAGCACACUAAGUGUUCCUCCGGUAUUCGGGAGUUGCAUAAUCUCAUAGUCAUAGGAACAUGUAUAAGUUAUGAAGAAAGCAAUAGCAAUAAACUAAACAAUCAUAGUGCAAAGCUAAUGGAUGGGUCAAGUCAAUUGCAUCAUUCUCUAAUGAUUUGAUCCCGUUCAUCAAAUGACAACUCUUGUCCAUGGCUAGGAAACUUAACCAUCUUUGAUUAACGAGCUAGUCAAGUAGAGACAUACUAGUGACACUCUGUUUGUCUAUGUAUUCACACAUGUACUAAGUUUCCGGUUCAUACAAUUCUAGCAUGAAUAAUAAACAUUUCAUGAUAUAAGGAAAUAUAAAUAACAACUUUAUUAUUGCCUCUAGGGCAUAUUUACUUCACAAUAUUGGUUCUACAACUGGAUCUGAUCAAAGAUAGAGAGGAAGAAUUUUCAUAGAUACUGUGAUUCUCUGGUCGCUUCGAACUAUCAUCAGAUGUGAUUGCAGAAAGUCAAUUGUGGAUGGAUGGAUGGAGUAAGUAGUUAAUUAGGUACUAUGAUUCUCUGGUCGCUUCGAACUAUCAUCAGAUGUAACUGCAUUAACAGAUGAUAAUACUUGAUCUAGCGCACAUGGAUCAUGGAUGGCAGCAAAAUGACACUUGACAGGUGUGCAAACAUGAACUAUGUAUGCUGACAGGAAUCACCCGAGGCCUAUUGUUGAAUCACCAAAGGUAAAGACGGAGAAGAAUCAGGGGUACAGAAGAAGAGGCACAAUUAACUAAUCAAUGCCCAACAGAAUCCAUAAUGCUGGUGGAUCAAAUUAUCUCUGGUAGCAAAGUAUAUAACAUAAAAAAUCCUCUUUACAAAGAGAACUUCUAUCCGACAGUAGACUGACAUUUCCUGAUCAACAAAAUAAAUACUUUGGAAAGUUUUGUGGGGCGAAAACCUGGUAGCACAUUGAUGCGGCUUGAAGCUACGUCGGUAUUUCCCCAAAGAGGAAGGGAUGAUGCUGCACAGCGACGGUAGGUAUUUCCCUCAGUGAUGAAAUCAAGGUUAUCGAACCAGUAGGAGAACCAAGCAACAACACGUAAACGACACCUGCACACAAAUAACUGUUGGAAAUAUGCCCUAGAGGCAAUAAUAAAAUAGUUAUUAUUAUAUUUCCUUGUUCAUGCUAUAAUUGUGUUAUCUGGAAAUCGUAAUACAUGUGUGAAUACAUAGACCACAACAUGUCCCUAGUGAGCCUCUAGUUGACUAGCUCGUUGAUCAAUAGAUGGUUACGGUUUCCUGACCAUGGACAUUGGAUGUCGUUGACAACGGGAUCACAUCAUUAGGAGAAUGAUGUGAUGGACAAGACCCAAUCCUAAGCCUUGCACAAGAUCGUGUAGUUCGUAUGCUAAAGCUUUUCCAAUGUCGAGUAUCCUUUCCUUAGACCAUGAGAAUGUGCAGCUCCCGGUGUAGGAGUACUUUGGGUGUGCCAAACGUCACAACGUAACUGGGUGGCUAUAAAGGUACACUAUGGGUAUCCCUGAAAGUAUCUGUUGGGUUGGCACAAAUCGAGACUGGGAUUUGUCACUCCAUAUGAUGGAGAGGUAUCUCUGGGCCCACUCGGUAAGACAUCAUCGUAAUGAGCUCAAUGUGACUAAGGGGUUGGUCACGAGAUGAUGUGUUACAGAACAAGUAAAGAUACUUGCCGUAACGAGAUUGAACAAGGUAUCGGUAUACCGACGAUCGAAUCUUUGGCAAGUGCUAUACCGGUAGACAAAGGGAAUCGUAUACGGGAUUGAUUGAAUCCUUGACAUCGUGGUUCAUCCGAUGAGAUCAUCAUGGAACAUGUGGGAGACAACACGGGUAUCCAGAUCCCGCUGUUGGUUAUUGGCCGGAGAGAUGUCUCGGUCAUGUCUGCAUGGUUCCCGAACCCAUAGGGUCUACACACUUAAGGUUCGAUGACGCUAGGGUUAUAGGGAAUAGAAGUACGUGGUUACGAAUGUUGUUCGGAGACCCGGAUGAGAUCCAAGACAUCACGAGGAGUUCCGGAAUGGUCCGGAGGUAAAGAUUUAUAUAUGGGAAGUCCCGUUUUGGACACCAGCAGUGUUCUGGGCGUUAUCCGUAACGUACCAAGACCACCAGAAGGGUUCGGGGGUCCACCGGGAGGGGCCACCAGCCCCGGAGGCUUGCGUGGGCCAAGUGUGGGAAGGGACCAGCCCCUAGGUGGGCUGGUGCGCCUCCCACAAGAGGCCCAAGGCGCAUGGAAGGGGAGAAGGGGGAAACCCUAGCUCAGAUGGGCCUAAGGCCCACCUAGGGUGCGCCCCCCCUCUCUCCCCCUCUAGCUGCCCCCUAGAUGCAUCUAGGGCUGGCCGACACCCCUAGGGGGGAACCCUAGAUGGGUGCGUAGCCCCACCCCUCCCCCUAUAUAUAGUGGGGGUUUGGGGGCUGCCAGAGACACGAGUCUCCCUCCCUCUUGGCGCAGCCCUACCCCUCUCCCUCCUCAUCUCUCGCAGUGCUUGGAGAAGCCCUGCUGGAGUGCCACGCUCCUCCACCACCACCACGCCGUCGUGCUGCUGCUGGAUGGAGUCUUCCCCAACCUCUCCCUCUCCCCUUGCUGGAUCAAGGCGCGGGAGACGUCAUCGGGCUGCACGUGUGUUGAAUGCGGAGGCACCGUUGUUCGGUGCUUAGAUCGGAUUCGGUCGUGAUCUGAAUCGCUUCGUGUACGACUCCUUCAUCCGUGUUCUUGUAACUCUUCCGUUCCACGAUCUUCAAGGGUAUGAAGAUACACUCCCCUCUCUCUCGUUGCUAGUCUCUCCAUAGAUUGAUCUUGGUGAUGCGUAGACAUUUUUUAAUUUCUGCAACGAUCCCCAAUAGUGGCAUCAUGAGCCAGGUCUAUGCGAUGUUUCUAUGCACGAGUAGAACACAAGUUGUUGUGGGCGUCGAUUUUGUCAAUUUACUUGCCGUUACUAGUCUUAUCUUGAUUCAGCGGCCUCGUGGGAUGAAGCGGCCCGGACCGACCUUACACGUACUCUUAUGUGAGACUGGUUCCACCGACUGACAUGCACUAGUUGCAUAAGGUGGCUAGCGGGUGUCUGUCUCUCCCACUUUAGUCGUGGAUUCGAUGAAAAGGUUCCUUAUGAAGGGUAAAUAGAAAUUGGCAUAUCACGUAGAGGUUUUGGCAUAGGUAAGAAACGUUCUUGCUAGAAACCUAUAGCAGCCACGUAAAAACUUGCAACAACAAUUAGAGGACGUCUAACUUGUUCUUGCAGCAUAUGCCGUGUGAUGUGAUAUGGCCAAAAGGAUGUGAUGAAUGAUAUAUGUGAUGUAUGAGAUUGAUCAUGUUCUUGUAAUAGGAAUCACGACUUGCAUGUCGAUGAGUAUGACAACUGGCAGGAGCCAUAGGAGUUGUCUUAAUUUAUUUAUGACCUGUGUGUCAACAUAAACGUCAUGUAAUUACUUUACUUUAUCGCUAACCAUUAGCCAUAGUAGUAGAAGUAAUAGUUGGCGAGACAACUUCAUGAAGACACGAUGAUGGAGAUCAUGAUGAUGGAGGUCAUGGUGUCAUGCCGGUGACGAUGAUGAUCAUGGCGCCCCGAAGAUGGAGAUCAAAAGGAGCAAAAUGAUAUUGGCCAUAUCAUGUCACUAUUUGAUUGCAUGUGAUGUUUAUCAUGUUUUUACAUCUUAUUUGCUUAGAACGAUGGUAGCUUAAAUAAGAUGAUCCCUUGCAAUAAUUUCAAGAAAGUGUUCCCCCUAACUGUGCACCGUAGCUAAGGUCUGUUGUUUCGAAGCACCACAUGAUGAUCGGGUGUGAUAGGUUCUAACGCUCGCAUACAACGGGUGUAAGCCAGAUUUACACACGUAAUACACUUAGGUUGACUUGACGAGCCUAGCAUUUACAGACAUGGCCUCGGAACACGGAAGACCGAAAGGUCAAACAUGAGUCGUAUAGAAGAUACGAUCAACAUAAAGAUGUUCACCGAUGAUGACUAGUCCAUCUCACGUGAUGAUCGGACACGGCCUAGUUGAUUCGGAUUAUGUAUCACUUAGAUGACUAGAGGGUUGUCUAUCUGAGUGGGAGUUCAUUAAAUAAUUUGAUUAGAUGAACUUAAUUAUCAUGAACAUAGUCUAAAAACUUUGCAAUAUGUCUUGUAGAUCAAAUGGCCCACGCUAAUGUUGCCCUCAACUUCAACGCGUUCCUAGAGAAAACCAAGCUGAAAGACGAUGGUAGCAACUACACGGACUAGGUCCGUAACCUGAGGAUUAUCCUCAUAGCUGCAUAGAAAGCAUAUGUCCUUGAAGCACCGCUAGGUGAUGCACCUGUUUUCCCAGCAACUCACGACGUUAUGAACGCCUGGUAGUCGCGUAGUGAUGAUUACUCCCUGGUUCAGUGCGGCAUGCUUUACAGCUUAGAACCGGGGCUCCAAAAGCGUUUUGAGCAGCACGGAGCAUAUGAGAUGUUCCAAGAGCUGAAAAUGGUUUUCCAAGCUCAUGCCCGGGUUGAGAGAUAUGAAGUCUCCGACAAGUUCUACAGUUGUAAAAUGGAGGAGAAUAGUUAUGUCAGCGAGCACAUACUCAAAAUGUCUGGGUUGCACAACCGCUUAUCUCAGCUGGGAGCUAAUCUCCCUGAUGAUGCGGUCAUUGACAGAAUCCUUUAGUCACUCCCACCUAGCUACAAGAGCUUUGUGAUGAACUUCAAUAUGCAGGGGAUGUAAAAGACCAUUCCUGAGGUAUAUUCAAUGCUGAAAUCAGCGGAGGUGGAGAUCAAAAAGGAACAUCAAGUGUUGAUGGUGAAUAAAACCACUAAGUUCAAGAAAGGCAAGGGUAAGAAGAACUUCAAGAAGGAUGGCAAGGGAGUUGCCGCGCCCGGUAAGCCAUUUGUUGGGAAGAAGACAAAGCAUGGACCCAAGCCUGAGACUGAGUGCUUUUAUUGCAAGGGAAACAGUCACUGGAAGCGGAACUGCCCCAAGUACUUAGCGGAUAAGAAGGCCGGCAAUACCAAAGGUAUAUGUGAUAUACAUGUUAUUGAUGUGUACCUAACCAGCGCUCGUAGUAGCUCCUGGGUAUUUGAUACCGGUGCGGUUUCUCAUAUUUGUAACUCAAAACAGGAGCUACGGAAUAAGCGGAGACUGGCAAAGGACGAGGUGACGAUGCACGUCGGGAAUGGUUCCAAGGUCGAUGUGAUCGCCUUCGGCACGCUACCUCUACAUUUACACCUACGGGAUUAGUUUUAAACCUCAAUAAUUGUUAUUUAGUACCAGCUUUGAGCAUGAACAUUGCAUCUGGAUCUCGUUUAAUGCGAGAUGGCUACUCAUUUAAAUCUGAGAAUAAUGGUUGUUCUAUUUAUAUGAGAGACAUGUUUUAUGGUCAUGCCCCGCUAGUCAAUGGUUUAUUCUUAUUUAAUCUCAAACGUGAUGUUACACAUAUUCAUAGUGUGAAUGCCAAAAAAUGUAAGGUUGAUAAUGAUAGUCCCACAUACUUGUGGCACUGCCGCCUUGGUCACAUUGGUGUCCAACGCAUGAAGAAACUCCAUGCAGAUGGACUUUUGGAAUCUCUUGAUUAUGAAUCAUUUGACACAUGCGAACCAUGCCUCAUGGGCAAAAUGACCAAGACUCCGUUCUUCGGAACAAUAGAGCGAGCAACCAACUUAUUGGAAAUCAUACAUACUGAUGUGUGCGGUCCAAUGAGCAUUGAGGCUCGCGGUGGUUAUCGCUAUGUUCUCACCCUCACGGAUGACUUAAGUGGAUAUGGGUAUGUCUACUUAAUGAAACACAAGUCUGAGACAUUUGAAAAGUUCAAGGAAUUUCAGAGUGAGGUUGAGAAUCAACGUGACAUGAAAAUCAAGUUCUUACGAUCAGAUCGUGGGGGAGAAUAUUUGAGUCACGAAUUUGGCAUGCACUUAAGGAAAUGUGGAAUUGUUUCACAACUCACACCACCUGGGACACCUCAGCGUAAUGGUGUGUCUGAACGUCGUAAUCGCACUCUAUUGGAUAUGGUGCGAUCUAUGAUGUCUCUUACCAAUCUACCGCUAUCAUUUUGGGGUUAUGCUAUAGAGACUGCCGCAUUCACUUUAAAUAGGGCUCCGUCGAAAUCCGUUGAGACGACACUGUAUGAAUUGUGGUUUGGGAAGAAACCUAAGCUGUCGUUUCUGAAAGUUUGGGGAUGUGAUGCUUAUGUCAAGAAACUUCAACCUGAAAAGCUCGAACCCAAAUCGGAAAAAUGUGUCUUCAUAGGAUACCCUAAGGAAACUAUUGGGUAUACCUUCUACCUCAGAUCCGAAGGCAAGAUCUUUGUUGCCAAGAAUGGAUCCUUUCUAGAUAAAGAGUUUCUCUCGAAAGAAGUAUGUGGGAGGAAAGUAGAACUUGAUGAAGUAUUGCCUCUUGAACCAGAGAUUAGCGCAGCUCAAGAAAAUGUUUGUGUGGUGCCUGCACCGACUAGAGAGGAAGUUAAUGAAGAUGAUCAUGAAACUUCAUAUCAAGUUUCUACUAAACUUCGUAGGUCCACAAGGACACGUUCCGCACCAGAGUGGUACGGCGACCCUGUCCUGGAAAUCAUGUCGUUAGACAAUGGUGAACCUUUGAACUAUGAAGAAGCGAUGGCGGGCCCGGAUUCUGACAAAUGGCUUGAAGCCAUGAAAUCCGAGAUAGGAUCCAUGUAUGAAAACAAAGUCUGGACUUUGACUGACUUGCCCGAUGAUCGAUGAGCCAUAGAAAAUAAAUGGAUCUUUAAGAAGAAGACAGACGCGGAUGGUAAUGUAACCAUCUAUAAGGCUCGGCUUGUCGCUAAGGGUUAUCGACAAGUUCAAGGGGUUGACUAUGAUGAGACCUUCUCACCCGUAGCGAAGCUGAAGUCUGUCCGAAUCAUGUUAGCAAUUGCUGCAUUCUAUGAUUAUGAGAUAUGGCAAAUGGACAUCAAAACGACAUUCCUUAAUGGUUUCCUUAAGGAAUAAUUGUAUAUGAUGCAGCCGGAAGGUGUUGUCGAUCCUAAGAAUGCUGACAAGGUAUGCAAGCUCCAACGCUCGAUCUAUGGGCUGGUGCAAGCAUCUCGGAGUUGGAACAUUCAUUUUGAUGAGAUGAUCAAAGCGUUUGGGUUUACACAGAUUUAUGGAGAAGCCUGUGUUUACAAGAAAGUGAGUGGGAGCUCUGUAGCAUUUCUCAUAUUAUAUGUGGAUGACAUACUAUUGAUGGGAAAUGAUAUAGAACUCUUGGAAAGCAUAAAGGCCUACUUGAAUAAGUGUUUUUCAAUGAACGACCUUGGAGAAGCUGCUUACAUAUUAGGCAUCAAGAUCUAUAGAGAUAGAUCGAGACGCCUCAUUGGUCUUUCACAAAGCACGUACCUUGACAAGAUAUUGAAGAAGUUCAAUAUGGAUCAGUCCAAGAAGGGGUUCUUGCCUGUAUUGCAAGGUGUGAGAUUGAGCACGGCUCAAUGCCUGACCAUGGUAGAAGAUAGAGAAAAGAUGAGUGUCAUCAGCCUCGGCCAUAGGGUCUAUUAUGUAUGCCAUGCUGUGUACCAGACCUGAUGUAAACCUUGCCGUAAGUUUGGUAGGAAGGUACCAAAGUAAUCCCGGCAUGGAACACUGGACAGCAGUCAAGAAUAUCCUGAAGUACCUGAAAAGGACUAAGGAUAUGUUUCUCGUUUAUGGAGGUGACGAAGAGCUCAUCGUAAAGGGUUACGUCAAUGCUACUUUUGACACAGAUCUGGAUAACUCCAAGUCACAAACCGGAUACGUGUGUAUUUUGAAUGGUAGGGCAGUCAGCUGGUGCAGUUGCAAGCAAAGCGUCAUGGCGGGAUCUACAUGUGAAGCGGAGUACAUGGUAGCCUCGGAGGCAGUACAUGAAGCAAUCUGUAUGUAGGAGUUCAUUACCGACCUAGGAGUUAUUCCCAAUGCAUCGGGCCCGAUGACUCUCUUCUGUGACAACACUGGAGCCAUUGCCCUUGCCAAGGUGCCCAGGUUUCACAAGAAGACCAGGCAUAUCAAGCGUCGCUUCAACUCCAUUCGUGAAAAUGUUCAAAAUGGACACAUGCAUAUUUGUAAAGUGCGUACGGACCUGAAUGUCGCAGAUCCGUUGACUAAACCCCUUCCAUGAGCAAAACAUGAUCAACACCAGAACGAUAUGGGUGUUCGAUUCAUCACAAUGUAACUAGAUUAUUGACUCUGGUGCAAGUGGGAGACUGUUGGAAAUAUGCCCUAGAGGCAAUAAUAAAAUAGUUAUUAUUAUAUUUCCUUGUUCAUGAUAAUUGUUUAUUGUUCAUGCUAUAAUUGUGUUAUCCGGAAAUCACAAUACAUGUGUGAAUACAUAGACCACAACAUGUCCCUAGUAAGCCUCUAGUUGACAAGCUCGUUGAUCAAUAGAUGGUUACGGUUUCCUGACCAUGGACAUUGGAUGUCAUUGACAAUGGGAUCACAUCAUUAGGAGAAUGAUAUGAUGGACAAGACCCAAUCCUAAACCUAGCACAAGAUCGUGUAGUUCGUAUGCUAAAGCUUUUCCAAUGUCGAGUAUCCUUUCCUUAGAACAUGAGAUUGUGCAACUCCCAGAUACCGCAGGAGUACUUUGGGUGUGCCAAACAUCACAACGUAACUGGGUGGAUAUAAAGGUACACUACGGGUAUCCCCGAAAGUAUCUGUUGGGUUGGCACGAAUCGAGACUGGGAUUUGUCACUCCGUAUGAUGGAGAGGUAUCUUUGGGCCCACUCGGUAAGACAUCAUCGUAAUGAGCUCAAUGUGACUAAGGGGUUGGUCAUAGGAUGAUGUGUUACAGAACGAGUAAAGAGACUUGUCGUAACGAUAUUGAAUAAGGUAUCGGUAUACCGACGAUCGAAUCUCGGGCAAGUGUUAUACCGGUAGACAAAGGGAAUCGUAUACGGGAUUGAUUGAAUCCUUGACAUCAUGGUUCAUCCGAUGAGAUCAUUGUGGAACAUGUGGGAGCGAACAUGGGUAUCCAGAUCCCGCUAUUGGUUAUUGGCUGGAGAGAUGUCUCGGUCAUGUCUGCAUGGUUCCCGAACCCGUAGGGUCUACAUACUUAAGGUUCGAUGACGCUAGGGUUAUAGGGAAUAGAAGCACGUGGUUACCGAAUGUUGUUCGGAGUCCCGGAUGAGAUCCCGGACGUCACGAGGAGUUCCGGAAUGGUCCAGAGGUAAAGAUUUAUAUAUGGGAAGUCCCGUUUUAGACACCGGAAGUGUUCUGGGCGUUAUCCGUAACGUACCGGGACCACCGGGAGGGGCCACCAGCCCCGGAGGCUUGCGUGGGCCAAGUGUGGGAAGGGACCAGCCCCUAGGUGGGCUGGUGCGCCUCCCACAAGAGGCCAGGGCACAUGGAAGGGGAGAAGGGGGAAACCCUAGGCUCAUAUGGGCCUUAGGCCCACCUAGGGUGCGCCCCCCCUCUCUCCCCCUCUGGCCGCCCCCCUACAUGCAUCUAGGGCUGGCCGCCACCCCUAGGGGGGAACCCUAGAUGGGGGCGCAGCCCCUCCCCUCCCUCUAUAUAUAGUGGGGGGUUUUGGGGCUGCUAGAGACACGAGUGUUGAACGCGGAGGCACCGUUGUUCGGUGCUUAGAUCGGAUUCGGCCGCGAUCUGAAUCGCUUCGUGUAUGACUCCUUCAUCCGCGUUCUUGUAACGCUUCCGUUUCGCGAUCUUCAAGGGUAUGAAGAUACACUCCCCUCUCUCUCGUUGCUAGUCUCUCCAUAGAUUGAUCUUGGUGAUGCGUAGAAAUUUUUUAAUGUCUGCAACGAUCCCCAACAAUAACAAGUACUCAUAACCCGACGUACUAAAGGGGUUGUCAAUCCCUUUCGGGUAACGGCGCCAGAAAUUGGCAAACGGACGUGAAUAAAUUGUAGUAGAUUGAUAGAUCGAAUGCCAAAUAAAAUAAAUAAGAAUAAAAUGCAGGAAGGUAUUUUUGUAUUUUGGGGUUUAAUGGAUCUGAAAAUAAAAGGCAAAUAAAAUAGAUCACAAAGGCAAAUAAUAUGAGAAUGAGACCCGGGGGAUGUAGCUUUCACUAGUGGCUUCUCUCGAGAAAAAUAGCAAACGGUGGAUAAACGAAUUAUUGUUGGGCAAUUGAUAGAACUGUUGGGGAACGUAGCAGAAUUUAAAAUUUUCUAUGCAUCACCAAGAUCAAUCUAUGGAGUCAUCUAGCAACGAGGGAAGAGGAGUGCAUCUACAUACCCUUGUAGAUCGCGAGCGGAAGCGUUCAAGAGAAACGGGUUGAUGGAGUCGUACUCGUCGUGAUCUAAAUCACCGAUGACCGAGCGCCGAACGGACGGCACCUCCGCGUUCAACACACGUACGGUUGGGAAGACGUCUCCUCCUUCUUGAUCCAGCAAGGGGAAGGAGAGGUUGAUGGAGAUCCAGCAGCACGACGGCGUGGUGGUGGAAGCAGCGGUGAUCUCGGCAGGGCGCCAAGCUCCAACGAGAGAGAGAGGUGUUACGUGGGGAGAGGGAGGCGCCAGGGACUCAGGUGCGGCUUCCCUCCCCCCCCCCACUAUAUAUAGGGCCCCUAAGGGGGGGCGCCGUCCCUAGGAGAUCCAAUCUCCAAGGGGGGCAGCGGCCAAGGGGGGACUUGCCCCCCAAGUCAGGUGGGGCGCCCCCCACCCCUAGGGUUUCCAACCCUAGGCGUAGGGGGAGGCCCAUGGGGGGUGCACCAGCCCACUAGGGGCUGGUUCCCCUCCCACUUCAGCCCAUGGGGUCCUCCAGGAUAGGUGGCCCCACCCGGUGGACCCCCCGGGACCCUUCCGGUGGUCCUAGUACAAUACUGAUUACCCCCGAAACUUUCCCAAUGGCCGAAACUGGACUUCCUAUAUAUAAAUCUUCACCUCCGGACCAUUCCAGAACUCCUCGUGACGUCCGGGUCUCAUCCGGGACUCCGAACAACUUUCGGGUUACCGCAUACUAAUAUCUCUACAACCCUAGCGUCACCGAACCUUAAGUGUGUAGACCCUACGGGUUCGGGAGACACGCAGACAUGACCGAGACGACUCUCCGGUCAAUAACCAACAGCGGGAUCUGGAUACCCAUGUUGGCUCCUACAUGUUCCAUGAUGAUCUCAUCGGAUGAACCAUGAUGUCGAGGAUUCAAUCAAUCCCGUAUUCAAUUCCCUUUGUCAAUCGGUACGUUACUUGCCCGAGAUUCGAUCGUCGGAUCCUAAUACCUCGUUCAAUCUCGUUACGGCAAGUCACUUUACUCGUACCGCAAUGCAUGAUCCCGUGACCAAACACUUGGUCACAUUGAGCUCAUUAUGAUGAUGCAUUACCGAGUGGGCCCAGAGAUACCUCUCCGUCAUACGGAGUGACAAAUCCCAGUCUCGAUCCGUGUCAACCCAACAAAUACUUUCGGGGAUACCUGUAGUAUACCUUUAUAGUCACCCAGUUACAUUGUGACGUUUGGUACACCCAAAGCACUCCUACGGCAUCCGGGAGUUACACGAUCUCAUGGUCUAAGGAAAUGAUACUUGACAUUGGAAAAGCUCUAGCAAAUGAACUACACGAUCUUGUGCUAUGCUUAGGAUUGGGUCUUGUCCAUCACAUCAUUCCCCUAAUGACGGGAUCCCAUUAUCAAUGACAUCCAAUGUCCAUAGUCAGGAAACAAUGACUAUCUAUUGAUCAACGAGCUAGUUAACUAGAGGCUCACUAGGGACAUGUUAUGGUCUAUGUAUUCACACAUGUAUUAUGAUUUCCAGAUAACACAAUUAUAGCAUGAACAAUAGACAAUUAUCAUGAACAAGGAAAUAUAAUAAUAAUCAUUUUAUUAUUGCCUCUAGGGCAUAUUUCCACAGUCUCCCACUUGCACUAGAGUCAAUAAUCUAGUUACAUUGUGAUGAAUCGAACACCCAUAGAGUUCUGGUGUUGAUCAUGUUUUGCUCACGGAAGAGGUUUAGUCAAUGGAUCUGCGACAUUCAGAUCCGUAUGUACUUUGCAAAUAUCUAUGUCUCCAUCUUGAACAUUUUCACGAAUGGAGUUGAAGCGACGCUUGAUGUGCCUGGUCUUCUUGUGAAACCUGGGCUCCUUGGCAAGGGCAAUAGCUCCAGUGUUGUCACAGAAGAGAGUGAUCGGCCCCGACGCAUUGGGUAUGACUCCUUGGUCGGUGAUGAACUCCUUCGUCCAGAUUGCUUCAUGCGCUGCCUCCGAGGCUGCCAUGUACUCCGCUUCACAUGUAGAUCCCACCACGACGCUUUGCUUGCAACUGCACCAGCUUACUGCCCCACCAUUCAAAAUAUACACAUAUCCGGUUUGUGACUUAGAGUCAUCCAGAUUUGUGUCGAAGCUAGCGUCGACGUAACCCUUUACGGCGAGAUCCUCGUCACCUCCAUAUACGAGAAACAUAUCCUUGGUCCUUUUCAGGUACUUCAGGAUGUUCUUGACCGCUGUCCAGUGUUCCAUGUCGGGAUUACUUUGGUAACUACCUACCAAACUCACGUCAAGGUUUACAUCAGGUCUGGUACACAGCAUGACAUACAUGAUAGACCCUAUGGCUGAGGCAUAGGGGACGACACUCAUCUUUUCUCUAUCUUCUGCCGUGGUCGGACACUGAGCUGAGCUCAAUUUCACACUUGGCAACACAGGCAAGAACCCCUUCUUGGACUAAUCCAUAUUGAACUUCUUCAAUAUCUUAUCAAGGUAUGUGCUUUGUGAAAGACCUAUGAGGCGUCUCGAUCUAUCUCUAUAGAUCUUGAUGCCUAAUAUGUAAGCAGCUUCUCCAAGGUCCUUCAUUGAAAAACACUUAUUCAAGUAGGACUUAAUACUGUCCAAAAGUUCUAUAUCAUUUCCCAUCAAAAGUAUGUCAUCCACAUAUAAUAUGAGAAAUGCUACAGAGCUCCCACUCACUUUCUUGUAAACGUAGGCUUCUCCAUAAGUCUGCAUAAACCCAAACGCUUUGAUCAUUUCAUUAAAGCGAAUGUUCCAACUCCGAGAUGCUUGCACCAGCCCAUAGAUGGAGCGCUGGAGCUUGCAUAAAUUGUUAGCAUUCUUAGGAUCGACAAAACCUUCCGGCUGCAUCAUAUACAAUUCUUCCUUAAGAAAGCCGUUAAGGAAUGCCGUUUUGACGUCCAUCUGCCAUAUCUCAUAAUCAUAGUAUGUGGCAAUUGCUAACAUGAUUCGAACGGACUUCAGCUUUGCUACGGGUGAGAAGGUCUCAUCGUAGUCAUUAGCGACAAGUCGAGCCUUAUAGAUGGUAACAUUACCAUCCGCGUCCGUCUUCUUCUUAAAGAUCCAUUUAUUCUCUAUUGCUCGUCGAUCAUCGGGCAAGUCUGUCAAAGUCCAUACUUUGUUUUCAUACAUGGAUCCUAUCUCGGAUUGCAUGGCUUCAAGCCAUUUGUUGGAAUCUAGGCCCGCCAUUGCUUCUUCAUAGUUCGAAGGUUCACCGUUGUCUAACAACAUGAUUUCCAGGACUGGGUUGCCAUACCAUUCUGGUGUGGAACGUGUCCUUGUGGACCUUCGAAGUUUAGUAGCAACUUGAUCUGAAGUACCUUGAUCAUUAUCAUUAACUUUCUCUCUAGUCGGUGUAGGCACCACAGGAACAUCUUCCUGAGCUGCGCUACUUUCUGGUUCAAGAGGCAGUACUUCAUCAAGUUCUACUUUCCUCCCACUUACUUCUCUCGAGAGAAACUAUUUCUCCAGAAAGGACCCGUUCUUGGCAACAAAGAUCUUGCCUUCGGAUCUGAGGUAGAAGGUAUACCCAAUGGUUUCCUUAGGGUAUCCUAUGAAGACGCAUUUUUCCGACUUGGGUUCGAGCUUUUCAGGUUGAAGUUUCUUGACAUAAGCAUCGCAUCCCCAAACUUUUAGAAAUGACAGCUUAGGUUUCUUCCCAAACCAUAAUUCAUACGGUGUCAUCUCAACGGAUUUAGACGGUGCCCUAUUUAAAGUGAAUGUAGCUGUCUCUAGAGCGUAACCCCAAAAAGAUAGCGGUAAAUCAGUGAGUAACAUCAUAGAUCGCACCAUAUCCAAUAGAGUGCGAUUACGACGUUCAGACACACCGUUACGCUGAGGUGUUCCAGGCGGUGUGAGUUGUGAAACAAUUCCACAUUUCCUUAAGUGCGUACCAAAUUCGUGACUUAAAUAUUCUCCCCCAUGAUCUGAUCGUAAGAAUUUUAUCUUUCGGUCACGUUGAUUCUCUACCUCAUUCUGAAAUUCCUUGAACUUUUCAAAGGUCUCAAACUUGUGUUUCAUCAAAUAGACAUACCCAUAUCUACUUAAGUCAUCACUGAGAGUGAGAACAUAAUGAUAGCCUCCGCGAGCCUCAACGCUCAUUGGACCGCACACAUCAGUAUGUAUAAUUUCCAAUAAGUUGGUUGCUCGCUCCAUUGUUCCGGAGAACGGAGCCUUGGUCAUUUUACCCAUAAGGCAUGGUUCGCAUGUGUCAAAUGAUUCGAAAUCAAGAGACUCCAAAAGUCCAUCUGUAUGGAGCUUCUUCAUGCGUUUGACACCGAUGUGACCAAGGCGGCAGUGCCACAGAUAUGUGGGACUAUCAUUAUCAAUCUUACAUCUUUUGGUAUUCACACUAUGAAUAUGUGUAACAUCACGUUCGAGAUUCAUUAAGAAUAAACCAUUGACCAGUGGGGCAUGACCAUAAAACAUAUCUCUCAUAUAAUUAGAACAACCAUUAUUCUCGGAUUUAAAUGAGUAGCCAUCUCGUAUUAAACGAGAUCCAGACACAGUGUUCAUGCUCAAAGCUGGCACUAAAUAACAAUUAUUGAGGUUUAAAACUAAUCCCGUAUGUAAAUGUAGAGGUAGCGUGCCGACGGCGAUCACAUGGACCUUGGAACCAUUCCCGACGCGCAUCGUCACCUCGUCCUUCGCCAGUCUCCGCUUAUUCCGCAGCUCCUGUUUUGAGUUACAAAUAUGAGCAACCGCACCGGUAUCAAAUACCCAGGAGCUACUACAAGUACUGGUAAGGUACACAUCAAUUACAUGUAUAUCACAUAUACCUUUAGUGUUGCCGGCCUUCUUGUCCGCUAAGUAUUUGGGGCAGUUCCGCUUCCAGUGUCCCUUUCCCUUGCAAUAAAAGCACUCAGUCUCAGGUUUGGGUCCAUUCUUUGGCUUCUUCCCGGCAGCUUGCUUACCGGGCGCGGCAACCCCCUUGUCGUCCUUCUUGAAGUUCUUCUUACCCUUGCCUUUCUUGAAACUAGUGGUUUUAUUGACCAUCAACACUUGAUGUUCCUUUUUGAUUUCCACCUCCGCUGAUUUCAGCAUUGAAAAUACUUCAGGAAUAGUUUUGACCAUCCCCUGCAUAUUGUAGGUCAUCACAAAGCUCUUGUAGCUAGGUGGGAGCGACUAAAGGAUUCUGUUAAUGACCGCCUCGUUCGAGAGGUUAAUGUCCAGCUGGGACAAGCGGUUAUGCAACCCAGACAUUUUGAGUAUGUGCUCACUGACAGAACUAUUUUCCUCCAUCUUACAACUGUAGAACUUGUCGGAGACUUCAUAUCUCUUGACCCGGGCAUGAGCUUGGAAAACCAUUUUCAGCUCUUCAAACAUCUCAUAUGCUCUGUGUUGCUCAAAAUGCUUUUGGAGCCCCGGUUCUAAGCUGUAAAGCAUGCCGCACUGAACGAGGGAGUAAUCAUCAGCACGUGACUGCCAAGCGUUCAUAACGUCUUGGUUCUCUGGGAUGGGUGCGUCAUCUAGCGGUGCUUCUAGGACAUAUGCUUUCUUGGCACCUAUGAGGAUGAUCCUCAGGUUCCGGACCCAGUCCGUAUAGUUGCUGCCAUCAUCUUUCAGCUUGGUUUUCUCUAGGAAUGCGUUGAAGUUGAGGUUGACAUGAGCGUUGGCCAUUUGAUCUACAAGACAUUUUGCAAAGGUUUUUAGACUAAGUUCAUGAUAAUUAAGUUCAUCUAAUCAAAUUAUUUAAUAAACUCCCACUCAGACAGACAUCCCUCAAGUCAUCUAAGUGAUACAUGAUCCGAGUCAACUAGGCCGUGUCCGAUCAUCACGUGAGACGGACUAGUCAUCAUCGGUGAACAUCUUCAUGUCGACCGUAUCUUCUAUAUGACUCAUGUUCGACCUUUCGGUCUUCCGUGUUCCGAGGCCAUGUCUGUACAUGCUAGGCUCGUCAAGUCAACCUAAGUGUAUUGCGUGUGUAAAUCUGGCUUACACCCGUUGUAUUCGAACAUUAGAAUCUAUCACACCUGAUCAUCACAUGGUGCUUCAAAACAACGAACCUUCGCAACGGUGCACAGUUAGGGGGAACACUUUCUUGAAAUUAUUGUGAGGGAUCAUCUUAUUUAUGCUACCAUCGUUCUAAGCAAAUAAGAUGUAAAACAUGAUAAACAUCACAUGCAAUCAAAUAGUGACAUGAUAUGGCCAAUAUCAUUUUGCUCCUUUUGAUCUCCAUCUUCGGGCGCCAUGAUCAUCGUCGUCACCGGCAUGACACCAUGAUCUCCAUCAUCAUGAUCUCCAUCAUCGUGUCUUCAUGAAGUUGUCUCGUCAACUAUUACUUCUACUACUAUGGCUAGUGGUUAGCGAUAAAAUAAAGUAAUUACAUGACGUUUAUGUUGACACGCAGGUCAUAAAUGAAUUAAGACAACUCCUAUGGCUCCUGCCGGUUGUCAUACUCAUCGACAUGCAAGUCGUGAUUCCUAUUACAAGAACAUGAUCAAUCUCAUACAUAACAUAUAUCAUUCAUCACAUCCUUUUGGCCAUAUCACAUUGCAUGGCACAUGCUGCAAAAACAAGUUAGACGUCCUCUAAUUGUUGUUGCAAGUUUUUAUGUGGCUGCUAUAGGUUUCUAGCAAGAACGUUUCUUACCUACGCCAAAACCACAACGUGAUAUGCCAAUUUCUAUUUACCCUUCAUAAGGACCCUUUUCAUCGAAUCCGAUCCGACUAAAGUGGGAGAGACAGACACCCACUAGCCACCUUAUGCAACUAGUGCAUGUCAGUCGGUGGAACCAGUCUCACGUAAGCGUACGUGUAAGGUCGGUCCGGGCCGCUUCAUCCCACGAUGCCGCUGAAUCAAGAUAAGACUAGUAACGGCAAGUAAAUUUACAAAAUCAACGCCCACAACAACUUGUGUUCUACUCGUGCAUAGAAACUACGCAUAGACCUAGCUCAUGAUGCCACUGUUGGGGAACGUAGCAGAAUUUAAAAUUUUCUACACAUCGCCAAGAUCAAUCUAUGGAGUCAUCUAGCAACGAGGGAAGAAGAGUGCAUCUACAUACCCUUGUAGAUCGCGAGCGGAAGCGUUCAAGAGAACGGGGUUGAUGGAGUCGUACUCGUCAUGAUCCAAAUCACCGAUGACCGAGCGCCGAACGGACGGCACCUCCGCGUUCAACACACGUACGGUUGGAAAGACGUCUCCUCCUUCUUGAUCUAGCAAGGGGAAGGAGAGGUUGAUGGAGAUCCAGCAGCACGACGGCGUGGUGGUGGAAGCAACGGUGAUCUCGGUAGGGCUUCGCCAAGCUCCAACGAGAGAGAGAGAGAGAGAGAGAGAGAGAGAGGUGUUACGUGGGGAGAGGGAGGCGCCAGGGACUCGGGUGCAUCUGCCCUCCCUCCCCCCCCCCCACUAUAUAUAGGGCCCCUAAGGGGGGGGCGCCGUCCCUAGGAGAUCCAAUCUCCAAGGGGGGGCGGCGGCCAAGGGGGGACUUGCCCCCCAAGUCAGGUGGGGCACCCCCACCCCUAGGGUUUCCAACCCUAGGCGCAGGAGGAGGCCCAUGGGGGGCGCACCAGCCCACUAGGGGCUGGUUCCCCUCCCACUUCAGCCCAUGGGGCCCUCCAGGAUAGGUGGCCCCACCCGGUGGACCCCCCGGGACCCUUCCGGUGGUCCCGGUACAAUACCGAUUACCCCUGAAACUUUCCUAAUGGACGAAACUAGACUUCCUAUAUAUAAAUCUUCACCUUCGGACCAUUCCGGAACUCCUCGUGACGUCCGGGAUCUCAUCCGGAACUCCGAACAACUUUCAGGUUACCGCAUACUAAUAUCUCUACAACCCUAGCGUCACUGAACCUUAAGUGUGUAGACCCUACGGGUUCAGGAGACACGCAGACAUGACCGAGACGACUCUCCGGUCAAUAACCAACAGCGGGAUCUGGAUACCCAUGUUGGCUCCUAUAUGUUCCACGAUGAUCUCAUCGGAUGAACCACGAUGUCGAGGAUUCAAUCAAUCCCGUAUUCAAUUCCCUUUGUCAAUCGGUACGUUACUUGCCCGAGAUUCGAUCGUCGGUAUCCCAAUACCUCGUUCAAUCUUGUUACCGGCAAGUCACUUUACUCGUACCGCAAUGCAUGAUCCCGUGACCAAACACUUGGUCAAAUUGAGCUCAUUAUGAUGAUGCAUUACCGAGUGGGCCCAGAGAUACCUCUCCGUCAUACGGAGUGACAAAUCCCAGUCUCGAUCCGUGUCAACCCAACAGAUACUUUCGGGGAUACCUGUAGUAUACCUUUAUAGUCACCCGGUUACGUUGUGACGUUUGGUACACCCAAAGCACUCCUACGGCAUCCGGGAGUUACACGAUCUCAUGGUCUAAGGAAAUGAUACUUGAUAUUGGAAAAGCUCUAGCAAACGAACUACACGAUCUUGUGCUAUCCUUAGGAUUGGGUCUUGUCCAUCACAUCAUUCCCCUAAUGCCGUGAUCCCGUUAUCAAUGACAUCCAAUGUCCAUAGUCAGGAAACCAUGACUAUCUAUUGAUCAACGAGCUAGUUAACUAGAGGCUCACUAGGGACAUGUUAUGGUCUAUGUAUUCACACAUGUAUUAUGAUUUCUGGAUAACACAAUUAUAGCAUGAACAAUAGACAAUUAUCAUGAACAAGGAAAUAUAAUAAUAAUCAUUUUAUUAUUGCCUCUAGGGCAUAUUUCCAACAAGAACUUCAAAUAAUCAUGACGAUAUCCAGGCAAUGAUCAUUAUAUAGGCAUCACGCCCAAGAUUAGUAGACCGACUCCUGCCUGCAUCUACUACUAUUACUCCACACAUUGACCGUUAUACAGCAUGCAUCUAGUGUAUUAAGUUCAUGGAGAAACGGAGUAAUGCAAUAAGAACGAUGACAUGAUGUAGACAAGAUCUAUUUAUGUAGAAAAAUAGACCCCAUCAUUUUAUCAGCAACGAUAUAUAUGUGUCGGUUCCCCUUCUGUCACUGGGAUCAAGCACCGUAAGAUCGAACCCACUACAAAGCACCUCUUCCCAUUGCAAGAUAAAUAGAUCAAGUUGGCCAAACAAAACCCAAAUAUCAGAGAAGAAAUACGAGGCUAUAAGCAAUCAUGUAUAAAAGAGAUCAAAGAAACUCAAAUAACUUUCAUGGAUAAAAGGAGAUAGAUCUGAUCAUAAACUCAAAAUUCAUCAGAUCCCAACAAACACACCGCAAAAGAGUUACAUCAUAUGGAUCUCCAAGAGACCAUCAUAUUGAGAAUCAAACGAGAGAGAGGAAGCCAUCUAGCUACUAACUAUGGACCCAAAGGUCUACAAAGAACUACUCACGUAUCAUCAGAGAGGCACCAAUGGAAGUGGUGAACCCCUCCAUGAUGGUCUCUAGAUUGGAUCUGGUGGUUCUGGACUCUGCGGCGGCUGGAAUUGAUUUUCGUCGACUCCCUUAGAGUUUCUGGAAUAUUGGAAUAUUUAUAGAAUAAAGAGGCGAUCCGGGGGGCACCCAAGGUGGGCACAACCCACCAGGGCAUGCCUGGGCCUCCAGGGGUGCCCUGGUGGGUUGUGCUCCCCUCGGAGCAGCCCCCAGGUGCUUCUUUGGCCCAUUGGUUGUCUUCUGGUCCAAAAAAAUUCACAAAAAGUUUCGCUGCAUUUGGACUCCGUUUGAUAUUGAUUACAUGCGAUGUAAAAAACAUACAAAAAACAGCAACUGGCACUUGGCACUGUGUCAAUAGGUUAGUACCAAAAAAUGAUAUAAAAUGAUUAUAAAACAUCCAAGAAUGAUAAUAUAACAGCAUGGAACAAUCAAAAAUUAUAGAUAUGUUGGAGACCUAUCACACAUACAUCUAAAUAGAGAAAUCCAGACUAUUACAACCACCAACAAACGAACAGGAGACAACUCUAGACUCGCAACCAGUAGAAUAGAGCAACUCCUGCGAAGAUCGCCAGUCUUCAUGUACCAAAAGCACCAAGGCCGUGCCCAUCAUGUUCCUCCGAUCGGACAACUUGCAUCAUCGCACACCCUCAUCAGUUGCAUCGUGCUUGCCCUAAUCAUCUCGGCACCUGAUCCCAGCUUGUCGAUGUCGCCUCCCUGCUGUAGUCCUGCCCAAUACAAGAGAAAAGAGCAUAUGGAAAGCACAAUUUCAAAGGGGUUUUUAAUCAGUUUCCUUUCAAAAGUAGACGUGUUUCGAGCAAGCCAAAACGCCCAGCAUGCGGCCGCUAGUCCAACAGUAUAGAACUUCUCACCACCUGGGAGGAAAGUGUGGCACCAAGUAAAGAACUGCCAUUAUUAGGGCAUUUGCCAGUGCCAAGCACCAUCCCAAUUGAUGGCCACACAAUUUUGGCCACAGGACAUGUAAAAAGAGAGAUGUUGUGAGGUUUCUACCUCAUUGCAAAAAGAACACACAGGGUUCCCCGGCCAGUUUCUUUUUCUCAUUACUUGCCUGGUCAAGACCGCAUCUUGAGAAAGUUGCCACAUAAACCGUUCUUCUCUGCAUAGCAAUUGUUAAGAAAAUCAACAUGUAAAAUAAACCAUUCUUCUCUGCAUAGCAAUUGUCUUUGAUGUCUUAUUCCUAAGGAUAUUAUUAAUCUUUUGAGGGUUAAAGAGCAAUGUAAAACUGACAUCAAAAGGGAAUUAAACUUUUACAUGGGAAUGCCUACUGGUCUUGGAAAAACAUGCUUACACUUUGCUAUGCUACUUUGCAAGAUAAUGGCGACAAUUUUCUGAACUGGAUAUCCUCAAAAGAGAAAAAAAAAUCUGAACUGAAAAUGGAGGGUAAAUAUUUACGAUGGACUGAACUAUCUGUCAGGACAGCAUGUACCGUGGCCUUUGAUGCCAUAUGAACCUAGCUUGGAUGCCGAAGAAUCAAUUCGUUGAACAUCGAACCUGCAAGAACCGACAAAGAUCCAUCUAUUCUCGUCUAUAUAUGCAUUCAACUAAAGCAGCUGAUAAAAUGCUGAACCUUACCGAGCAAGAUCAUUUGAAGUUAUAAUUUGUUGGAAAACAGAAGGGAACAACAAACAGAAGUAGCCGCUAGAUUCCAAAUAAUUUCUACAUAUAAGAAAGCACCAAUGUUAGGCUUUAGGACACUAUGUACAGAAUCAGUUAAUGUAGAAAUAAGAAGUAAAAAAAAUCACAAAGCCUACUGUUGUGGCGACCUACCAACAAAUCAUUUGGUACAAACAUAUGAUGUUUUUACUGGAAAUUCAUUCUCAGUACAAAUCACCGAGCAGCACGAAAACAAUAGCAGCUGCUGGCAUGGUUCAAGGAUACGGAGAGAGUAGUAUUUUUAGGAAAUAUUAUGGAUACGGAGAGAGUAAUAUUUUUAGGAAAUCAUGCUCAACUUAGACUUCAUCCAGAGGUGGGUGCAAUCAGUAAGUAGUACUGUUUGUGUUGUCACAUUUUAUGUCUGUGGGGGUUAUGUUCUCUUAAGGGAGCAUUUUUGGAGGAGUUUCAGCCAUGGAGAGGGGAUUCGCGUGGAAGACCUUAUAUUCAUUGUACAUGUUUUAGUUAGCAUGAAGGUCUGUCUAGCCUUUUUUGAGGAGCACUGGAAUUUCAAUGGCAACAUUAUUUCUACUAUCAGCAACCCACAGAAGCUUUUCUAUGUUCUGUCAUAAAAAAUAGGAGACAGAUCAAUUUUACAAUUAAAUUUACCAUGAAAAACUUCACAAUGCAAUUAACUAAAGAAACUUCACAAUGCAUAUUGCUUUAACAGUGGAAUAAGAAAGUUGACUGAGCAUGACUUUCACCACCACAUAAAAGAACGUAAAACCACAAAUAUUUAAUGCAGAGUAUCCCUAAAGUCACAAAGGUUCAAUUUGUAAUGCUGCAAAGAAUACUUCUCUCUUAUAUUCUGAGCUCUAACAUAUGCUUCCAGGAUCUAAAUUAUAUCACUCCAAACACUAAAAAGGAAGUUGUGAAGCACCAACAGAAUACUGAUACAAAUAUCCCCUCACAUAGUUCCUCUAGACUAUACUCAUUUUCUAAUCUAGAGAUAGCUCUGUGGCCGUAUGCAGGAAAUACAGAGUACACUCUGCUCUUCUGCACGUGUGACAUGUCCCCAAAUCAUCUCCAACUUUAGAAGGCAAAGUUGAGCUAUCAACAAGGCAUAAUCAUAUAAAAAUGAUGCAUCUAAAUACAAAACAAACAUUAUGAGACGAUUGAACGUUGCUAUGUCCUAUAAGAACAUAUACAGUGCAAUGAAUUGUUAUACAGAGAGGAAACUAAUGUCAACAAAUUUAUGCCACGUACCAGCUAUAAAAAAUAUCAGUGCACUAGAAUAUGAAGCAUUGCGUAUCCAACGAACCGACAAGAACUUCAGCAUAAACAAAACCAUGAAGCAUAGCAGCCCUGACUUCCAUCAACACAAAUUCUUUUCGGUGUCACAAAUUCAAACAGACACAAAGUGACAGGAAUUUCAAGUCAAGGGCAUAAAGCCACAAACAAAAUAUAGGAAGUUAUCAGUGAAGAACAUAAUGCUGGAACCAUAACAGGCGAAGAUCACAUGAACAGGCAAAAAAGCCGCAAAUAAUAAAUCACCUGGAAUUGUCAAUGAACCAGGACAAUGGCAAGAACACAUCACCCAAUUGCUAGACAGACAUUAACUAACAAGAAUAGAGCAAGGAAAAGCAAGUUCAUAGCUAUAACUAGGUAAAGAGCAAAAACAAAAACAAUCGCACCACAGUAUCAGGAACUACCAGUAGACAAUAGGGUACACAAUCUAUGUUUAACAUCUGUUACAUUACGAUACAGAUCAAAAUGUAGCCGUCUCAGCAUCACGACAGAUAAGACGAUUCAUAGACAGAAUUAAUGCAGCUCCCUUAACAAACAAGAGAAAGUAGCAAAACAUGACCAAAAAUUUAGAGCUUGUCCUCAAAAUCGGAUAGGGGAGUCAUCUGUUCCUUGAGACCCUUCCUCUUGCGGAUCUCGGUGACAAGCGUCGCCGACUGGGUCCCAGGGUCCAAAGGAUCGGAAGCCAUGAUGUCCCAGUGGUCAAACACACACUGGGGGAAAGCCUGACCGGACGUCGCAGCCCUGAGGGUGCUCGAGAACCCGAAGGACUCAAUGACAGGCAGGUAGGCCUUGAUGUUGUAGAGCGGGGUACCUUGCCUCUGCAUCUCCUCGAACACGUGACCUCUCUUCUGAUUCAGAACACCAUAGAUACCACCAAGCGCAUUCUCCGGGGCCUGGAUCUCAACC